UCUUCUUUUUCUUUCUUUCUCCCUUCUUCCCCGCUGCUUUCCCUUUUCCCUUCUUUUCUUCUUCGAUCUCACUCCCAAGCCGCCGCUGCUGCCAUCGACGCCGCCUCGCGCACACCACCAAGCGCGACAGCCGCGCGCCGCCCCUUUCUCCCUGCUGCUCUCCACGCGCGCCUCCAUCCAGCAGCUGCCACCGCCAGCUCUGCCGCGAGCUCCACUCCAGAGCACGCCAGUCCCUGCCACCAGCUCCUCCAGCCGCCGCCAAGCUCCGAGCUCCACCUCGCGGUCCAUCACUCACCUCGCACCACCAGCUCUCCCUCCGCCUCGCUCUCACUCACCUCUCGCCACCUGAGGCCCACCAAGCAGCCGCGCGCCACCAACUUCACAUCGCUCGCCGCCGCUCGCCGUGGCCUCCUUCUUCACCCCAGCCCAAGCUCGCUCCUCCCUCUCUCUCCCCCACCUCAGCUCAACCUCCAACCAGCCGCCGCCACCUGCUACACCGCUCCUCCAACCUCGCGCGCCCCCACUGACCUCCUCCUCCACCAGCUCCACGACGACGCCGCCUCUCCUUCGCUCCACCCUCGGUCUCGCUCCUCCCCACCUAGCUUGCCGUCCCCAACUGCCGGGCGGCGCUGCUCACGCCACCCACAGCCACGCCAUUCCCACCUGUCAAAAUUGACAGGUGGAGGUAUUGAAUCUUCAACCUCGAUUAGUAUUUUUCUGGUUCUUCUAUUGCUGGAAUUUGCGCGCUUUUGUUUCUUGGGUUUCUUGAUAGCUAAUAGCAGGGGGUGAUUUAGGCAUUUUCUGGGGUUAAUUUUGGUGGAACUAAGUUUAUUUGCUGCUCCAUUUUGGGAUAUUCUCUGGUAUUGAUUACAUUGUUGAAUAUUGUUUGGGUUUUGACUACUUGAAGCUUCUAUUUUCAUAUGUGGGGAUCAAAUUUGAGUUGACUAUUUGAUUUAAUUUUUCCCUUUGCAUUCAGCAGUGGUACUGGCGAUGGUAGUUGUUUAACAUUUGUUAAUCCGGAGUUAUUGGUUGCCUGAUUGAUCGAGUUGUGACUACUGGGCAUUUGUGAUUGUGUUGCCUAGUCCAACUUCUGAACUGUGGUUGCUGGUUUUGUUGGUUUCUUGGGUCAUUUGCUAAUUUUGGUAGGUUUAAUUGGAUAUUUGACUGUCCAAUUGGAGACAGUUGUUGAGAUUUUGGAUGGUCUUGUGUCCAAUUGCUGAAAUUUGUUCUUUUGAUUAGCCAAUGGCACCACUCUGAGUUUGUUAGACUUGUUGUUUUGGUGCAUUGUUGGGAGCUGUACUCUGGUAUUGUGGGUCCUUUUCUGCGCCUGUUUGCUGAAUUGGGAUAUAACUGUGACUUUGCAUUUGCUUAUUAAAGUGGGUUGCCUCUAAUUGCCUUGUGUGAAAGUAUUUUGUCUUGUCAUUUCAAUUACUUAGUUCAUUGGAACAUCUGCUGCAAUUUUGGGUUGCCUGCUAGUUACCAUGGUAAAGCCACGGUCCUCUUCUAGGUCUAGGACCCCUAGGACUUCUCAGCCUCCCCCACCCCAGUCCUCCAUUCCUGCCUCUAACCCCUCGCACGAACCUUCUUCCUCUGGGAGGAGGGCUCGCCUUGGGCGGCAGAGAGGCGUCCAUAUCUCUGACCCUACACAUUUUGGGAGUAAUUUGGACUUCACCAAUCCCGCCGAUAGGCAACGGUAUGCUAGCUGUUGUGAACGGCGGAUUAUUCCCUGUCGCUAUCGGGAUACCGCCACCUUGGGUCUUCUAAAUAUUAGAGUUGAUUUUGACAGGUUGAUUGAGGCCAUUGGAUGGCUUCCCUAUCCUCGUAUUCUUGACCGCCCGGCCUUUGUUGAGUUAGUUAGGGAGUUCUAUGCCACAUUUGAGUUCAACCUCCCCACUGGUUACACAGUUUCUACCCCCAAUGUCAUCUGUUUCCGCUUGAUGGGUCAGGAGUUCCACCAUUCCAUUACUGACUUCAACUUAGCCUUUGGUUUUAUUGAUCCAGCCUAUGCUGAGUCUCGUGAGUAUGUCGAGAGUGCGUGUGACUACAUAGAGCCUUUUUUCUCCCGCUAUCGGUAUAUUUGGGAGGAUAUGUCUGUCGACUGUGCUGAGUAUGACCCCCGCCAUUCUAAGAGUUGUUAUCUUAAGGACCCGGCGUCUCGCUAUAUCCAGCGCUUCUUGGCCUAUAGUUUUUCGGGUAGGCGAGAUAGCUCGGGCAUUUUGUCUAAGCCGGAGUUUUUCUUUAUUUGGUGCAUGCAUAAUAACAUCAAGGUUAACUUGGGGUGCUGGCUCGCUUCUCAGUUUAAAUCUGUUUUGCCUAAAAAGAAGCGCCCCCUGAUUCUUGGGUCCUAUAUUACUCAUUUGGCUGUUAAUUUGCAUCUGCUUGAUCUCUCUAACCAUGAUUUGCAUGUAGCAUGUCAAAUGGAGCCCUUAGACAUUCCUUGUCUAGAGAAAAUGGGCUUGGUACAGGAGGGUGACGACGGGUGGGAGGUUGUUCCCCCGGGACCGAUUCGUGUCCUCCCUCGUUCCUCUUUUGCUCGUUCUUCUACUGCUGGCGGUGAUCCUGGCCCGUCUACCUCCGCUCCGCCUCCUCCUACCCCAGGGGCCGACGACUGGCUCGAACUCCGGAACACAGUUGAGAGACUGGAGACUCGAGUGACCAACAUUAGCAUCAACUUGAAUAACAUGGCGCAGAAUUUGGCAGCAUUUAUGCAUCAUGUAGGCCUUGCUCCUCAAUUUCGACCUGAGCCGCCCCUGUUUUGAUGACUUCAGGGGAGUACCGUUGCCCUUCUCCUUCCUUCUGCUUUUACAUUAUAACAUUGAGGGCAAUGUGUGAAUUAGGUGUGGGGGGGAUCGUUGUGGUGCUAGUUUUUCCAGUUUUUAGUCUCUAGAGGUUGUUCCUUUAUGUUUAGUUUGUUUUUGCCUAUCUUUCAUUUAUUUUCUUUACUUUUUUUUCUAGUGAUCAGUUCUUAUAUGAAUACCAAGUUUUGAUCUGGGGUUGUUGUCUCUAAUUCUGAUAUUGCCAAGUUUUAGUAAUAAAAGGGUAUCAAGUUAUUGUGGUUGAGUUCAGGAACAUUUUUUUGGUGAAUAUCAGUAAUUGCUUGACUUUUCCAAUUUUUGGUUAACUUUUCUAGGUAUAGGGAAUGAUUGUUGGCAUUUUUCAUGUGAAUUGGUCCAGUUAUUAAUUUUAGUUCUCUAUGUUUGGAAAUUUGACGCUGGCUGCUGUUAUUUUUGUGUUGUUUUUAGAUAUUGUGCUAUAUGAUUGUAAAUAAGAGUUGACUGUACUCCGCUAGUUGUUACUACUGAGUAACCGGGGAUUUUCACCUAAAGUGUCGAUUCUCGCGUCAAAAGGUAGUGAUUUCUAUGAGUACGUGGUCAUAUAGCGAUAGGAGUUGAGUAACCGGACUCCUUCAUUUGACAAAUGUUGGAGUUCGCGUCAAAAAGCUCUAAUGGCUAGAGACUAAGUCUUUUGCUAUGCUCAAAAAAAAAAAAAGAGAAAAUAGGAAAGUGCGAAAAAAAAGAAAAGUGAAGGUUGUGUUAGUAAGUGAUAAAAGUCAGCUUGCCGAUUUGUGGAGUUAAUGUUGAGAUUUUGGUUAAUAGUUGGACCAUUGGCUGAUAAAUGUGAGCAAUCAUUCCCUUUUCUUAGAUUAGUUUGCUUUAAAUUGGAGGAGUUGGUGGUUUAGAAGCUAACUAGAGUGAUUUUUCUUUGAUCUUGACCUGUGAUACUUGAUAUAUGUUUUCCUGGGUAUCUUGGCAAUACGGUAGUUGGAGCAAUAGCCAUUGUCGAAUUUUGGUGUUCAAUUGCUGUCCCCAUGCUUGAGGGCAAGCAUGAUUUAGAUGUGGGGGGAAUUGAUAGGGUGUUAAUUGUUAGUAAUUUUAUUGUUAAUUUUCCCCUUUGUCUUUGCCAAAUAUUGUUUUAAUUGUUAAUAUCUACUUAUAUUUGGUAUUUGGACUCAAUUUCAGGGAGUGGAAUAGAAAAGCACAAAAUAGGAGGGACUUUUUGGAGAAAAUGAAAACUUCUAAGGGCUUCACUAACCGGGCCCACAUGGUGCUGAGAAGGAGACGAAUUUCCUUUUUGCUUCUGGCUGAUUAAUACUUAAUAGCGGCUGACUAGGAGUCCUACUAGUGAUGGGAAACAAAAUAAGACGGAAGGCCUGGGUUGGUGCAGGAAAUUUUCUUCUUUUGGUUAUGCUUGUUCCUAAUUUGUGGGGACCACUGGAGAUAGCAUUAGUCAUCUUUCUUUUGGCCUUGAAAAGGUAUAAUCGUACAGAAGGCUAGGACGGCUCUGGGGCUUAGUCUUUAGCAUAGUUUUUAGUUUUCUUUCUUUUCCCUUGUCAGGCGCACGCCUACUGUUCGACAAUAUUUCCCAACGGGAAGAAUAUCUUUUGCUUCUGGUUUUUAAAUGAAAAAUGUGAUGCAUUUGCAAUCAAUUAAUUUGCGUGAAGAUUUAUUUAUGCGGCGUGGCUAAGCCUGCCAUCUAGUCAAGGAUCAACUCGACGGCGCAGUCCCGAAAAUCUGUGAGAUCUAAUUAGUUUUCAUGCGUUUCUCAAUUUGUUAAUAUUUGCAUGUUGUCUACUUGAAUUUUCAUGGGAUUAUUUUAUUAAUUGGAUGUCAAGGGCCCGAUGUUCAAUGUGAUUUAUUAAUCUCUUGCCAAAUUAGUCAAUUAAAUCCGUAAUUGUUUGAUUGAUUAGUAUUAGUGGCAACUGGCGUGUUUACACACUAGGGGAACGUGCAAUCUAAUUUAAAUAACCCUCGUAGCGUGUUAUUGAUUGGAGUUAGAUUUUUUUAGUUAUUAAUGCAAUUGGAAAAUUAAUUCCUACGGUCGUACUUAGGAGUAUUUUCUGGUUAGGGAUAAUCAAUGGUCGUACUUUGGUUAUCAAUAAAUUAAGAAAAAAUUGGUCGUUAGAGUUCGUCGGCUACUAUAACUAGCCUAUUAAUAAAUCAAGUGAAUCUUUCUUGCAUCAAUGAUCGGAUAAAUGGACUGUGUCUGAAUAGUUGUAUCCUUGGUUAGAAUUUAUCUAUUCUUGAUUUAAUUCCUGCUAUAUUCGUGUUAGUUAAUUACUUAUUUUUAGUUGAAUUGCUUAAUUGUUUUUAGUUUCCGAUAAAAUCUCCUUUUACCAAUUGAAAUUUCAAAGAGACAAAUAUUUCCAGUCCCUCCCUGGGGAGACAAUCCUGCUUGUCACUGUCUACUAUUUAGUAAUUUUUGUCAAUUAAUUAAUUUUGGUAUAUCGGAUUAAGCAAACUCUUUGGGAAUAAGAUGAAUCAAGUAAUCCAUUGCACACCUAGAGUCCCUACUCCAGUACCUAGGGUUAAUUAUUGACUGCUUUUAGUGAUAGUUAGGUUUUAUUUUUAUUAUUAUAAAGGCUCGACACCUGUCUGUGUUAUUGGAAAUUCUGUUAUCAUUUCUUUUCAUGUCAGUCUUUGUAGUAAUCACCGUCAGCAGCUCUGCUUUUCAUGCUAGUCUUUGUAGUAAAAACUGUUAGCAGCUACUCAAGAGCAAUCUGCAUGGACCUUGCGGAUCAACUUCUGAUGAUUUCCUUGUCUGCAUUGUUUAUCAAGAGCUCUCCACUUGGACCUUACGGGAUCAACUUCUGGAUGACUCAGGGGAUAAAGUUGUUGUUGUAUUGUUUAGUAAGCCACAAUUGUUAUAAUUAUGCAACCACAAAGUUGUAGCCAAAAAAAAAAAAUGUUUUCUAUAGCCAGUGAAAUCUUAGCAUCAUUCUUAGUUUUCCUGUUAGACUUCUUUCUCCUAUUGAUGCAUACAAACAGGUUCUUAGCGCUCAAUUUCAGGCUAAGGAAUUAUUGAAUGAAAUAAAGCGAAUUCCAGCAUUUAUGCUCCUAAGUCAUCUUAGCACUAUAGGUUAGAUAGUUUUAUGAUCUUAUUAAAGUGAUGUUUUUAUGAUCUUAUUAAAGUGAUGUCUAAAGGUUGCAAAAAUGUAUUUAUAUUUCUUGUAUUAUGAAAUUCUGUAGAAGGUAAAACGGGUAGUUAGUAGAUCUUUUACAAAUUCUUUAAAUUAGGCUGAAGAUAAAUGAAUUGAAUCUAUAAAUCAGAAAGGAAAUUUACUUCAAAUUGGACCAUUUAUAAAAGUAGGGAAUGAACUUCAGAAUGGUAAUCGUACUGCAUCAUGCAACUUGUUUUAUCUAGACAAAAUUCAACUUUUUUUUUUUGCCUUUCUCUUUAUAGUUUGAGUUCAGAUACCUUUAAAAAUAAAAGAACCAAGAAGUGAGACAAAAAAUCCAGCUUUUGUCUCGUUAAGUUUUGAUUUAAGAUUUGUUAUUGUCUUGUUAAGUUUUAAUUUAUAGUUUUUUUAAGAUGACUUUUCUCCCCCUUCCAAUUACAAUUGGAUGCGUAAUUUGGAGGGAUACUAACCUGUUGUACUUUUGAAUAAUAAUACCUUUUUCUUUUAUAUAAAAAAAGAGAUUUUAUUAUUAAGAUUGUUGAAAAUCAUCCAACAACAAAUGAUUAACAAAAGUUGGGGGAGAAUUCCAAAGGGAUUCAACACAGUAAGAUGAUUGGAUGAUUCACAAUAUCUUUAUCUAAUUGGCUGGCUAUAUUUUUGUCAAGUUAAAAUCUUAUCAUAGAACAACAAAUUCCUUCAAGAUAGAACAUUUCAUCUCAAAUAAAAUUUCCAAAAGAAAUUGUUCUCAUGUCCAAUUAAACUUAACGAAGAGAAUGUAGUAAUUUAGAAACUAAAAUUCACAGUGUUUGUAUGUGUGUGUGAAGUUCAAAAUAGUUUAAAAUAUGUUAAAAUUUUUAACCCAUGUUGCAAGGGUUCAAAAUUUUCCUAUAACAUUGCCCAAAAUCUGACAAAAGCAUCAAAUUGAGAACUGUAUUCGCCAGAGAAGUGAAGAAUCAAAUGACAAAGUACCGUAUCACUAUUAGAACAAAAUGGCAUUUUCCAUGUCUGAAUGGUGAAUUGUGGUAGAAAUUUGUGUUUGAUUCCCCCGCAAAUAAAACAGCCAACCAUGAAUCAUAGCAUUAUUUGUCAACUAUACCAUAUGGCUUCAUUUGAGUUUAAUCUACUUCAAGAAAUUCAUAAAGGUUCAUUAAAGAAUAAAAGUACAAAAAAAAAUAUUACUUCCCCUUCAAAUGCAAAUGAGGAUAAGGAAUCCCAUAACCUUCAAAAAACAAAAACUAAACGUUGACAAAUGCCAAAUCAACAAAAUCAACUAAAAAGUAUUAAAACAAAAAAGUAUUCAGCCCAAAAAAAAAAGAGAUUACGUAACUUAAACAAAACAAUAAAUAAAUUUCAUAUAACAUAUUACUCCUCAUUACCUAAACGAAAAUAACGAAAAAAUGAAAUAAAAAAAUUACUAGAUUUUUUUAUUGACAAAUAAAAUGAAUUAAUGAACUGUCUCGUGAGAACAAUAUUAGCUGUGCUUAAGAGUGGGUAUACAUCUGUUAAAACCCAAAAUAAAAAGACUAAAUGGUGGCGGGCCACUCACAAAAAGGUCAGAUUUCCAUAAAAAAGAAAUAAAAAUAGAAAAAGAUUAUUGAGACCACCAUAAAAAUAAAAAAAUAAAAAAAUUAUAACUAACAAGCGUCGUUCUAGGUGUGAAUAAUGCGAAUGCAGGAAAAAUGAUUACCAACAAGUGCCGCUUGGACCUUACUGAUCAACUUUUGGAUGACUCAAGAAGAAGGGGAUGAAGUUAUGUGAUAAGAGUUUAUUUUACGUAUUUUUAAGUGCAUUUUAUUAGUUAAUUUUGAGUUGAUUAUUUAGUUUUAUAAAUAAAAUAAAGAGGUUUUUGGUAAAAUUAUAUAUUUUUGGUAAAAGUGGAUAAUAUUGCAUUUUUAGUGAUUUUAAUGGUAAAACCUUCAUUUUUAUGCAGGAAUGAUGACUCAAUCACCAAAGGAUGGCAAAUGAGGUGAAAAAUAGAGAUUUGGUGAUGAAAUUAAGUGGUGAAAAGAAAAAUGAAGUGAAAAACGUUCAAAUGAAGAAUUGCACUUCAAGUCAGUUUUGACACUCUUCAGUAUUUUGACCAUAUCUGGAGCUACACUUAUCGGAUUUAGGUGAUCUUUAUACCAUUUUAAAGCUAAGAAAGAGACCUACAAUUCGUAUGAAGACAUCGAAAUCCAUUUCUGCCAUCUUCAUGGGCAAAACGUUGGAAUACAGAAGCUGCAUUCUGUGGUCGGAAGUUAAAACAGAGGUUUGAACAGGUGACAGUAUUUCGAUCAUAUCUCAGGCUACAAAGCUCCGAUUUGGAUGAUUCUUGAAGCAUUGGAAAGCUAACUCAAAGGGCUACAACUUUUGUGUUUUGUACAAAAGCUAGUUCGGCCUUCAUCAUGGAGAAAAUUGCAGUUGAAAUAAGGCCAGAGUGAAAACGUGAGUAGACAAAACGCGAGUUAUGCCGCGUUUUGUGUAGGCGCGUUUUAUAGCCGAAAUUCUGCAAUUUGACUCAGUCAAUUCUCUUGUGUUCAUACCACUUUCCAGCUAUAAGAUGCAAGGGAAUUCGGUGCACAUGCUUCUGCAAUAAAAGAGAAGACCAAAUGAGUGUGGACAAAAGGAAACAUCAUAUCUUUGACUUCUUUUUACAAAAUCUGAGUGGAGGAAAUUAUGAAGUGAGAGGAAUGGAAUUUCUACCACCUUUUAUGCAGAAAUAUGGGGAGAGGUCUGGGAUCCAUUCGUAGCUUAGCUUCUUACAGAAAAACAUAUUCUCUCUACCUAGGACUUGCAAGGGGCAAUUGGGAUUUCAUCUUGUAAUCAUCUAAGUUCAAGACAAAGGAGAUUUUUGGAAGGCUUCACCAUAUCUUGGCUAAGACUUUCUUUACUCUGUUUGUAUUUGUAAUUCAUGAUGAUUUACAUUAAUGAAGUUAUGAGUGUUUCAUCAUUCAUGAGUAGCUAAUUUCCUUUAUCUAGGGAGUAGAUGAAGCUUAUGGCCAAAUGAUAUGAAGUGAUUGUGAUUUAUGCUUGUUAUGUCUUGUAUUAACUUAUCUACUUGUGUAUGUUGGAUUACUUGUUGUUGCUUGAUCACCAAUAGCAGGUUUAUAGUUGUUUUUACUCAUUGAGAAAUGGUAAAAAUAAUGGAAUGACACAAGUAGAACUUGAGUUGUAUAUUCAUGAGAAUAGAAAUACAUUCAAGUGGAUGAAAUCUGCAUUUCAUGUGUGAAUAAGAACAGAUUUAGUAUUUACCAAGAGAUUAGGUAAAACUAAUCUGUUUUAACCCAUUAUUAUCAUGAGAAUGUGAUUUUGGUAUUUCUGGAAAUGAAUCCUUGGUUAAACAAGAGCAGUAACAAGUGUUGAAUUAAUUCAUUUUAGAUCUUUUGUGUUAUAAGUGGAAUCUACAUCCCUAGAUCUUAAUAUUUAGUGAAUUCUACUCCUAUUGUGAAAUUGCAUUUAUCUAUUUAAGAAUUUUUGUAGUUGAAUUAAAAUCUGAAGUUUCUGCUCAAAUUAAUUGUAAGUCUAAAUAAUAGAGUAAAUUAGUAUCUAAUAAUUGUUUUAAAUUGCUCCUCGUGGGAUCGACCCGAUACACAUCUCGUACUACAAUUGCGACCUGUAUACUUGCAGUCCAACGGGUGUAAAUUCGGAAUUAAACUUGCACUUAAAGUAAAAACCCGUCAAGUUUUUGGCGCCGUUGCCGGGGAGCGGCAAUAUUAGAGCCUAAUCAUCUUUAUUAAUUUAGACAGCUUUAUUUUAUAUUGUAAUCAGUUUUUUUUACCAUUGAAGUUGCAUAAUUCCCUUAUUUCUGUUUGUAGUGUAUGCACCGGGAGUCUCGAGAAGUCGCACCUUUCAAUCCAGAAAUUGAGAGGACACUACGUAGACAAAGGAGGCACACACAACAGCAGGAGGAGCAAGAGAUUUGGCAACCGAUAGAGGAAAUUUUGAUAGAACUACCAUUUGAAGAAGAAAUGGCUGAAAAUGAAGCAAAUAGGCGAGUUCUACGAGAUUUUGCUCUACCGGGAACACAAGGAUCUCAAACGAGCAUAGCAAGGCCUACGGUAAAUGCUAACAACUUUGAGAUUAAGCCAUCACUUAUCCAAAUGGUUCAACAAUCUCAAUUUGGAGGUAAUGCAGUAGAAGAUCCUAAUACACACUUAGCUACAUUCUUGGAAAUUUGUGAUACAAUUAAAAUGAAUGGAGUUAGUGAUGAUGCUAUAAGGCUAAGAUUGUUCCCAUUUUCAUUGAGAGAUAAGGCCAAACUUUGGCUACACUCUCAUGCUCCUAAUACUUUCACCGGAUGGGAUGAUUUAUCAAGAGCAUUCUUAAAUAAGUAUUUUCCACCAGGAAAGACUGCUAAACUUAGAAUGGAUAUCACUAGUUUUAGUCAAUUGGAGGGAGAAUCAUUAUAUGAGGCAUGGGAAAGGUUUAGAGAUUUGCUUCGGAAAUGUCCACAUCAUGGACUGCCGGAAUGGUUAAUCAUACAAACCUUUUAUAAUGGUUUAUCUUUCUCCACUAAAACUAUUAUUGAUGCAGCCGCAGGUGGAGCUUUAAUGGGUAAAUCACCCCAAGAAGCUCAGAAUUUAAUAGAAGAAAUGGCCGUAAAUAACUACCAAUGGGCCAAUGAAAGAGGUAAUACGAGACGUCACGCAGGUAUGAUCGAAAUGGACACUCUCAAUAUGUUGAGUGCCCAAAUGAAUAACGUGAUGAAGUUAUUGAGUAGACAAGGUUGAGUUAGCCCAAGUUCAUCUAAUGCUCACGUAGCUUGUUGCUCUUUCUGUGGAGGUGAACAUGAUAUUAAUGAGUGUGUUGAUUCUGAGCAGGUACAAUUUGUCAAUAAUUACAACCGAAAUGCUCCAAAUAAUCCCUACUCGAAUACUUACAAUCCGGGGUGGAGAAAUCAUCCAAACUUUGGAUGGAAAGAUCAAGGCAAUCAACAAAGGCCAACCAAUCCGCCGGGAUUUCAACCAAGGCAACCACAGGCUGAAACUAAACCGAGUUGGGAGAUCGCGGUGGAAAAACUUGCUAAGGUGACUUCGGACAGAUUUGAACGAGUAGAAGGGAGACUGGAUCAACUCACUACAAUGUACAGGAAUGUGGAGGUUCAAAUUGGUCAAAUUGCCAAUGUGAUCAACAAUAGAAACCCUGGUGAAUUACCAAGUAAAACCGAAGUGAAUCCGAGAGAGCAUGUCAAUGCAAUCAUUCUUAGAAGCGGUAAAACGGUUGAGGGAUUCGAUUUUGAAAAUUCAGGUGGUGAAAAAGACAAGAAGCAAGCAAUUGAAGGGGAGCAAGAAAGUCAAAAUGAUCAUGUUAUCAUUGAUAUUGAUGCACUUCAUCCCAAAUUAAAUUCUAAUGUGAUACCUUUUCCUCACAGGUUGAAGAAAGAUGGACAGGAUCGGGAGUUUGAAAAGUUCUUCAAAAUGUUUAAACAAUUGCACAUUAACAUUCCUUUCAUUGAUGCUAUAACACAGAUUCCCUCUUAUGCACGUUUCUUGAAAGACAUCAUGUCAAAGAAGAGGAAAAUUGUAGAUAAUGAGAUGAUAGCAUUAACGGAAGAGUGUAGUGCAUUGAUUAAGAAUAAACUCCCUCCUAAAUUGAAAGAUCCGGGAAGUUUUUCUAUUCCUUGCACUAUUGGUCAAUUGCAUUUUUCUAAUGCUUUAUGUGAUUUAGGUGCAAGUGUGUCACUUAUGCCGUUAUCGGUUGCCCGGAGAUUGGGACUUCAAGAGCUAAAAGCUACCAAUAUUACAUUGCAAUUGGCGGAUCGGUCAAUCACACAUCCCAUGGGUAUUUUGGAAAAUGUACUCAUAAAGGUAAGACAAUCUAUAAUACCUGUGGAUUUUGUUGUCUUAGAUAUUGAAGAAGAUGUGAGAAUGCCAAUUAUUCUAGGACGACCGUUUUUAGCCACUGCACGAACUAUAAUUGAUGUAGAAAAAGGUAAGAUUAUAUUACGGGUUAAUGGUGAGGAAUUGGAAUUCAAUUUGGAUAAUAAAGAAGGGAGUAUAGAGCCUACUGCUCUUGUGUCUAAUAUGCCAUAUGAUGAAAAGGUUAACCAAGAAAGGACCGAAGAAGUUAAAUUUAUAAAUGUCCUUGGUACUAACUUUCAUGGUGUAGGAACAAAGGAGGAGAAGAUAAGGAUGGAAGUUGGCUUAAUAAAUUCUCCAUUCCAUGAAGAAAAUGGUGAAAAGUUGAGCCAAUUCAGAAAAGACAAGCAAAAUCCACUCCAAGGUGAAGUUGAGCCUCUCUAUGACAAGUCUAAUAUUCCUCCUUGGCAUUUGAGGAAAUUGGACUAUGAAGAUCAAUGCAUGGUUCACCACAUGGUGGAUUGGCUCGGGAGUUUCGACCCAUGGGGAGAAAAUCUCUCUCUAAUGCUCUAAAGUGAUUCAACUUUUUCAGUCGAGCCAACGACUAUAAACAAAAGCGCUAAUUGGGAGGCAACCCAAUAUUUAGGUUAUAUUUGUUAACUUGGUGUGAUUUUGUGGUUUGAAUCAAUGUUUUAGCUAAAUUGUUGUUUUUGUAAUGUAGGGUUGGCAAUUGAAGGCAAGGAUGACCAAUUGAGUACAAAAAAGGCGAACUUUGAUCAAACAACUCAACCCCUCGAUUUGCGUUAAAGGUGUUUUUGAUUCAUUAUAAAGGGGUAAAAUGCAUGUUUUUAAUGUUUUACAUUUGUUCCAGCCAUUAAAAUUGGCAAACAAAUGAUCUAUGAUGCAUUUUGAGUCAUUGGGGUACCUUUUGUAAUUUUUCAAAAGUUGAAAUUCUGCUAAAAAUCGAAGCAGAAAACGCGUUUCCCAAGAAAACGCGACUAAAUGUCGCGUUUCUCAGAAUCGCGUUUUCAAUUCUGCGCCUGCAGAAAAGAAAACGCGCCUUCAAAACGCGACCUAGAGUCGCGUUUUAAUGGAAUUCGCGUUUUCAAGCCUGGAUCAAGAGUCAAAAACGCGACUUCGGAAACGCGACGCAAAGUCGCGUUUUCCAACACAGUCGCGUUUUCAGUCCUGCAAGAUUUGUGCAGGAAACGCGACUUCAAAAACGCGAGUUGAAGGCGCGUUUUUAGUCGCGUUUUCUGUGUCUGAAUAUAACCCUCAAAAACGCGAUUUCAGCUUCAAAUUUUUUUCCUCUCUUCUCAAUUUUUCCAGCCGCGUUUUUCUUCUUCUCUUCUACCCAACUCACAAAUCUUAAUUUUUACUCCAUAAUCUUGCUAGAAAUCAUCACCCCAACACCUUUUGAGCUUCAUAUACCCUUUUUAACCGAUUAAAAUCCAAGAAAAACACCUAAAAUCAGGUUUUUGAGAGAUUGAAGGUUAGGGUUCUUAAACUCUAAUUUCUUCAAUUAGAGGUCAAUUGAAGGUUGUUUCAUAGGGCUUUUUGCAUUUUUAGCAUCACCAAACAUCCUUCUACGUGAUUGAGGUAAGUUUCUUCAUCAAAUCUUUUGAUUUUAGAAGUUCAUAUUUUUUAUCCUGAGCUAUCUGACAUCUUUUAAUUUCGAAAAUUUGAUGAGGUUCAUGGCUAUUUUUGAUUUUAUUCAUGAUUAUUAUGAUUGUUUAAGCAUGUUUAAAUGUUUAAAUGUAGCAAUUUAUUGGUUUUCAAGUACUUUAAAAUUCACAAUUGCUAUAUUUAGAUGAAAUUGGAAAAAGGAACUAGGAUGUUUUUGAGUCAUUGGUGAUGUUAAAUUAUGGUUAAAAAUGGUUAGUUGAUGAUGUUUAAGCAUGUGCAUUGUGUAUAGUGAGUAAUUUGGUUGAUUUGGUGAGUUAAUUAGUUUAAUUUUUGCCUAAACAUGAUUAUAGCUAAAAGCAUAUUAUUAUUGUUAAUUCUAAAUAGUUAUAAUCAUAAUUGUUCCUAUUUUCACUAAUUAAAGUAUAAUUGAUACAUAUCUUGUGUAAUUUGGUGAUUUUGGGCAACUUUAGGCAGAAAAUAUGUCUUGUACGAUCAUUGAAUGAUUAGAACUUGAGCAAUUGUAUUUGACGUUAUUUGGAUUAAUGCUGAACUUUUGUUGCCAAAUAAUGAGUUGUAGUACAUGUGGAUAAUUGAAAUAUUUUUUAGGUACUAUGCCAAGGGGAAGAAGAGCGGUACUUUCAUCCUCUAGUAGUGAGGAGAGGGAGGUUAAUGAAGAGAUGGAGGUGACUGAAGAGGAGAAUUCACCUUCUCCUCCACCAGUUAACCGUCGACCUGGUGAGGGCACCUCCCGUGGAGCGGGAAAAUCGGUAUUUGACAGUGCUAGGUUCAACACUCGCAGGAAUCAGGAGUGGCAUGAGGCGCGUGCUAAUUUGGAGUUUUUGUUUGAGAUGCACGUCAGUCCACCAGUUGAGAUGAUGUACAACAUCUCAGAAGCUUUUGCUCAGCUAGGAUGGGCUCCGAUUCUCACCCUUCCAAACCAUUACUACCCAGAGUUGGUGCGCGAGUUUUACGCCAACAUUGAAAGUAAGGCGCGCCAUAGUGGAGAAAUAGUUGAGUCCUGGGUGCGUGGAAGACGAAUCACCUUGUCACGGCAAGAUUUGGCUGCUAUUUUGGGGUGUAUGGAUGACGGACGUCCAGUAGACUUGAAGAAGGAGUUUGUUCCCCCGAAUAGGAGGUGGGAUCCCUCAUUGGCCAUGGCUAGGUUUGGUCUCGAGUACCAACCUUUUCGCUCUACCAGAAAGGAGACCAUAUUGGCGAAUGUAUUCGAACCUCGUCAUCGUCUUAUCAUUUACAUGAUGGCUCACAAUGUCAUCCCAAAGAAGACGGGGCACACGGAGGUCCGCAAGAGCGAUAUUUACUUCUUGGAUUACAUGUUCCAUAACCGGACAUCUCCAUAUGCUCGGAUUUCAUUGCCUAACAUCAUCAUCAGCCACAUUAGGUCUACGGCGAGGCGUAAGACAACUUCCUUCAAACUAUCAUUUCCUCGUCUACUGACUUUAAUCUUUCCCCGUUUUGAGGUUCCCUUGGAAGGCAUGCGGCGGGAGUAUGUUCCACCACGUGCUGAGAUGACUAUCACUACUCUUCGCCGCCUUGGUAUUGGCACGGGAGACAUUCCACGCCCUGUUCAGGAGCAGAGACAAAAGGCUAGACAUGGUCGGGAUGAAGCUGGACCUUCUACUGCAGAACCACCUCCUCCUCCACCACAAACUAAUUGGCAGCGACUUUUUGAUCAUAUGGAGGACUUUGCAUUCCAGUUCGCUGACGUUAGGAAUCGUCUAAGCCGAAUUGAAGAUCAUUUGGGCAUUCAUCCACCGCCCAAUCGUGAUGCACAGGAUGACGAUGAUGCUGAGGGGGAUGACUGACUUGGCACACUGCAGAAGCUAUCUUUAGUUGAUGAACUUGCUUGCCUAAUUAUCUUAACUUGUGGAACUUAAGAUGUUUAACUUCAUUUUAUUUUUCUGUUUUCUAUGUGGUAGGUACUUGUAUUUUGACAGUGGUUCGUGAUUAGUGGCUGAUAAGGAUCUCAGCCAUUGACUUGGGGAGUACUUCUUUCUUUUCUUUUCUUCUUUUGUUUCAUUUCUUCCCUACACAUUGAGGACAAUGUGUAAUUUAAGUGUGGGGGGAGAAAUAUGUGUGAUACUUGUGGUUUUAGUUGUGUUUGAUAUAAUUCUUGUGCUUAAAUGGUGUUUCUUGUGGUUGCUGGCAGGGAGUUUUAGUCCAGUUGUGUUUGAUAUAAUUCUUGUGCUUAAAUGGUGUUUCUUGUGGUUGCUGGCAGGGAGUUUUAGUCCACUUUUAAGGGGAGAUUCUGUCAAAAUUUUUCCAAAACCUUAUACACAUAUAUGUUAUUAACUAUAAUAAAUAAAUAAAAUGUUGUCACUUAUCCUUUUAAAAUAAAUAUAUGCGGUUUUGAUACUUCUUUUCUCAUGAAAUUUGGAAAUGAUUUUUAUGUGAUUAUAAUUUUUACAUCUAUAGGAAAGUAUAUCUAGUAAAAUGGAGAAAAUUAUGCCUACAUUUUGUAUAUUUGAUGAAAAUUCUUCUUUUUAUCUAAUUUUAUAAGAUAAGAAAUUAAUAUGGUUAAUAAGUGUCAUACUCUUCUCAUGAUUACUCUUAGAGGGAAUUUUAUUAUAUAUAUAUAUAUUAAAAAAAAAAAGGGUUAUUCUACUCCAAUGAUUCUCAUACCGAGUAACCGGGGGUUGGCAUCUACAAAUGUCGACAUUCGCGUAAAAAGGUACUUGAAUUAAGAGUAUGCAAAGCAACUUGAGUAUGUGAAAUGUUGAGUAACCGGGGAUCUGCAUCUAAAAAUGUUGAUCUUCGCGUCAAAAGGCAUUUUUCACAACUUAAGUAAUAUUUAACCCUUAAAAUAUAAAAAAAAUAAAAUAAUAAUAAAUAAAUAAAUAAAAAGUAAAUUAAAUCCCUCUUUAAGAAAAAUAAGAAGUUGAUCAUGAGAUUAGUUAGCAUCUUUAUUGACUAUAGGAGUUGCUUGCUUGCGAAAUUGGAUAAAAAUAAGAAGUUGAGUUGAAUUGGCAAAAUUAUGGUAUACUUGGCUCUUCUUUGCUUGAUAUUAUGAGUACUUGAACUUAAUGGAAAGAUCACAUAAGGGUUAUUUACCUUGAUUCAAGGAAAUGGAGUUGAAAUACUACAUAUGUUUAUUUUCAAUUUUUUUUGGAUGUUAGAAUUUUAUAUUGCUUGAGGACAAGCAAUGAUUCAAGUGUGGGGGUAUUUGAUAAGAGUUUAUUUUACGUAUUUUUAAGUGCAUUUUAUUAGUUAAUUUUGAGUUGAUUAUUUAGUUUUAUAAAUAAAAUAAAGAGGUUUUUGGUAAAAUUAUAUAUUUUUGGUAAAAGUGGAUAAUAUUACAUUUUUAGUGAUUCUAAUGGUAAAACCUUCAUUUUUAUGCAGGAAUGAUGACUCAAUCACCAAAGGAUGGCAAAUGAGGUGAAAAAUAGAGAUUUGGUGAUGAAAUUAAGUGGUGAAAAGAAAAAUGAAGUGAAAAACGUUCAAAUGAAGAAUUGCACUUCAAGUCAGUUUUGACACUCUUCAGUAUUUUGACCAUAUCUGGAGCUACACUUAUCGGAUUGAGGUGAUCUUUAUACCAUUUUAAAGCUAAGAAAGAGACCUACAAUUCGUAUGAAGACAUCAAAAUCCAUUUCUGCCAUCUUCAUGGGCAAAACGUUGGAAUACAGAAGCUGCAUUCUGUGGUCGGAAGUUAAAACAGAGGUUUGAACAGGUGACAGUAUUUCGAUCAUAUCUCAGGGUACAAAGCUCCGAUUUGGAUGAUUCUUGAAGCAUUGGAAAGCUAACUCAAAGGGCUACAACUUUUGUGUUUUGCACAAAAGCUAGUUCGGCCUUCAUCAUGGAGAAAAUUGCAGUUGAAAUAAGGCCAGAGUGAAAACGCGAGUAGACAAAACGCGAGUUAUGCCGCGUUUUGUGUAGGCGCGUUUUAUAGCCGAAAUUCUGCAAUUUGACUCAGUCAAUUCUCUUGUGUUCAUACCACUUUCCAGCUAUAAGAUGCAAGGGAAUUCGGUGCACAUGCUUCUGCAAUAAAAGAGAAGACCAAAUGAGUGUGGACAAAAGGAAACAUCAUAUCUUUGACUUCUUUUUACAAAAUCUGAGUGGAGGAAAUUAUGAAGUGAGAGGAAUGGAAUUUCUACCACCUUUUAUGCAGAAAUAUGGGGAGAGGUCUGGGAUCCAUUCGUAGCUUAGCUUCUUACAGAAAAACAUAUUCUCUCUACCUAGGACUUGCAAGGGGCAAUUGGGAUUUCAUCUUGUAAUCAUCUAAGUUCAAGACAAAGGAGAUUUUUGGAAGGCUUCACCAUAUCUUGGCUAAGACUUUCUUUACUCUGUUUGUAUUUGUAAAUUCAUGAUGAUUUGCAUUAAUGAAGUUAUGAGUGUUUCAUCAUUCAUGAGUAGCUAAUUUCCUUUAUCUAGGGAGUAGAUGAAGCUUAUGGCCAAAUGAUAUGAAGUGAUUGUGAUUUAUGCUUGUUAUGUCUUGUAUUAACUUAUCUACUUGUGUAUGUUGGAUUACUUGUUGCUUGAUCACCAAUAGCAGGUUUAUAGUUGUUUUUACUCAUUGAGAAAUGGUAAAAAUAAUGGAAUGACAUAAGUAGAGCUUGAGUAGUAUAUUCAUGAGAAUAGAAAUACAUUCAAGUGGAUGAAAUCUGCAUUUCAUGUGUGAAUAAGAACAGAUUUAGUAUUUACCAAGAGAUUAGGAAAAACUAAUCUGUUUUAACCCAUUAUUAUCAUGAGAAUGUGAUUUUGGUAUUUCUGGAAAUGAAUCAUUGGUUAAACAAGAGCAGUAACAAGUGUUGAAUUAAUUCAUUUUAGAUCUUUUGUGUCAUAAGUGGAAUCUACAUCCCUAGAUCUUAAUAUUUAGUGAAUUCUACUCCCCUUGAGAUAUUGCAUUUAUCUAUUUAAGAAUUUUUGUAGUUGAAUUAAAAUCUGAAGUUUCUGCUCAAAUUAAUUGUGAGUCUAAAUAAUAGAGUAAAUUAGUAUGUAAUAAUUGUUUUAAAUUGCUCCUCGUGGGAUCGACCCGAUACACAUCUCGUACUACAAUUGCGACCUGUAUACUUGCAGUCCAACGGGUGUAAAUUCGGAAUUAAACUUGCACUUAGGGUCUGUUUGGUUGGAAGUAAAAUGUUUUCCUUGGGAAAAUAUUUUCCGUGGAAGUAAUUUUUCAUGAAAAUCAUUUCCUUUUCAUCAUUUUCAGGUGUUUGGUUAGCUUAUUGAAAAUAUUUUCUUACUUCAUUUUUCUGGUGUUUGUUUAACUUUUGAAAUAUUUUCACUUUUAUCUCUAUCUUUACUUUCUACACAUUAUAACUACAUACUUCUUCCCAUGCAAAAUAAGAAAAUUUAUCUCAUUGUUUAACUUUAAAAAAUCUUGAAGAAAGGUAUAUAUGAAUAAAAAAUAUCUCCUUAAGCAAAUAAAUAAAUUGCUAGCCAUUUAGUGUCAAAUAUCAAUCACAUGCAAUGCUUAUUGUGACAUAUAUCUUGCAUUCUCACUGCUGAAAGUUUCUCUAGAAAAGAAUGUCCCUAUUAUACAUAAUUAAUUACUAGCAUAGGAUGAGCAGGAUGACGUUUUUUUUUAUUUUGAAUAUACUAGGGGGAGGGUUGGGUGGUACGGGGGAGGGAGUGUAAGGAAGAGGUCUUGGGUUCGAGUCUUCCUGUUUACACUAAAAAAAAAAAAAGAACAUACUGCAAGAUGAUUUCAGUAAGUUUGGAACAUACUACAGGCAAGAUACAUGCAUUUCGGAAAACAACUUCAGGAAGUUGGGAAGGGAAGUUGUUUUCCAUAAGAUGAGUGAAAAUAUUUUACAUAGGAAAAUGUUUUCAGUAACUUUUGUGCAACCAAACACGGGAAAUUAGGAAAAUAUUUUCCUGGAAAACAUUUUCACCCGAAACAAACGGACCCUUAAAGUAAAAACCCGUCAUUAUGCUCUGAUGAUCUGAUGACCUUGUUUGUGGGAUGAGGUUAUGUUCUGAUGAUUUGAUGAUUUCCUUGUCUGUAUUGUUUAGCAAGACCUCUCCACUUGGACCUUACGGGAUGUUACGAAUCAGCUUUUGGAGCAGUCAAGAAGUAGAGGAUGAGGUUAUGUUCUGAUUUGAUGAUGUCCAAUUUCCUUGUGGGAUGAGGUUAUGCACCUAAGUCAAGAUUGAAUAACGAUUUUGUAAGAGAUAAGUCUGAAAUUAUGUCAAAAGUCAUUCUCAAAUUUAAUGUUUAAACUUUUUCUCUUCACUUACCAUAGGCCUCGAAUGAUUGUACCAUCUUGUUCUACACUGCUUCCAAAUUCCCCUUUCAACAUCUUAGCAAUUUGAGACCAUUCUUCCACCCCAAAUUUUUCGAUAAAGAUGGAUUAGUUGCCUGUAUAUGUACAUAGGUAGGACCAAAUCAAAAUUGAUAAUGAUAGAUUAGUUGCCUGUAUACAUAGGUAGGACCAAAUAAAAAUUGAUGCAUAUAUGUUUGCAUAAAGCAAAUUCAAAAUUUAGCAAACCUACUUAAUUAAUAGUACCAAAAACUAUCAAAAUCUCAUCAAAUAUUUGGAAGAAAAAUCUCUAUCUAGCUUCUUCAGUGUUCCAUUGCUUUUUGCUAAUCUAGAGAUUUUUUUGAUCUUGCCUUGGAUGAUCAUCAAAGAAGACGAGGCACUAUUGGAAAAUCUACCUUGGAUGAAUCAUCAAGAUUUUACUUUGUUAACCAUGGAGUGAAAUUAUCUUCGACCAAAUCAAGAAUAUUUUCCUAAAACUUUUAGAUGUGGAGAAAAGAGGAUAGAUGUAGAUUUUCUCGACAAUUAUUUUCGAAUCAAAAUGCAUAACGUCUCUUGUAGGUUCUUGCUAUAAGAUAUAUUGUAAGACAUAUAGUAGGGCUUAGGGAACUCCCGAAUGAUGAAGUUGGAGAGUCAGACAUAAAUGGUAGUACAACUUAAAAAUUCCAAUGACCCUGAAGUGUGAAGAGGCAGGCCAUUCGUAUCCCAAAUCCGUUUGCUACCAGAAAUACCUUUGCUGUAUCUAUAACAUCCAGAAUUGCAAACUAAGCAGUCAUAGUAGAAAUAUUAGCUACGUUUCUAACAUCCAUAACUAUGAUAUGAACAUGUAAUACAAGAAACAUGAUGAGAAUCUUACAAUAUAUUAGAAGUUUUAGUAAAUGAAAAUCAAUUUGGCACAUACAUAUAGUAAGAACAAAUAAUUAAAACAUAUUAUAACAUUGCUAGUAAAAUAUUUAAUAUUAUUAAUGGGGUUAUGUGACAUGAUAGACAUGGAAUUCUAAGAGAAUUUUAUCCAUCUCAAGUUCUAAAAUUAUCGAAUAUGUCUUUUGGGACUUUAAGUGCCACAAGUGCUUAAGACACUUUUUUCUGAUCUAAGAAGGAAUGAUAAUUUAUCCUCUUACGGCUAGUUUGAUUCAUGAUCGGAUGAGAUGGAAUGACCCAUCUCAGAUUAUUAAUCUUGGAUUGUGUCAUCUCCCGAUAAAUAAUCCAAAUAUCUAGUGUUUGGUUGGUUUUGGGUUGGAUAGGAUAUGUUGAGAAAUAAUCCUAUCCUGUGUUUGGUUGGACAUUGGAUGAGGUAGAAUUACUAUUUUAAUGAUCAAAGCACUCCUUAAUUUGUAGAUUCUUUUUAAUCAAAUAAUUUAAUAUUUAUAAAAUAUUAAUAAACAAUUAAUAUUUAUAACUUUUAUUAAAAUAGAGUAGUUUGAAACUUUAGAAUUAUAAAGUAAAACAAGGGUUUUGCUAUAUAAAAAUUCACAUUCACUCAAACUUAGCCCAUUCGGGCCUGAAAAAUAGAUUUUGACCAAAAUUUUGAACCUAAAUUUGAAAUAUAGGAUUAAAUUGAUUAAAACCUGGCUCCGUUUGGAUUAGUUAUUUUUGGGGUUGUUUUUUAAAAAUAGCACUGUAGCAUUUCGUUUUUAAAAUACAAGUCCGUUUGGAUUAGUUAUUUUUGGGGUUGUUUUUCAAAAACUAUAUGAAAAACUUUUACUGUAGAUGUUUUUUGGAUUAUUUUUAGAGGUAUUUUUAAAACAUAUUUUUGAGUAUUUUUAUAAUUUAUAAUUUAUAAUUUAUAAUUUUUAUAAUUUUAUAUUUAUAUACAUUUAUGCAUUUAUAAUACAUUUAUAAAUAUUUAUAAAUAAAUAUAUUUAUAUAUUUAUAUAAAUGCAUUAUAAAUGUAUUAUAUUAUAUGUAAUACAUAAUAUAAAUAUAUUUAUAAAUGUAUAUUAUUAUAGAUGUAUAAAUUAUAAAUGAAUAUUAUAUAAAUGUAUAAAUGUAUAAAUUAUAAAUUAUAAAUUAUAAAUUAUAUAUUUUUAUAUAAAUAUACAUUUAUGCAUUUAUAAUACAUUUAUAAAUAUUUAUAAAUAAAUAUAUUCAUAUAUUUAUAUAAAAAUAUAUAAAUGCAUUAUAAAUGUAUUAUAUUAUAUAUAAUACAUAAUAUAAAUAUAUUUAUAAAUGUAUAAGUGUGUAUUAUUAGAAAUGUGUAAAUUAUAAAUGAAUAUUAUAUAAAUGUAUAAAUUAAUAUAUUAUAAAUAUAUAUUAAUAUUAUGUAUAAAUGUAUUAAUAUAAUUAAUAUAUAUGUAUAAAUGUAUUAAUAUUAUGUAUAAAUAUAAAAUUAAUAUUAUGUAUAUUAAUAUAAAUGUAAAAAUGUAUUAUAUUAUAUAUAAUACAUAAUAUAAAUGUAUAUUAUAAAUAUACAUUAAUAUAUGUAAUAUGUAUAAAUGUACAUUUAUUUAAAUGUAUAAUAUAUAUAUUAUAUAUUAUAUAUUAUAUUAUAUAUAAUUUAUAUAAUAAUUGUAAAUAUAUAAAAAUAUUUUUUAAAUAAAAUAAAAUAUUUAUAAUAUGUAUAAAUAAAUAUAUAAAUAUAUAAAUAUAUAAUAUACAUUAAUAUUAAUUAUAAAUAUUAUGAUAUUAUAAAUAUGGUGUUUAUAUAAUAUUUCAAUUUGUAAUAUUUAUUGUAUAUUUCAUUAUAUAAAUAUUUAUAUAAUUUAUAAUUUAUAAAUAUAUAAUAUAUAAUUUUAAAUUUGUAUAAUAUACAUAAUAUUGUAUAUAUAUAAUAUAAUAUACAUAAUAUAAUAUAUUAUACAUAAUAUACAUUUAUACAUUAUUACAUAUUAUGUAUAUUAUAUAUUAUACAUAACAUUAUCAUACAUUAUUAUACACAAUAAUGUACAUAAUAAUAUUAUACAUUAAUAAUGUAUAUAUUAUAAUAUAAUGUACAUAAUAUAUUAUGUAUAAAUGUUUAUACAUAAAUGUGUACAAUAUUAUAUAUUAUGUAUAUUAUAUUAUAUUAUGGAUAAUAUUAAUGUAUAUAAAUAUUUAUAUAAUAUAUAAUUUUUAAUUUGUAUAUUUCAAUUUAUAUUAAUAUAUAUAUAAUAUACAUAAUUGAAAUAUACAUAUGGAGUUGUUUUUGAUAAUGUUUGGAUAUGGUGUUUUUGAAGUUGUUUUGAAAAUACACAUUUACUGUAACAUUUGGAAUGUGAAAAACAGUUUUUCAAAAACAGAGGCAAAAACAAGGAAUCCAAAUGGACCCUAAGUCAUUUAAGAGCUUUAAAUGAGCUGAAUUCAAGCUAAAAUAGAAGAUUUUCUUUGGACUGAAUUUGAGCUGAUUGAAAUCCUCAUUCACAAAGCCCAAUUCAUAAGAUUAUGUAUUUAUAUAAAAUUUAGUUUAGAAAAUAAGUUUAAUAAGGGUAAUUUAAUCUAAGUGCAAUAUAGUCCUUCUAUUAUGAUGUUAGUGACGAGCGUGGGGUAUACAUAUAAUAAUUAAUUCAUCCAUGGUCAAAUUUUACAUUUAUAUAUUCCUAAAUACCCUAUACAUGAUUUUUCACAAGUAUACGAGUUGUUUAUUGUGCAUAGGGGUAUUAGGUGUCGAUCCCACAGGGAAGAUUGUCAAUUACCGAUGAUUUUCGAACUCCUUUAUUAUUUAGACUAUCACAAAUACAAAAGAUUAAAUUUACAAUACAAACAUGAGAUGAAAGUAAUAAAAAUAACAAUAUAAACUCCUUGAGGUAUGGAAUGCCUCACUACUCUUGCAAAUGAAGUUACUGGUUAAUUGACUAUUAUUAUCUUGACUAGUUAUAACGUAAUUUCCUAAUGUAUGUGAAACCUACUCUCGUAGUGAAUCAACUAUACUUGCAGCUAAACCAUACAUACUCUCAUGAUUAUGAAAUUAACUACAAGUUCAUUUCUUCUAUGAAAUUACAUGAAACAAGUCACUAAAACCAUAUAAGUGUAUCUCGACUCUCGUGAGUGUAUUUUCUAGGUUUAUCACUUUCUUGAACUAGUGUUAAAUUCCAAUUUUCAUUGCAAAUUUAACACCUUAAAAUUAUCACAAUUAAUGGACGGUUAAUCAUGAUUAGAAAAUCAAAAGUGAUAAAUAACUUACUCAAAAAUAAUAUCAUCAAAUAAUCAAGUAAAUGUCACUAACAAGAUAUAGAAAGUUCAUAUAUAAUCCUAUGCAUAAACUAUAGAAACAUAUAUUGAAAUACAAAUCCAAAACUUACAUAUUAACCAUAAUUAAGAAUCCAAUACAAAAGAUAAAGAGUCAGAGAAGAGAUAACCCUUAUCACGUGUGAUUGAGCCCCUCUUUCUUUAUCUCCAUGUUCAUCCUAAUAUAGAGAAUAUACAAGAGUGGAUAAAAACUAUACAACUCUAUACUAAACUACUAAACUAAACUAAUGAACUAAGGAAAUUCUAAUGAAAACUAUAUUUUUGGUGAGUUUCUCUAGCCUUCCAAAAUUGUGAAAAUGGUCUCCAAAGGCUGCUAUUUAUAGACUAUUCAAGAGCCAAAUGUGUGAGAACCCGUAAUUUUCUCAUUUUCUAGGGUUUAUUCUCUUUACUGGCAUGUUUUCUGCAUUUUCUUUAUUAGGAAAAUUGUUUCGAUAAUUUUUAUGAGUAAAAAUAGGUUUUAGGUGAUUUUUCUAGUAUCGGUUAAUUUUUGAAAAAUUAAGAGCAUACACCGGACGUGGGACCCGCUAGUGCGGAAAGUUCGGAAAAAUUCGGCCAACUAGGUUAAGUUUUGGAUACUGGGUUUAAAUUAUCGGGUGCUAAGAGAUAAAUAGAGGUUACCAAGUGGAUUGGUGUGAGAGGAAACAAAGUGAUAUGCAUGCAUUAAAUAGGGUGACAAGUGUCACCAUAUGAUUAAACCUUACAUUUUGACUACUAUUCACAUUUUUACCAAUUGACUAUAUAAACCAAAAAAUUACCAAAAUCAUCUCCAUUUCAAGCACCUUGAAGCCGGCUCUCUCCAAGGAAGAAAGAAAGGAAAACUCUCCAAAUUCCUAGCUCUACUCUUGCUCAAAUCCAAUAACUCAACCAUUUAAUCUUGCUUUUGUUCCAUAGAAACCCUUAAGUGAGUGAUUGUGAGGUGUUUAGUGGAGUUGUUUGGAGGAUUAAGGUGCCAAGUUGUUCCUUUUCUUGCAUUUCAAGGUGAGUAGCUAGGGAAUGCUUCCUUUGGUCUUGAUAAUGUCAAAAUAAUGAUUUGUGUUGAUUAAAUGUGUGAUUGGGUGAAAGAUAUCUUGAAUUGGGUUGAGAUUGGUGAAUUUUUUUGAUUAUAUCAUGAAUUUUCUGUUUCAUAUGUGUAAUAUGGUGUGGCUUUGUAUGAUGAUGGGAAUUGAUCUAGAAUGAAGCUAGAAGGUGUAAAUUGUGGUUAAUUGCAGAAAAUUUCUGCUUUGGAAAGAAAUUUUGGAAGUUAGGGUUUUAUUUUCCCCUCAUUCUGCCCGGCACUGUUCAUCAUAGUUAGAGGCCGAAUUAGUUUUGGGUUAAAUCAUGAAAGUUGUAGGGAAUGAUAUUUUAGAGAUGCCUUCAAAAUUUCAGGUCAAUCGGAGUAGUGUAGCUUGUGAAAAGACCGAAAUACCCCUGCUGCCCUGUUUUCACCCGAACUUGAGAAUUGCUUCUGUAAUGGGUUAUUUUGGUUGGGAAUACUUCAGAAUUGGUUGUUGAGGUCUUCUGAAGAAAUGUAGCCUGAUGUCUUAGCUUUCGAAUGGCUUUGGAAUCACUUGAUUUGGACUUAGGUAGCCUGACUUACAGUUUAUUAACCAGAAUACGGUUUGUUCACCUAUUUUUACGGUUCUGGUUUAGUAUCCUGCAUUUUUGGCCUAGUUUCACUAUGAACUGGGCUGAGUGACCUUCUACAACAUUGUAGCCCUAUCUGUUAGCUUCAAAACAGUGUAUCUUUCACCUCCAUCCGAUAAUCGUAGUGCUAAUGGUGCCAAAAUCGUAAAAUAAUGUCAAAAACUAUUUUUUUGGAUUAGAGCUUAAUUCCGUUUCCGGAUUUCCCUGGUUUACUCUAGUGCUUAUACAUUCUAGUGGAACCUUAUUUUGGUGGUAUGUGGAUUUGGUUAUGACUUGUAAUUGAGUCUUAUUAUACUUAUUUGAAUGUUCUAGGACGUGACGGUGGUCCAAGACGCUCUUUGAGCGGAAGUUGAUGAAAUUUCACUUGCUUGCUUGGUGAGUGUACUACUCACUUGUUGUUUACAAUGUGGCUUUGGUAUAUGUGAACUUGAUGCCUUGAAGGCUUAUUUGCUCCGUUGAAAUUGAUUAAGUGAGGGUGUACUUGAUCGCUCUCACCCAUUUGGUAUCUCAUAUGACUGUCUACUGUUUCACUGUAAUGAUUGAAUGAUACAUGAAAUACUGAAUUUGGUUCAUGAAUUUGGUGUCGCUUGGAUGAGUAUCCAACGACCAUUACUGAUACUACUGAGCUCAACCCCAUUGGUAGUCGAUUGGGUCGAGCCGGCGAGGGCUUGGUCGUGAAAAUUGACGAGCCAUGGGGACUGUUAUAUGGAAUCUUGUAGUAGUGAGACUCUUGAUUCCGGUAUACUCGAGUAUUACCAAAUUUCUACUGUUUGGAGUUCGGGCCCGGUAGGGGUAUGUUGGGUGGAAGGAAUGGAAGUAAAGUGGAGCCUACGGAUGGUUACUUUGUAAACAUUGAUGGAGGGUCAAUGAAAUCCGAUCAAGUAUACGAGCGAGGAAAGGGGCUCUUGAGAGCCGUCUGUAUCAUUUUACCCAUCUUGUUAAUGUGUGAUCUUGGUUUAUUUCUUUCUUGACCGCUUUAUGCCUAUAUAACUUGGUUGCUUGAGUGAUAGUAUACCACUGAGCGUAAGCUCACUCUGCCCCUUUUAUUUUCCUUACAGGAAAAUAAAUACUUUUGGACUGGAUUUGAUAGUUGGUUGCCGAAUUGAGCUAGAUGGACAUAUCUUUUGUAUAGCUCAUUGAUUGAAACCCUAAAUGUACUUUUGGGUCCGUUUUCUCUUUUGAUUUGGCAAACCGUACAUGUAUCAACUUUUGAAUAACUUUUGUAUUCCACUUUGGAUUGUAUAUGCUUAAUUUCAACGUAUAAAUGUUUGAUUGAUGUUGGCAGUUACUGUCAAUGACCGGCUCCGAUUUCAUUUUUUUUAUUUUGUGAUUUUGACUUGUUUACGGGCGUUUGUAUGUUCCGGAAAGUAUUAGAUCGCUCUAAACUGAACCGUUAGUCCUGGCGAGAGUUGGGCAGGCAGUCCGCUAACCCCUUUGGUUCACCUAAGGGGAAGGUGGGGCUGUCACAAAAUGAAUUAUUUCUAGUUAUCAUUUUUGGCUCUUAAAACUUCCAAAGGUUGGUUCCCCAAUUUUCCACACUCUUCUUGAUCAGAUAUAGCCGAAAUUACUUGCUAGAAUUGAGCUAGAAAGUUGUGUGAAUACAGAACAAGUUGUAGAGCAAGUUGCAGCUGAAAACUGAAGAAUAUGCGAUCUCGAAAACACGACCUUAGGUCCCGUAUUGUAUCCCAAGUAUUGCCUUUUACAGGUUUGCUCAAUUUUGGACAGAUUCCAUCCUUGCUCUAUUUUUUAUCCAAUUUCAACUGAUAUUUUCUCGAUGAUGGAGGUUGAACUUGAUAAGUGUAUAAUUUACAUGUUUUAAGUGUGUUUUAUUAGUUAGUUUUGGUGCGUUUUAUUUAGUUUUAUAGCUAAUUAACUAAGUUUCUAGUGAAAAUAUGCAUUUUGUGGUUUAAGUGUGAAAAAUUACAUUUUUAUGGAUUUUAAUGGUGAAAACUUCAUUUUUUUUUUGGAGAUUUAAGGAUUCAAUCAUCAAAUGGCAUGAAUUGAGAAGAUAACUGGAUGAUUGACGAUGGUUUGAAGUGAUAAAAAGACAAUAUGAAGUGCAAGAGAUGAAAUGCAAUUAAGUUCGAAAGAAAAGGAGUUUCACAGCUUUGAUACAUUUUAGUAUUUCGGCAAUAUCUUGAGUUACAAGCAUCGGAUUAAGGUGAUUCUUGUACCAUUUUGAAACUAUGAUAUAGAUCUACAUUUGGUAUGAGAUAUUGAAGUCGAGUUUAGUUGUUUUCAUUGUCAAAAAAUUGAAAUACCAAAAUGCAUUUUCAUUGUCGAAAGUUGAAAUAGAAUUCUAACCAAUCGAGGGUAUUUUGGUAAUUUUUUGGUCCACAGAGCUCCAAAUUGAAUGAUUCUUGAUGCAUUGGAAACUAACUCAAGGGUUACAAAUUUCAUGUUUUACACAAGAGUUACUUAAGCAUCCAUUUUGAGAAAAUAUCAAUUGAAAUUGGACAAAAAACAGAGUAAGGAUGAAAUUUGCCCCGAAUGAGCAAAUUUGCAAAAAGCAAAAUGUAGGGUGCAAUACCCGACCUAAGGUUGCAUUUUUUAGGUCGCGUAUUCUUCUUUUGUAGCUAAAACUUGAUCUGUAACUUGUUCCUUGUUCAUACAACCCUUUUGACCAAUUUUUCUGCAAGAAAUCUGGUUGUAUCUGAUCAAAUGAUCAUAGAAUCUUGUAGAAGCAACCUUUGGUGAUUUGAAGAGAUAACUUUGCCAACUAGAAACAACUUAUCUAGAGCUUUAAUUGCUCUAUAUGUUAGGAUCGAAGACAACCAAGUGGAAGAGAUAAACAAUGUAAAGAUCACAAAUGUAAUAGUAAGUAAAUAAAAAGGAAAGGAUUGUAAACCAAUUAAUUACCCAACUCCUCUUGAACUUGUAGAUUAAUUGAAACAAGCUACUUCAAGUUGAUGAAUUACAAUCACUCUUGUGUACAAAUGAAGGUUCACCUCCUCCUUGCCCCGAACUCCACUCGAUCAAGUCAGGACGUUUUACUAUCCCUCAGGACAACCCUCACAGAGCUACACUCAUGAAGUAUUCACUCACAAAUGAAAAGUUUAUAAUGAACCUCACACCACUAAGACUACAAAUCUUUUUUGAAGAGUAUUUUCUCACUAAAAUCACUCUAGAUCUUUUGUAUCUUCAGUGUGCAAAAAUUAAUUGAUGUAUCUGACCAACUACUAUAUAUAUAGGACCAAGAAAUUGUCACAAUAAUGCUUCCAACGGAUAGAAAGUAACUGAAGAGUCAACUAGCCGUUGGAGUGUCGGACGUCCGAUAGUCCUGUUUUUUACGUCCGACAGCAAGCAGUGAGUUUAAGAGAUUUUCUUCAAUUCUUUCGGACGUCCGAUAGGCUGGUUUUCUGCGUCCGAAGGUAUGAUGUAAAACUGAAAUUUUUUUUUCAAUUCUUUCGGACGUCCGGUAGGCUGAUUUUCUGCGUCCGAAAUUGCGCAAUGAUUGUCGGACGUCCGAUCCUGACUUCUUGAGCGUCCGACAGCUUCAGCAUAUUUUGUCCCUUUCAAAUGUGAUUAAUCUUUGAAUCUGAUUUGCUUCAUAGUUGAAAGUAUUUCUUUAAAAGAUAUUAGUAUUAUCCAUCGUUUUGUAAAUAUCAAAAGAUAGGGAUCAAGGUCAACAUUCUCCCCCUUUUUGAUGAUGACAAAACAAUGGAUGGAAGAAGGAAAAAGAUUGAGUAUAUGAGCAUAAGCUCCCAUAUAAGCAUAAGCUCCCCCUCACACAAUGCAUCUAAACUUAUAAUUUCAGAAUAACUCCCCCUUACACACAACAUCCAUUUCUCCCCCUUUUUUGUCAUCAUAAGAUGAGAGUAAAAAUCAGUUACCAAAAAUCAGCAACAAUAACAGAGAAUCCAAUAAUUCAAAUAAAAACAGAGAAAUGACAGCAAUCACAGCAAAUCAUCAUGAGAUCAGCAUUAUUCUUUUUUCUCUCUUUUUGACAUCAUACAAAUUCAGUAAAAAAUCAAUAAAAACUCAAUUCAAAACAUUAGAAACAUCAAAAGAGAAUUACAAAAAAAUAUUAUGAACAAGAAUCUCAUCAAUUUUACCAAUAUCUCCUACUUGUUAGAGUUAGCAUCAUGUCUAACUAUCCACAUGCAUUUCAUGUCUUUUUUUAUAUUCUUUCUCAUAUAGCAAUCACUUUUCAUGUUACCUUUUUUAUAACAGAAAUUACACAUAAUCAGGGAGUUAUUUAUAUGAACAGGUUUAAUAAAUGUUACUUGUCUUCUCUUAUAAAUAGCAAAUUCGUUGGAAUUAGAAUUCAACCUAUUCUUUUGAAAACAGACUUGUUUUUUGUGUUUAAGCAACUCAUUUAGACCAUCCAUUCUUCUUUUCAAAUCACCUUGUUCCUUUUUGAACAAUUCACAAAACUUUGUUUUUCUAUCAAGCUCAAAGUGUAAAGCAGUCUCACUCUUUUUGAAAUAAUCAUUUUCAGCUUUCAACUUUUUAUUUUGUUGAAAAAAAUUUGUAUUAUCUCGAAGCAAAAAACUAAUUUUCUGUUUUAACUCCUUGUUUCUAGCAUAAGAUUCUUUCAAACUAUCAUACAAUUUAAUAAUGAAAGAUUCAAGAUCAUUAUCAGUUUCAUCAUCACUUUCAAAUUGAGAACUAGAAGAUGUUACCUCAUCAUCUCCAAUAGCCAUGAAAGCCAAUUGAGCAGAUUCUUCUUCCUCUUCAAUUUCACCAUCGGAGUUGCAUUCAUUCCAUGUGAACUGGAAGUUAUUGAAUCUGGAUUUUCUUUCACCUUUUCUCUUCUUCAUUGGACACUCACUUGCAUUGUGUCCAGGUUGGCUGCAUUCAAAGCACUUAUCAGUUUACUUUUUGUUGAACUCUAGCUUCCCUUUGUUUCUUGAGUUGUUGAACUAAUUUGGGAAUGAAUUGCUAGGUCCUCCUUUUCUGAAUCUCCUCUUGUUGAGAAUUCUCUUGAAACUUUUCGUGAUGAGUGCAAUAUCAUUGUCAUCACCUUCCAUGUCAUCUUUAUCUAAGGAGGCUGAAUCAUCUUCAUCAUGAGAUGUCUUUAGAGCAAUGUUUCUUCUUACUUUUGCAUCCUCUUCCUCUUGCAUUUUGGACUUAAGUUUCAACUCAUAAGAGAUUAGAGAAUUAAUAAGAGAUUCAAUAGGUAAAGAAUUUAGAUCUUUAGUUUCUUCAAUGGCAGUAACUUUACUUUCCCAAUCUUUAGACAGAGCAUUCAAGAUUUUUCUGUUUUUCUCUCCUAAGGUAUAUCCUUUUUUCAGAACAUCUAAAUCUUUAAUAAGAUCAUUGAAUUUACAAUACAUUUGAUCAAUAUUUUCAUGAGAUUCCAUUUUAAACGACUCAUAUUUAGUAAUCAAGAUAGAUUUUCUCUUUUCUCUAACAUUCUCACUACCUUCAUGAAUAUCUUUUAGUUUGUCCCAAAUUUCUUUAGCUGACUUGCAACCCUUGACUCUAAUAGAUUCAUUUGAGUCUAAAGCACAAAAUAAUACAUUCAUGGCCUUUGCAUUUAAGGUGAGAUGAAUUCUAUCUGCAGCAGUCAGUUCACUUCUUAUUUUUGGUCUAGACGUACGAGUAUUUUCAUCUAUAAGAGAGGCAUCAUAUGAACAUUCACUAAUAAUAAACCAUAAUUCAAUAUCAAUAGAUUGCAAAAAGAUAAUCAUUCUUUCUUUCCAACUCAAAUAAUUUGACCCAUUAAACAUAGGUGGUCUAAUCGCAGAAUGUCCUUCAAAAAAUAUGGCAUUAUUGGUUGUCAUUUUUACUCCAAAAUCGAUUGAACUUAAUCUCUAAGAGACCAAACUCUGAUACCAAUUGUUAGGAUCGAAGACAACCAAGUGGAAGAGAUAAACAAUGUAAAGAUCACAAAUGUAACAGUAAGUAAAUAAAAAGGAAAAGAUUGCAAACCAAUUAACUACCCAACUCCUCUUGAGCAUGUAGAUUAAUUGAAACAAGCUAUUUCAAGUUGAUGAAUUACAAUCACUCUUGUAUACAAAGGAAGGUUCACCUCCUCUUUGCUCCGAACUCCACUCGAUCAAGUCAGGACGUUUUACUAUCCCUCAGGACAACCCUCACAGAGCUACACUCAUGAAGUAUUCACUCACAAAUGAAAAGUUUAUAAUGAACCUCACACCACUAAGACUACAAAUCUUCUUUGAAGAGUAUUUUCUCACUAAAAUCACUCUAGAUCUUUUGUAUCUUCAGUGUGCAAAAAUUAAUUGAUGUAUCUGACCAACCACUAUAUAUAUAUGACCAAGAAAUUGCCACAAUAAUGCUUUCAACGGAUAGAAAGUAACUGAAGAGUCAACUAGCCGUUGGAGUGUCGGAUGUCCGAUAGUCUUGUUUUUUGCGUCCGACAGCAGGCAGUGAGUUUAAGAGAUUUUCUUCAAUUCUUUCGGAUGUCCGGUAGGCUGGUUUUCUGCGUCCGAAUGUAUGAUGUAAAAUUGGAAAUUUUUCUUCAAUUCUUUCGGACGUCCAGUAGGCUGAUUUUCUGCGUCCGAAGUUGCGCAAUGAUUGUCGGACAUCCGAUCCUGACUUCUUGAGCGUCCGACAGCUUCAGCAUACUUUGCCCCUUUCAAAUGUGAUUAAUUUUUGAAUCUAAUUUGCUUCAUAGCUGAAAGUAUUUCUUGAAAAGAUAUUAGUAUUAUCCAUCGUUUUGUAAACAUCAAAAGAUAGGGACCAAAGUCAACACUAUAAAUAGGGCCUUUGGAGAGCAUUUUCACAACUUUGGACGGCUAGAGAAACUCCAAAAAAAUAUAUUAACUUUGGAUUCAAGAGUUUUUCAAAAAUUAGUUUUUCAAAUACUAUUAAAAUUUUUUAAAAGUACUCUAAAACGUAGUCUAAAAUUUUUUUUAAUGUUCUUAAAAUUUCCCAAAAUAUAUUCUAAAAACUCUUCUACUCUUAAAUAUUCCAAAAUAUUUUCUAAAAAUAUCCCAAACAAACUAUAAAAACUCUGCUACAGUAAAAUUUUUCAAAAACACCCCCAAAAAUAGCUAAUCCAAACGGAGCAACUUCACUAGUUUUUCUUAGUUUAUUAGUAUAGUAUAGUUAGAGUAGGCUAUAUUUUUCAUAUUUGUAGUUAGAUUUGGAUGAAAAUUUGAAGAGUAAAGAUAGAGAGUUGGAUCUCAUGUGACAAGGGUGACUUCUCUCCUAUCACUUUCUCUUUUAUAUUUGAUUUCUUGUUUAACUAUGAUACAAGUUUGGUGUUUAUCUUCACGUUUAGUUAAAGUUUAUGCCUAGAGUAUGGAUGAACUUUCUAUAUUUUAUUAGUGAUGUUUACUUGGUUAUUUGAUGAUAUUAUAUUAAGCAAGUUAUUUAUCAUUUUUGCUUUUCAAAUUAUGAUUAACCGGCCAUUAAUUAUAAAAAUCUUAAGGUGUUAAGUUUGCAAUGAGAAUUGAAAUUUAACGCUAGUUCAAGGAAGUGAUAUACCUAAGGAGCACAUUCACAAGAAUAGAGGUGCACCUUUGUGGCUUUAGUGACUUGUUUCAUAUAAUUUCAUGGAAGAAAUGAGUUUGUAGUUAAUUUCAUAAUUACGAGAAUAGGUAUAGUUUAAUCACAAGUAUAGUUGAUUCACUACAAGAAUAGUCUUUACAUACAUUAGGAAAUUAUGCCAUAAUUGACCAAUAUAAUAACAUUCAAUUAACUGGUAAUGUCAUUUGCAAGAGUAAUAAAGAAUUCCAUACCUUUGCAAGCUUUCUAUUGUUAUUUGUAUUACUUUUAUCUCAUGUUUGUAGUGUAGACUUAAAUUCUUGUAUUUGUGAUGGCCUAAAUAAUAAAGAAAUUUAAAAAUCACCGAUAAUUGACAAUCUUUCCUGUGAGAUUGACACCUAAUACCCCUAUACUCAAUAAACGACUCGUAUACUUGCGAAAAUUGCCUGUGCGGUAUUUAGGAAUUUAUGAAUGUAAAAUUUGAUUGUAGAUGAGUUAAUUGUUCUAUAUAUACCUCAUGCUCAUCAGAACUAACUCUUGUACAAAACAUGAAAGUUGUAACCCUUUGAGUUCGCUUUCCAAUGUCUUAAAAAUCAUCCAAUUUGGAGCUCUGUGGACCUAUAAAUGACCAAAAUACCCUCAACUGGUCAAUCCCCUGUUUCAGCUUUCAACAAUGAAAAUGCAUUUCUAUAUUUCAACUUUUUGACUAGGAAAACAACUAAACUGGAUUUUGAUGUCUCAUACCAAAUAUAGAUCUAUCUCUUAGUUUCAAAAUAAUUCAAGAAUCACCUCAAUACAAUGCUUAUAACUCAAGAUAUAACUGAAACACCACAAAGUGUCAAAGCUGGAAAACUUGCAUUUCAUCAUUUGAGUAUUUUGCAUUUUAUGUCUUCUUUAAAUCACUUCAAAUCAUCAAUAAUCAUCUAAUUAUCUCCUCAAUUCACUCCAAUUGAUGAUUGAAUCAUUAAACCUACCAAAAAAUGAAGUUUUCACCAUUAAAUCAAUAGAAAUGCAAUUUUUACCACUUCAACCAUAAAAUGUAUGUUUUCACUAGAAAUUUAGUUUAUAAGUUAUAAAACUAAAUAAAACACAUCAAAACUAACUAAUAAAACACUUAAAAUAUAUAAAAUAUACACUUACCAGUUAGUAUGGCAAAUUAGUCAAAAAUUUAAAUUAAUUAAUAGAGGUAAGUCAAAAUUUUUAAAAUAGUGAAUAAAGGCAAAUUAGUCAAAAUUUUUAAUAUAAUUAGUGGGGGUUAAUUAGUCCAUUUAUUAUUAUAUUAUAAUGUCUGAGUAUGGCUAUAUAAUAGUCAGUAUGAAUUUGAAUCAUUCAUAAGGGCAAAUUAAUUCAAAUAUUGUUAUGUUGGUAGUAAAGGCAAAUUGGUCAAAAAACUUUAAAAUUAAUUAGUAGGGGCAAAUUAGUCUAUUCAUAUUAUAUUAUCAUGUGUGAGUAGGGUUAUAUAAUUAUAAGAGUAUAAAUUUAUAUUUUUUUAAGGAUAAAUUAGUUUGAAAUUUUAUCAUCUUAUCUGUUAGCAUCUUGCGAUGACUAAUACCACUUCUCUCACGGGAUUAUUUUAUCCCAUGAAUAGGGGAUUAAUUCAAUUAGAUAGUGACGGGAUUUUUUUAUCAAUGCAAGUUUAAAUCCGAUUUUAUACCCAUUGACUGCAAGUAUACAGGCCGAAAUCAUAUUGUAGGGUAUGUACCGGGUCGAUCUCACGAGCAGCAAAUUAAACAAGUACUAGACCCUUAUUUCUCUCUAUUAUUUAGACUUACAAUAAAUUUGAGCAAGAAAAUAAUAAUGCUAUUGUAUACAAAUCUGGUUUAAUCAAUAUUAAAUGCAAAUGAAGAAAUUUCACUAAAGAUUGAAUUUACGGAUGUAGAUUUCACUUAUGCCUUAAACGAUACAAAUAAAUGGAUUUACCUCUUGUUAUUAUUCUUGUUUAACCAGAGAUUCAUUUCCAAUAUUAUCAAAUCUCAUUCUCAUGAUGAAAUGGCCUAAAACAAAAUAGUUUUCCCUAUUUUCAUGGUGAAAUACUAUUACUACUCUGUUUUCUUUCAUGAAAUGUUAAGUAAUCCACUUAAGUGUAUCUCUAUUUUCAUGAACAUACAACUUAAGCUCUACUCAUGUGUUUCCAUUGUUACUACCAAUUCUCAUUGAACAAUAACAACUAUAAACUUGCUAUUGGUGAUCAAGCAAUAACAAGUAAUUACUACAUGCACAAAUAGACAAGUUAAUACAAGAUAUAACAAGUGUAAAUCACAUUCAAUUCAUAUCAUUUAGCCAUAAGUUUCAUCUACUCCCUAGAUAAAGAAAAUUAGCUACUCAUGAAUGAUUUAACAAUCAAACUCACAAGUUUAUUAAUGCAAAACAUCAUAAAGUACAAGUACAAUAAAGAUAAAAGAAAGCUUAGCCAAUUGAUGGUGAAACCCUCCAAUUUCUGCUAUGUUCUUGUACAAGAUGAUUACAAGUUAAAACUCCAAAUGCUUCUCAAAGAACUCCUAACUAGAGAGAAACUAGUUAUAAGAAGGAAAACUAGUUAUGUAUGGUAUUCUCCAGCUCCUCCCUUGUGUCUCUGCAUAAAAAGUGGCAUAAAGGCAUUUUUUUCUCCUUCAUGAUUUCAACCACUUAGAUUUUGUAAAGGAAGUCAAAAUAUUUGUUGUUUUGACUUGUCAAUAACUCAUUUGUUUUCCCUUUUGUUGCAGAAGCAUGUGCCACCGAAUUCACUCACUCCAAAUAGCUGAAAAAUUGUGUGAAAAGUGAGAAAAAACGGUUGUGCCACUUGCAGAAGAGAGAGGCAGAUCCGAGCUUCGGAUCCGAGGGGUGCACAACGAUCCGAGCUCGGAUCGAGGUUGAUCCGAGGCCUUUCACUAAUGAUCCGAGCUCGGAUCAUCUGACCUCGGAUGCAUUGCUCCAGAAGUACAGACGAGGGCUCGGAUCACCCUUGAUUCACACGGAUCCGAGCUCGGAUCCGUGCUGGUCUUUUUUUCAAUUUUUCAUUUUUUUUCAUUUUUCUUCACUUUUGCUCCUAAUUUCUUGUGUACUUUAUCUUCUAGACGAUCCUUAUAUUUCCUUCAUCUCAUGCAUGAAUUUCAUACAUCAAUAUCCUUCACAAUUUCACAAAAUUAACGCAUUAAUCCACUAAUUUAUCAAGUUUUGAACACUUAAACAAUAUUUAAUCAAUUAUCACCAAAAGAGUUCAAAUAUGACUUUAAUCUUCUUAAAACAUACCAAAAGUUCAUGCCAAACUUGUACAAAAAUGCAUGUUAAAUAUUCUCCUAUCAAAUUCCCCCACACUUGAAUCAUUACUUGUCCUCAAGCAAUUUCACACAUAACUUACCACAAUGAUACAAGAGAUAAAAUAAUAUAUAUACUUUUGUCAAAUUUAAUUUCUCAAAACCUAGAAACCAAUCAUUGUGCCAUUUCUCAGAUUACAUUAAAUACUCAUAAUAUUCAAUUAAAUAAAAAUAAUUAUGCCUUAAUUUUAACAAAUUCAACUCAAUCUCUUAUUCUAUCUUAAUUCCAUAAAUAAGUAAAUCACAUAGUCAAUUCUAUAGCCUUUCUCAUCCCAUGACCAUCAAAAUUUAACAGUUGAGAGGGAUUUAUCUGUACAUUCAUUUUACUUAAAUAGUGAAAAUGCCUUUUUACGCAAAAAUCAACACUUUUAGGUGAAAAUUACCGGUUACUCAACAUUUCACUUAUUCAAAUUGCUAAACAUACUCUUAAUUUCAAUACCUUUUUACGCGAAUGUCGACAUGUGUAAAUGCCAACCCCCGGUUACUCAGUAUGUGAAUCAUUGGAAUAGAAUAAAAUCUAUUUUUUUUAAGAUAAUUUUCUUUUCCCUCUAAGCAUAAUUAAGGAAGAAUCUGGUCUUGUCUUGACUAUAUCAAUCACUUACUUAUAAAAUUAAGCAAGAAUGAGAAAUAUUAUUAAACUUGCAAAAUUCUAAACAUAAUUUUCCUUAUUUAACCAAAUAUACUUUCUAAAAUAUAAAAAUUCUAAUUACAUAAUGACUAAUUCCACGUCAAAUAAGGACUAAACUUUCUCAAAAUACAUAUAACAUUUUAUCCAAUGGAAGAAUUAGGCACCUAAAAUUGAACAUUUUGGCCAUUAUUUGAAAGAAUUGCAAUGAAUUAUUGGAAAAUAUUUUAGAAAAAUUUUGACAGAGUUUCCCCAUAUAAUUGAACAAAACUCGCUGCCAAUAGCCUCAAGUUCAAUCAAAUUAUCCUUAUAACAAUAUUUCUAAAUAUGAUUCCAACAUUUCUAAGCCAUAAACAACUAAAAUCAUGCACUUCAAGACACAACCACCAUAAGAUAAAGUAAUCCCUCCCUCACACUUAAAUUUAACAAUGUCCUCAUUGUAAGGAAGGUAAUAGAAACUGAAACUUCCCCCAAAAUAAGUGGUGAUUCAAUUUGAAACCAUUAAUCUUCACGAUCAUCCAAAUUCUGUCCAAAAUGAAACAAAAAGGUACGAAAAAUCAUAAGUAGCACAAUAUAAUCCAUUAUGAAAACUACAAAGUUUAAACCGAACACAAUAAAAGAAAAAUAAAGCAAUAAAAGAUGUAAUCAGCUAAAGAUCUUCAUGGCUGCUCGGAACGAGGGUCUACUGCCUCCUCAACUCCAUGAGGACCAUGUGAUGUACCAAUAUGCCCCUCCUCAUGCUGAGGCGUCGGAGUAGGUGACCGACGGAUAUGGAAAUGAUCCUCGAUCGCACGAAGACGGCGAUCAUGUCUGUCGAGUCACUCUGUCAUCAUCCGCUCGGUCCGGUCAAUGCGCUCGAUGACUCGUGUCUCCAUACAACAGAUGGCAUUGAGGAGCUCUUGCCACUUGGAUCGCGGCAGAGGUGGUGGUCGUGGCACGGGAGAAGAAAGAGUCUGCUGUGCCUUCAUCUCAUGAACUACUGGUUCCUGCUGAGUGUGAGGUGGAGGCUGAGCUGAGGUUGAAGCUUCUCCAGUGUCUCGAACCAGAGCAGCUCCAAAAUCCGUAGAGAUACUCAAGGAUUUUAGUAUCGAGACACUGACCUCGCGCGAACCUAGUGACAAUGGCUCACUUGGUUCCAAGAGGAACCUUGAGCUUUUAAAAAAUGAGGGAUAGCAGUCGAGGGAACCCAAACCAAGUCUCGCCGGCUCUCAUGCGAGCUGUGGUCCGCAUGUAACUGAUGAUGAUGCUGGGCAAAGGAAUACCAGUCAACUGCUCACCCACACCAUGCAUCAUCUUAUCCAAGAAGUAGAGGUUACUAUUGCGGAGCUCCCAUUUUCCACUUCUUUUGGGUACCACAUUGAAGGCGAAGAGAUAGAAGAUCAAGUGGUACCUAUGCUCGAAGGAGUCAGCAUAUACAGUGAGUUUCUUCGAACUUUCUCGCUCCCUAUAUUGACCCUUUAGGCGUGCUACCGCUUCUCCCACCUGCCAAGGGUCGCGUGCCUUGAAGUCCUUGGUCAAUUUAACAUCAACUCAUUCGUCUCUGAGUUUGGCAAUUUUUGCGACUGUAUCCCGAUUAAGAGCCACUCUCUUGCCUUGAACCCAGGAGACGAUGAGGUUGCCACUGUGACUCUGUUUGUUUUCUACAUUGGCGUAGAACUCCCGGUCCAGAUUGGGAUAGUAAUGUUUCGGCAAAUUUAGUAUAGUCUCCCAUCCGAGUCGCUUGAAUGCCGUGGAGAUCUUAUAGUGGUCAUCCACCUCCGGUGCCAAAUGUUUUUCAAUAAUGAUCUCCUUGUCUAAACCGGCCUCGUACCACUGUUGAUUCUCGAGUGAGGUGAAUUGCGUGGUAUCAUAGUCUGGAAACGGCUCUUCGGGGCUAGUAGACGCGGUCUUCCGGCGAGAACGAGGUGGGGACUCAGGUGAAGGAGAUUCCUCCACUGAUGACUCCUCGGGUGACGGAGUGCGUUCCUCGCUUGAAGAGGGACAAGGAGUGCGAACACGAGACCUUCUUGUGCGAGCAAUAGUACCUAUACAAAAACAAGAUGAACGUUCAUUAGAAAUAGUAUAGAUUUGCUCACACAUGUUAAAUAAGAAUUUAAUAAAAUUUCGGCAGAGUUUCCCUUUGAAAAAGGGCAAAACUUCCUGCCAACAUUUACCCAAAAACAAUCAAAGUUCCUACUUAAACCACUUCAAAUACAAAUGCACGUGUAUAAUAUCAAUUUCAAUCCAUACUCUGAACAGAUGGCUUGAAUAUUCCAUUUUCAAUGAUUGAACAUCAUAUUUCAGUUAGACUUUUAUUAAAAAGUCCAAUCUUUUGAGAAUUGAUACAUAAUUCAACAAUAAAGUAUAAUCUCAAAGUAAAAACAUCAUGAGAAAACAUAGAGGACAAUAACUUAUCCAACCAAUUUGACAAGAAUGACUUCAAUGAUACAUUAUGGCCAAAGCACAGGAGAGCUUUUAAAAACAAAACAAGAGUGCAAUGGUUGAAUUUUGGGGAUCAAACUACUGGAUUAUUCUUCAAAAAGUUCAAACAGAGGAAUAACACCAAUAAGAUUUUGAAGAUUGAAAGUGCUAUACACAUUAUCACCAAAGUACCAGCUAAUGAGCUGCAACUUUUCUUUAUGAGUGCCAAUUAUCUCCAAAAACAAGGAAUGCUCAAGCAAAAGUUUUAACAUGUGCAUUAACCUAAAAUUUUAGAAGAAAAUUCUACAAAAUAAUACCAAAUCUACAAUUCUCUCAAAACUAAGCAUAAAAAUAGUUGUAACACUCUAUUUAAGCGCAAUGUAGCACAAUUAUAUCAAGAAAUUUCAACAUAUAAACAAUUACCAAAAUUUGCCAAAAAAUUAGAAAAAUGUAAAAUUGAAAAUUAUGAAAUCUCAAAGAGAAUUGCAAAUUUUUACCUCAAAUGUGUAGAUUGAUGAUGGAGGAUGAUAAUGAUGCAAAAUUUGACACAGCAACAACCCAAAAUAGCCCCCAAAUUGAAGAAUUUCCAUUCGGCCAAAUGUUAUGUAAGAGGAUUAAAAUCCUUCUUUGAUGUUGCUUUGAUGCGAAACAAGUUGUGGUUAAUGAUCAGAAGACAUUUGGGGAGGUUUCUAUGGUGAAAAUUUGGAUGAUUGAUGGAUGAAAUAGGAGAUUUGAGAAAAAGGGUUAGGGUUUGCGAUGAAUAGGAAAGAAAGAACUGGAAAAAUGAGGAACCGAGGCCUCGGUUGUUUUCUUAUCGCGAAUCGAUCCGAGGUCGGAUCGGUUCUGAAAGCCCUCGGAUCAGAUAGAGUUCGGAUCCUUCACUCCAGAAGUUCAGCCGUUCCCUCGGAUCCAAUUGGAUUUUGUUGGAUCCGAGCUCGGAUAAAAGGAUCCGUGGUCGGAUCCGUCUGAGCACUUAGGAUCCGAGCUCGGAUCUGUAUUUCUCUGCACUAAUUGUAGAUACUGCAAUUUUUCAAACUUUUUCUCCCUUUUCCAGCUAAUUCCAAAUUACGCUUUGGACAAACUUUUUAUCAAUUCCAACCUCCCACGCACAUGUAAUAUACCAAAAAUACAAUAUCCAAUCUCUCAAAUCACAUCAAACACAUCUUCAUUGAAAAUCGAGGGGUGAGGUUCUUUACUCAUUUUUACACUUUUACACCAAAAUAGCACUUUUGGACAUUAAAUGCACAUCAAAUGAGUCCAUGAGUAUUAUAAACAUGUUAUCACCAAAACUCACUUGAACAUACUUGAAAUGCACAAUAUAUAUAUGAGUGGUAAUUCUAAACACUUAAAGCAUAAUUUGGUAAGAAAACCUCCCUUUUUACACUUGUUCUUCAAUUGUUCUUCCAAGAUGGAUGAUGAAACUCCGGUACCUCCUACAAACAAGUGAAAUAUAUAUUUAGUCAAUGAAAUCACACCAAAAUGUAACAAACAUAUAAAAACACACAACUAUAAUAUUAUUAUUGGUUGCCUCCCAACAAGCGUUUUGUUUAGAGUCGUUAAGUUCGACUCUCCUAUAGCUUCUUUAACUCUCCAUUGCGUUUCCUAAGGAGUAAAUCAUUCCUUUAGGAACCUUUUCUUCGGCUAAAUAGGGUUUCAAUCUUUGACCAUUUACUUUGAAUGGGGCACCAUUUUCUCCUUUUAUUUCCACAGCUUCAUAAGGAAACAUACGAACCACUUCAAAUGGCACGGACCAUCGAGACUUGAGCUUUCCAAGGAAUAAUUUAAGUCUUGAGUUAAAUAAUAACACCUUUUGCCCUUCUUCAAAAUGCUUAGAAAGAAUAUGUUUGUCAUGCCAAAAUUUCACUUUUUCUUUGUAAAUCUUGGCAUUCUCAUACGAAAUCAAUCGCAAUUCUUCCAAUUCACUCAAAUCGAGCAUUCUCUUUUCACCUGCAGAUUUAAAAUCAAAAUUAAUAGUCUUAAUGGCCCAAUAAGUUUUAUGUUCUAUUUCUACAGGUAAAUGACACGCUUUCCCAUAAAUAGGCUUUUAUGGAGACAUUCCCAACAGUGUUUUAAAUGCCGUUGUAUACGCCCACAAAGCAUCUACAAGUUUGUUUGUUCAAUCCUUUCUUGAUGGGUUGACCGUUUUCUUCAAAAUGAUUUUAAUUUCUCGGUUAGCCAACUCGGCUUAACCAUUGGGUUGAGGAUGAUAGGGGAGUGGCUUUUUAUGCCCACAACUAGGGGUGCAAACGAGCCGAGCCGAGUCGAGUUUUAAAAUUAUCGAGUCGAGUUAGACUAAUUUAUAUGCAAGCUCGAGUUCGAGCUCGAGCUCGUCGAGCUCGUAAAAUGAAGCUCGAGCUCGGCUCGAUUUAAGAAAAGGCAAGUUCGAGAUCGACUCGCUUAUGACUCGCGAGCUUAGCUCGAAUUAUGGCUCGCGAGCAGCUCGAUUUUCUGGCUCGCAUUUCGCUCGAAUUUAGCUCGAUUUCUAGUUCGAACUCGAGCUCGAAAUUAGCUCGAGUUUUUGGAAAUUUAGGCAAGAAAAUAGCAUUUUUAUCCGUGUGGAGUUUUAGUCCUUAAAAUAUCAACAAACGCAAUUCUAAUCCCCAAAUAUCCAAUUUGAAACAAUUUAGGAUAAUUGAAGGAUUUUUUUCCGAUUUUUUUUUAUGGAAUUUAGUCAUCAACAAUUAGAAAUGGCAAUUUGAAUCCAUAUCCACUUAUCCAUCCUAAUAAACAAGUUUAAAUAGAUAUGGAUGACCAUUUAAAUAAAUUAUAUUUAUAGAUUUGAGUUGUUUAUCUAUAUCCAUAUAAAUCAAUUUAUCAGAAAUGGAAUGCAACCAACCAAGGUGGAAGAGAGACUCGUCUUGAUUUGACACAAAUGAUCACAAUUUUCGGCCAUUUCACCUUUGCACCAUAGUUUAAAAAGCUCAAGUCUAAUGUUUGUUUCUGGAUUUAAAAAAUAAAUAAAUAAAACUUACAUACUCCGUUCUCACUAGAACCCCCAAAUUAAGCACAUUCCAAUCAAGAACGGCUCUCUCUUUCAGUUAAAUCAUGAUUAGAAAUAUAAUCCAAAGUCCUUUAUUAACAUUACACUACUGCAAAUAACACACAAAUUUUAGUACAAAAUCCACGAAAAGAAAGCAGAAUUUGCGCUAACAAGGAAUUCACACUUUACCGUCACUGUGAUAUCAUUAAUGCUGUUCUUUGUGGCAGAUCUAGCACUGAUUGUGCUGAAAGAUGAAGACUUUAACAGAAUCCCUGAAAGAAUAGGAGAUAGAAGAGAAAAUCCAUAUCGGAAAAAUGCUGAUUUUGAUGAUCCAAAGUUGGUUCAGAGUUUGAAGUGCAUUUCAGCUUAUUAGCUUGAGAAAGAAAGUCUCUGUAAAAGGGCCGAAUAAAGCUCAAACUUUGCUGGAAAAAAACACUAACCAGGUAAGCUCUGAAAGCCGACUGAAUCCUAAUAGCCGCCACUUCUUGCCGCCAGUCUCUGCCACUGCUGCCCGGAGGAGUAAAGGAAACAGUUCCAGCCUGAUGACCUCUGCAGCUGCCUGAGCGGCAGCAAGAGCAGCCUCGACGACGGCGGCGGUGGCAGCCGCACGGCUAUGGCGUGUUCGUCGUAGGACCAUCUAAGGCUACCGCCACUAGCAUUUAAGGUCUUGUUGUCAUAGUUGGAGGAAAUGGAAGAUUUGAUGAGACACGGCGGCGGAGGAGGAAGUUCAAUUGGAGGAAGUGAGGAAGGAAAAUUAUGUAACCUAAUAGAAGAAGUGAGAAACAGAAUAAGUUGUAAAUUUUAAUUGAUUCAGGGGUAUUUUUAUAAUUUCACAUUUACUCGAGCCUAACGAGCAGCUCGUCGAGCUAUCGAGCCUAAGAAACGAAGGCUCGAGCUCGCCUCGUUUGUAUUAACAAACGGCUCGAGCUCGGCUCGAGCUCGUGUUGACCGAGCUCGAGCCGAGCUUUGACUCGAGCUGCUUGCGAGCAGCUCGAGUCGUCAGCAGGCCUACCCACAACCAUAUUUAAGCAAUAAAUUGUCAAUAAUUUUAUUACAAAAAUGUUUACCUUCAUCGCUUAUUAUUACCUUUGGGACUCCAAACCUACAAAAUAUGUUCCGUUUAAGGAACUUAAAUACAACUUUAGCGUCAUUAGUUUGUGAAGAAAUGGCCUCCGCCCAUUUAGAGACAUAAUCAACUGCUAAUAGGAUGUACUUAUUAUUAUAUAAGUUAGGAAAUAGUCCCAUAAAAUCAAUGUCCCAAACGUCAAAUAACUCAACUUUCAAAUAUGUAGUCAAAAGUAUUUCAUUCUUUCUUGAGAUAUUACUAGUUCUUUGGUAUUGAUCACAACUUUUAACCCAAUUUCUAAUGUCUCGAUACAUAGUAGGCCAAUAAAAUUCGUAUUGCCAUAUCUUUACUACGGUUUUAGUUGUACUAAAAUGACCUCCCGUUUCAAGAGUAUGACAAUGCAUUAGAAUACUAUGUACCUCUUCUUCCGGAACACAUUUUUUAAUUAUUUCAUCUGCACAGUGUUUGUAAAAGAACGGUUCUUUUAAAAAAUAAUGUUUAGCAUUAUUUAAGAAUUUUUUCCUUUGAUGAGAAUUCAAAUCACUUGGUAUCACUCUACUAACUACAAAGUUAACUAGAUCAACAUAAUAUGGUGACUUAUAAAUUGCCAUUAAAAACUCAUCUGGAAAUUCUUCUUUAAUGGAUGAAUGGUCUUCUUGAGGUAUGUUUUCCAGUCUAAAAAGAUGAUCAACGACUAAAUUCUCGGAUCCUUUUUUAUUUUUGAUCUCCAAAUCAAAUUCCUGCAAUAAUAAAAUCCAUCGAAUUAGUCAAGAUUUUGCAUCUUUCUUAUUUAACAAAUAUUUGAGUGCUGCAUGGUCGGUAUAACUAAAUACGAUCUAAACUUAUCCAGUGCAAAAAUCACUGCUAGCAACUCUUUCACUGUUAUUGCAUAGUUAACUUGGAUUUGAUUCAACAUUUUACUUGCAUAAUAAAUGACAUGAAAUUGCUUAUCAUGUUUUUGCCCAAGAACAGCCCCAACUAUAAAAUCACUUGCAUGACACAUUAAUUCGAAUGGCAAGCUCUAAUCCGAUGAUGCUAUUAUACGUGCGGAGACAAGUUCCUUUUUCAACCUAUUAAAAGCAAGUAAACACUCAUCAUUGAAGUGAAAAAGGAACAUCUUUUGUAAGUAAUUCACAUAAAGGUUUAGCAAUUUUGAAAAAAUUCUUAAUAAACCGCCGAUAAAAUUUCACGUGUCCAAGAAAGCUGCGAAUGCCUUUCACACUGAUUGGUGGAGGCAUUCUCUCAAUAUCCUCUAUCUUGGUUUGAUCUAGCUCAAUACCUUCUGAAGAAAUUUUGUGACCUAGCACAAUACCCUCACAAACCAUGAAGUGACAUUUUUUCCAAUUGAAUACAAGGUUUGUUUCUUCACAUCUCUGCAAAAUUAUAUCUAAAUUGUUAAAAUAAUCAUCAUAAAUAGAUCCAAAUACAGAAAAAUCAUCCAUGAAGAUUUUCAUAAUUUUCUCAUUAAAAUCAGAGAAAUUGCCAUCAUGCAUCGUUGGAAAGUGGCCGGUGCAUGCACAGUCCAAAAGGCAUCAUUCGAAAUGCAAAAGUGCCGUAAGGACAAGUGAAUGUGAUUUUCUCUUGAUCUUCCGGUGCAAUUACUAUUUGAUUGUAUCCUGAAAAACCAUCCAAAAAAUAAUUAAAUUCAUAUCCGGCCAAUCUUUCUACCAUUUGAUCAAGAAAAUGUAGAGGGAAUUAAUCCUUUCUAGUAGCUACAUUCAGUUUUUUAUAAUCAAUACAAACUCGCCACCCAACCACAACUCUAGAGGGAAUCAUUUCAUCAUUUUUAUCUUGUACUAUGGUUAUUCCCCCUUUCAUUGGCACUACAUGAAUAGGAGAAAUUCAAACACUAUCAGAAAUUGAAAAAAUUAUACCUGCAUCCAGCCAUUUAAGGAUUUAUACUCUUACCACUUCUUUCAUAUUUGGAUUUAACCUUCUUUGAGUCUCAAUCACCGGUUUAGAGUUUUCUUCCAACAAAAUCCUGUGCAUACAAAUAGUUGAACUAAUUCCUUUGAUAUCAGAAAUUGUCCAUCCUAUAGCUUUUAAAUGCUUUCUCAAAACACGUAAGAGUUUGCCUAGUUGUUCCUCAUCUAGUGCAGAAUUUACAAUCACCGGCAAUAUCUCUUUUUCUCCAAGAAAUGCAUAUUUGAGGUGUUUAGGUAGUGGCUUAAGCUCAAACUGUGGUGCUUGCUCACAUGAUGGUGGAGGUAGCCCUUUGCUCAGUCCUAACUCCUCAUAUGCAUUUCUCCUUUUGUAAGGAACCUAUGCCUGCAAAAAAUCAGUCAUUUUUUCAACUUGUUCCUCUUGUAAACCUAUACCAUUAAGACAAAAUUCAAGAGAAUUAUCAUCAAGAUUAACUUGACUCAUCUCCAAUGCCAAUUCAUCACAUAUGUCAACAGAAUAAAUAUGGUCAGUAAAAGAGGGAUAUUUCUCCACUUUACUCAAAUCAAAUUUCACUUCCUCUUCACCGAUUUGAAACUUGAACUUACCUCGUUUGACAUCUAUUAUUAUACCUGCAGUCGUUAGAAAUGGUCUACCAAAUAUAAUUGGUACAUUUACAUCUUCCUCCAUGUCUAAAACAACAAAAUCUACAGAAAUAAUGAAAUUUUGCACUUUAAUGAGCACAUUCUCCAAUAUGCCUAUUGGAUGUCUAAUAGACCUGUCAGCUAAUUGCAAGGAAAUGUUAGUACGUUUUAACUCUUUCAACCCCAAUUGCCUAGUCACAGUUAAAGGGAUCAAUGAAACACUUGCAUCAAGGUCACAAAGUGCUUUAGAGAAUUUUACAUUACCAAUAGUGCAAGGAACUGUGAAACUCCUUGGAUCUUUCAAUUUUGGUGGCAAUUUAUUUUGUAUGAUGGCACUACAUUCUUCCGUUAAUGCAAUUGUCUCUUUAUCUACUAACUUCCUUUUCCUAGUCAUUAUCUCCUUGAGAAAUUUUGCGUAUGAAGGAAUCUGCAAAAUGGCAUCAACAAAAGGUAUAUUAAUAUGUAAUUGUUUGAAAAUAUUAACAAACUUUUCAAAUUCUUUGUCAUUUCUUGAAGGCUUCAAUCUUUGAGGGAAUGGCACCGGUGGAGGAAUUGGUGUUGUAUCUUCCAUUUGUGGCUCAUUUUUUUCCACAUUUUCUUUCCCUUUAAUUUUCUUGCCAUUCUCUCCUAACUCACUCAACUGCUUGUUCUCUCUUCUUUCACAUUCUCUCUCAUUUUCAACUACUGGUGGCUCACCUACUUCCUUACUACUAUGGAGGGUUAUAACCUUGACAUGCUCCCUUGAAUUUACCUCAGUCUUGCUAGGUAAAUCCCCUUGGUUGCGAUUGUUAACCGCAUUUGCUAUUUGCUCUAAUGGACCUCAACAUUCCUGUACAUAUUGGUGAGUUGGUUUAUCUUUCCUUCAAUUCUUUCAAACAGUUGAGUAAUGACAUUGCCUAACUUUUCAAUUUUAUCAUUUGAUACAUUUGCCAGCUUUUCAAUUGCCAAUUCCCAAGCUGGUUUGGACUCCAGAAGUGGUUGCUUUGGUUGAAAAUUCGGUGGAUUAACUGGUCUUUGUUGGUUCCCUUGAUCAUUCCUUCCUAAAUUCGAGUGAUUGGGCCAUCCUGAAUUAUAGGUAUUGGAGUAUGGAUUGUUUUGGGGUGGACGGUUGUAAUUAUUGAGAUAUUGAACCUGUUCGUUGUUAGAACACAUAGAAUCAUCAUGAUCUCCGCCGCAAGUAGUACAACAUGCAACAACUACUCCUUGAUUAGAGUUAGAACCAACGUGCCUAUUAAGCAUCUUAACUACAUUAUCCAUUUUUGUACUUAACAUAUUCAAGAUAUCUAUUUCGAGCAUACCUGCGGUUCUUCUUGUAUUACGUCGUUCGUUUGCCCAUUGGUCAUUGUUAGCAGCCAUUUCUUCAAUCAGUUGUUGAGCUUCCUCAGCUGUCUUUCCCACCAAUGCUUCUCCCGCUGCCGCAUCUACAUGCGUCGUUGUUGGAUAGGUGAGACCAUUGUAAAAUGUUUGGACUACUAGCCAAUCUGGUAACCCAUGAUGAGGACAUUUUCGUUGCAAUUCCCGAUAGCGCUCCCAAGUUUCAUACAAUGUCUCUCCUUCCUGUUGAGAGAAACUAGUUAUAUCCAUUCUAAGUUUAGCAGUUUUUUCAGGUGGAAAAAAUUUAUUUAGAAAAGCUUUAGCUAAUUCAGCCCAAGUAGUGAAAGUGUUUGGAUGAUGAGAUUGUAACCAAACAUUGACCUUGUCCCUUAGUGAAAAUGGAAACAAUCGAAGUUUAAUUGCAUCCUCACUAACACCAUUAAAUUUAAUUGUAUCACAGAUUUCAAGAAAUGUUGACAAGUGAGAAUUUGGAUCUUCGGUAGCAUUACCUCCAUAUUGAGAUUGUUGUACCAUUUGAAUCAGUGAUGAUUUAAUUUCAAAAUUAUUAGCAUUUACCGUUGGCCUUGCAAUGCUAGUUUGAGAAUCGUGUGUUCUCGGUAAAGCAAAAUCUCGUAGAAUUCGCCUAUUGGGUUCAUUUUCCGCCAUUUCUUCCUCAAAUGGUAACUCUAUUAAGAUUUCCUCUAUCGGCUGCCAAACUUCUUGUUCCUCUUGAUGCGGUGUAUUCCUCCUUUGUCUCUGUAGUGUCCUCUCAAUUUCAGGAUCGAAAAGUGCAACUUCUCGAUUUGAUCGGUGCAUACACUACAAAUAAAAACAAGAGAAAUUUUGUAGUUUUAAUUGUUAAAAUCAACUAUAAACAACUUGAAUAAAAAUAUUGAAAAUAUCUAAAUUAAUAGAGAUGAUUAGGCCCUAAUAUUGCCGCUCCCCGGCAACAGCGCCAAAAACUUGAUGGAAUUUUUUAUCAAUGCAAAUUUAAAUCCAAUUUUAUACCCGUUGACUGCAAGUAUACAGGUCAAAAUCAUAAUAUAGGGUACAUAUCGGGUGGAUCCCACGAGGAGCAAAUUAAACAAGUACUAGACCCUUAUUUCUCUCUAUUAUUUAGACUUACAAUAAAUCUGAGUAAGAAAAUAAUAAUGCUAUUGUAUACAAAUCUGGUUUAAUCAAUAUUAAAUGCAAAUGGAGAAAUUUCACUAAAGAUUGAAUCUAGGGAUGUAGAUUCCACUUAUGGCUUAAACAACACAAAUAAAUGGAUUUACCUCUUGUUAUUAUUCUUGUUUAACCAGAGAUUCAUUUCCAAUAUUAUCAAAUCUCAUUCUCAUGAUGAAAUGGCCUAAAACAAAAUAGUUUUCCCUAUUUUCAUGGUGAAAUACUACUACUACUCUGUUUUCUUUCAUGAAAUGUUAAGUAAUCCACUUAAGUGUAUCUCUAUUUUCAUGAACAUACAACUUAAGCUCUACUCAUGUGUUUCCAUUGUUACUACCAAUUCUCAUUGAACAAUAACAACUAUAAAUUUGCUAUUGGUGAUCAAGCAAUAACAAGUAAUUACUACAUGCACAAAUAGACAAGUUAAUACAAGAUAUAACAAGUGUAAAUCACAUUCAAUUCAUAUCAUUUAGCCAUAAGUUUCAUCUACUCCCUAGAUAAAGAAAAUUAGCUACUCAUGAAUGAUUUAACAAUCAAACUCACAAGUUUAUUAAUGCAAAACAUCAUAAAGUACAAGUACAAUAAAGAUAAAAGAAAGCUUAGCUAAUUGAUGGUGAAGCCCUCCAAUUUCUGCUAUGUUCUUGUACAAGAUGAUUACAAGUUAAAACUCCAAAUGCUUCUCAAAGAACUCCUAACUAGAGAAAAACUAGUUACAAGAAGGAAAACUAGCUACGUAUGGUAUUCUCCAGCUCCUCCCUUGUGUCUCUGCAUAAAAAGUGGUAGAAAGGCAUUUUUUUCUCCUUCAUGAUUUCAACCACUUAGAUUUUGUAAAGGAAAUCAAAAGAUUUGUUGUUUUGACUUGUCAAUAACUCAUUUGUCUUCCCUUUUGUUGCAGAAGCAUGUGCCAUUGAAUUCACUCACUCCAAAUAGCUGAAAAGUUGUGUGAAAAGUGAGAAAAAAGGGCUGUGCCACUUGCAGAAGAGAGGAGUAGAUCCGAGCCACGGAUCCGAGGGGUGCACAACGAUCUGAGCUCGGAUCGAGGCUGAUUCGAGGCCUUUCACUAAUGAUCCGAGCUCGGAUCAUCUGACCUCGGAUGCAUUGCUCCAGAAGUACAGACGAGGGCUCGGAUCACCCUUGAUUCACAUGAAUCCGAGCUCGGAUCCGUGCUGGUCCUUUUUUCAGUUUUUUACUUCUUUUCCUUUUUCUUCACUUUUGCUCCUAAUUUCUUAUGUACUUUAUCCUCUGGAUGAUCCUUACAUUUCCUUCAUCUCGUGCAUGAAUUUCUUACAUCAAUAUCCUUCACAAUUUCACAAAAUUAACGCAUUAUUCACUAAUUUAUCAAGUUUUGAACACUUAAACAAUAUUUAAUCAAUUAUUACCAAAAGAGUUCAAAUAUGGUUUUAAUCUUCUCAAAACAUACCAAAAGUUCAUGCCAAACUUGUACAAAAUGUAUGUUAAAUAUUCUCUUAUCAGAUAGGAUGUGUCAUUCUAUAUAUAGCAUGCAAUCAAAUAUGGGAUGAUAUAGGAUAAUUAAUCCAAUCUUGUAUAAUCCCGCGAACCAAACAGACCCUUAAGGCAAACCUUGGAUUCUCACUCUACCCCUAACCUUUAAGAGACAAAAUGUCCCUCUAUUAUGUUUUAAUCUUUGAACUUUAACUUGGAAUUUGAUUUUGACCACUCUAAUUGAUAGUGGUAAACUUUCUCAUGAGAUGAGUACAUAUAUUAGGGAAUACACUAACAACUAAUUAUUUUUUUAAAAAUGGCAAAAAAAUCCUAAUAAACAAAAAUCAUUAUAGAAAAAACAAAGAAAAAUUUGAGUGUUGACAUAUGAAUGUGUAAUUGUAAAUAUGGGUAAUUGACCUUGAAUAGUGUAAUUAUAAGGAAAUAGAAUAAAAUUAUUUACUUAAUUUCUUAAAGUGGAAAAUAGAUUAAAUUGAUUUGUUAAAAAAAAAAUAGUUUUUAAUUUUGUAAAUUAGAGAAUGAGCAUCCUAAAGUUUUUAUUAUAGAAAUUUAUUAUUUUGUUAUAAAUAAAAAUUUGAUAAAAGAAAACUAAUUUGGAAUAAAAAAGAAGAAAGAAAAAAGGAAAAAAACUUACACAAUAGAGGGGUACUUUUGUCUCUAUAUUUUUUUAGGUCUAAGUGAUAUAGAAUAAAGAUUAGGGGGUAAAGUGAGAAUCAAGGUAUAUCUUUAGAGGAUAAAUUGCCAUUAAGCCUUAAUUUUAUGUAAAAUUUUAAAAAAUAAAGCAGUAGUAGUUGCAAUUUUGCAGAUAUUUGGUUAUUUAUUGUGUUUUUGGUGGUUAUGCUAACACCAUGUGAUUAGAUAGUUACAAUAGGAAAUAGCUUUUCUUAAUCACUUUUUUUCCCAAAGAUUUGGAGUAUCUCAAUAACAUGUUACCCCUCUCAACUUUAGAUAUAUGCAUUUUGGCUCCUACAAAAAUACCAAUUAACCACUAGAGAUGAUGCUUUCAUCCAAAAAGCUAAUGAAAUGACAUUGAUCCAAAGAGAACUGACUGUCAUACUUCAAAAAAAAAAAAAACUAUCUGGUUAGUAGGGUGCCACUCCCUCUGCAACAAUGUGCCAUGUGUUAGUAGGGUCCAUUUUAUGUAGUACAAACGAGUCCCACUAGCAAGCUGUAAGCUAGGUAAUUGACUUAAUCAUUAUGCUUUUUUUAAAAAAAAAUUGCAUGAGAGGUAUAUUAUUCCUUUUUAGCAAUUAAUGAAAUGUUACACUACAAAUUUUGAUCCGUAGGAUUACCUUAUCCAAAUUUUCCACAAAAAUGGAUAAUCAACUAGUUUGAGCACUGAAUCACAAUUGUAUUUCUCAUUUAUACCAUAAUUUAAAUUAGACAAUAUAGUAUGUCCAACUGUGUGCAAGACCAGAGAAAAAGAGUACACAAGCUUGUCUGAGAGAGAGAGAGAGAGAGAGUCAAAGAUAUGUAUAUUGUAUCAAGUAUGUGUUGGACAAAGGGGAAGCAGAGUAAGUUUGUGUACGGGGGAUGGUUUUUGUGCAUGAGAGGGAGAGACCAAAGGCUAUAUAUGUGUGUUCCUUUGAAUGUGUAUGGGCUAAGAGAAUAGUGUGUGCAAGUAUGUGUGACUACGGGAGAAAAGGAAACAUUAUUGUAUGUGCACUGAUAAGUGCGUAUUUUAUGUAUUUUAAGCGUAUUUUAUUAUUUCAUUUUGGUAUAUUUUAGUCAUUUUUAUAGCUAAUUAACUAAAUUUCUAGUGAAGGGCGCAUUUUGUGGUUUAAGUAAGAAAAAUUGUAUUUCUAUGUAUUCAAAUGGUGGAAACUUCAUGUUUUUCUAGGGUUUAAUAAUUCAAUCAUCAAAUGAAGUGAAUUGAGAAGAUAUUUGGAUGAUUGUUGAUGAUUUAAAGAGAAUAUGAGGUACAAAAUGUUCAAAAGAUGAAAUGUAAACAAGUAUAAAAGAACAAAUGUUUGACAGCUUUGACCCCUUUUGAUAUUUCGACUAUAUUUUGAGUUAAAAAUAUUAGAUUGACCUGAUUUCUGACCUAUUUUGAAACUAAGACAUAUUUCUACAUUUAUUAUGAGACAUAAAAAUUUAGUUCAUGAGUUUUCUUAGUCAAAAAGUCGAAAUACUGUUGGCCAUUUUUUUUUGUCAAAAGUUGAAAUAGGGGAUUGACCAGUGAAAGCUAGUUUGGCCAUUUCACAGUCUACAGAACUCUAAAUUUGAUGAUUCUUGAUGCAUUGAAAAACUAACUCAAAAAUAUGUAACUUUCAUGUUUUGUAAAAGAACUAGUUCAGCCUCCAUUAUCUAAAAAAUAUCAGUUGAAUUUGGUGCAAAAAUAGAGUAAAAUUGAAGAUUGAUAAAAAAAAGUGCAAACCUGCAGGAGAGGCAAUACGCAGGUGCAAUACGCAACCUUACACCUGCGUACUCUUAAGGAAGUUGUGUAACUUGUACAACCACUUGCUCUAAUUUUUUACAACUAUUUACAGUUUAAUUCCAACAAAAAUUUCGGCUGCAGCUAUAAAGAAGAGUAUGGAGACUUGUAAAAGAAUAUUUUGCGAAUCUCAAAAAACAUCUUACAUUAAUUUUAGCAACUCAUUUGGAGCUUGAAUUCUCUAUAAAUAGAGGUCUUGGAGAACAAUUUUCAUAACUUUGGAAGGCUAGAAACACUAUCAAAAAUAUAGUUUUCACUAGUUUUUCUUAGUUCAUUAGUAUAGUAUAGUAUAGUAAGUGUAUUUAUUCAUCUUCUACUUGUAGAUAUGGAUGAAGAAUUGUGGAGCAAAGAUGGAGAAUUGGAGUUCAUGUGACAAGGAUGACCUCUCUUCUAUCACUUUUUCUUUUGCAUUUGAUUUCAUGUUUAGUUAUAGUAUAAGUUUGGAUUUUUUCAUGUGUCGCUAAGGUUUAUGUCUAGAGUUAUAGAUGAACUUUCUAUAUCUUAUUAGUGAUAUUUAAUUAGUUAUUUGAUAAUAUUAUUUUGAACAAGUUAUUUAUCACUUUUUUCUUUCUAAUCAUGAUUAAGUGGCCAUUAAUUUUGAUAAUCUUAAGGUGUUAAGUUUGCAAUGAAAAUUGGUAUUUGACACUAAUUCAAAAAAGUGCUAAACCUAAGAAUAUACUCAUAAGAGUAGAGAUGCACCUUUAUGAUUUUAGUGGCUUGUUCCAUAUAAUUUUAUAGAAGAAAUGAGUUUGUAAUUAAUUUCAUAACCACAAGAGUAGAUAUAGCUUAAGUACAUGUAUAAUUAAUUCACUACAAGAGUAGGUUUUAUAUACAUUAGGAAAUUACGCCAUAACUAACCAAGAUAACAACAUUCAAUUAAUCGAUAAUUUCACUUGUAAGGGUAGUAAGAAAUUCCAUAAUUCUAGGAAUUUUAUAUUGUUAUUUUUGUUACUUUUAUUUCGUGUUUGUAGCGUUUGUGAUAAUCUAAAUAAUAAAGAAGUUCGAUCGGUAAUUGAUAAUCUUCCAUGUAAGAUCGACACCUGAUAUCCCUAUACUCGAUAAAUGAUCUGUAUACUUAUAAAAAAGGGGUAUUUAGGUUUUAUUAAAAUUUGGUACAUAGUAAAAUCUAGUCAUAAAUCUAUAAAAGGAGUGUGUGCUGUUAAAGUUGUCUAUUUAUGAACAACAGCAAUAAAGAAACAUAAUGCGAAAUUGCAUAAGGAUUAAUAUUUUGUAUACUUCCAAUUUAUCUUAGCUUGUCAAAAGCUUGCUGAAAAUUAGUAAAUCAAGUAAAUAAAUUUCACUUCUAAUUUCUAUAGACAAUUUAAGUGAUGCUUAAUGUACAUAUUGAUAAAAUAUUUUUAUUACCAAACACGUACGACUUUAGAAAGCAAAUACUAAAUGAAUUUCGACAAUUAAUGGAGUUAUCAAAGACCCCAUCAUCUCAGUAUUAAUCUAGAUCGUCAUGAAGAACAAGAGAGCAGGCCUUUUCAAUUACGCCUUUCGUCUUUCGCCCGCUACUUCAUCGCCUGAUCAGAAGAUGGGCUUCAAAAGCAGCCUGGUCUAAUUCAACUGUACAACUUUUUAAUUUUAAUUACUUCUAUGGUGGUGCCUUGUGGCAAUCCUACUUCACUAAUUAUUAUUGUAAUAGCUUUACGAAAUACUUCUGUGGAAAAGAGUAGAAAAUGAAAAGACAAUAUUAUCGUUAAUAAACAAGUAAGAGUAGUCUCUUUGCCUCUUUCGAAAUGUUUAACAUCCUUAUAUGAGAACUGGAAAGGGUUAUGUGAAUAUCAUUAGCCACUAAGAAUUAAUCAAAAUCAUCAAGUUAGAAACUAAGGAUUCAUUAACAAUCCAAUCUUAAGUGAGAAGUUCGUUGACAUUUUUCGGUUAUUUGACAAAUGAAAACAAUAGAAAGGAAAGGGUAUAAAUGAGUAAAACAGGAGGGGUGAGUUACAAAAUCCUCAAAUUUUGAAAUGGCCAAUAUACAAGAAUCGAGCUACUAACGAUGAGUUGCCACAUUGAGAAAGUUUUUUACAUGAUAUUCCAUUGGGUAUCUCCUAUAACCCAUUCUGUGGAGUCUCGGGUCUCUAUAGUUCCAGAUGCAACUGCAGAAGGCAGUCAUGGACUAGAUUGAAAAUAUAAAAUAAAUGGUUUAGGUCAGAUUGAGCUGAAUUGGCCCGAUCGAGACCACUCAGUGAAUGAUGCUUUGAGUAUAUCAUAUGCAAAAACUUGAAAAGUCAAGAGCCAUUCAAAACUCAAUUAAUCGGGUAGAACUGGAUAUCAAGAAAAAUGUAAAAAAUAGAUUUUUUUUUACUUUUCAUUUUUUUUUUCUAUUUUUCUCCUCCUAAUUUCUUAAGAGAAUGAAAAAUAUGUUAAGUUCUUUGCAGGUUCAAUUAAACUAUUUCUGUUUGUGCAUUUCGCCAGGAGGUGAAGAAGCCAACUGUAGCUGCUGGUCAACUAUUCAAAAUGGAGAAAUGGAAAAACUGUAAGAAAGAAAGAGAAUAUAAGAGAUGAAGAAUAGGGAAAAGAACAAAAGAAGGUUCCGGCUUGGUGUUUAAUUGGGUGAAAUAUAGAAACAAAAGAAAAACAAUUACUCACAAACAUAUAAAAAUAAGAAAAACAAAGAAGAAAAUAUAUGGUGGCAAAAAAUUGAAGUUGAUAAAUUGCCAUUUGUAAAUAACAAAACACAGGAAGAUUACACUGCCAAGACCAAAAUUAUUUUCAUACAAUCUUGGACCCAUUGAUGCUUUGAAUAGUUCUGUGAGCCUUGAUCUAGUUCUACACAUCUUCACUAAGGGAAAAAAAAGUGUUCGGAUCAUCAAUAUUUUUUUUUUUUUAAUUUGUAGUCUUUUAUUGAUGAGAAUAAUUGUUACACACAGAGAAACAUCAUUUUGAAGUACAUGAUUGAACUAUAAAGACAACAAAUGAACCAGAGAUGUUUGGUGCUUUGUUGAAAAGCAAAGUAGCUCCAAUUCUCCUUAAUCCUCAGCCCUUCAUACGCUUAAUUUUCCGAAUUGAAGGCAUCCCUAAUCUGUCGAGGCGAAUUGCUCCACGAGCCAUAGUUGGGAACAUAUGGAAGGAGUCGUAUAACUUGAGUUGAUGCUCUGGAUGAGAGACACCCACAUUGGACAAUGCAUCAGCGACUGUGUUAGCUUCCCUAUAACAAUGUGAAAAACGAUCAGGAUCUUCCACGAACUGCCAAAUCUGCCUAAUCUCUCGUCGAAUCUUCCAAGGGCAGUGUAUACGUUUCUGAAGAAUUCCAAUUAAUACCAAAGAAUCCGAUUGAAUAUAGAGAUUUUCAAAACCCCUAUGUAUGGAUGUUUGAAUGCCAAUAAGAAGAGCCCGGGCCUCUGCACUUAGACAUGUAGUUUCUCCAAGAUAUGCCGAAAAACCAAUCAAAGGAAUACCAUGUGAAUCCCGAAGAACCCCACCUCCUCCACCCAAACCUGGAUUACCCUUAGAACAGCCAUCUGUAUUGAGUGUAAAACGACCAGUUUCCUUUGGUUCCCAAUAAACAAGUUUGUACGUGAGAUAAAUGUGAGAUGAAUCUGGCCAAUCGUACAAAUGAUAGAAUGAAUGAGCCUUGAAAACCUGUUUGAAAUAAAUUUCCACAAUGAUCUGGAUUUCCAAGGAAAUGGCAAGACAAAUGGCGCGCGAUCUCAUAUGGACAUCCUCAAAUAAUGCUUUAUUUCUUGCUUUCCAAAUUUGCCAACAUACUAUAUUCGGAAGAAUUCGUCCAAUGAAUCGCUGUAUCUCUGAAUCAUAUGAGUGCAACCACCAACCCACUAUACGGGAGCGUAAAGAAGAACCAGGAAAAGUCAAUCCACAUAAAGCUCCAAAAUAAUUCCAAACUGUUGAAGCUAUAUGGCCUUUGGAGAAUAAAUGUUCAAUUGACUCCUCCGAAGCGGAAUCGCAGCAGAAACACUUUGAUGGUAAAUGUAAACCAAGUUUACAUAACCUAUCCGGUAAAGGUAGCCUCUCCAGCAACAAUCUUAACAUGAAGAAUGAAAUUUUGAGUGGGAUCUGAGGAUGCCAAAUGCUAUCAAAAACCAUAGACUUGUUUCGUGCUUGCCUAAUAUCCUGAAAUGCCGAAGCUAGAGAGAAGUUUCCAGAUGUUGUGGACAUCCAAAUGACUUCAGCUUCACCCCAGUCUUCCGGGACUGGAUGCUCUAAAAUAGAGGGAACCAAAUCUGUAGGCAAUGUUUGAUAUAAUCUAAUCACAUCCCAGUGUCCAUUGAUGAUAAAAUCACCAAACGACAAAUUAGAGACCACCGUCAUACGGAGAAACAAGGCACCCCCUCCCAACCAAUUGUCGUACCAAAAAUGACAAGCUCCGUUUUUGAUAUCCCAUAGUAUAGAUAGUUCCACUUGUCGACUCACAUUGACCAUCCUUCUCCAGAUUGCGGAAUCCAUUGACCUGAUUUCUACCUGACAAGGAUGUAGUAGUCUACAAUACUUAGCUUUCAUGAACGAAGCCCACAACGAGCAUCCCUUUCUGAAGUUCCACCAAAGCUUGAAUGAGAAUGCUGUGUAGAUGUCCUGUAACCUGCGAAAACCAACUCCUCCCUCAUCUACCGGAUAGCACAUUUGAGACCACCGUAUCCAGUGAAAUUUAGACUCCUCGGAGGAUGACCCCCAUAGGAAGGUCGAGAAGGCUUUUUCUAUAGUUCUAAAUACCUUACCUGGGAUAACCGCUGCUGACAACAGAUGUACUGGCAUCGUUGCUAACACAUGUUUGAUUAGAACUAUUUUGCCUCCAAGAGAAAGCAUCCUUGAUUUCCAUGACCUUAUUCUCCCUAGGAUAGAUUGGCAAACUUCCCCAAAAUAUGAUGAUUUACAUCUGCCAAAGUAGAGGGGGAAUCCCAAAUAACGUAUUGGAAAUGGGUGAUAAUUGAAUUUGGUGAGACGUUCAAUCACCCUUCUUCGUGCCAGUGAUAUCGAAGGAUGUACUAAGUAACAACUUUUCAGCACAUUUAUCAAUUGUCCAGAACACCUUUGAUACGCAUCUAGCACCCGCAUGAUAAGCUUUAGAGAAUAAGAGGAUCCAUUUGAAAAAAUUAGAAUAUCAUCCGCAAAAGCCAAAUAAGUUAUAGUAGGACAUGCAAAGGGGACUUUGAAACCCACAAACCCCGGUUGCAUAGCAAGAUUAUUCAAUCCUCUAGAUAACACCUCAGCUCCUAUGAUGAAUAAGGCAGGCGAUAAUGGAUCACCCUGACGUAGGCCUCGUGUAGAUUUGAAGAAACCAUGUGAUGCCCCAUUUAUAAUGAUGGAAAACCAAACAUUGGAGAUCAAUCGCCAAACCAAAUCAAUGAAUCUUUCUCCAAAGCCAAAUCUCCUGAGAACACCAAUGAUAUGAUCCCAUGCCACUCGGUCAUAUGCCUUAGACAUGUCCAACUUCAUUACCACAUUACCACCUCUAGUCUUUUUCCCAAUACCCGACACUACCUCCUGUGCUAGCAAAAAAUUUCUGUUAUAUUACGGCCCUUUACAAAGCCUGUCUGCUGGGGCGAAAUAAUUUUGGGCAAAAGAGAAGCCACUCUAUCAGCUAAGAUCCUGGAUAACAACUUGUUGAAGAAGUUACACAGACUGAUUGGCCUGUAAUGAGAAAAUUCCUGAGGAUUUGGGUUUUUUGGAAUUAAUACAAUUGAGGUAGAAGUGAUAAAUCGAGGCAACUCUGCCCCACAGAAAAAGCUGAGAAUUGCCUUGUAGACAUCUUGGGCAAUAAUGUCCCAGGCGAAUGUAAAAAAUUUGCCUGUGAAGCCAUCGGGGCCAGCAGCACUAUCCCCAUCCAUUGACUUUAGAACUCGAUGAAUCUCUUCAAUCGAAGGCACUUCUUCCAAUUUUCUAUUUUCCUCUUCCGAUAUCAUGUGCGGGAUCAUAUGUCGCAUAGCAGAAGAUGACUCAAGAUAGCCAGUGAAGAGAUCAGAGAAAUAUGAUAUGGCCUCAGUUGCUAUAUCAGCAUUGGUGUCCACCCAAACUCCGUUUGACUUUUUUAUACGGUGUAUCAUUCCUUUAAUCCGUCUCUGUCUUACGACCGCAUGGAAAUAUUUUGAAUUGCGAUCUCCCUGUUUAAGCCAUUUUGCCCUGGCUUUUUGGCUCCAAAAUUGCUCUUCUAUUGACAAUGCAUUCCGCAACUCUGCCUGAGCCUUACUGAGCUCAACCUGAAAUUCCUCCGAUGCAUAUUGAUCCAUCGAUUCUUCUGCUUGUUUGACCACCUCUUCCGCCGAACGUACAGCAUCAAAUAUAUUCCCAAAAUGUUGCUUGUUCCAUGUAUGAAUAGCCCUCCUCGUUGCCAAUAAUUUAGAGCACAAAACACGUAGCGGAGAUCCACUCACAUCUUGAUUCCAAGCCUGUCGAAUCACAUCCAAUAGUUGUGGUUUGGUCGUCCAGACAUUCAAAAAUCUGAAAGGUCGUGGACUAUUGUCUGAUCGAUCAGAAAAAGUAAUUUUCAAUAGUGCAUGAUCCGAGGGAUGUCUUGGGAGAUGGAGUACAGAAAUCACGUCUGAGAAAUCCAAACAAGACCCAUUAAUUAAGAAUCUAUCCAAUCUCUUUGAAACCCGAGCUCUACCUCUCCGAUUAUUAGACCAUGUGAAACUAGCUCCUGAAAAGCCGACAUCCAAAACCCCUGCCUCUUCCAUAAAAGACAUGAAAUCCGCUCCUUCCGCUAUAGCAAACGGACGUCCACCUCGUUUUUCGUGAGGGGCUAAAAUAACAUUAAAGUCCCCCCCAAUACACCAAGGUAGUGAAACAGGCUUAUCAUUUAAUAAUGAACACCAUAAGCCACACCGCUCCUCUAAUGAACAUUUAGCAUGGACAAAAGACAUGAUGAUUGGAGAAGAAAACAAUUGACUUUGAACCUGUAUGGAAAUAUGCUGAUCCGAACUACCAGUAAUGGAACACACAAAAGGGCUACUAUAGAAUAUCCAAAUAUCACCCGAUAAGUUAACAAAUGAAUAAUCAAAUAAUAAUCGUAGUCGAAUGGACUCAAUUUUGGACACGUCUGACUUUGGUUCACAAAUGACAACAAACUUCAAAUGGUGAGCACGAACUAAAUUUAUCAAUCUUCUUAGAUUAGGGGCUUUAGCCACCCCUCUGAUAUUCCAAAAUAAACCACUAAUCAUGAGAAAAAACCUGGAAAGAGUUUUGAGACGAUGUUGCUGAACGUAGCUGUCUGUCGGAUGGGAAGCCAGCUCGCACACCCUUAGCACGAUCUUGUCGGCAAUCCAUUUGAACACCUACAGAUUGGUCAAUGUUUAGAGUGUGUAUUGAUGGCUCAGCCGACUUCUCACGUGGUAUAACCAAUCUCGGAGAUAGAUUUCCUACAUUAGUUGGCAAAGCUACUUCAUCAGCCGCAUUGGAUUUGGAAUCUUCAUCAUCAGCUCCACGCAAUUCGACAUAGAGAUUAUCUAUCUCAGUGGUGUCGGACCUUUCAUGAUAAACUAAUCCCAAGUUAUGCUCCUCAAUAAGCUGGGGCCCCGAUGAAUUAUUCCCAUUGGAAUUGUCGGGCUGUUGGUUAAUUUUGCUUGUGGUGCUGAUCAUUUGAUGCUGAACCAUUCCCACGUUAUGUUUCCUGAGAAUUUGUGGCCCCUCACAAUCAUUUCCAUAGCAAACUGUCAAUUGGUCUUCCAUGACCGAAUGCUCCUUAUGGACAUGCAUGACGACAUCAGCAACCGACUGUGGAUGUGCAUCAGUAUUUGAAGCUGCUGUUUUUUUUCCCUCCUUGACCGCAUAAGCGUCGGCAACUGCAUCGUUUUGCUCAGGUGUUCCAGACUGCUCCAUUGCACCUAUUGACGUUCCUUCAAUUUCAAUUACUCCCGGAAGUCGCACCUCUUCAGUAGCUGACUUGAAUUCCGUUGAUGCUUUCCCUUUGGCUUCAGUGUUGCAUUUGUCAGCAGUUCCCUCAGAUUCUUUUGUUACAGCUGUUGUAAUUCCUUCGUCUUUUGUCUCACCAGAAAUUUGCAUUUGUUCAGGAGCUGUUGUACCCUCUUUUGAUAUUUUUUCUUUAGCUUCUGAGUCAUUGCAUUCAUUUGUAAUGACUAAUUUAUGUUGAGUAUUUCCAGAUAGCUUUGAACCAUGCUUAGGCCUUUUGGUUUGAUUGUUUUGGUGUUGAUGUCCACCAUCGAUGAAGUUCUUCUUGCAAUUUUCAGAUGAAUGACCCAAUCUCCAGCAAGAUGAACAAUAGCUUGGCAUAUCAUUUGGUACAAUCGUUUGCCAAAAGCCGGUUUCUCCUUCAACCGCCACCCAGAUUCUCGAUAAAACAGGCUUUGCUACAUCAAUCUCCACGCAUACCCUUGCCACACUAGGACGCGUCCCAGCAGCCGUUGCCGAAUCCAAAAACAAUGGUCUUCCUACUGGAGAUAAUAUGGAAAACAACGAAUGUUUAUCAAAAAAAUGGAUAGGUAAAUUUGGAAGUUCAACCCAAACUGGUACCAGAGAGGAUUCUCUGAGCACAUGAAAUUCCCGGGACCAUCGAAAUACACGCAUUGGAAAUUUGCCUAAUUGCCAAAUCCCUCUCGUCCAAAUCCUGUUAAAAUCUGCUUCAGCGGAGCACUUGAUCAGAACAUGCCAGUAAUCCAUCAAGCCAAUGAAAAUGUGGUCUUUUAGGUUUAAUGAAGCAAAGAACUUGCGAAUAUCUUCUAAAGAAGGUCUCCCAUGAGAGAAUUUUCCAACUAAAGACCAUCGAAACGGCUCCGAAAGUUUUUCUACAUCUGCUCUGGAGAAAAUGACUGCAGCUUCACCUUUGUAGACAGUCGCUGGCCGAAUUGGGAUAAAUGAUGUUGAAGGUUGUGAAAAAAGUUGGGAGAAAGAUUUUUUUUUUUGUAGGAGAUCCUUGCCCCUAUGGCGAGUAAUGAAGCUAUCAAAUUUGUUGAAUUCAUCUUGAUGUAUUAGCUUUAGCAAGGUUUCAGAAUGCGGCUCUUAACUGAUUUAGGAAAAUAAUUAGGUCGAAUGUCAUUUGUUCAACUGGUAUGCCGACCAUUAUUGACAUGUAUGUAUACGUGGUAGCUAUUAGUCUAUUUGUUAAAUAUAUGAAAUAUGGAAAUACUUCUUUGGAAUUUCCCUUUCAUGAUAGAAGAAAUCAAUGCAAUCCGCAUUUUACCCACAUAAAUAAAAUUAAACACGUAAUUGAGAGUUUUAUUCCUUAAAGGACAGAGAAAACAAAAAAGGACCAAAAAUUUAAUAUGUAUUUGAAAUUUAAACAAGUUUAAUUACAAGGAGAAAUAAAUGCCUGCGUAACUUGCAAGGGGGUAAGCAAACUGGAAAAAGAGUUUGUAUUUAAGGUUAAUUGCAAAAUAUCCAAGGUUCGCAUUGUAAAGUGUCCCCUGACAAGUAUAUAUUUUGCCUAAUAUUUUGUACAUAUUUUGGAUGGAUUGUGGUGGAAUUGGGAUUAAAAUGAUGAUGAGAAUGGCUAUUUUGAUUAUUAGAUGAUUAGCUAAUGAGUUAGUAAGCAAAGGAUGAAAAACUGUGUGAAAAUGGAAAGAUUUAUUUGUUAAAUUGGUUGUGGUAGGAAGGCAAAAUUUACGGCGUCGGAUACCUGGUUUCGAAGAAAAUAUAUGGCGUCAGAUAGAAGGAGUCAAACCAGAUAAUGCGCUAGAUAUUAGUAAGAAAAUUUUAGAAGAAGGGAUGUUCAGCAGUAUAUGGCAUUAGAUAGUGAAAUUGGCUUCAGAUACUUGUAUGCCUAAGCGGGAAAAUCUUCUCUAAUUGCGCAACUUGUGCAACUUCCUGCAAACUUUGCAGCUCUUUUUCUGGUGACAACUAGGAUGUCUUGACAGCUACUAAUUGGAUCCAAAACAUCAACUUUUCUCACCUUUUUGCAACUUUGUGUCAUUUUUAAUAUUCAAUUAUGUCAAGAAAAGGGUGGAUGAAGACUUUUGGGCAGAGAAGCUUCUUGAAAAAGGCACUCUUGUUGGGAUAUCAAGAAGAUAGAAUAGAAGAUAGAGUUAGUUUUUUCUUAGACUAGAACUUGCACUCUCUCUCUAGAAUAGAAUAGGACUUUUAGCAAAACUCUUGAUGUAAUCUUGUUAUUUUGAAGACAAAGGAGAAUUUGGAGUUUGGAGAUCUUUGUUCCUUUAAUCGAAUAAGUAUUUUCUUCUCCCUUUCUUUUUAUUUCGUUGGAUAUAUGUUGGGAUUCAUAAAAAAUUUAUGCUUUAUGUGUUUAUUCUUCAUAUCUAGCUAAUAUAUUUGUUCUAAGAGUGGAUAAUGCCUUGUGUUUCUUGAUCUUGGUUUGAAUGAAUAGAUGAAUGUUACCUUUUGUUCUUGCUAGUUCAUUUAAGAUUGCUUGAACAUUUGUGAAUGCUUGAUCACCAUUUACAAAUUAUUUUAGUUGUUGUUUAUCAAUGAAAAUUGGUAGAUGAUGAUGAAACCGACUUAAUGGAGCUUAGGAUCUUAGCACACGAAAGUAGUGUUGAGACUAGGUAGGGUUUAGUACAUUCUCGAGUUUAAUGGCACCAUACUUGUUGUUUCACCAUGAAAGUAGGGAACUGCAUGUAUAGGUGACACUCAAUUAAUCGUGAAAGCGAGCUUUGGAUACCAUAAGUGAAUGAGCCUUUAGCAAAACAAGUAAUGUAACAUUUAUCACUCAUUUGAACUAUAAACAAAGACAUUUGAUUAAUUCCAUAUCCUAGAUUUUGUGUUUUAGUUGAAUUUAUCCAUUAACUUAUAGCUGUUAUAAAUUAGUAUGUAGAGUAGAUUUUAUUUCUCAUUGUUGUGGUUUAUCUAGAUAAUAAAGUAAGAUUAAAUUCUAAUAAUUGUGAGUGCUCCUCGAGAGAUUGAGCUUAACUUUCUUGUAUUACAAAACGACCUGUAUACUUGCAACUAAUUAGGGAGUUAUUGAAUAAAAGUAGAGUGCUAGGGAACCCUCACCCCCCAAACUAUAAAUUUCAGCACUAUACUCGUUGAAUAAUCAGCUCUUCGGCAAUGUAUUCCAAUAGAAUUGGUAACUGCAUAAUGUAAUGGAAAAAAGUUAUUAAUGUCUCUAAAUUUAGUUAAGUAGUUAAAAUGACCCGUUCCUCUAGAAGUCUAGAACUAAUAUAUGUAUAUCUGUGAUUUUCUUUCUUUCUUUCUUUCACAUAAAUUGAAGAUCUAUCUUUCUCUUUCAAAUAAAGAAAGAAACCUUCUAUAUACUUAAAUAAAUCUAGCCACUUAACUAAAUACAAGGACAUUAACAAUUUUUUGCUCAUUAAAUUUUCUCAGUGGUGAGUUGAUUGGAGUACUUCAAGAAAGUUCAAUAGUUUGAGGAUGGUACUGUUGAAAUUGAUAGUUUGGAGGACUCGUUGUAGCCCGAAGACAGUUUAGCGAUAUUUUGUAAUUAACACCAGAGCAACUAACAUAAAUGUGUGAUAUAUUUUAUUGUAAAAUGAGUCUCAGACAAAUUUUGUUGGUAAAUAAAAUUUGCAACGUAUUCUAAACAACUCUUUAUGAUUUCUAAGGAAUUGCUGAUCUAGGCUUGUUGAUCAUGUGUAUCAAUACUAAUAUAUGAGUUGACAAGGUAGAAGCAAUUGGAGAGUUGCUGUAGGUCCCAAAUGCGAUAACUAGUUAUCGCAUACCCAUUAGAGGAGUAGUAUAAAAUACACUUUCAAUAAAAUUUACUAUGGCUAGUUGUGGGUAAAUAGAUGAAGAGCUAUAUUUUAGUUCAAACUAAUUUUUUUUUUUCAGCUUUUAGCAUUUUUGUAAGAUUAAAUGUUAAACACAUUGCAGACUUGAAUUUUUAAUCCCUAAUAAUCUAUAGGAUUCAAAUUAAAUGAUCCAAUGGUUAAUUCAUAAAGAACUUAAUGAAACCUCAACCAAGGAGCAUUUAUAUAGAAGAGGGGGAAAAAAAAGAAAAGAAAAGAGACACAUGCACACAAGAGAAGAUUAAACAUGAUAGACAAAGACCAAAGAUUGUUUAUACUUUUGCUCACAGAAUAGAAAAACCCUAGUUUACUAAGCAGAUACUAAUGUCUAAAGGGCAAGUUUUUAUACUUUUCCCAAGACGAAUAAAUUCACACAUUGCUUAACUCCAUUGGAUCCUGAUCAGGGACAGAACUUUCUCCUUGACCAGCGAUACUUGGAGCAUUACUUGUUGAAGCAUUUCUGCUUCCAUUGCGAUCUUUCUCGGUAUGCAAGCUCUUUAUGUAGUUUUGCAGAAGAAUGCUAGGUGUUGGCCAUUUUUUGCUGCAUUUUCGCCCCGAGAAUAGCCUUCUUGUGGCUGCAUGCCAAUGGUUCUUGAUGGAGUUUUCAGUCCUUCCAGGCAGUCUCUUUGCAAUUUCUACCCAUUUGCUUCCUAUUUCAGCAUGAACCUCGACCAAGAUUUUAUCUUCCUCCUCCGUCCAUGUAUCCUUCUGUAAAGGACAACAAAUAAGUAAGGGAAGAAGUUUAUUAAAGAAUCUUAUCAUAGACAGGAAACUUUCUUGGCUGAAUGUUACGCCCGGACACAACCUAAAGUUUACUUCAAUCUCAUAGACAGGAAAAAGAAUAUAAGAAAACAAGAACAAUAUAUUGUGUAAGCAGAAAAAAUUAAAAUAAUGAAAUGCAACACAAGAAUAGCUAUAGGGUACCGUCGAGAUAUUGAUGCAAUGUUAAUUAAUCCAAAAAAAAAAUCAAUGUAAUGCAGUACAUAAACUUUAAAUCACAUUAUCUAAAUUCAACUCAUUUCUUCAAAAUCGCAUGGUAUCUAAAUUCAAUCCCUUUCUUCAAAUUCACGUGCUAAAAUUCAUCUCUAAAACAUUUUUGUAGAAUUGGAGAACAAAUGGUAAUUCUCCGAUAAUGUAAAAUUUGAAAUAUUUUUUUAAAUGAGUAAAAAGAAAUUAUAUGUUUAACUGGAAAGGUGGUUACCAAAAUCUUUACUUUAGCCAUGCUUCUCUAGAAUAGAUAACAAAGAUAUUCAAAAACAAUAAUAUCACGAUUACCAAAAAGAGACUCUUAAUGACGUGGUGUUAGAUGCAAAUAUAUCAAACAUUCUCGUGCAGUUAUGAUCUUCACCAAAUAUAUUGUUGAAAAACCUAUAUUUUAUCGUUUUACAAGCCCACAUUGAUUAUAUGAUACAAUUACAAUUAAGUUGAACAAAUCAAUGGCAAUCCCCAAAGUAGAAACUUUUAAAACAUGGCACCGGAUGUUAAGAUGUUGUUCUAACAUAGAUUUCGUAUCUGCAAAGCAUUUGAAUGGUUGAAGUUUUUUAAUUUUUUUAUACAAACUAAGAUUAAGUUAUGCCAUGUUAUCAACAACAAAUAUUUUUGUUUGUGUCGCGCGUAAUACAGCCAAUGGGCACAUAAUCAUUAAAAAAAAUUACGUACAAGGAUUUUAAUUUGAUGUAAAUUGCAUGAAGAUAUAAGAUAUGUAGACUACAAAUCUAAUAUUUGUGCACUUUUGAAGUGGCUAUUUCUCACAUCUGAAAUGUAUUGUAUAAAAUUAAUCUUCUCAACAGCUUUAUUUUAUGAGCAAAUUUUUCCCUCCUUUUCCAGUGGAUACCAAACAAAAAUGUAGGUCAAAAAUGAAAAUUCGAUUGAAAGUCCUAAUCAAUUUAUGAGAGUGGAAAUUUAGUAAAAAGGGAAUCAUAGAGUGCUGAUUUAUAUAUGUUUUAAUUCUAAAUCAUCAAAAGAUAAGAAAAACAUUAUGCAUAGAUCUACAUAUCUAGUCGAUCACUUAAUCAAGAAAAAACUUUAGAAGCAAACCUUGAUAUCUGACAUCAAAUGAUUGUGCCAUCUAUCUCUACACUGCUUCCCUUUCCUCCCUUGCAGUAUCUUAGAAAUUUGAGACCAUUUUCCAACCCCAAAAUUUUCUACAUGUUGGAUUAGUGCCCUGAUUACACAUAAGUAGAACCCAAUCAAUUUUAGUGCAUAUGUAUUUGCAAAAAGGAGGCACAAAGUUUUAUGUAAACAUAAUUAAUAACACAAAAACUAUCAAGAUAUUAUCUUUGUAUACAAAUUCAUGUACCUAUCUUCUUCCGGGGUCCAUUGCUCCUUUGCUGAUUUAGUUAUGUUUUGAACUCGCUCAGGAUUUCUCGGCAAAGAAGGCGGGGCAUUAUUGGAAAAUUUGCCGCUAUCAGCAGCUAUGCGCGAGCUCUCACCUUGGAUCGAGAUAUCCAUAGGAUUAACUUGUUGAUGACUCGAGGGGAUGAGGUUAUGGUCCGGUAAAUUUGCAUCCACUACCGGAGCUUCCAUGCCAUUAUAGAUUGACAAGCCACCAAUGUUAUUAUCACUUUCUUCAAAUGGCUCGUACUCUAAAAACUCGAAACCUAUUGUUGAAGAUCUAUUGAACAAGGGAUCAAAGAAAUCAUCAGCAGUUGAUGAUGAUCCUGCAAUAGGCAAGUCGUCAAGGUGUGGAAAAUCUUCCAGAAAAUCCUUUGCCUGGUUGCUAUCCAUCCCAGAUUCUUUAUGGAUUUCAGGUUCUAAAGAACUGGUAGGUAAAGAAAGCUUUUGAUUGCUGUCUUGGUCCCUACAUUUCUUGUUAAGUUCCAUGGAGCAGUGUUUAGCUUCUUUCUCCGCUGCUUAGCCAAAUAGGAAAAAAUCAGGUGUUAUUUAAUGAGUUUUUGAGUCUGUCAAGGCAGUUACCCAAAUAGAAAAUCUACACACCAGAAAAGAACAAAAAAAUGUUAAUUAUGAUUUAAUGCUUAUUUAUGUUGUGAUAGUAAUAUGAGAAUAUAAUGGAUUACUGUCAUCCCAGCAAGCAUGAAACACUUCAGACAUGUAGGAAAUUAAUGGAUACCAGUUCUAGUUAAAUUUCUUUUGUUUUUUCCUCUUUAACUUUCUGUUUAAUUUAUCUCAUUUUACAUUUCAUUUCACACUGUUGUUAUCUUGGCAAAUUAAUUGUGGAACUCUAUUUUGAUGGAUUUUUAUGUUGUGAGCUUUAAAGGUAAUGGGGGAAAUUAGAAUAGAAAGAAUCGGAAUAAGAAAGUCAGUGUUUCAGAACGUAAGUGACAUUUGACUGAUAUCUGUGAUAGAAGCAUAAGGAAUAAUUAGAUUAACAGCAGAGGAUUUGCCCAUCUGUUUAACAACUGUUACUAAUUAAACUUAUCUGAUUUGCACUAAAGUUAUCCACUUAGGCCUCCCAAAAAAUUUUUUGCACUAAAUCUGUACAAAAGACAGGAAAAAAUGAAAGCAAUGUAAUUUCCAUUUGGGAAAGUCAUUCCAGGAAAUCAGUCUAGAAUAUGGCCCUCAAUUGGAUGGCAUAAAUCUAAGAGAUGGGAUUAAUAUUCUAAGAGAGAGUUUAGGAAAAUGCAACUGGAGAAAAGGAAGACUUUGUGAGUAUGGUGUUGGGAAUUGGACUAAUUGGAUGAACUGUUGCUGAUAGAAAAGCCCUCCUUUAGGCAGCUUGUUUUCCUUUUUUGUUUUUUUUUGUUUUUGAUUUUUUCAAAUAAGGUGGCCAUUUUUUACUUUUAUUGAUAUAUCAAAAUUGCUCACCAAUUUAUCCACCAAAGACCUAUCUACUAUACAAUGCUAUUGAAAAAUGGCUUGAUCUUGAAUCUUGAAUACUUUCUUCUGAUUGUAUAAAUCCAUUCGUGCUCUUUAACCUUUGGUUGUGGAAGCAUGAAGUAGAAAAGUUUUAGAUUUAUAUAGAAACUCAAGCAACUAAUUGGGAACUAAAUAAUUGUUAAGAUAGCUUCAGAUCAAGUUAGGAUUUUUUUCCAAAAAAGAAGUUAGAGUAUUGUAAGCUUAUAUACUUUCGUAAGAAAAAUUGAUUUCUUUUUCUUUCGAAUUAAUCUUGAAACAAGUAUCUUUAUAAAUCCAAAAUCUUGUUCAUAUUGGAGAAUGUUAUUCCAAAACAUUUAAGAAAUCUUUAUCAAUCCUACUUAAGAAAUAUUUAUUCCUUCUUCUUUUUUUCUUUAAAAUGUUUCUCAGCAAUUGCUUUUGGAAAAACAAUAAUCCCAAUUAAGAAGCAUAGUUGAACGGGCUCUUGUAAUUCAUACCUUUAAUUCCUAUAGAUCUUUAAAUGCUUUCAGUUCAAAGAACCCAACUAAAGCCAAAAGUAGCAUUCAACUACAAGUGUUAAUAUAAUCUCCAAGUCCUUUGCCUACUUGUACUCAAUUAAUGCGCAAUCAAAACUACAACUGAGUAAUAAAUUCCACCGAUAGGCUUUCUAGAUAUCUAAAAAGCGUUUAGUCAUCGGAUCGAUCGAACUUUUCUUACUCUAGCAGACUAGCACUUGUGUAUGAAUAAAAAUACAAUUUUUAACCUGAAAUAGAGGCUAUCUGUCAUGAACCCUCCUCCGUUAGUGUACGCUAAUAGGAAAAAUCAUUUCAUGAUAAAAUGGGGAAAAUUGAAGAUGAGAAGACUAGAAGAGGACUAUAUAGAAAAAAAAAAAAAACCAAAUAAAUGUCUUUAAGGUACUCUCUAAUUCACUAGUAAGCACCAAAAUGGCUCUUACCUAAAAACCACCGUCCCACCACCAUAACCAGGAUCUCAAAAAUGUUUCACCAAUAGUUAUGCUUUACAUUCAAAGUCCAUUGAACAAACUCACCCCAAAUUUACAGUAUAUUAGCACAAAAUUAAUAACUUCAUUUCAUUUUCAUACAUCAAACUUUCUCUAGCAUCCUUCACGAUCUCCCUUUUACACAUUUUCGGUAGGUAAAAAUUUUCCCAAUUAGAAACCCAACCAAACAAUAGAAAAUCAGAAAAUCAUUUUCUGGAAAAUAUUUUCCUUCCAAACAAGGAGAGCCUAAAUGCAACAUGUUUUCUGCUGGUAUAUAUGACAGGUGAAAAUGGAAUGAGAUUUGCAAUGUGAUGGGCAUGGUCAAAGGGACAUUACCAGCUAUAUAACUGGGAGUGCUCCUUAUAUCUUCCAAGCUAAAUUCUUCUGACUGCAACGUGGUUGUUGAUAAAAUUCUUGCACGAGUAAGAAGGCCUGAACACAUAGAGUUUGAGCUAUGGUAGCAGACUCCAACUCGUUAAAUCAGUGCUAUUUAGUAAGGACAGUUACUGGUGUAAUAUUUUCAUCCUUCCUAAUGGAGUUACUACUUACUAGAAAGGUUGACGCUGCUUGGCUCCUUCCUCCGGUCUGGAGUAGAUUUAUACUCUCACAAAACUAAGGUGGCUUGGCUAGAAGUUUGUUAACCAUUCAAUGAAGGUGGUUUGGAUUUUCAAAACCUAGCAUUAUGGAAUAACUGUCUCAUUAAUUAGUAGACAUAUUUAUAGCAUCAUCAGCAAGAAAAAAAUCUUGUGGAUUCUUAUAAAAAGGUAGAUCCACAUGUGCUAUUUCGAUUCCUUCAUACUGUUCUUGGUGUUGGACAAAACUUCUACGGCUUAGACAAGUGGCUAGGCCCCUCAUUAAGUUCAAACUAUGAUCGGGAAUAUGGUCAAACUAGUUCAUUACGGUAUGAUGUAUGGCAUCCCUCUGGGUUACUAUUGGACCGUUACCCUUCUUCAAUUGUCUUUGACUUUGGCUAAAGUCAGCCCUUCAUAUGCUAUUGUUGACAUUAUUAUUCCUGAAGUGAGUUGGAAUUAGCCGGAAGGUAGACGUAGAACCCCUACUCUGGUUGAUCUUACCAGGAACAAAGUUUUAAAAGGCGAGGGCAUUAGUCAGACAUUUUGUACUCUUCCUAAGUAGGACGAGAGCCCAACGCAUGGGAUGUAAGCUCCACAAAUUUUUAUUUUUUUAAAUAAAAAAAUUAAAACAUACAAUAAUAUUACAAAAUUACAGUAUUCAUACAUAUUUGUGUAUGUACAUAUAUAAUUUACUAAUAAAUAUAAUAAAAUUGAUAAAAUAAAGAAAAAUUACAAAAAAUAUUAUUGUUGUCUAACAAGUAAAACUAUUACAUUUGCCAUCUAGAAUCAUAAAGCAAAAAAAAAAAAAACUUAUGUCUUGGGACAAUGAAAAGGAAAAAAAAAUAUAAGAAACAAAGUCAUGGAUGUUUUUACGUGCUUUGUAUUUUUCCCAAAUUAUUUCCGAAGGGAAUAAAUGGAAUCGUUCUUCAAAAUUACUAGACAAUAAUAAGGAUAGGAAAAAAAGAUAAGGAAGAAAAAUACUCAAAUCAAAGUUGAAAAUUAAAAAAUAAAGGAAGAAGAAGGCCUCAAACGCUCCAAAUGCCUAGCGCCUAAACGCCUGGACGUUUCGUCCUAUAGCGUAGGGCUAAUGUCUAACAAUACUUGCACCUCAUUCAAAUGCUGCAGGUUAUUUGGGACUCACCUUGUCCCAGGGCUCGCCACACCUUUUGUAACAGUGGUCAGGAGCACCCUUAGCAAUUUACUUCCAAGUGUUGCCGAGACUGAUAUGGUUACUUGAAUAGCUACAACGUCAGGAGUUUUCAUUGUACCACCUGCUUAUUCUCAGCUGCGUCCACCAUCCCCUGAGGUGUGUUGGGCUAAGCUACUGUGGUUUACAGGUUGUGUUCGCAGGUUCUCUUUCAUUGCUUGGUCUGUAGAGAAAGGAUCGCUACCAAAUCAAGAUUCGGAUCUUGGGGAGUGCUGGAUGAUGUUCAACUUUUGAUGAAAAAGAAAUAAGAAAACUACUACUCUAUUCAAACUUAAAGAUUGCUAAAUUUAAUACAUUUCUGCAAAAUUGCAAUGGAGAUUUCUCAGCUAAUGGAUAAUAAAGAAUGCAUAAUUAUGGGUACAUGAAGGAUUCUGGUUUUAAACCUAAAUUAAGAAUAGAGAAACUAUAAAUUCCGGAGAUUUUUUUCCCCAAAACUAGAUUCCAAUUUUUAGGUAUUAAAAAAAAGAAUGUGGCAAUUACCAAAACAGUAACUCAGUGAUAUAACUUUUUCUAUUUAAUUAAUUCCAUGGACGUGUCUUGUGGCAAUCCUACUUCACUAAUUAUUAUUGUAAUAUCUUCACAAAAAUACAUCUACGGGAAAGAAUUGUUAAAAAAAGGCAAUGUUAUAGUUAAUAAAUAAGUAAGAGUCCAUUUGCCAUUUUUCAAAUGUUUUACAUCCUUAUCUAAAACCUAAGAAAGGGUUAUGUGAAGAUCAUUAGCUAUUGAUGAAUUUCUCAAAAUCAUCAAGUUACAAACUUGCAAGUCAUUAACAAUUCAAAUUUGAGCGAGAAGUUCAUUGACAUUUUUCCAUUGUUUGCCAAAGGAAAACAACGCAAGCGAAAAGGUAGUAAACAAGUAAAAUAGGAGGGGAGAGUUACAAGAUACUAAAAAUUCAAAAUGGCCAAUAUACAAAAGUCGAGCUAGAAUGAACUCUGGUGUAGGUUUCUUACAUGAUACUGUUGUUGGUAUCUCUUGUAACCCAUUCCAUGGGAUCUGGGGCCUCUGCAGUUAUGGCUGUAACCACAGAGGGCGACUGAUGGUGUAGGGCAUUAAAAAAACGGUUUAGGUCAGGUUGAAUUGGGUUGGCCCAACCUAGGCCAUUUAGUGGUCGGACCAAGUCAGUGUAUGGUGCUUUGAGUAUUUCAUAUGCCGAAGCUUGAAAGGUCUAGAACCAUUCAAAACUCGAUUAAUCCAGUGUAAGUGUGUAACUGAUAAUCAAGAAAAAUGUGAAAAUUUGUUUUUGUAUUUCACUUUUCAUUUUCCAUUUUUUCCUCCUAAUUGAAUUUUUUUUUCAAUUCUUUGCAGGUUCAAUUAAACUAUUCUGUUUGUGCGUUUCACUAGGAGGUGAAAAAGCCAUUGGAUAGGCUGCCCCUAUCCAAUGGAAUGGUGCUAAAGAUCAACAAGGAGAUUUCAAAAGAUGGUGGAUCAGAAUUUCAGAGGCAAGGAAAAGACUAGAAGGAAUGAAACAUAUUGGUUUGAAUGCUAACAUUUUGUGGCAAGUGUGGAAAGAAGAAACAAGAAAGAAUUUGAGAACCUAACCAGCUCUUCACCAGGUAGGACAAUUGAGAAGGCCCACAAAGAAUGAUUGGAAGAAGAGGAAAUCGAGAAUACUAAAACUAGACUGAGCACAAAAGAAACAACAUCCAAUCAUGAAGAGCAAUACCUGCAGGGUCAGGAAUAUGAGGGAACCAUAGUCCUGGAUGUGGCAACAAGAAGUCAGCAAAGACAGGCCUUCCUUGGAAUUGGAGUCAUGGCUAGGAUACCUCCAAACACUAGGAUUGCAAAAUGGGCACUUAAAGAGAGAAGCUUGGGAAAUAAAGUUCUAGAGGAUGCGGUGGCAAUCAAACUUGUCCUAUGCAAAGCUCUAGGACAGCACUGGAGUAGGGUUAAACUCCGCCCCCAGAACAAGGAACUAAUGAGACAACUACAGCAUUAGAGACCCUCGGACAGUAGAAUAGCUACUUUGAUUGAUGACAUUUCUAACAUGCAGAAGUUGUUUCGUAUGUGCUCCUUUUAUUUAUGUUAUAACAGAUGCAGCGGAACAGAAGAACAAACAAGAACAGACAAGAACAACUUUGGGGGAAAUCAGAUUUUAUUAGGGUUGUAAUUGGAAUAGUUUACAGACUAAAGUAAGGUGUAUAUAUCAAUUCAGCGAAGGUCGAAAAUCUAAUUCAAGACAUCUCAACAAUUUAGUUAGGGAAGAAAGUAUAGAAAGUAGUAAAAGACUUAACUCCUAUGCCGUAAGCAUUCUUUUGGAUGAAGAAUGAAACUUUCCUCAGUGUCAUUGAGCACUAAAUGUAUAGUUUUUCGAGUCUUUGCUUACACAUGUAAGUUUCUUUUACACUGAAUGAAAUUAUCCUAACGUUUAAGAAAAAAAAGAAAAGAAAAAGCCAACUAUAGCUGAUGGUCGACUGCCUAUAUAUUUGAAUCCAAAAUGGAGAAAUGAAAUAAUUGCGAGAAAGAAAGAGGAGAGAAGACAUGAAGGGAAAAAAAUAAAAGAAGUUUCCAUCUUGGUGUUUAAUUAGGUGAAAGAUAGAAAUUAAACAAAACAAAAUUUGUUCAAAAAAAAAGAAGUAAAGAUUGUUGCAAAAAAUUGAAGUAGAUGAAUUGCCAUUUGUUAAAAAACGAAACAAAUUAAGGAUCUUGGACCCUUAGAUGCGUUGAACAGUUCCGUGAGCCUUGAUUUAGUUCUACACAUCCCCGUGAAGGGAAAAAAAGGAAAAAGUGUUAGAAUCAUCAAUAUGGUGAGUAAUGACCUGCCCAAAAGAAAAAUAUGGUGAGUGAUGAAGAUGUCAAAAUUUUCAAAUCCAUAUUGAUGUAUUAGCUUUUAGCAAGGUUUCAAAACGUAGCCCCUUAAUUGAUCAUGGAAAAUAAUUAGGUCGAUGAUCAUUUGUUCGGGGAGUAUGCCGAUCAUAAUUGAGAAGUACGUGUACGUGAUAAAUAUUAGUCUAAUUCUUAACUACGUAAAAUAUGGGAAUACUUCUUCAAAAUUACCCUGUCAUGAUAGAAAAAUCACUGCAAUCCGCAUUUCAAUCACAUAAGUAAUAUUAAACACAUAAAUGAGAGUUUUAUUGGUUAAUGGACAAAAAGAAAAUAAAAAAUGGCCAAAAGUUAUAAGGAGAAAUAAAUGCAUGUGCAACUUGUAAGGAGGUAAACAAAAUGGAAAGAGAGUUUAUUUUAAAGGUUUGUUACAAAAUAUCCCCUUGAACUUUCUUCGGGUUGUGGAGUGUUCCCCAAACUAUGCAUUUCAGCUCUAUAAUCCUCAAAUAAUCAACUUUUCACAAUAUAUUCCGAUAAAAUUAAUACCACUACUGUAAUUUACUGGCUAAAAAGUCAUUAAUAUCCCUAAAUUUAGUUAAAUAGUUAAAAUGCCCUUAUUCCUCUUCAACUAACUUGUAUACAUAUAUCUGUUUCUUUUCUUUUUUUUUUUUUGGUUUCUUUCACAGAAAUGUAGAUCUCUCUCUCUCUCUCUGUCUCUCCACCCAUAAAGAGAGAAAUCCUUGAUAUACGCAUAUAAGUCAGUUAUAGAGGAAGAACAACAUUUUGGCAACUUAAUUAAAUACAAGUAUAUUGACAAUUUUUUUGCGCAUUUAAUUUUCUUGGUGGCAAGUUGAUUGGAAUACGUCAAGAAAAUUCAGUAGUUUGAGGAUGGUAGUGCUGAAAUUGAUAGUUCAGAGUACACUGGCAACCAAAUAAAGUUUUGGCAGUAUUUUGUAAUUAACACUAUAUAUACUAACAUAAAUGUGUGAUGAAUUUAUUGUAAAAUGAGUUUGAAGACAAACUUUACUGUUUUUGUUUACAUUGCCAUUAAUGUGGAUAUUUGACCAAAUUUGAAAAUUUGUUCUUAAUUGCAUUGGAUGUAUUAACUUAGACUACGUUUGAUAAAACUGAAAUUUGAAAUCUGAAUUCCUUAAUCUAUUAAAUUGUUAAACAAUAAAUCUGAUACAUUUGAAUAUAUAUCACAUUAAGUGAUAAGUGAAUAAUAUCACUUAUUUUUUAGGGUAGGUUUUACCUUUGAAAUUUAGUACCAUUUAAUUAAUUCAGAUAUUCUAUUUUUUAUUAUUAAAUAUAUCUGAAUAUGUAAAGAUUUGAAUCCAUUAAAUUUAAAUGCCGAAUUGGGUUAUCAAAUAAAGCUUUAGUUAGUUCACCCAAAAAUUUCCCAUUUCAGCUAUUUAACGGUUCAACUGGCUAGUUAAUCAAGUCACGAAAAUUUGAGUGUUUUUUGUUAACUCUUACAGUUUUAGGGGCUUGAUUGGACCGAAGAACAAAUUGAUUGGCAAUUGAACCGUUUAGACCAACCUAUCAUGACUGGGUUUUAAAAACUAUCUUUAAUUAAGAGUCCGAUUCACAGAAAAUGUAGGGAAACAAUAACUAGAAAAAACAACCUGAUACUUUUGUUGAUAUUAUAUGUUUGUGGAGUAUUUUACAGUAUUAUUAUUUUUUUGAACUUAUAGUUAGUUAUUUUGGAUCUUUAUUUAAGGGUUGGUUGAUCGUGUGUAUUAAUACCAAUACAUGGAUAGACUAGGAAGAUGCAAUUGGCCGGAGAGCUAUUGUAGUGUCCCUUCGGGGACAUCCGCAUAAAAUUAGAACGAUACGGAGAGCUGUUGUAGUUCCCAAAUGGAAUAAUUAGUUAUUGCAUAUCCAUUAGAGUUGUAGUAUAAACUGUACCUUCAAUAAAUUUAAAGAUAGCUAGAUGUGGGUAAAUAGAAGAAGAAGUGUAUUGCAGUCCAAAUUUUUUUUAAAUUUUUUAGCAUUUUUAUGAGAUUAAAUGUUAUGCACAUUGUAGAUUUGAAUUUUCACACCCCAACAAUGUUUUGAAUUCCAUAUUAGCAUAGUUUAAUUAAAGUUUUGUAUGCAAAUACACUUAUUGGAAGCUCCCUUUCUCAACUUUCUCUUUGCCCUCUCUCAACCUUCUUUUUACCUUCAACUAAACUUGGCAAUUGAACGGCUUGAUAUUGAGUUUUUACUUAAAUGGGUUAUACUCAAUUCAUCUAACUUUAGAUUGGAUUAAAUUUGAGUCGGAUCAUAUGGAGUCAUCUCAAACCCAUGACCCAAGAUAUUAAUUAAUACAGUGUGAUACAUAAAUUUUCUAUUAUGCAUUUACACACACAAAAAGAUUUUUUUCAUAUAUAUAAACACAUUUUCAUAUACAUAAAUAUAUUUUCACACAAUAACACACUUUCAUGCACCUAAACACUCAUUCACAAGCUCCUUGGAAACACAUCAUAAAUAGAAUAAUAUUUUAUAUUGCUUAUAUUGCGAAUUUUAGAUAAUAAAUUGUACAUUUAAAUAGAUUAGUUAAAAAAAUUUGUUUACUUUAUACUUUUAAAUACUACUAAUUGUUUGAAUAUUACUUUUACUAUUCAUAUUUGCUUUAUUGUAACUUGUAAUGUCCUACUUAUUGAAAUUAUUGAUGCUAGAUUAUAUUAUGCUUGAAAAUGUAAUUAAGAGACAUAUAAUUUGUUGCAUUAUAAUAUUGAUGAGGAAUUAUUAACAAUGAAAUGAAACAAGUUAGAGAAAAGUAAAAGAAUGCAAUUAAAACAAAUUUAAAAAUCUAUUCUAGGUACACAAAAUAUUAACAAACAGAAACAAGUAGCAAUCGGAGAACAACAACCAAAAAAUUGGAGGAAAACAACAUACUCCUAAAAAGCAUAAUAAAUUAUUAUAGAUGUUAAACAAGUUUAACUAUUGUUAUAAAAGUAAAAUAAGCAUGAGUUUUUAUUUUAAGUUUCUUUUUUCUUUUAAAUAAAAGUUAAAAAAAUUGAUUGAAAAGAUAUAUAUGAGAAUUUUGAAUACAAAUUAAUCAAUGAAUUAUUAACACGUCUAAAUGCAAGUGGUUGGGCAUAUGUUUAUUGAAUCUUGUAUUUAUUAUUUUCAAUUAUUUUUAAACAGGUUAGGUAUUGAGUGUCCAAAUAAAAAACUCAACCUGCCUAAUGAAUAACUUGGGUUGUUUUUACCCAACCAAAUAAAAUCCAUAACCCAACUGAUCCGACCCAUCCUUUAAAAUUAAUGGGCUGGUUGGGUGAAUUGUUGGGUAUUAGGCUUUUUUGCCAACUCUACCUUCAACCUUCUCUCUAUGUUAUUCCUCUAGAGGGAGAUUUUGGCCCUAAAUCAAGGUCUCCCUUCAUUUUUCUUUGGUUUUUUUUUUAUUUAAUAAGGUCUCUCCUCGGAUAUCCUGGUGAGAGUUUCUCUCUUAGACUAUCCUAAUGAGAGUUUUAUUUAGUUUUUGUCAUUUUUUUCUCAGAUAUAAGAUUUUUUCAUAUCUAUGUAUUAGACAAAUCUAUGUGUUAGAUUUAAAAUUUUUUGAAUUUUCUCAUCAAAUCUCAACAUCAGUUGUGAACUUGAAUCAAUUGGAUAGCAAUUGUAAGGAAAUAGAAUGCACAAAUAUCUAUGGAGUAGUUCAUUCAAUUGGUCAGAUUUGAUGGUUUGUUAUUCACAAUGUAAUUUUUUAUAGUUUGUAAUUCUGUUAAAUCUAAUGAUUUUUCAGAUCAAAUAUAUUUGUGACAUGUUCAAUGUAUUUUUUGCCAUUAAUGUAAAUUACUUUGUCAAGCAAAUUGUGCUGGAUGAUUUCCAUUUAGUUUAUUGAUAAUAUUAAUUUCUAUUUUAGCCAAAAAAAUUAAAGUGUUGUACAAAUUUUUAAAUGCGCUAUACAAAUUUCUAAUACAUAUGAACAGGUAGCGACUCAUCUCACAAAAACUAUAAGAUUUAAAUGGAAUAUGAGCUAUCAUUAUACACAGAAAACAUCAAAGGUGAAGAAAAAGGUCUCAUAAUAAACGAGAAUUGCUAUUUUUUCCCCCUUUUAAGUAUAUCGCAGCAACAGGAAAGAAACGAGUAAAAGAAACUGAAACAUCCAUAUCAAUAAUCAUUCUCAAAGAUAAUCUUUGAAACUUUUUCCCCUCCACUUACUAGCACAAAUUGUUACAUUGGUUCUAAAGAAAGGUGAUGGUAUAUGUCUGUAGAGUUCAAAACAGAUUAUCCGAUAGAUAAACAAGAUAUGGUCUUGCACACUGAAUAGAACCAAAGUUUUCUAAACAGAUACUAAUGUUCAAAGAGCAAGUUUUUUUCAUCUUUCCCAAGACGAAUAAAUUCACACAUUGCUUUUCUCCAUUGCAUGCUGAUCAGGGACCGAACUCUCUCCAUGAUCAGUGAUAAUUAGAGCAUUACUUGUUGAAGCAUUUUUGCUUCCACUGCUGCCUUGCUUAGUGUUUAAGCUCUUUUAUGUAGUUUUCCGGAAGAGGGCUAGGUGUUUGCCAUUUCUUGUGACAUUUUCGCCCCGAGAAUAGCCUUCUCAUGGUUGCAUUCCAAUGGUUCUUGAUGGAGUUUUCAGUCCUUCCAAGCAGUCUCUUUGCAAUUUGUACCCAUUUGCGUCCUAUUUCAGCAUGAGCCUCGACCAAGAUCUUAUCUUCCUCCGCAGUCCAUGUAUCCUUCUCUGAAGGAAAACGAACAAGUAAGGGAAUAAGUUUAUUAAGGAAUGUUAUCAUAAUUUUUCCAGUCUUUUGGUCAUUUUAUUACAACAGGGUGCUAUGGUCUCGAACUUUAACCUGUCACCUCGCAAGGCCAACGAUGUUACGGAGUCUGUCUUGGGUGCUUCACAGACGGGGUUGGAUGGUUUCAGGGACCCGGAAGAUUGGCAUACGGUUGUCGGUUGUCGCUCCAGGAAGAAAGCUGUUUCACCCCCCUCUUACUUUUUACGACCACGAUCAUGAUUAAGGCUCUCUUCUGGAAUGCUAGAGGAGUGGAUAAUGCUCUUAUCAUAGCUCGGUUAAGGAAGCUGAAACGGAUGCAUAAGCUCUCUUUGUUAGCACUGUGCGAGCCAAAGACGGGUUGCUAGCGGCUUGCUUUUAUUUGGCAACGGCUAGGUUUUCCACAGGCAGUCUCCAAUGAGGAGAGCAGGAUUUGGGUGCUGUUUGGUCAUGACAUUAGAUGUGAAUUCUUGGCUGCUUCACAUCAAUUCUUGGCAUUGGAAGUGACACACUCUUCCUUUCGGUGGUCCUUUGUUGCGGUCUUUGUUCAUGCGUCGUGUGUUACCCACGACCGUGAAUUGCUCUGGCAACAAUUGGUAGGGGUGUGUCCACAAGGGAGGCCGGCUAUUGUUUUAGCAGAUUUUAAUGUUAUUACUGGCGCGAAUGAAAAGAAAGGGGGUCGCCCGUUUCGCUCUAGGGAGUCGGAGUCGUUCCUGGAUUUUAUUGAGGAUGCUGAGUUGACAGAUUUGGGGUUCAUUGGGUCUCAGUUUACCUGGUGUAACAAUCAUUGGGACAGAGCCAGAGUUUGGAAAUGUCUGGAUAGGGUACUCGUAAACCAGCAGUGGUUGAGUUUAGAGGUGAACACGUCGGUGGUUCACUUGAAUAGGGUUGCUUCGGAUCACUCCCCUCUAUUAGUUUCUUGCUCCAUGGCAACGGGAGGGGCACCUACAAGCUUUAGAUUCCUGGAUGUUUGGAGGUCGCAUGCUGAGUUUCAAAGUGUGGUUAGACAAGCGUGGGAGGUGGAGUGUGAGGGACAACCCAUUAAGGUCCUACUCACGAAGUUAAAGGCGGUGAAGCAGGCAUUGCGCAGAUGAAAUAAGGAGCUUUUGGAAAUAUAUUUGACCAUGUCAGGGAACAUGAGGAAAAGGUCUUGGCACUGGAAUGUUCCUUGGAGGAGGGGUCAUCUGAGGAGGGGCAACUUCAGCUUGCCCAGGCCCAAGGUGAGCUUAAGGAGUCUCUGCUGCGGGAGACGGCCUACUGGCGUCAAAAGGCGUGCCUUCGAUGGCUUCAGGAGGGGGAUGCCAACUCUAAGUUUUUCACGCACAGGUAAAGCAGCGGAGGGCUCGUACAUUUAUACAUCGAAUGAAGGACGGCAAUAGGGUUUGGACGGAAGAGGCUGGAAGGAUUCAGGAUAUGGCAACUGCUUUCUUUGAGGACAUGUUGUCACAGCCUGGCCAGGUGCAAGUGGAUCCCUCGCUGUUAAGUGUGAUCCCUUCGAUUGUUUCUGAGCAGGAUAACCUGGCACUUCAACAGUUCCCUACGGAGGAGGAAAUAAAGACAGUUAUUUUCCAGAUGGAUGGUGACAGUAGUUCGGGUCCAGAUGGCUUUAAGGGGUCGUUUUUCACGUCAUGUUGGGAGAUAGUGAAGGUGGGUGUCUUCCGAGCGAUCUGUGAUUUUUUUGUAGGAGUAGAGCUGCCUUGGGGGUAUAUAUCUACGUGGUUGGUCCUGAACCCCAAGAUUCCUGGGGUGUCCUCUUUCUCAGAUUUUCGCCCAAUCAGCCUGUGUAACUUUGUCAACAAGAUCAUAUCCAAGCUGUUGGCGAGAGGAUUGGAAAGUGUGUUGUCGAAGAUAAUAUCUCCGCAGCAGAGUGGCUUUGUAAAGGGUCGACAGAUCUCGGAUAAUAUUUUGCUAGCAUUAGAGAUGUGUUCAACUCUAGGGAAGAAGGUGCGGGGCUCCAAUGUUACUCUCAAAUUGGACAUGGCCAAAGCGUAUGAUCGGGUAUCCUGGAAUUUUUUUAUCCAGGUCAUGAGACGGUUUGGUUUUGGGGAGCAAUGGCUUGACAUGGUUUGGAAGCUGAUUUCGUCGUGUCAUUUUUUGGUUUUGGUUAAUAGGAAGCCAUGUGGAUUUUUUCGGUCUUCUAGGGGUUUACGUCAAGGGGACCCGUUAUCACCGGCUUUAUUUAUCAUUGCGGCAGAGGUGUUGUCUAGGCGCUUGAAUGACUUACCGGGUGAUUCGAGAUUUGUCCCGUUCUUUGUGAUGCGGGACUCUCCGGCGCUGACACAUCUUGCCUAUGCUGAUGACAUUAUCAUCUUCUGUAAUGGUGGUAAACGUUCCCUGGGAUGUGUCAUGCAGGUGUUAGAGGGUUACCAGGAGAUAUCAGGGUAGCUGGUGAACGCAGUGAAGAGUUGUUUCUUGGUUGACAAGAAAACUUCGAUGCCUCGUAGGAGGGUGAUUGCGCAAGUCACUGGGUUUUCCCCUAAAAUUUUGCCAGUGACUUACUUGGGAUGCCCAUUAUUUGGAGGGAGACGAGUAAAAGCCUUAUUCGCUGAUUUACUGAAUAAAGUCUCUCAACGGAUUGCUUCCUAUCAUGGUCGGUGGUUAUCAAUGAGUGCUCGAGCUUUACUUAUCAAGCAUGUACUGUCGUCCAUACCAAUUCAUAUUGUGGCAGUCUUGGAGCCCCCAAGAGGGGUUGUCUCCGACCUAUAGCAGAUGUUUGCGAGGUUCUUUUGGGGAGAGUCGGAGUUUGGAGCUAAGCGGCACUGGGCGAAAUGGGAUAAAUUAUGCUUUCCGGUGGAGGAAGGCGGGGUCAAUUUUCGGUCCCUUCAGGCGAUCGUUGAAACAUUCUCCUGUAAACUAUGGUGGAUGUUUAGACGUGGCCAAUCUCUCUGGGCACAAUUCAUAAGGGCAGGUAUUUUGGAUCUCUGCAUCCGAAUCAAGGCCCUAUCUCUGCUCAGUUGUCUGCUAGUUGCAAACGUAUGAUUCGGGUCCGCUCAACCAUGGAGCAUUGGUUGAAGUGGGAUCUCUCGAGAGGGGAGGUGGCUUUUUGGUGAGAUAACUGGAGUGGGCUGGGCCCUUUGGCAUGGAGGUAUCCAGAGUUGGCGUCGGAUGUGAAGGUUUCGAAGUUUUUAUGUGAAGGGCGAUGGGACUAUCCGGCUUUGGCAUCGCUACCCUUUGUAAUAGGGGAGGCGGCUCAGGGAUCCUUUUUCAGUUUUGGUUUGGACCCAGACAACCUAGUUUGGUUAUUGGAUCCCUCAGGAGUUUUCUCCGCGAGGUCUGCAUAUCAGCUUGCUCGCCUAGCUAGGGCUCGUUCAUGGGCAUUUUCCUAUAUUUGGCAUUCCUCCACCCACGGAAAUUGUCUUUCUUCAUGUGGCGCUUACUGAAUAUCCGACUAUCGAUGGACGACGUACUCGAAAAAUUUCAGAUUCAUGGUCCUUCUACAUGUCACUGCUGUGUGUCAGCUCACUUAGAGUCGCUGGAACAUGUGUUCUCUACUAGCCAAUUGGCCAAUGAGACAUGGCUGUCCUUUGAGCGAUCUCUUGGAUUUUCUACACCAUCUCUCACGGUUAGAUCUAGGUGCUAUAAAUGGUGGUUACUCCCCGUGAAAGGGAAGGUGCUACGCUAGUUAACUCGAAUUCUUCGACUUCUGAUUCUAUGGUUUCUAUGGAGGGCUAGGAAUAUGUCCAGGUUCGAGGGUCACAAGCUAUCCGGCUCUCAGGUUCGGACCCUCAUCGUUAAUGAAUUGCGAAUAUUAAUCCGAGUUCAUUUUCCGGGUAUUGUGGUUUUGCCUUGCAAAUGGAAGGGACUUCUGGAGGUUUUGACUGCGGCCCGGAGGGUCUUAACAUCUAAGGUGGUUAGGUGGACCUUCCCUGCGGGAGGUUAUUUAAAGUUAAACACUGAUGGCUGUGCUACGGUUCGUGGUAGCGGAGGUGGUGGGGUGAUUAGGGACUCGUGUGGGAAGCUUAUUGUAGCAUUUGCGGACUUCUUUGGCUAUCUGGACUCUUUGUAGGCGGAGGCGCGUGCCCUCCUAUUAGGGCUCCACUUAGGGCGCUAGGUAGGGAUUUCCCGUCUAAUCGUUGAAUCUGAUUGCCUGGUUUUGAUUAACUGUUUAAGGGGGGGAUGGGGGUUCCCAGCUGCUAUUCGACCAGUUGUUCGCGCUAUUCGGCUGGUUACGUCAGGUUGUCACCAGAUCAAUCAUUGCUUUCGGGAAGGAAACGCAGUUGCAGAUUCGCUAGCAGCAUACGGUGCUGCGUCUGGCUCUCGCUCAAUGUUCACUGCGGCCUCGCAGUUGCCUCCUCGUACUAGGGGGCUUUUGUCUUUGGAUAUGCAAAAUUUUUGUAACUUCCGGUUUUCUUUUAGGAGGUAAGGCUUGAGCCUUCCUCUUGGCUUUGUAUUCUGGCUUCGAUUAAUUAAUAAAAACAAGACAGUAUUUUAAUAAAAAAAAGAAAUUUCAGUGUAAAAAAAAAAAAGUUUAACUCUAAAGGUGGUUAGAAAAAUCAUUACCCUAGGCAUGUUUCUCUAGAAUAGACAAUGUGGAUAUUCAAAAGCAGCAAUAUCAUGAUUACCAAAAUGUGAAACUCCUAAUGACAGGGUGUUAAAUGUAAAUAUCCCAAACAUUCUCGCACAGCUAUGAUCGUCAGCUAAUAUAUUAUUGAAAAACCUAUAUUUUGUCAUUUUACAAGCCCACAUUGAUUAUACAAUACAAUUACAAUUAAGUCAAGCAAAGUAUGACAAUUCCCAAAGUAGAAAUCUUUAAAACAUGGCACUGGGUGUAAAAAUGUCAUUCUUACGCAUAUUUGGUAUUUGUAAAGCAUUUUAAUGGUUGAUUUUUGACGGAUUUUUGAUAUACGUACAAGUUAAAAUCCGAUAUACACCCGUUUGACUGCAAGUAUACAGGUCAACUAGUAGUUUAGGGCGUGUAUCGGGUCGAUCCCACGAGAAAGAUUGAACAAUUACCGGUGUUACUAAACCUUCUCUAUUAUUUAGACUAUCAAUGAAUUAUAACAAGCAAACCCUACAAAACUUGUGGAAGAAAAUAACAAAUGAAAGUUCCUUAGGUUAUGGUAUCUCUAACUACUCAUGCAAGUGCUAUAUUUGGAUCAUUGAGAACUACUAUCUUGGCUAACUAUGGUGUAAUUUUCUUAUGCAUAUGAAUCCUACUUUCGUAGUGAAUCAAUUAUACUCAUCACUAAUCCAUACCUAUUCUCAUGGUUAUGAAAUUAGCUACAAGUUCAUUUUUUCAAUGAAAUUACAUGAAAUUAAUCACUAAAACCACAUAGGUGCACCUCUACUCUCGUGAGUGUACUCCCUAUGUUUAGCACUUCUUGAACCAGUGCUAAAUCUCAAUUUUCAUUACAAAAACAACACCUUAGAUAAUCAUAAUUAAUGGUACCGGAUUAAUUACGAUUUUAAAGAGCUAAAGUGCUAAAUAAUUUGCUCAAAUCAUAGCUUCAAAUAACCAAAUAAUAAACACUAACAAUCAUAGAAAGUUCAACCAAAAUUAAGGCAUAAACUUUAUAAACACAUAAUAACAUAUAAAUCCAUAACUUGUAUAUUAACUAAACUUGGAAUCAAGUACAAAAGAUAAAGAGUUGGAAAGGAAAAGUAACCCUUGUCUCAUGAGCUCUUUCCUUGUCUUCUUCAUUUCCUUCUUCAUCUUUGCCUAGCUAAUAAACAAGAAGGAUGAACUACUACUCUAUACUAAAUUAAUCUAACACUAAGAGAAUGGAAGAACUACAUUUCUGCAGACUCCAAACUUCCUCCGCUUAUGAUCAUCUUCUCUGGUUGCUUUGUAUAUAGACUCAUGAAAAGUUCCUCCUCUCCACCGUUUUUUCUUCCACCUUGAUUCUCAAAUCUUCAAUUUGUUAGGAAAGUAAAAAAACAAUGACUUUUUGACUUGGAACUUUGGCUAUACAUUUUCCUUAUGUCUUUUGAAGCAUGUGCAGCCGAAUUCCCUUACCAAGAAUAGCUGGAAAGUGAUGUGAACAUAAGAGAAAUGGCUGAGCAAAUUACAGAAUUUUGGCUACAAAACGCGACUUCAAGCCACGUUUUGAUGACUUGCGUUUUCAACUCUGUACUUUUGGCCUCUCUUCAACUACGAUUUUCUCUAUGAUGGAGGCCGAACUAACUUUUGUGCAAAACACAAAGUUGUAGCCAUUUGAAUUAGCUUUACAAUGCUUCAAUAAUCAUCCAAAUAGGAGUUUUGUAGACUGAGAUAUGAUCACAAUACUAUCACCUGGUCAAACCCCUGUUUCAAUUUUCGUCCAUAGAGUGCAGCUUCUAUAUUUCAACUUUUUGUCCAUGAAAAAAGUAGAAUUGGAUUUUGAUGUCUUCAUACCAAAUAUAGAUCUAUCUCUUAGCUUCAAAAUGGUAUAAAGAUCAUCUCAAUCCGAUAUGUGUAGCUCCAGAUAUAGUCGAAAUACGAAAAUAUGUCAAAGAUGUUUUCACUUGCAUUUCUUCAAUUCACUUCAUUUCUUCUUUAUCACUUAAAUUCAUCACCAAUUAUCCACUUUUCAUCUCAGUUGAUAUUCUUUGGUGAUUGAAUCAUUAAUCCUGCAUGAAAAUGAAGUUUUUACCAUUAAAAUCAAUAGAAAUGCAAUGUUAGCCACUUUAACUUAAAAUGUAGAUUUUUACCAAAACCUUAGUUAUUUUAGUUAUAAAACUAAAUAAUCAAACCAAAAUUAACUAAUAAAAUGAACUUAAAAAUACGUAAAAUAAACUCUUAUCAAAUUUUUUUUUGUUCUUUACACAAACUAAGAUUUAAGUUAUGCCAGGUUAUCACCAACAAAUAUUUUUGUUCAUGUAGUGUGUCACAUAACCGAUGGGUACAUAAUAAUUUUUUUUUAAAAAAAAUUUACCUAGAAAGUUUUCAAUUUCAUGUAAAUUGGAUGAAGAUAUGAGAUAUAUAAGCUGCGGGCAAGGAGGCCUUGGUAUAAUAGUUAAGGUUGAGAUCCCAAAAGGUAGAGGUUCGGGGUUUUAAUACCUUUGCAUUCUCCCCACUUCUUAAAUUUCAUCCUUCUUCUAUUAGGAAAAAAAUUUAAAAAAAAACUACUAAUCUAAUGUUUGUGCACGCUUGAAGUGGCUAUUUCUAACACGUGAAAUGUAUUGGAUAAAAUUAAUCUCCUCAGCAUAACUUUAUUUAUGUGCAAUUUUUUCCCUCCUUUUCUGGUCAAAGCCAAACAAAACAUAGGUCAAAAUGAAAAUUCGAUUAGAAGUCCCGAUCAAUUUAUGAGAGUGGAACUCUAGUAACAAGGGAAUCAUAGAGUGCUAUUCUAUAUAUGUUUAAUGCUAAAUCAUCAAAAACAAGAAAAACAGUAUGUACAUUUGUACAUAUCUAGAUGAUCACUUAAUUAAGAAACAACUUUAGAAGCAAAGCUUGAUAUUAGGCCUCAAAUGAUUAUGCCAUCUUUCUCUACGCUGUUUCCCAAUCCUCCCAUGCAACAUCUUAGAAAUUUGAGACCAUUUUCCAACUCCAAAUUUUUUCGCAUUUUUGAUUAAUGCCCUGAUUACACAACCACUCAAAUUUAGUGCAUAUGUAUUUGCAAAAUAGACACAAAAAUUUGUGUAAACAUAAUAAAUAAAAAUAAAUUUUAUAUACACUAUCAGUAUAUACACUAUUACGAUUGGAUGGAUGACACAUAAGUAAAUUUUGGAUUUCAAACUCAAAUUUUGCACAAUCAACAUAUAUUUAAUAGUGAUAUUGUAUAUAGUGAUAGUGUAUAUAAGAUUAAUCCAAUAAAUAAUACCAAAAACUAUCAAAAUUUUAUCAAAUAUUUGUAUAAAAAUUUAUGUGCCUAUCAUCUUUAGGGGUCCAUUGAUCCUUUGCUGAUUUAGUUGUCUUUUGAACUUGCACAGGAUUUUUCGUUGAAGAAGAUGAGGCAUUAUUGAAAAUUUUGCUGCUAUUAGCAACUAUGCAAGAGCUCUCACCUUGGAUUGAGAAUUCAGAGGUCUAACUUGUUGAUGACUCGAGGGGAUACGGUUAUGGUUGGGUAAAUUUGCAUUCAGUAGCGGAGUUUCCAUGCCAUUAUAGUUUGACCAGCCACCAAUGUUAUUAUCACUUUCUUCAAAUGGCUUAUACUCUAAAAACUCGAAACCUAUUGUUGAAGAUCUAUUGAACAAGGGAUCAAAGAAAUCAUCAGUAAUUGAUGAUGAUUCUGCAAUAGGCAAGUCGUUAAGGUAAGGAAAAUCUUUCAGAAAAUCCUUUUGCCUGGUUGCUGUCCAUGCAAGAUUCUUUAUGGAUUUCAGGUUCUAAAGAACUGGUUGGUAAAGAAAGCUUUUGAUUGCUGUCUUGGUCCCUACAUUUCUAGUUAAGUUCCACGGAGCAGUGUUUAUCUUCUUUCUCCGCUUCUUAGCCAAAAUAGGAAAAAUUAGGUCUUAUUUAAUGAGUUUUUGAGUCUGGCAAGACAGUUACCCAAAUAGAAAAUCUACACACCAGAAAGAACAAAAGAAAAUGUUAAUUAUGAUUUAAUGCUUAUUUAUGUUGUGAUAGUAAUAUAAGAAUACAAUGGAUUACCGUCAUCCCAGCAAGCAUGAAACACUCCAGGCAUGUAGGAAAUUAAUGGAUACCAGUUCUAGUUAAAUUUCUUUUGUUUUUUCCUCUUUGACUUUCUGUUUAAUUAUCUCAUUUUACAUCUCAUUUUACACUAUUGUUAUCUUGGCAAAGUGAUUGUGGAACUCUAUUUUGAUGGAUUUUUAUGUUGUGAGCUUUAAAGGUAAUGGGGAAAAUUAGAAUAGAAAGAAUCGGAAUAAGAAAAGAAAAUGUGUUUCAGAACAUAAGUGACAUUUGACUGAUAUCUGUGAUAGAAGCAUAAAGAAUAAUUAAAUUAAUAGCAGAGGAUUUGCCUAUCUGUUUAACAAUUGCGAUUAAUUAAACUUGUCUACGUUGCACUAAAAUUAUCCACUUAGGCUUCCCAAAAAAAAUUUUGCACUAAAGCUGCACAAAAUGCAGGAAAAAAAUGAAAGCAAUGUAAUUUCCAUUUGAAAAAGUCAUUAUAGGAAAUCAGUCAAGAAUAUGGCCCUCAAUUGGAUGGGAUUAAUCUAAGAGAUGGGAUUAAUGUUCUAAGAGAGUUUAGGAAAAUGCAACUGGAGGCUGCGCCUAUUAAGAUGUAGUUGCAGAAAAGGAAGACUUUGAGAGUAUGGUGAGUAAUUGGACUCAUUGGAUGAACUGUUGCUGAUUGAAAAGCCCAGUUGUCUAUAUUUUUCUACAAAUUGGUUAAGGAGUGAUGAGUUUUAUGAAAUUGUGGGAAGUGGGAUAUUGGAAAUUAGACAAAUGAUUAUGUUGGACUCAUUGAAAAUGAAGUUUGUUCUGAAGAGUAUCAAAAAAAAAAAAAUUAGCCUGAAAUAGAGGCUAUCUAUCUUGAAGCCAACCUUCUUAGUGUACACUAACAAGAAAAAUCAGUUCAUCAUACAAUGGAAAAACUUGAAGAUAAGAAGACUAGACGAGGACUAUAUAAAUAAAUAAAUGUCUUUAAAGUCAACAUAGAUGACUGUCUGGUAGAGUAUUUUUAGAAUCAACGAGCCUUAAGACAAGGUGAUCCAGUGUCCCCCUACUUGUUCUUGAUAGCUAUGGAAGUAUUUUUUUUUCUUUUGUUUGAGAGAAGCAUCAUUAUGCAAAGUUUUGAUUACCAUCCUAAAUGCUGUCAAUUGGGGAUUUCUCAUAUAAUAUUUGCAAACGACCUAUUCUUAUUAUCUGCUAGAACAAUUCCAUCUAUGAAUAUAUUUAAAUAGGCGCUGCAACAGUUUGAAUGGUUGUCUUGAGUUAAACCUAAUCUCUCUAAAUGCAACACAUUUGCUGCUGGUAUAUAUGACAAUUGAAAACACGAUGAGAAUUGCAAUCUGAUGGCAUGGUCAAAGGGACAUUACCAGGUAUUUGACUGGUAGUACCCCUUAUUUCUUCCAAGCUAUCUGCUAGUGACUAAAAGGUGAUUGUUGAUAAAAUUCUUGCACGAGUAGAAGGCCUGAACACAUAGGAGUUUGAGCUAUGGUAGCAGACUCUAACUUGUUAAAUUAGUGCUAUUUAGUAUGGAAUGUUACUGCUGUCCUAUAUUCAUCCUUCCUAAAGGAAUUACUAAAAAGUUAAAAGUUGAACGCUGCUUGGCUCCUUCCUCUGGUCUGGAGUCGAUUUAUACGCUCACAAAACUAAGGUGGCUUGGCAUGAAGUUUGUAAACUAUUUAAUGAAGGUGGUUUUGGUAGUCAGAACCUAGCAUUAGGGAAUAAAUGUGUCAUUAAUUAGUUGGCAUAUUUAGAACAUUAUCAACAAGAAAGAAACCUUAUGGAUUAUGUGGGCUCAUUCAUUCUUAUAAAAAGAUAGAUCCAUAUGGGCUAUUAUCUUCCUUUCUCUGUGAUUAUUUGGUUAUCUUCAUUUCUCUCCCAUGAAAUUUGACAGAAAAUGUAGCAAUGAACCAACUGGCUAUCAACAACUUUCCUUGCCAACCAAUAACCUCAAAUGGACAGAGAACGUUGCACGAACUAUCAAUGAAAGGAUGUUGUUCAAGAUUUUUAGCACCUUGAUGACUUAUCCUUUACAGGAUCAUCAUUCAAUCCUCAGUUAAUUAGGAAUCCAAACAAUUUCUUAUGAUUCUUUUGAUCUUUUCCUUAAUGGAUCUUCAAUAAUAGGUGACGAGUUUUAGAGUUCAAGCCACUUGAAGAACAGGAUAAUAACAAUGGUGGUUUGUCAAACUACAGUGGUAAGGAAACCCGAUACUCUAUGCAAAUUCAUAUGACCAUAAUCUUAAACCUUGAAUCAUCAAGCAGUUUAUCCCCAAAUUUCUCGAUCCAAGGUAAGAGCUCUUGCAUAGCUGCUGAUAGUGUUUUUCACAGAGAGACUAGCAUAAAAAGAAAUAAUGGCAGAUUUUUCAAUAGUGUAUCAUCGUCUUUGAUGAAUAAUCUAGGGCAUGAUAAAAGAAAAUCUCUAAAUCAGCAAAGAAGCAAUGCACCCUUGAAGAAGCUAGGUAAAGUAUUUUUUUUCCAAAUAUGUGAUGAGAUUUUGAAAGUUUUUAUACUAUUAAUUAAUUAGGUUAACCUAAAAUUUUGUAUGCAUUAAUGUUGAUUUGGUCCUAGUUAUGUAUAAGUAGGCAACUAAGAGGGGAUAAUGUUCUCAAAUUGCUAAGAUGCAAAGAAUUGGGAAGUAGUAUAGAAAAAGAUGGUAAAAUCAUUUGAGGCUAUUGGUAUGCAAAGAGGAAAAAGAAUGACUUUCAAUAUGGAAAAUCUCAGUUUCUUUCACUCUUUUAUUUCUUCAUUCUACAAUCUAUCUAAAAAGGGAAAAAGUAGCAAUUCUUGUCUAAAGGCCAUAUGUUAGAAUUAAAUCCACUACAAUUGAAAUAUGAUAUGGGAAGUGGAGAUAAUGGAAUUUUAGAAAAUCACUUUUUGGUUUCAAAUUAAAUUGCUCUCACUUUUUCCUUUCUUGGUGCUUUCUUUGUGCAGGUUUAGUGCAUAACUAUGGUAAAAAUUAUAUAAGUUUAAUUAGUCAUGUCAAGUCACCUUAAAUAAGUCUCGAACUAAGAGAUUGACAAAUUUUGGCAAAUUUACUUUUAUAAUUAAUUUAGCUACUGACAGAUUUACUUUGAGAAGAUAAAUUUCAAGUCAGUAUCACAUAUGGAGUAGCAGUAGCCUUCUUAAGUUCUUAUUUCAGUUCUCUCUAACAAACAAAGAAUUUUGCAUGGAUAGCCAUAAAACCGAGGAUUUUCUCCAAGAUUCGUAGCACCUUGGUGACUUAUCUAUUUCAAAAUCAUCAUUCAGUCUUGACUUAGGAAUUGAAAUGACUGGUUAUGUUCCUUUUGAUCCCCUCGAUAACGGAUGUUCAAUGGUACACUUCAAUUUUUUAGAGUUUAAGCCAUCUGAAGAACAUGAUUAUAACAAUUGUGGCCCGUUAAACUGUACAGGUAAGGAUAUUCAUCUGAGCAUAAUCGUAUCCCUUUGAGUGGGUUAUUCUCAGGGACACGUUGAUAACCCGAAUUACAAGUUGGUUUGUACCAGAUCCACUAACCAUGCUGAAGUGGUUCGGGUUCAGUUUGACCCUACUGUUUGCCCGUACACUAAUUUGCUCUCUCUUUUCUGGGCCCGCCAUAAUCCCACCACUCUUAAUCGUCAGGUGAUGAUGUUGGCACACAAUACCGGUCAGGAAUAUACUACUAUAAUGAGACCCAGGCUCAACUAGCAAAAGAAUCACUAGAAGAGAAGCAGAAUGAAUACAAGGACAAGAGGAUUGUGACUGAAAUUCUUCCUGCAAAGAUAUUUUACAGAGCCGAGGAGUACCACCAGCAAUAUCUUGAGAAGGGUGGAGGGAGAGGUAACAAACAGUCUGCUGCAAAAGGUUGUAAUGACCCAAUCUGAUGCUAUGGUUGAUGCAGGAGACAUUGCAGCCAUCAUACUCGAAUAAGGCUGUGAAGUAACACAUUUCGUGAUAUGUUGCAUUUAUGCGAUUAGACUUUUAACUCUACUUCACAUUGCAUAGUUCUAUUAUAAUGUAAAUGCUUUCAGCUUCUAAGUUUAAACCUUUGGGCCAACCUGUGAUGUUUAUCAUAAUCACCUAAUGUAGCAAAGCCUGAACUAUCAUAUUUUGGCUACUUGUAUUAUAUAUAAUAUGGAGAUAUCUCUUGCAGAACAAAAAAAAAAUCCCUUUGAGUCAUCAAGAAGUUAAAUUUCCCCUAAAUUUCAAGGUCCAAGAGGAGAGCUCCUGCAUGGCUGGCACUGUUUAGUACAAAGAGACUGUGAAAAAUAAAUAUUAACAGAUUUUCCAAUAAUACCUCAUCUUCUUUGUCAAAAAAAAAACCAGGUGGGGAUCAAAUAAUAUCUAAAAUCAGUAAAAGAGCAAUUUAUGGACCAUCAAAUAAGAUGGGGCAAUUAAUUUUUUCAAAAAAUUUGAUGAGAUUUUGGUAGUUUUUUGUUUUAUUAUGGGUUUGCCAAAAAUUUCUAUUUUCUUUCUGUAAUUAUUUAUGCAUUACUUUUGAUCUCGUCCUUCUGAUUAUGCAUAAGCAAGCUACUAAUCCAUCCUGUAAAUAAAUUUGGGAUGGAAAAAUGGUCUUGAAUUGCUAAGAUGCUGAAAUUUCUUAUUCUUUAUGUGAUUUUUCCUUGAAAUAUAUUCAUAUAAAAGUAAGAAUAUGAUAAAAUAAUCUUAAUAUUCCAAUCUACAAAUUUUCUCCUUUCUGCUCUAUCAUUUCCUACUGUAGAAAUCAAAGGCCAAAACAUUGGAAACAAUUUUGAUAACUAGGUUCUUUAAUACACUUGUUCAAUUCCUUAUUCAUUGUCCUGUAUAGAAGGAUACAUGGACAAAGGAGGAAGGCAUGAUCUUAAUCAAGGUUCAUGCUGAAAUAGGGACAAACAUUGGCAUAAAUUGCAAAAAAGAUUGAAAUGUUGAGAAAAUGAGACUUGCUAGUACCAGAAUUUUAGUUGCUUUCACUUUUUCUUUCUUGGUGCUUUGUUUGUGCAUCUUUAGUGCGUAAUUACGUUGAAAAAUAUAUAAGUUUAAUUUGUUAAUCAAGAGACUCAAAACAUUUGAAAUAAGUCUAUAAUUAACAUUAAACAAGAUCUUGGUACCAACAUGAAAUCAUAAUUAACAUUCUUUUCUUCUUUUUUGGAGCGUAUAUUGUUUAUUUAGGCAACCGCUCGAACAGAAUCAAGAUUGCAAUAAAUAACAUAUGUACCACUUGGUUUUUGCCCACUUAGGCAAGGCAGUCAAGAAAGAAGUAAACACUACAGCAUUUGGUUAUCUUUUGUGGCCUUUUGGUUAUCCUCCUAUCUCUGCCAUGGAGUUUAACAGAAAAUGUAAUAACCAACCAGAUGCAAUCAACAAGUUUUCUUGCCAACCAAUUCGUCGAAACAUCAAAUUGAUAAAGGAUUUUGCUUCUCCAGGAUUUUGAGCACCUCGAUGAUUUAUAUUUACCAGGAUCAUCAUUCAAUCUUGACUUAUCAAUCCAAGCUACUGGUUAUGAUACACUUGAUUCAUUCUUUAAUGGAUCUUCAAGAAUGGAGUGUUAAGAGUGUUAGGACUGGCCCCAGGAAAUUGACGAAAGGAUUUUUGGCAAUUUUAAAAGACAAAUAACAAAGCAGAAAUAAAUAAAACAGGAACACAAAAUUUAACGUGAUUCGGUCAAAUUGACCUACGUCCACGGGUGGAGGAGAAGCAAUAUUUUACUAUGAAAAAGAGAAUACAAAAGUGCCUUAGGAAAGUGUUCCUAGGCCCCAAAACACCGAAUAUUAAAAAUACAAGAGAGUCCAAAAUAUUUAAUAAAAGAUUUAAUGACCCAAAGGCCCAAAUAACCCACUAAUGUUUUCUUGGUUUGGUGCACUUAACUCCAACACAAGCCUCCUAUAUUUAUAGUUGAAUAAGGGGAGGUUUCUUUAUUGAUUUUCUGAUGUGGGAUAACCACACUAACAAAUCUCCACCUUGACAUAUCCCCAACAUCGACAAUAGCAAAAUUGUUCUACCUUCUCUACAUAAGUCCCAAUGGGUCUAAAUCACCAACAACGAAUAUCAAUCCAAAUCAAGCAUUGCUUGAACUUAUAAAUUGGAAGAGGUUUUGCGAACAUGUCAGCAAUAUUCUUCUUGGUGCUGAUUUUCUGAACAAGGACUUUUCCCUCAGCAAUAGUAGCUCGAAUGAAAAGAAAUUUCACAUCAAUGUGUUUCGUCCUCUCAUGAUACAUCUGGUCUUUAGUCAAAUGAAUGGCACUUUAGCUAUCACAGUAAAUAGUAGUAACACCUUGAUGUAGAUUAAAUUCACCAAAUAGACUCUUCAACCAUAAGAUUUCUUUGAUUACCUCGGUCAUGACCAUAUAUUCUGCCUCCGUAGUAGAUAAAGUUACAAUAGGUUGUAAAGUAACUUUCUAACUAACUGCACAACCACCAAUGCAAAAUACAUAACCUGAAAGUAAUCUACUCCUGUCAAGAUCCUCGGCAUAGUCAGAAUCUACAAAACCAACCAAAGUGUCAUUAUUUCGCUCAAACUCCAAACAGCAGUUUGAAGUCCCUCGCAAGUAUCUGAAAAUUCACUUCACAACCUGUCAAUGUGUUUUUUCAGGACAAGACAUAUAUCUGCUAACCACACUGACUACUUCUGCAAUAUAUGGACGAGUACAAACCAUUGCAUACAUAAUGCUGCCGAUUGCAUUUGAAUAAGGAACCCGUGUUAUAUACUCUUCCUCUUCAACUGACUGUGGUGACUGAGUAGCAGAUAGUCGAAAAUGACUAGCAAGAAGAGUAGUCACAAGUUUAGCAUCUUUCAUGCCAAAUUUCUCCAAAACCUUCUCAAGAUAAUUUUCUUGAGUCAAGAAUAAUUUUCUAACUCCUCGGUCUCUUUUGAUCUCCAUGCCAAAAAUUUUCUUAGCUGUUCCCAAAUGUUUCAUUUCAAAUUCACUACUUAACUCCAAUUUCAAAGUGUGAAUUUCUGACAAAUUCUUAGCAACAAUGUGCAUGUCAUCAACAUAAAGUAACAAAUAAAUGAAAGAUCUAUUAUCUAACUUCUGGAAAUAAACACAACUAUCAUACAUGCUCCUUGAAUAACCAUGACUCAACAUAAAAGUGUCAAAUCUCUUAUACCACUGUCUUGGAGACUGUUUCAAUCCAUAUAAGGAUUUGUUUAGCAAACAAACAUGGUCUUCCUUUCCUUCAACUUCAAAUUCUUGAAAUUGCUUCAUAUAAAUUUUCUCUUCAACUUCACUAUGCAAAAAAGCUGUCUUAACAUCAAGCUGCUCCAACUCCAAAUCAUUCAUGGCAACUAAAACAAGCAAAACACGAAUAGAACUAUGUUUAACAAUAGGUGAAAAUAUUUCAUUAAAAUCAAUACCUUGUACCUGACUAUAGCUCUUUGCAACCAAUCGUGCUUUAUACCUUGCAUUUUCAACCCCUGGAAUACCUUCUUUUUUCUUGAAAAUCCAUUUGCAUCCAACAAUUUUCUUAUUUGGAGGCGGCUUCACAAGAACCCAGGUAGCAUUUCGAUAAAGAGGCUCAAUUUCUUUAUUCAUCGCAACCAACCACUUAGCAGAAUCAUCACAAGAAAUCGCAUCUGAAUAGGUAAUAGGCUCAUCAACUACAUCAAUUUCUUCUGCAACAGAUAAAGUAUAUGCAACCAAAUUUGCAUAUAUUUGUGGUGGUCGAAUAUCCCUCCUUAGUCUAUCUCUGGUAAUGAAAUAUUUUCCUCUUCUGAAUUAUUUUCAUCAGUAGAUUCAGAUGUAUCUACUGGCACUUGUUGAAUAUAAGGACCAGAACUACCAAUUUCAAGCUCCACCUGCUUCUGCAUACUAUCAUCUAUUUGACAAGAAAUAGACGACUACUUCUUGGAAGAUAAUAUAGAAAAUUCAUCAAAAGUAACAUCUCUACUGAUUAUAAAUUUUGGAGAUUUGGGAUCAGAACACCAUAAUCUGUAUCCUUUCACCCCAGAAGCAUAUCCAAGAAAAAUACACUUUUUAACUCGAAAUUUUAAUUUUUCAUCAUUUACAUGCAUGUAUGCUGGACACCCAAAAAUUUUAGAAUCAGAAUAAUCAGCAAGAGUACCUGACCAAAUUUCCUCAGGAGUUUUGAAAUUAAGAGCAGCAGAAGGACCACGGUUGACAAUAUAAGAGGCCAUAGAAAUUGCCUUUACCCAAAAGUCCUUUGUCAACCCUGCAUUAGAGAUCAUGCAUCUCGCUCUCUCCAAAAGUGUUCUGUUCAUACGCUCAGCCACACCAUUUUACGAAGCCGUCAUCCUGACGGUGUGAUGCCGAACAAUUCUUUCAUUUUUACAAAAUUCAUCAAAUUUUCUUUCAUAAAAUUUCAUGUCAUUAUCUGUUCUCAGCCGCUUGAUUUAUUUACCUGUUUAUUUUUCAAUCAAAACUUUCCAUUGCUUGAAAGUGAGGUAAACAUCAUUCUUAUGUUUAAGAAAAUUAACCCAAAUUUUCAUUGAAUAAUCAUCAAUGAAAGUCAACAUAUACUUGACACCACCCUUAAACGGAAUACGAGAUGGACCCCAUAAAUCUAAAUGAAUAUAAUCAAGAGUACCUUUCGUCUUAAGGAUUGCUGGAGAACGGAAGCUAACUCUUUUUUGCUUCCCAAAAAUACAGUGUUCACAGAAUUCCAAUGACCCAGUACUUUGACCACAAAGAAGUCCUCUUUUGCUUAGAAUGUCGAAACCUUUCUCGCUCAUAUAUCCCAAACGCAUAUGCCACAAUUUGGUGAUGUCAGAAUCAGACAAUGAUGGCGAUGACGAAACUGCAACCGAGCCUGUGACAGUAGAUCCCUGCAAAACAUAUAAGCUACCAACCCUGCAAACUUUCAUUAUAACGAGAGCACCUUUAGAAACCUUCAUAACGCCAUUUUCAGCUGUGUAUUUGCACCCAAGAACCUCUAGGGUGCCCAAAGAGAUGAGAUUCUUUUUCAAAUUAAAAACAUGUCUAACAUUAGUGAGCGUCCUCAUAAUACCAUCAUGCAUUUUAAUUCGGAUUGUACCCUUACCAACAACAUUGCAAACGGCAUUAUUGCCCAUUAAAACAAUUCCACCAUUAUAAGAUUCAUAAGUGGAAAAUAAAUCCCUAUUGGGACACAUGUGAUAAGAGCACCCCGAAUCUAAAAUUCAUUCAUUUUUAGAUCUUGUCCUGUCAUCAGUCACAAAAAAAAAUAUUUCCUUCAUUCACAUCAACUGCAAUACCAGUUUCGGUAGUCUCAAUAUUUUUCUCACCAGAUUUUCCCUUUUGUUUCAAUUUAUUUUUUAAUUUGAAACAAUCUGCCUUAAUGUGCCCAUUUUAUGACAAUAAUUGAAAUUCACAUUUCUAUUUCUGGAUUUAGAUCUAGAUUCAGAUCUAUUUUUGUCAAAUUCUCUUCUCUCAUUUCUACCCCUAACAACCAGACUUUCUGCCUGACCUCCACUAAAUUUUUCAAUAAUAUCCCUAUCUAUAUGCUCCUUAGAUUUUAAUGCAGAUUUAAUUUUUCGAUACGAAAUUGUUUAUUUUCCAUAAAUCAUAGUAUCGGAAAAAUAUUUAAAAGAUUGGGGAAGAGAACACAAAAGUAACAGGGCCUGAUCCUCAUUAUCAAUUUUCGAAUCUAUAUUCUCCAAAUUCAUAAUAAUGGAAUCAAAUUUAUCAAGAUGUGAGAGUAUAAAUGUACCUUCAGUCAUGUGAAGCAUAUAUAGAUUUUGAUUUAAAUAAAACCCAUUCUCAACUGUCUUCUUCAUAUACAAGGCCUUAAACUUGUCCCACAUGGCCUUUGUCGAAGUCUCAGUGGCUACCUCCCGCAAAAUCUCAUCAGAGAAAUUUAAGAUAAUACUGGAUCUUGUCUUCUUAUCCAUCUCAACAAAAUUUGCAUUUGUUACAUCCUCUGACUUUUUCUCGAUUCCGUGUACGCUAGAUCAACUCCGUCUUGAACCAAAAUGGCCUCCAUCUUGAUCUGCCGCAUCCCAAAGUUGACAUUUCUGUCGAAUUUCUCGACAACAGUCUUUGUUAUUGUCAUUGUUGCCACAAAAUUCAAAACCUCCGAAUAACAAUGAAUAGGUCCCACAAGAUGAGCGGACCCUACAGGCUGACCUCACAGACAAGUCCUAUUGGCCCUAUAGGAGGACCCCACUGCCACAAGUGGAGCCCACGGGCCCCACAAGCAGGUCCUACUGGUCCCACAGGCGGACCCCACAAACAGGUCCUAUUGGCCACAAAUGGACCAGUGUCCAAGGAUAUCUUUUCUGAUGUAGAAGAUCAGAUUUAACCGCGACCACGGAGCAUAUUCAGAAUGACCUCAAGCUCUGAUACCAGUUUGUUAGGACUGGCCCCAGGAAAUUGACGAAAGGAUUUUUGGCAACCUCAAAAGACAAAUAACAAAGUAGAAAUAAAUAAAACAGGAACACAAAAAUUUACGUGGUUCGAUCAAAUUGACCUGCGUCCACGGGCGGAGGAGGAGCAAUAUUUUACUAUGAAUAAGAGAAUACAAAAGUGCCUUAACAAAGUGUUCCUAAGCUCAAAACACCUAAUACUAAAAACACAAGAGAGCCCAAAAUAUUUAACAAAAGGUUUAAUGAUCCAAUGGCCUAAAUAGCCCACUAAUACUCUCUUGGUUUGGUGCACUUAACUCCAACCCAAGCCCCCUAUAUUUAUAGUUGAAUAAGGGGAGGUUUCUUUCUUGAUUUUCUAAUGUGGGAUAGCCAUACUAACAAAGAGUACAACCCAUUUGAAGAAAAUGAUAACAACAGUGAUAGCUUCUUGAACUAUAUUGGUAAGGAAACUAUAGUCUGGAUGCAAAUUCAUCGGGUUGGAAAUUCGAAUCACCUUGAAUCAUCAAGAAGUUAAUCUCCUAAAUUUCUGUCUCCUAAAUGAGAGCCCUUGCAUAAUUUCCAAUAAUGUCCUGUCUUCUUCGAUAAAAAAGCCAAGGAGAGGUCAAAAAUUAUCUAAAUAUGCAAAGGAGCAACGGACCCUCGAAGAAGAUAGAUAAAUGAAUCUUAUUUCCAAACAUCUGAUGAUUUAGGGAUUUAAACAACUGUUGAUGAUUCUGUUGAUCCCUUCUUUGCUAGAUCUUCAACUAUAGGUUUCAAUUUUUUAGGGUUUAGGCCAUUUGAAGAAAGUAAUAAUAACAAUGGUGGCUUGUCAUGGAAACCAGUUGUACUAUGCCAAUAUGUUACCUAAAUUACCCCUAAAAAAGUCGGAUGAAAAACAACGAACAGUCAAAUACCAACUCCUUUUUAUAUAUAUAUAGGAUUUGUGAAACACUAGGAUUAAUCAAAUAACUUAUGAGAUCUGAUUGCAGUUUGCUUUGUGAUCUGUACUUCUGUAUUUAAAUAACUGAACAGUAAAAGCAAAAUUCGUGAACUUGAAGUUUUAUAACCUGAGAAAUUUAAUUAAAAAUAUAUGAUAGGGUUUAGGUUUUUUUUUUUUUUUUAGUGAAGUGGAAGGACUUGAAUCCGAAACUUUUCACUUACAUUCCUUCCUUCGGAACUAUCCAACCCAUCCCUCAACCCAAGGUUUAGGUUAACAAAGAGGAAGAAGUAAUUAUAAAAGAUUGUAUAUCGUGUUAAAUUAGUUACAAUAUUCUUUCUAAUAGUUGUCCCUACAUAUAUAACGUAUAUACUCAUUAUAAUAAUUUUUUUGUAAAAUUAAUAAAAAAUUUCCUAUUUGAAGAUUAAUUCAUGUUUUGUCUUGUAUUAAGUAAAUGUUGUAGAAUUAAUUUUAAUUCAAAUUUUCAUAUAAUGACCACUGCUUUUGAAGGAACAUAGUAGCCUGUUCAUUGCAUAGGAUUAUAGCAAGUGCCAAAUAGUGGCGGAUCUUCAAUGGGGGCACUAGUCCCCACUGGCCCCUAAAUUUUACUAGCAGCCUCACAAUUUUCUUAAAAUUGCACUAUUACCCUCACUAAAUUGUUUAGAAGUAAACAUAAAAAUGAAUAGUUUUGUAACUUGAUGGAGAGGGACUAUUAAAGAAUUUAAAACAAAAGGCCUUUUUCUUCAAUCAUUUAAUUUUCUUGGAACUCGUAAUAAUUUGUUAAUUAUUAGUUAAUUAAUCGAUUGGAUUUUUUCUUUCAAGAAAACAAGAAAAUACAAAAUAUCUACUAAUGCGUAAAUCAAGAGUAGUUUUUUGGAUGAGUUAAAAUCAAUCAGAUGUGACUUUUUUCCAUAAAGCAGAUGAGACUGUUAUUAAUUAAAAAAAAAAGAUCUGCAGGUCCAUUAGGAACUAUUAAAGAUUUCUUAUGAUUUUAAAAGAAAAUUACUGGUCCAUUAUUUAAUUUGAGUAUGUUGCUUUAGUUAUAUUAUUGAUGAAACAAUGCAAUACUCCCUCCCCUUUUUUAUAACUGACGUUUAAGGUUUUGCACACCAAUUAAGAAAAGUUUUUCAUUGUUUAAAUCUAUACACUACUUUCCUUUUGUACCCUCAUUAAUUGUCCAAUUCACCCAUGUUUUCUCUCACUAGAGUAUUAAAUGGUGCUGUUUUACUAGGCCAAAAGCAAUGCAAACUAACUCCCACCAAUUAUGAAAAGAGAGAUAAAAGGGUAAAAUUGUGAAAAAAUAAUUAAUGCUGCAUGGGGAUAAUAAAACGACAGAUAAAAGUACUUAAGAGCAAAUUUCUUAAACGUCAAUUAUAAAAAAAGGGAGGGAGUACUUUUUAUGUGAAUAUUGUUGUUAUGUCCUAUUUUUAGCAAAGACAAAAAAAGAAAUUUCCAUCUUGUAUUUGCUCCCAGUAAAUGUACUCUUGACUCUGCAACUGGUUUGUAAAGAUUAAAAGCUAUUGAUGAUAAGCUAGGAUAUUAAAGACGAUGAGAAAGAGAAAGAAGGAAAGUGACAAAUAGAAUGUGGGAUGAUUAAAGCUUGUGAUUGAUGUCCCUUAUGCACGAAACAUCUAUUUAGAGAAGCCGAUUUGUUUGAAAUUAGUGUCGUAUAAUGGAAAUAAACGGAUAGUUUAGUGAAAUAAUGCAUCAGUUGACAGCGGAAAGCAAGAUUACAGAUCUUAUCAGUUACCUUGACCAAUUUAUAUAAACAUGCAUCACGAGAUAUUCAAGAAUAUCCAAAGAGAGAUGAUGCAGAUUUCAGUUAAUCAAUUAAAAGUUGGCAUCAUUUAAUGCAAUAAUUGGUGAAAUAUAUAUAUAUAUAUAUAUAUAUAUAUAUAUAUAUAUAUAUAUAAAAUGAAAGAAGAAAUUUGGUAUCUAAUAGCUAAGGUUUCAAAUCAGUCAAACUCAAUGGAAUCACUCGUUGACUUGCUCAUUUAAAGUUUGAAUCAAAACUCGCAUUAAUCAAAUUUAAGUCAAAAAAUAUGUAUAAAGAAAGAAGAAAUUUGGUAUCUAAUAGCUAAGGUUUCAAAUCAGUCAAAACUCAAUCAAAUCACUCAUUGAGUUGCUCAUUUAAAGUAGUUUGAUUAAAACUCGCGUUAAUUAAGUUUAAGUCAAAUUCUAGCUGUUCAAUUAGUUUGACAAGCUCACUAACUUGUUGGAAGUCAUCACUUCAAACUUAUCUCACACUUCAAAAAUGCUACUAAAACUAUUUCCUCUGUCUCAUUUUAUUGUCUUGAUUUUUUUUUGGCAUUUUAAAUUCUAUUUAGUUUGUCUCAAAUUAAUUAUUUGUCAAAAUCUUAAAAAAGAAAAAAAGGAACUAACCUCCCCAUUUUAUUCUUCAUGCAAUUUUCAAAUAGGGCAUUAAUAUCAUGUUUCAACAUUUAAUAUAUACUUUAAUAAAACAUUGUAAUAUUUGAAAAUUCAGAUAAAUUAACCAAAUUCAAAUCUAAAUUAAGAAGUAAUCACCCAGAAAGUUACUUGUUUCAAGGCACGUCGAUACUAUGCUGUAACUACAACACACUAAAUUUAUCCAAAAACAAGAUAACAACACAUAUUAAACCAUGAUAUUCCUGUUUCACAGCUCUACGAACGAGGUCUAAUUAAAGCAAAAGUUUCGACAUUAGCAGGGAUACUCCCAACUUCUCCCCCCUCCUCAAGUACAGAGAACACCUCUGCAAUCAUGCUAUGGGUGGCCAUGUCUCUCAGGUUCUGAAAUUUGCAUGCAAGAAUUCAUUAAUUCCCCAAAUUGUCUUGUGAUUUUAUGGAGGACUACAAGAGAGAAAGAAACACAAUGAAGUAGUUUAGUCACUAGAAUUGUUCAAAUGUAUGUAUUAUAGUUUUACAGCAGUACAAACUGGACAGAGUCCAUAUGGAAUACAUAUAGUCUAUAUAGAUAAGGUCUAAGAACAUUAUAUUUGCUAUACUGAACAUGGAUGAGUCUCUCAUCCAUCACACACUGCAUCUACAUUGCAGCAUUAUUCAUAAGCCAAUGACACAAACAAUAAACCAUUGGUAUUACUAGUGCAACUGUCACCGCUUGAGGUCUUCUAUUACAUGUUUCCACAUUUCUUUGUCACACAGCUUCUUAAAAUGACAAAUGUCCCGUACAGAGAGAGAUUUCAAAACUUGGACUCUUAUUUAUCAUUGCAUAGUACAGGUGUUAAUCAGAUAGAUAGUGUAACAAAAGUAUAACGGGAAAAGUUGUAAUAGGGGAUCCUUUGCCUUUGUUCUUCAAUAGAGCAUUGCGGAGAUCAUGAUAUUUGUUGGCGCACAAUUGUGGAGCAUUGCAGUCACUGCUGCAUGCAAAUACACAAAAUGCAUAACAACCAAAUUUUUUCCACCAGACUUGCUUUUCACAGCAUUUGAAAGCGUUUUCACAAUCGUUUUCGCAAAAUUUUUGGAGAUUUUCCAGCUCAUCACUUGAUGAAGAUCCAGGAAAACGAAGAUGUACCACCUCUCCGACCCUGUUGGGAACCGCCCCAACAAAGGCUGUGGUGAACAGCAUUAGCACGAUGAGUUGGGCUGUGAAAAUCUUCCCAGUCGUGUUAUCGGCCAUGAUCCCUUUAUUGUGAGGAUUAGAUUGGAGAGACUAAGUUCUUUGCAGUUGAUUAUGAGCUAUAGUUUGGUAACUUGUAGCUAGUUGUAUGAAUAAAGCUCCACGGAUUAUGCAGCUAUUUAGAGUUUGCUACAUCUCGAAGUGACAAAAAAAAUGAUGGUGAUUCUUUUUAAACUCAAAUCUUGGUAUAGUAGUUUUGCACAUGUCAUUUGUUUACAAAAGAAUAAAAUACCAUGAUAAGACACAAAAGGGGCACGAGGAAAUCAUUUACCAUAUGAAAGUUUCUGCAUUCAUGUCAACUUGUGCAUGCUUGGACUGCAUUGGUCUCCUGGCACAUAAAGUAGCUACAUACGUACGAAAAAUACUUGUGAAAGCUUAAUCGACAAGUGUAUAUAGCAGAUAAAUUUUUUUGCAUCAUCAUGCACAUGUAUUUGCCUUAUUAUAUUAUUUUCUGUUAAUGUCAAAGGAAUAGUAGGUUUCAGAUUAAUGUAUGUAAAUAAGUGAAAUUGUAAUCCUUAAGAAUCAGCUUAGCUGGAACAUUAACCAAGUGACAGUGAGAUUUUUUAUCCUCUCGAAAAAUAAAAGGGUAAAUUACACUUUACCCCCUAUAAUUUAACGUUUUUUCACGUAACUUCCUAUGAUUUUAAAAACUAUAUAUAGUUUCCUUAUGAUUUGGAUUAAAAGUGCCAAAGUGAUGGAAUUUGUAUUUCAUAAUGGAGUCAACUAAAAUGCCAAAAAUAUCCAUACAUGAAGUUGUAAAUUAUUUAUUAAUCACAGUGAAAUUAUGUAUAUAUUUUGAAAGUUAUAAAGAGAUUAUAUGAUAAAACAUUAAAUCAUAAUGAAGUUAUGUGGUAAAAUACAAAACUAUAAAGAAUUAAAGUGUCAUGCAUAAAUCCCCUGAUUCACGAGGAAGCCAAGAAAAGAUAAAACAAACUCCUGAUUCAUGUGGAAAACAUUAACACCAAAAAGAAACUAAAUUCUUGAUCUACUAGGUAAUUACAUUAAGUAUUCAAAAGGCCCUGGUCAAGGAUAGGACAGCAAUACAUCAUUAUACUAUGGUCUUAGUUCAACCUUCCUGGGCAAGUAGUAUCAUAUUUAGGUGAGCAUGCUUUGAUACAUUUUCUUGCUACCUUGAGAUGUUGACUAACCACCAACUCCUUUCCCUGGAAAUCUUUAGCAUUGAAGACAUGGUCAUAGUAAUUAAAAUGAGUUGAAGAAGCUUGAACUUUAAGCAAGAUCAGUAAUUAGUGGUGCCGAUUUUGAGUUAUUUAUUAUCCCAUAUGGCUCAUUGUCUACUUGAACAAAUAUUAAAAGACAACUGAUGUUCUGCUAGGUUACAUUGAUAUGAGCAUCAGUGGAGGAUGAGCGGAAGCAGAAUUUUUGAGCCCCAAUCUCCACUUCUAUAGACUGACAAUGAAGCAGUCCAGGUUCAUGUAUAUUACAAGCGCAGUCCAGGUGGAUGGAGAUCAGCAUCUUUCAUGCUGGGUUAGUAAACAUAUAAAAGUACAUACAUAGUCCUACUAAGGUAUUUCCCAAUAAUUGCUAAAGUUCUUUAAGCAUUACCUUCUUUUUGUCCAAUUUUCUAAGAACUAGUAAUGAUUUAGAAGCAAAACAAAGUUUAUGCGGAAUGCAACCUGAUCAUUAUGAUUUGACUGGGUUGACUAUAAUCUAUAGCUGGAGGAUCUCUGAAGAGGUUUGCCUAUUAUGGAGUAGAAUCUAAUCUGAUUAGCUGUCUUACCGGACCACUUGGAGAAUCCGUGGCAACAGCAGCUGCAAAUGUCAAUACAUGGAUUGGUGUAGUUUCACUUGUACCAGUUUUAGGAGCAUAUUUGGCUGAUUCUUUCCUUGGUCGAUGUCGAUCAAUUAUCAUUGCUUCCAUUCUCUAUAUCUUGGUCAGCUCACAAUUUUAUUUUUAUAAAUUGUUAUUGGCAUUUCCUUGUUUGUUAAUGUAACUUUUGUGCACUUUUCUAGUCAUACAAAAAGAUAAAGAUAUCUACAUUUUUGUCACUUGAAGUAAAAUUUGACUAGAUGGGAGUGAUUGUGAAUGCAAUGAAGUAUAUGGGUACUUUAAUUCAAGUCAGAGGAUCAGAACCUCAAACGGCGAGCCAAAUACAAAUAAGGGGGUGAAAUUGUGAAAAUAACAAGUCUCCAUCUCUUUGGAAUUGUACAUACUUCAAGCUCUUAUUACUCUCUAUGGUGAUAGUGCUGAAAAUGUAGCAGGGACUUGGUUUUUUGAGACUCUCUGCAUCAAUUAGUCCAACUUUUCUCAGCAGCUCAAGCUAUCAAGCCAUAACCAAGAAAUCAGGCUUGGAUACGGGAAACCAAGUUUGUUUUUUGUCUCACUUUACGCGACUGCAUUGGCUAAAGGAUGUAAACCUUGUGUUCAAGCUUUCGGAGCUGAUCAAUUCAACGGAAAACAUCAGGAAAAGAGCAAAGCCAAGAGCUCAUUUUUCAAUUGGUGGCUCUGUGGCCUAUGCAUUGGUUCUAUAGCAGCACAUUUGAUCUUGCACUAUAUUCAAGACAACAUUAGUUGGACAAUUGGUUUUGGAAUUCCAUGUCAUGUUAUGAUUCUUGGGCUAAUUCUCUUUUUACUUGGACACGGACAUAGAACUUACUUUUUGAUGUUAAAAGAGGUGGUGAAGAGAGCCCUUAUAGGAGGAUCUACUGGGGCAUAGCUAAAGAGAGGGUGAUGCUUUGAUCAAUAGAGCACAGGCAUCAAGCAGUCAAGAAGAGUGUCAAGAAUAUUUGUUGUCGAAAACUCAACAAAGAUCUCAAGAUUAUAGGCAAGGAAAUAAUACCAGACCAGUAAGAAAUUUUUUGAUCAUACAAUAAAUUAUGGAGUUCUCAAUUAAAUCUUCCUGAACAAUUUAUCCAGUUACCAGAGAUUCAGAGAAGGUAACUCACCGUUUUACCCUUUAAGAAAGGAAAAUGAAAUCGGUCCAAUUUCUUUUGUGAACAGAAAUUUUGCAUUUUGUAGCCAACCUUUUCAAGAAUCUUCUGUUCUUUCCCUUUAUUAUUUUACAUUCAAUUAUGUCAAGUAGGCAAAGGUCUAAAAAGCUAAUCAAAGUUACUUUUACUUUAAUGUUUUGCUCAUCUCCGUAUUUACUACUUAUUUUCUUCUUUAAUGCAGAAAAAGGCUGUUCAUUCAACCUUUUUGGAAGAUUGGUGAAUAAUAUCGAAAUUUCCAGCACGAGUCUUUGCCUUUGACUGACCGACAUUGGAGAUGAAGAUGUCUUUUUUUCAUGCAGCUCACUUACAAGUUUUCUACUUCUUUAUUUCAAUAGCCUUUUGUAAAACUACCUUAUUUUGAUGUAAAAUUUGGGACGGAUAGACCACUUAUCGAAACAUUUGUUUUGUGAUGUAGAACUUAUAUGACAUUUGAAGAUAAUUUGUGGUAUAUUGGCAUCCAGCUUCUCAUGCAGUUAUUGCUUUUAUUUGUUAACAUGUCAAGAUAUAUUUUUUCUUUUUAUUUUAUCAUGAGUACUGUUGGCAAAAAAAAAUUAAUUGAAAAUUUUCAUUGACAAAUUAAGUUGUCACAGAAAAAACACCUAUCUAACAAAAAGAACUUCCUCUAUCACAACAUAAUGUCCUCACUAGCACCAAAUCAUAUUAUCGACAAAAACUGUUGUCGGUAACGUGACAAUAUAAGUGACAUCACCAAUUUUUAGUGAUGAUCUGCAUCCAGAUAUUUUUGACAACAGGUUCAAGUCAUCGAUAAAACUGGAUCCAUAAUGUCGUCACUAAAAAUGAUACAGUAUUUCAUUGACGACUUUUAAGGUCGUCAUUGGUUAUUUUUACCGAUAGAGGUGUAGUGACGACCUUUUGACGAUUUGAAAGUCACCAAUAAUUAUCGUUUGUGACGACUUUUUACUAUUCUGUGACAAUUCUAUGCUGUCACUGAUGACCUAUUUUCUUGUAGUGAUAUUAUGUUUAUAUAUUUUGAUUAUUUCAUUCAUUUCAGUUUUUAAACAAGAGUAAUCUUGACAUUUCUAUGGAUUCCAUUACAGUGGAUCAUUUCUGUCAAUUUGACAUUUUAAUCCAUAUCAUCAGAGAGUUUUAUAUAACUUUUGAAACUAUAGCCUUAUUUUAGUUCAAAAUUCGCUCUUGUUUUGCUAGAAUAACUAAAAAGAAUAAACAAAAUUCAUGAACUUAAAGUUUUAUAACCUAAGAAAUUUAAUCAACACUAUAUGAUAGGCGUUAGGUUAAUAAAGAGGAAGAAGUAACUAUAAGAGAUUGUAUAUCGUGUUAAAUUAGUUACAAUUUUCUUUCUAAUAGUUGACCCUACAUAUAUAUAAUGUACUAAACUCAAUACAAUGAAAUUUAUUUUGUAAAACUUAAUAAAGGUUUCUUAUUGGAAGAUUGAUUCAUGUUUCCUCUUGUAUUAAGUAAUGUAGUGGAAUUAAUUUUCAUUCAAAUUUUUAUAUAAUGACCACUGCUUUUUGAAGGAACAUGGUAACCUGUGUAUUGCAUAGGAUUAUAGCCAAUUUGGAACAGUAGAGGAUCCUCAAUGGGGCAAUAGGGACCCUCACUGCCCCACAAAAUUUAACUAGUAGCCUUACAAUUUUAAAAAAUUUUUAUUGUUGCUCCAAUAAAUUGACUAGAAGUUAACAUACAAAUGACUACUUUUUAAGGGACUAUUACUGAAUUUAAAACAAAAGGGCCUUUUACUUCAAAGAUAUAUUCAAUUCUCUUGGAACUUGUAAUAGUUUGUUAGUCGUUUUCUAAAUAAAUUGAUUGGGCAUUUUUUUUUCCAAAAAAGCAAAGAAAAUACAAUGUUCACUAGUAUGUAACUCAAUAUUGGUUUUGCUGCUUACUUAAAAGUAAUCCAUAAGUGACUUUUUUCAAUAAAGCAGAUGUGACUGUUACCAAUAGGGGAAAAAAAAUGGUCUACCAGGAACUGUUAAAGGUUUUUAUGAAAAAAAUGCAAUAGUUUUGAUGUGUAUAUUAUUGUUAUGUCCUACUUUUAGCUAAGACAAAAAAGAAAUUAUCAUUUUGUGUUUUCCCUCAAUAAAAUGUGUUCCUGAUUUUGCCACUGGUUUGAAAAUAAUAAAAGCUAUUGAUUAGAAGCUAAGAAAUCAAAGAAGGUGAGAACCAGAAGCAGAAAAGUGACACAUAGAAUAUCCAAUGAUUAAAGGCUGUGAUUUUUUUUUCUUUUGGAUCAAGACUAAAUGUUAUGAUUGAUGUCUCUUAAGCAUGAAGUGCCUAUCGUUAUUUUUCUGACAUAACUAUUAGAUUAAGGAUCGUGGCAAUGGCUCACUUUGAAACAAAUGUACUUUAGGGAAGUUGAUUGUGUGAAAUUAAUAUCGUAUAAUGGAUAUAAAUGGAUAGUUUAGUGAAAUAAUUCAUCAGUUAAAAGCGGAAAAGAAGAUUUGCCAAACUAAAGCAAGAUUAGAAAUCUUAUGGUAAGAUUCUUAUCAGUUACCUUGACUGAAUACAUAUAAUGAAAGGAGAAAUUUGAUACCUAAUAGCUAAGGUUUCAAAUGAGUCAAGUUAAAUCCAACUACUCACUAGUUUGUUCAAUUAAAAACUGAAUUAAAACUUGUAUCAACCGAGUUUAAAUCAAGCUCUAAAAGUUCAAAUAAUUUGACGUGCUCAAAUUCAAUAUGAUACUCGAAUAUUGAUUGAGUUUAUAAAGCAAGGUCAAAUGUCUAUUGUACCUCUUAGUUAAAAAUAUAUUAAAACAAUGAAUUUACUUUACUUAAACUCAAGUAGACUCGAUCACAUGCAAACUAUUACUUAAUUAAGGUUUUGUAUUGUGUUGAAGUUACUCGAGUCAAGUUCAGGUAAGCUAAAAUAUUAUCGAAACUUUAGUUCAAACUCAACUUUUGCUAGUAGUAGCUCUAAGUCAAACUCGAGUAUUGCACUGUCCGAUCUCAACUCAACUUGAUUGUUUCCCUAGUAAUAGCAAUUAGAUAUGUCACUUAAUAUGAUAUUCAUUUGCAUUUCUUGAUUUAGUGGCACGUUCCACUUCAUUGGAUUAAUGCAUUUAAAAAAGAUAAUAUUUUUUCUACAAUACAUUAGAUCAAACACAAAAACAAGAUAAUAACACACAUUAAACCAACAUAUUCCUGUUUCACAGCUUUACGAACGAGUUCUAGCUAAAGCAGAAGUUUCAGAAAUACUCCAACUUCUCCAGCCUUCUCAAGUACAGAAAGAAACAUAAUGAAAUAGUUUAGCCACUAGAAUAUUAACUUAAAAUUUACAGCAGUACAAACUUAUGGAGAGAGUCCAUAUGAACUAUUGACAAGUUCUAAGAACCUUAUAUUUACAAUACUAAAGAUAUAUAUGUGAUUCUCACACCCAAUCACACAUUGCAUCUACAUUGCAGCAUUAUUCACAAGCCAAUGACACAGACAACAAACCAGUAGUAGUAGUAGUAGUACAAUUGUCACAAGGACAGUUGAAACCACGCAUAUGUAAAUUGAAAAGAAAGAGAGCCUGAAUCAGUUCUCCAAAUAGAGCGUUGUGGAGAUCAUGAUAUUUGUUGGUGCACAGCAUUGGAGUAUAUUUGCAUUUAGCCCUGCAUACUUACUAAUGCACAGUAUGCAUCACAGCCAAGUUUUUUCCACCAGACUUGCAGUUCAGAGCAUUUGAGAGCGGCAUCACAAUUGUUUUUGCAACGUUAUUGGAGAUAUCCGGACUCAUCACUUGAUGAAGCUCCAGGAAAACCAAGAUGUACCAGCACCACCUCUCCGACCCUGUUGGGAACCGCCCCAACUAAGGCUGCAGUGAACAGUUUAGCAUGAUGAAUGAUGCUGUGAAAAUCUUCCCAGUCGUGUUAUCAGCCAUAAUCCCUUGAUUGUGAGGAUUAAAUUGGAGAGACUAAAUUCUUUUCAGUUGAUUAUGAGCUUUAGUUUGGUACCUCGUAGCUAGUUGUAUGAAUAAAGCCCCAGGGAUUAUGCAGCUAUUUAUAGUUGCUGCAUCUAGAAAUGACAAAAAAUUUUGAUGGUGGCUCUUUUUAAAUCAAAAGAAUAAAGUACUAUGAUAACGCACAAAGGGGCACGAGGAAACCUCGUUUGGAAGUUUCUCCAUUCGUGUUGUUGUUGUAGUUGGAUUAUACUUGUGUAUGUUUGGACUACACUCAUCUCCUGGUACAUAAAAUAGCUACGAAUGUACCAAAAAUACUUGUCAAAGUUUUUAAUCUACAAGUAUAUAGAAUAGCUAUAUACUAAAAUUUUUGCAUCAUCAUACACGAGUAUUUGCCUUUAUAUAUUAUAUUCUAUUGAUGUUAAAGAAUAGUACCUUUCAAAAUACAAGUAUUGGUGUACGCAAAUAAGUGAAACAGUAGAUCUUAAAAUCCAGUUUAACUGAUAGGGAUAUUAGUCAAGUGACCGUGAGAUUUUUAGUUUAACUCUCGAAUCUUCUCAUUUCCAAGUGAUUGCGAGGCACAUUUGCCUAAUUUUGUUCUUAUACCCCAUAAUUGAUUGAAAGUUGUAUGUUAUAUGUGGGCCUAUAAGUAAUAUAUGAUAAUUUUUAAUAGAAGAACAAGUUAUAGACACAAUUUUUAGACAUUUAAAGUAAAUGGAUGACAAAGGACUAAAAAUGAUCAAGACCAAAUUGAAUUGGAAAAUGCCCGAAACAAUUAUACUAACUAACAAAAACUCAGAUUAGAAAGGCUAUGCACAUGAACAAAGUUAAAAAAAAUUUUGUUGAAGUGAAAUAAAAAAAUCAUAUUAAUUAUCGAAAUAGUUGAUUGCUUUUAUGUGGAUUAUUAUUGAUAUAAAAAAGCUAAUCCUUUAUGUUAAUACACCGGGAUACAAACUAGUUAAUAUAUAUCAAGGGCAAUGUAAAAUUUUACUAAAUCAACCAUCAAGGAUUCCUCUAUUGUUUCAAGAACAAUUUCCAAAUCAACUAAAAAUUCUGAGGAUGAUCCAGUUUUUCCUAAAUUACACGUUACAUAAAAAUUGAUUAAAAAGUUCUACAACUUUGCAUAUUGGCUUUUAUUAGAUUUGAGUUACUUUUUGCAGUAUCAGCCCUAAUAUAAUAGGUCCAAGACUUACAACCACAAUGGCAUGAUUCAUGUAAAUAUGGCCCAAUUACUCCCUAAAAGAAAUGGACAGAUGAGAUUACAUUUUCAAGUGUUGGACCUUUGAUUGAGCUUUGCUUAUUAAUUUCGAAGCACUUAGAAGUUAAUUAUUUUCCCCUUUUUAGAUUAACGCAGAAAUCUAAUGUGUAUUAUUUGAAAAUAUUUUAAAUAAAUUGUAUUAUUUUAUUAUAGGGCAUUAAUUGUGCACGAGUGCUGAAGCCAUGCAUGCUGUGACAUGCAAAUACAUGUAAAAGGGGAAUAGGUUUGUCCAACCAUAUAAAAAGGAAUUUUUCUUGAUAAGAUUUAACAACUUGAUAGUUAUGGUAGUGAAUAAGGAGAGACAUUUUCUUUUUCUUUUUUGGUUCCAAAGAUAAUAUUAAAUGCUUUUCUUUUUCUUCUAAUUUUAUAGGUAAGAGACACAAGAACUAAAUAGUUACAUAUAGCAGCUUAUUCAAUAAGUUACAAAGAUCAGUUAUAAUCCAGCAAUAUAUCAAGAAGUAUUUUUAAAAUCUACCAAAUAAUCUAUACGCACACCCCCUUAUUUGGCUAAAUUCAUAAAGGCAUUCCAAAGCAGGGCAAAUCAGUGUUAAAUCUUAUCAAGAAAAACUUCCUGCUCACCAUCUUUGGCCCAAAAGUUUGUACCACUAUAUAAAAAUUGGAAGUUCCAUCCUUGUGAGCAGCAAAAGGGCUCAUCAACAUCCCAAACUCCAACAGAAUCAAAAGAUCAAAAGAGACACGGAAGCUCCUUUAAGAUAUUAAAAAACUAGCAUUGUAAAAAGUUCUAGAUAACUAAACAAAUCCAGUGCUUUAGCCAUGAAAAUCUUAGAAGCAGCUCCCUUGCUUAAACAACAAAUCACUUGAGUCAUCAUCUAACAAAGAUGUAACUAUCCAAGAGAAACACCAGCAAGUGGAGCAUUACAAACUAUUCUCACACAGAGAUGUAUCAGAAACGAAAGGAGAAAGAAGAAGCUACACCUCUAUGUAAAAUAUGUUAUUGUCGCAUACCCUUAAAGGUAUCCUACCUCAACUAGACAAGGGAGAAAUCACAGUCUGAAGUAAGCUAAGAGGACGAAGAACCAACCAUGGAGCUGAUCUUCUGCAUAAAAGCUUUGAUCUCACUUUCUAACUUUGCUCUCAUCUCUGGUGAAAGAUUGUUACCUGCCUUCUCCAAUGUUGAUUUCAUCAUCUCAAGAUUCUUUUUGAUAAACAAAAGAUCAGGUGGAUCACGAUUCUGAGGAUUUGAACCAGAAGGUUUUGCAGGGCUCUUGAGUCCAUCCAUGGGCAGAAGGGGUGGCACCAAAGGAGUCAAUGAAGGGCCUGAAACACCAAGAGAAUUCUGCACCUUAUUGUGAUUGGCACUAAUAUCCAGAACUGCAGCGGUAGACUUGUUUCUUCUCCUCCUUUUCCGUGGCGGUUUAGUUUGUGCCAUAGCUGAGUUUGUAUCUGUUGCAUUAUUUCCAGGUAAGACAGAUUCAACAACAUUACCAUUCAAAUCUGGGAGGUUUGAAGCUUUGUCCUUUCUUUUCCUGCGCACAGGUUUAGCAGCUGGAGACAAUAAGGGUGUUGGCUGAAAGCUGUUUAAUAGUGAUCCAAAUUGAAUGCUGUUUCCACUGGCAUCUGAUUGCUGGGCAAUGACUUCUGAAGUAAAUGCAGUUUCACCCUGGAUAUUAUUCUGCUGAGGAACAGUGUUCAGGAAAUUCGGACUCAUUGCUUGCACAUCUUUCAACAACUGGACAAAUUUAAUGUUGUUUCGACUAGGAUCAAGCAAGCCUACAGUUCUGGUAUAAGCAUUUUUUCUAGCUAAAUCCUCCGUCUGUCUAAUGUUUGGUUCUAGUCCACAAUGAAAUGCAGUAGUUCCUGGAUCCUGGCAAUCUUCGGCUGAUGAGACUUGGAUAUUCCCAUUCAAGUCUGGUAAUCCAGUCGCCUCUUUAAUAUCAAGUACUCCUGGAACUGUUCCUGCCUCCGGCCGGCUGGGUACUUUUUCACUUUCUGGCAUAUCAGAACCCACUCCCUGGCAUUUAAUUACCACUGAACUACUUAAUGCAUUUAUAGCUGAGCCAGACAAGAAAGUGCCUACUGAGGUUCCAUCUUCCUUCUUUGUACGUCUCUUCUUAGGCUUGGCACUGGAUGAAUUGUGUUCAACUGAAUCCUUUCCAUUUGUUCCUUCUGAGUCAUAAUUUGAAGAUUUAGUCAUUCCAUCCACCUUAAUUUCAACUUCAUCACCAAUAUGCUUAUUAGCUAUCUCAAUGUCUAAAAAUGAAAAUCUCCUGAAAUUGCAUAAAAACCUGUUGACUGAACCAGAAAGUUGUCUUCUCUUGGGAUGCAAACAAUCAAGAGCAGUAACAAGGAGUUCAGAGAGUAUUUCAGCCGAAGACGCCUUAAUAUCCUUCGCUUUGCCAAGCAUAUCAGAGGAAUUAGUAGAUCUAUGUGGCCCAGCUUUCCGUGAUUUCUUAUCACCAUUUGAUUGUCCAGAGUUGCAGUUCAUUUCCACAUUUUCUCCAGAAGUUGGUGCAUCUGCAUUGCCCUUCUUGGGGUUUAUGUAAGGAUAGGAUAAGUACUUGCUCUUCCUUCUUUCUCUUGCUUCAUUGCCUUUUGCAGAUCUGCUAUCCAUCCUCCGAUCAUUUUCUCCAUCUAAAAGAUCAUCUUCGGUACCUUCUGCAGAAAUGAAGGGGCUCAACUGCUGAGAAAAGACCUCAGCUUCACCAGUGUCAUUCUCCUUUCCAUCAUUAUUUAGGUCUUUGUCCUUUUCUCCCAAAUUCAGACCAUUAUGACGACCAUCUUUGGCAUCAGCUGGCCUGAGUUGAUGCAUGGGCAAUUGACAAUGCCCCAAAGAAUGAUAAAACGCUGAAAGACAAUUUUGGGUGAUGGUUAAUUUAAUUUUACCAGGCACAGGUGCUCCCUGUGCAAUAUACUUUACCGAUUGUAGAAAACUAGCAGGUUGAAAAUGAGAUCCCCAAAAAGCACUGGUACCCAUUCGGUCCAUUGAUAAGUAUCUCUUCACAGUUUGAUCAGCAGACUGAGCAGAAUUUUUUUGGUUUUCUUUUAAAGAACAAGAACAGGUCAUCUCUGCCUUUACACGCCUACCAAUCUCAAUGACAGCCCUGUCUAGUGCCCCACGAAAGUUUCUAGAGUUGUUUUGAUGAGACAUCUCGUCAAAGUACUCAAGAAAAUGCUUCAACUGAGAUGAGGAGCACCAAAUAAAAUUAGCAUUUCCAUAAUACUUAACCAGGAAAGAUUCUUUUUUGUGGGAAUCUGCAGCACCCUUUGAUGAGUUUGAGGGAUCAGUAAUCAUUCCAGGCCACCAUAACUGUGUCUUGGUUUUAGCCCAUACCAAAUCACCAACAUUAAAGCUGUUAUUUCUAUUGCAUGAAUCCUUGCCUGCCGUUUCAUUCUUUACAGGUACUUCUUCACUUAUUGGCCUAUUCUUCAUCACAUCAAGUAAAGAAUCACCAGCCUCUGAAACCUGGGCAAUUGUCUCUUCGCCAGAUGACAAUGCUUCAUUUCUUUGGCAUGAAUCUUCAAGAUCAGGUCCGCCCUCUCUCAAUGCAUGCCAGUCACUGCAGUUCCCUUCAUCAGCUUGAUUAAUACCGUCCAUCGGACCGAAAACCUCCACAAACAAAGAAAAACCGUCACCAGAAACUUCAAUCUUCCUCGGAGAAUCUACUGCCUCAGACUGUUCCAUUGCAUCAUUGCCUUUCUCAACUCCCUCCUCAGUCUCCACCUUUUCAACUCCAAUCCCCUUAUUCCCCUCAAGAAUCAAAGCCUGGCCAUUGGCACCAUUCAUCCCAUUAUUUUGUGGUUUCCCUAUGUUUUCUUGUUGGACAUCCAACCCCAGAGAGCCUCUUGUGUUCUGAUUUUCUUCAGCAACAAGCUCACUCACUAAAGCUUCCCCUCUAUUCACCAGACCAUCUAAUGUACAACCAUUAUCACCACCGUCAAAGCUUUUAUUUAUUUCCGUAUCACUUACUUCAACGUCUCUACAAUUUACAUUAAUCCCACCACCGUCUUCUCCUGCAACCAAAACUGAAGCGCUAGAAUUCUCACCAAAACAAGGCAUCUCAUAACCUUCUCGAGGCAUUUGACCACAAGGUUUCAGACUUUGACUCUCUUUUAACUGCACAAAACCCCCCUCUACAGCUUUUGAGUCCUUUUGAGUUUCCAUUUCAAGAAUUUCCAUUAAAGGUCUCAACUUUUCCCUCAUCAAUUUAUUUCACUGUCAUCCAAAACAGAACAAAAUCACAAGGAUUACAAAACACAUUUUUCACAACUUGCUGCUAAAAGAAACUCUCCAAAAAUGCAAAAAAGUCAAUCUACAGCAAAAAUAAGAAAAACCCACAAAAAAUCUAUCCAUAACUAGUUAAAAUCACACGCACAUUUAUCAAGAAGUAACAGAAAUGGACAUUCAAAAACCUGCUUAAACAAGAAAAAAAAUGUGAGGUACCUGGAGGAAGAACUGAAAACGAUACUCAUUUCAGAAACUAAUUCUCAGGUAAAGAGGAGAGAUUCCACUGAGUAAAAGAUUGAUUCUUGAGGCAAAGGAAUAGCUCUUUCUUUUGCCGGGGGAUGUGGGAUUUUUCUGCAAAGAGCGCACCGGAGUUGAGGCAGAAAAGACAGGUCCAGUAAAGAAAGAGAGAGGGGCUCUUUUGCUGCUGUGCUUGUUCAUGUGGUUUGGUUAAAGAAACAUGUCCUUUGAGCAACGGCAUUGUCUUUGCUGUCACGUGUUUGUAUUUUACUAGGAUUAGCCCUCCACGUCUCCCUUCAACAAAAAUUAAAAAUAGAAAAAAGAAAAAGUGAAAUUUCUUUUUGAUAAGAAAAAAUGAAUUAUUACUUCAUUUUUUCCAAAAAUGAAUUACUACUUCAUUUGAAAGGCAAAAACUUAAAUAGACUUGGGUUACUAGAACCGGUGAUUUAAGUUUUAUCACAUCUUCAAUAUGUGUCUAAUGUUUAAAUGGGUAAGAUGAUUUGACAAAUUUUGAAUCACUUGAAUCUACGGAUGAGAUUAUAAAUCAGGUCUAUCCAAGUAUUUAUUCAUUUUGAAAAUUAUUUAAUAAAAAAUAGUCAAAACAUAUUUAAUAAUUAAAUGAACAGGGGCAUUUAAUUUUGGUGGUGACAGUCUGACACAUAAAGAUGAUACCGAGUUUCUGUCACUCAGCCGAGGAGCAUUCUAUCGGGAGACAGCAUCAAAGGGGAUUAAGUAAAUAAGGAGCCGCAAGAAAUGGAAAAAUAAGGCCAAGAACAACCAACUCUUUGAUGAAAAAAAAAAAAAAGAGGUCAAGUACAAGCAAAAUAAAAGAUUUUUUUUGUUGGUUUUCAAAGUAUUGUGAGGGUAACGUUUUUAAUUUUGAUACUGAGUAAGAAAGACGGGAGAGGCCUAGGAUAGUUUCUUGUGUGUUUUUCCAAUGUUGGUAUUUUUAAUAUGUUUUCUAAUAUUUCAUGACCCAUUGUCCACAUGGAUCACAUUAGAAUUUGGUUGAUAAUUAUACGAUUUUUAAAUUAAAAAAGACAAUUUAACCAGACAGAAACAAGAAAGGAGAGUGGAGGGAAAUGCAAGAUGUAGGGAGAAGAAAUAGUGUAUUAUACAAUUAUUAUAGACUUGUACGAUUGCUAAAAUUAAAAAGAUACGAAGCAAGGAAGGAGAGAAUAGUAAAGAAAAAUACAAAAUGUGGAACAGAAUUGCACCCUUCAACUAUACUUGAUUCUUAGUUUGAUAUUUAAUUUUAACAUGUGACAUUUUAAUCCUUAAAAAACAAAAUAUAUCCUACUAAAGUAUAAAAUUUUGUCACACAUUAGAGAUUAAAGUACAAUAAAUAUCAUACUUUAGGGAACAAAAGUGUAAUAAGUGGGACAGAUUUUAUAUUUUAGUGAAUAAAAUGUCCCACUUUAAAAUUUAAAAACUAAAAUUGGAAUUCGGACAGAGUUGUAUUGUACAAAGUAGAAUUAACCCAAAGGAGUAAAAUAUUCUACGCUACAAGCAAUGCAUGGACUGGUUUUAUUCCAAAAUCUUUCAUUACUCACGUAUUUGAAUGGGUUAGGGUUUACUAUUUCAAUUAAUUACCAUCCUAUCAAUAUCAUCCGUUUUUAAUCGUUAAUUAUGAUUUUGAUAACUUAUUUAAUCAUAUAUCGUCAUUCCUUCCAUCAUUUAAUUGCUCAUUCUUAGUUUGGUACCUUUUCAUUAGUAGCUCAACUCUUCUUUACAGGUCAUUUUGAACUUUGUGGGUUUUGUAAGAUGCUCCUCAUGCUUUAAUUCUUUUAUUACCUUUUCUAGUCAACUAAUGGAAAAGUUAAGUAAACAUCUUGCUUAAGUUUGAAUUGUUAAUACAUUUUAACUUCAUGGUUUUAAGUAAUUCAUCAAUAGUUAAUCUCCAUAUAACCCUUUCCUAGUUUUCAAAUAUGGAUGCUAAACUUUUGAAAAGUGGUAAAAAGGCUCUUAUUUAUUGAAUAUAAUGUUUUGUCUUUUUGUUUAUUACUAUUCAUUUCUACAUAUGCAUCUUAGAGAAACUAUUACAAUGACAAUUUCCAAAUUAGGAUUCCUUGUUUCUUGUAUUUUAUGACAAUCUAGAUUAAUUUUGAAACAGUGGGGUCAUUCAUAACUCCACUAAUUAUUGAAUUUCAUAAAGUAAUUACUUUUUUAAAACUCUAUGCGUUCAGUAAUGAAAGUUUUGUACUUCUAUACAUAGAAAAAGUUAAACAUUUUGCUUGGGGAGGGAUGAAUAAUGAAGAACAUAAAAAAUACAAAACAAUGAAGCAAAAGAAAGUAUCACAAAUUGUAACUCUAAAUUCAAAAUUUGAUAACUAAUAUUUUAAUGCUAUGACAAGUAUAAACUAAAACACUCAAAAUCAAAUUUUCUACCAUUUUAGUGUUUACCAAUGCAAGUGAUGAUGUGAUGAAAGAUAUUAUUUUAGUAUCACUCACUCUAUAGAAAAUUAUGGUUGAUUUUACUUUUUAUAAAAAAAAUUAUUUUAGAAUUCAAGAAAAUUAACUGUAAUUGGAUAUUAAGGUAAGAAAAUACAGGGAAAAAUUCACAUAUUAACAUAUUGCAUCAAGUUAGAGUGAAAAGAAUAAUCAUCGAUUAAGAAAAAUUCUUUAAGUAAAGAAUAAGUAAAGAUUGAAAAUAUAAUAUAGGAAUUUCCAAAGAAAAAAAUUUUAAAAUAGCACCUGCCUUGGAAUAUUUGAAGUUAGAGUUUGGAGAUGGAUAAGGUAAAGCUGACUAUAACAAGUUCGGACUUUUCGUGUUUAUCACAAUGACAUUUUGUGAGCUGUGUAUGUCACAAUUAGUUACAAUUAUGUUUUGACUUUUUAUGUUGAUUUUAUUUUCAUUUUAUAAUUUUGCUUUUGUUUUAAUUAAUAUCUUAGUUUAGUUUAAUUAGGAUUUGAUUAACAUUUUACCCAAUUUAGGAGAUUACAAGUUGGUAUAUCAUGUGAAAGUUAUGUAAAGAACGGGUGUAAAAGAUUAUAGUUAAUUAUAUUUGGGAGACAAGAAGGAGGAAUUUUAUUAAUUUGUCAUGAGAGGUAUACAAAAGUAGGAUUUUGAAAAAUUUUGGGGCGGUGAGAGGGGGGGAGGGGUUGUCCCUCCAUGCCUCUCCUAUCUUCAUCCUUGCCACUAAAUAUAUUAAGCAUCAAUUAAUUUGUCUACAUAUAUUUUAAGUAAAACUUUUUGUUUAAUUUACUAAAUUUUGGAUAAAUUUAAGAGUAAAUCUUAUAUACAAUAACGGUGUAUACACUAUCACGGUUGGAUAUACCAAACAUAUGCAAAUUUUGAGUUUCAAAUUCAAAUUCGGAUUAUGUGUCAUGCAUCUAAUGGUGAAAGUGUAUAUACUAUCAGUGUAUAGAAGAUUAAUCUUAAAUUUAAUAAGACAAAUUAGUGGUGUAUGAAAUAUUAACCUUUAUAUAAUUUCUCUUUAUGUUUCUUUAUCACUAUUGUUCAUAAAUAGACGACGGGAAAUUCACAAAUGCAUAUUCUUCUCUUAUUUAUGCAUAUACAGACACUUUUCCUUCUCUCACACAUACUUGCACAUAUUAUUCUCUUAACUCGUAUAUUUUUUCUGACACAUUUGCACAUAGAUAGUCUUUCAUCUCUCUCUCAUGUCCAAAAACCAUCUCCCAAAAGCAAACAUAUUUAGUUUUAUCUUUCUCCUAUACAUACUUUCUUACAGUGUAUUAUCUUUAGUUCUCUUUCAUACAUGUAGACUCAUGCACACUUUUUUUCUCUGACAUCACACACAUUUGAACAUAUUAUAUUUUCUAAAUUAAAUUAUGAUAUAAAAGAGAAAAUAUAUAUUUAGAUAGUCUUUCAUCUCUCUCUCAUGUCCAAAAACCAUCUCCCAAAAGCAAACAUAUUUAGUUUUAUCUUUCUCCUAUACAUACUUUCUUACAGUGUAUUAUCUUUAGUUCUCUUUCAUACAUGUAGACUCAUGCACACUUUUUUUCUCUGACAUCACACACAUUUGAACAUAUUAUAUUUUCUAAAUUAAAUUAUGAUAUAAAAGAGAAAAUAUAUAUUUAGAUAGUCUUUCAUCUCUCUCUCAUGUCCAAAAACCAUCUCCCAAAAGCAAACAUAUUUAGUUUUAUCUUUCUCCUAUACAUACUUUCUUACAGUGUAUUAUCUUUAGUUCUCUUUCAUACAUGUAGACUCAUGCACACUUUUUUUCUCUGACGUUACACACAUUUGAACAUAUUAUAUUUUCUAAAUUAAAUUAUGAUAUAAAAGAGAAAAUAUAUAUUGAUUCAACAUGUAAAUUAGUUAGUUAUACAUGUUUUUGGAAAAUUUUAGAAAAGGUGACAAAAAAAAAUUUGCAUGAAAUAUGUAAAUUUUCACUAACUGCUAAGAAGAGAUGAGGUACGUUAUUUAAUAAAAAAUAAAAAUUAAAUUAAUUGACAACAAUCAUCAUGCAUAGGCAUCAAUGUUAUUUCAUUAAAUUUUUAGAUAAAAGCAUUAUCUCUAAUGUUUGUAUGGUCAUCCUCUAGGGUUAUAUAUAUUUAUAUAUAUAUAUAUAUAUAAAUGUUACUAGGAUGCUCCAACUCUAAAAAGGCCAAAUAUAAUAUACAAAAGAAAAUUCCUAUGCUAAUUACCUAGUCACAUGCUGCUAACAUAACUACCAAAUAUAAUGUAAUUAACAAACAAAAUGUAGUAUUAUAACUAUCACUUGGUUUAGUUUUAAAAAGUUUCAAUGAAUUCAUACAAAAAAAAUAUUUAUUUUUAUAUUUGAUGUAGUGCCUUUAGCACUUGUAGCUAUUAAAGUUCCAAAUAACAUUUUAGAUAAUUUUAGAACAUGUGAAAAUCGAAAGUUUUUCUUAGAAUUUCAUAUCUAUUCAUCUCAUAUAACCCCACACUAGGAAUUAAAUAUUUUGUAGUACUGCUAUAAUAUAUCUUAGUUAUUUGUUCUUAGAGUUUAUGAACAUACCAAAUUUAUUUCAUUUGAUUUCAUUUACUAAACUUUCUAAAAUGCAUGUAACUUAGAUUCUCACCAUUUUUCUCAGAUUACAUGUACAUGUCAAAUGUAGACAUGUAUUAUAUUAAUUUUAUGAUAAGAAAGCAUUUAAAAUAAGGAGUUUAUUGCCAUUAUGAUCUUCCUCUUAAAAAAUAUUUCCAAAUUAAUGCAAUUUCAAAUUUAUUCCCUUAUUAAUAUAUUUGCUGUCAUGUGGACUUUAAAUAUAGAAAAUUAAUCACGCUUAAACUUUGGCUCUGAUAAUGAUCAUAGUUUGGUGUGAACUAUAAAAGUUCCAUUUUAAAGGAAAAGAGAAAUGAAAAAAAAAAUCUCUGCAUUUUUUUGGCUCAUCACAGAGAAUCUAAGUCAUAAUUAACAUUAAAAUUAACACCAAGGAUAGUUAAUAGUUGAUAUCUGGAAAAGUUAUCAUUAUGCAUUCUAACAAUAAAAAAUCAUGAAUUAACACAAUAGAUCUCUAAAGAUUUCUGUUUAUUUGUACGGCAAUUCAUCAUACACAUGGCAAGAAAAUUUUUCAGUUGCUAUGACGAUUUAAGAAAUUUCCAAAUAUAUUAAGAAUUUCCUCAAGGUAGGCAAUAAACAAUAUAUAGAGAAGAAGUAGCAAAAUUUGAGCUAUUGAAAAAUAAUGAAAAAUUCUUCUAAUGUGAAUUUUAAUUAAGCUCUUAAGAGUAGUUAUUAACAUUUUAAUGGGAUUUACCUCUCAAGUUCAAAGAAGAUAAGAGCGAAAGUUUAAAAGUGAUUAGUUUUUCAAAUUUAAAGUCCACAUGGCAACAAACAUAUUAACAAGGGAAUAAAAUUUGAAACUGCAUUAGUUUGGAAAUAUUUUUUAAGAGGAAGAUUAUUGUGGCAAUAAACUCUUAAAAUAAGAAAGCAAACUAAAAAUAAUAUAAAAACAUACAUGUUAUAUAAGGCACAUUAUAGUACAUAAAUAAAUAAUACUAAAUACAACUUUCUAUCAUAUUUCAUUAAGAUUAGAGUUUUGCUUUUCAUUCAUGCAAGUAAUACAACUUUGAUUGUUGGAAAUAUUUGAUGACGGGAAAUGUCAAUAACUUAUUAUUUGUUUUUAUUUAGUAGUUUCGCAGAUUCCACAAAUUAUACGUUCAGCAUGCUAGAUUCUUUUUUUUUAAGCAAUUUUUUUUAGAGGCUAGUAAUAUUUUGUUAUUUGCACACAAUGUUCCUAUUUCUUCCACUUGCUUAUUAGUUUAACUUAAUGAGAUUAUGAGCCUGUAGAUUGAUGUUGAAAAGUUUUUGAAGUUAUCAAGUAUUAAUGAGCAUAAGGGUAAAUUACUCCAUGCAUAUGAGGGAUGGUUAUACUAUCUUAAUUAUCCUCCACCUUAUAUGUUGUAUGUGCCACUGCUAUUAUGAAUCCUAAUAUAAUUAUUGUCAGUAUCAAUGUCAACAAGAGUUUCAUGAUGAAUUUGUAGAGUUGGCACAAUAUAUGUGAAAGUCUCUUAGUCAAAAUUAUGGUUUUAAACAAGCGCAUGGUGAUUUGAUGGAAGGAUGGAUUCCAUUUGUCCAUAAUCAAAUACAUAAUAUAUAGGAAAUACUUCAAAAGAAUCGAAAAUUUUUACGAUGUAUAUACCAAUUUGUAGGAGGAAAUGUUGCGAUUCCUAAGUUAUUUUUUUCAAUUGCUAGGAAAGUCUUACUUGUCUAUUACAAAUUUACAACACCCCGCAUGAGAUCAAAGGACAUCUUAUUGUGUAGCAACUGUGGUGGCUCAACUAGCAAAUGCAACCCUAGUUGUAGAUUCUGACUCUGUUUCGCCAAUGCAUCAGCGCACUGAUUUCCCUCUCUCUAGUUUUGAAGUCUAUUUCUAACACCACCUUUCUUAGUCCCAUCUCCCAGGCUAGUUUUAAACCUUGAGCAAUCGCCCGCUGCUCAGCCGAUAUGUUGCUAGCCAAACCCAAAUUGAUGCAGAACCCUUGUACCAUACACCUUUAUCAUCUCUAACUAACCCUCCUCCUCUUGCUCUUCCUGGGUUAUUUGUAGAAGCACCAUCCACAUUAAUUUUAACCGAACCCAAUGGUGGGGUUUCCCAAGUUGCGAAUACAUUUAAGAUGUGAUUGGAUAUAACUGGUCAUUAUUCUCUUAUUGUCUUGCUCCUAAUCCUGAGACUAGUAUUAAUCCAAUCUCAUCAGACAUUAAAAGUGAUAGAAUUUUCAUGAUGGAUGUGUACGUCACAUGUGUAAAACUUGAAUUUUAAAUUCAAAUUAAUAUUAUCUAUUAAGUAUUUAGACUGAUAGUGUAUACACUAUAAGUAUAUCGAUGAUUAAUUAAAACAAAGAAUUAUAGAUGCCCCAAUAAUGAACAUGUGUUCCUUAGGUAGAAGUUCUAAGUGGAAUAAAUCUAAGACUAUAAACAUUCCUGUCUUUGCUCGUAGCUAGCUCUAAUACCACUAUAAAAGUAAGUAGCGGAUAUUUUCACAAAGGCAUGAAGACAGAGACAUUUGUGAAAUUGAAAAAAUGUUGGAUAUGCCCAAAUUAGAGUAGUUCGGCUUAAGGAAGACAUGGUAGGAAUUAGUCAUGUGUUGUAUCUAUCAAAAUUAGAUAGGUCAAAAUUAUUUGGAUAUGGCAGUGGUGGUUAAAUAGGUGCUGAAAUAUAUCUAUCAAAAUUAUUUGGACAUGGAGAUGGUUAAAUGGGAGGAUAGAUUACAUAGUUUCUAUGAAUCCAACAGUCAAUCAAAUAUGUAUACAUAGAUUCUAUCAAUCCAACACUUAGUGAAGUAUGUAUCUAUGAAUAUAAAAAUUUUCAAAUAAUCAUAAAUUGAUUUUUUUUUCCUGAACUGUGUAUGCUUCUAGUUUUCCUUUAUCUUUUUGUCUAUGCUUCAUGAGAAAGAUGUGUUUUUGAAUAAGUAUUAGUGAGGUAAGCACUUAAAUUUGGCUUGAUUUUAGUGUUUUUGCACAGCUUUGAUUUUGGUGAGAAAGUAGAGUGUUGGCCGAUUAGGUUCCUUAUGUUUCAUUGCUACCAAUUCAAUCUCUCAUUUUUACAAAAUAUUAAUGGAAUUAAUCACAUGCAUGGCAUGUUUACCUUUGAAAGUUACUAUUUUGGUCCCUUAUAUUUAAGGUUCCAUCAACCAAUUUAAACCCUAAUCCAUAAAAGAAAUUCAAUGUAAAACUUUUUUAAUGAGAAACUUGAAAGUUCUAAUGAAACUGGUACAUGCACCACAUUUGUACCAUUAAAAUAAGGAGUAGGGGAAAAAUUCUACAAAUCCAAUUACAAUUUUAGUAACUUUUCUCUCCUAAUUUUCCAAAAUCCCUAAUUAUUAAUGCAUUAAUUCAUAAAUUUUGUCUACCCUCUAUUUAUCUAAUUACAAUAUCCAUAAUUUUAAUAUUAACAACACUGAGUGAAAAUUCAUGAAUUUAAAGCCUCUAUUACAAAUAUUAAAAGGCUAGAAAAAGAAAAUCGAUAGAGUUGUGCUUAAGGCUUGUAGGUUCUUUUUUCUAGUAGUACACAUGACCAACUACAAUAAGGUUCUAUUUUCUCAGCAAGUUAUACAUUAGAUUUAUUUUAUGGAGACAAAGAAUUAACUUAAUAUGCGAUGAUAUAUAAGAGAUCCAAAUGGUCAUAUUAACAGUGUUCUUGUGGUACAUAUGACCAAUUCCAUUAGAGUUUUUCUAAUUUUCUAUUAACUUUCUUUCUUUUGUAAAAAUGAUGGACUAAAUUAAUAAAAUAAUAAAUAAGAAACCAAAUUGGUGAAGAUCUCAAACAUAAGAGACCACAUUCAUAAUUUUCCUUUUGGUGAAAAAGUAAUAAAGAGAUUACAAAUUCAAAAAAUAUAGUUGCUGCAGUCUUCUUGACUCUAAUCUUUGUUAAUCUCUGAAUUCACAUUUAACUAAUAUGAUUUUGCCUAAACAAAGGCCCAUUAGAAUUGUUUGCUUUGUUGAAAUUUGAGUCUAAAUGACUUAAUUCCUUAAAACAUUCCUUGAAUAGGAAAAAUAAAUAAUUGUUAAUAGAUGAAGUAGACUGGAUUCAUCUUUCUCUAUAUAAUGAAUUCAUCUCUUAUUCUUGAAUAAUAGUAAUGAAAGAUGCAACAAAAUAUACAGAAGUUUCACUAAGCGAGCUUUUUCUCAGUUUUAAUGAAAGUAUGUUGCAAUGUUGAAUAAAACUUUUCAAAAUUGUCAUACAAAGUCAAAAUGACCACAUGGUUAAAGUGUUAGAAUUUCAACUCAUGAAUUUGCAUCAACUUAUACCAUGAUGAACUAUACCUUAAAUUGGUGAUUGCUGGGAUGCACAUUGGAGUUUACAAGUAUCUUGCUUGGUAAUAACCACACCUCGUCAUUUUUUUUAAAAAUUUUGUCGUAAUAGAGACUUCAAAUCUUACAAGGAAGAAAUGGAAAAAAAAAAAGUGAUUAAAAAUCACACUAGGGAUCCCAUGGUCACUUGACCGAUAUCCCUAUCACUUUGCAUUCAUCAAUUAAAACAACAGGCUUUUGCUUAUUUAUCUAUUUUUAUGUGGAGAAUUAGUGCGAUGGGAGUGAUGUAAUUUAAAUUGCAGCAUAGUGUCAAAAUAAAAGAAUAAUUGAUGGUAGAAGAAUCAUUAUAGUUGUUACAAACCAAAAAACAAUUGUGAGAUCUCCAAAUUAUUUUUAAAAAAUAGUUCAAGUCAAGUAUUGACUUCAUCAAGUGUUUCUCUUCGUACAGUUAACUUUAGAAUUCAAUGUUUUCUUUAUAUAUGACAUUCCUGUGAAAGUUAAAUUACAUAAAAUAUAUGUAUCAUGUCCUCUAAGAUAUAUUUUAACUUCACUAUUACUUUCCUUUCAAUUCGUGUAAGCAACAUGAGGGAGAUGCUACGAUAUAUGCAUUUACAUGUUUUAGAUAGUUUAUCAUGUCAAAUUUAGCUAAUUGUUAUUCUACUGUGUUGUACCUAAACAAUCACUAAUGGUACAAAUACAAUGCAUGCUAUCAAAACUCUUCAAACCCAUGAACAAGGUAUACAAAAUUUUUUUGCUGCUAAGUUAAUACAUGAAACAAAUGAACUCUAGGUUUUUAGUUCACCAUUCAAACAAAACAAGCACAUCUUUUUCAUUUCCCUAUCUUAGACUACUUUGGAAGUUGAUUUUAUGAUUAGGAAAGUCACCUUCGCUAACAUCUACUAUAAUUAUAUUAAUCCAAUGAUAGAUAUAAGGUUGGAUGGGUAGAGGUAGCCGACCCCCAAACUUUCCAAAAAAUUACAUUUAAAGUUUUAGUUUUAAACUAGAACUUUAUCAAUUUGCCCUCCCUCACCCCCACAAACAUAUUUAUCAUUAGUUAGGUUGUUAAUAUCCUUUAGUUUCUCCUUACAAAGAGUGUCCUAGAAUAAAAAGAGCUAUAGUUUCCUUAGAUUAAAAAGUGUUAAUUUCCUUUAAUUUCUCCUUAAAAAGAAUGUUCUAAAAUAAAAUAAUUCUAGUUUCCUUAGAUUAAAAAGUGUCUCACAAUAAACAAACUCUAGUUUCCUUAUAAUGUAAGGUAACAAAAUUUUAGUUUCUUUGUUAAGGUAGUUUCUUUAUAUCAAUUAAUGUUAGGAAAACUUUAUACAAAUAGGAUACAAAUGAAAAUAUUAGAGAAAAUUCAACAACGGCACCCCUGUUACUAACUCAACAACUACCCAGCUCUCGAAUCAUGCCCAACUGCCACUCUGCAAAUUAAUGUUGCACUGGCAAUAUAUUGAAUUUUAUUAGGGAUAAUUUCACAAACCUUCCCCAAGAUUUUCAACAAUUACAUAGAGCACCCCUUAGGUUUUAAAAUUACACAUACCUCACCUACUUUUACUGUUUAAUUAUAAUAUAGAUCCAAUGAGAUAGAUUUUCUCACAAAAUUUCUAAAUUACCCUUUUGUACAAAACUAAGAAAGUAAAAUGUAGUAUACUCAAUUAUUUUCAUCCACACUUUGCACAAAUCAACAAGCUUAAUCCCUAAGAACUAUCUAUGCGUAAGCUCUAAAACCAAGAAAUCGUUCAAUAGAUCCCAAAUAGCAUAUACAGUAUCAAUAUUUGUCAUACAAAAAAAAAAACACAGACAUAAACCCCAUUGACACCUAAUUUUAUAUCCCAAAAUUAGAUAUUAAUGCUAAAAUACUUUUUUUAAAACAAGCUAAUUCGACUUAAACCACCAUUACAAUCCUUCUGUGGCCCUAAAAAUAUUAAUAUCUCAAAAGUAGAGAAUAAAUUUUGCAUCCACAAUAAAAGCAUAAUAAAAAUUUCUAUUCUAUUGAAAUAAAUUCUUAUGUAAUUAUUGACAUUUUAUAAAAAAAUUUCUUGACCAUAAACAAAAUAUGACAAAUUCCACAUCUGUAGUUCUUCUUCCUAUUUCAAUCAUCAAUUUUAUUAUUUAUUUUUCUACCACUGCGAGCCUCUUCAUUUCCUUCUAGUUUGAUACAUAAUUUGUUUCCUCUGUUGAUUUUGUAAUUUCAAUUUGUUAAUAUCCACAAAACUGAAAAUAAUAAAAAGAUGUUAUAUUAACUAGAAAAGAGAGAAACGAAAAAGGCAAGAGACAAAAAAAUAGAUUUCUUUUUGGGUUUUGUAAAUUUAUUGCCUUAAAUUUAAAAUUAUUUACCAAGUGGAGGGCAUUAUAGGUAUUUUACCAUAUCAAGGGAGAUAAGUGUAAUUUUAUAAACCGAGGGGAGCCGAGUGAAAUUAUCAAAAAUCUCAAGGGAGGUUUCUAAAAGUAUCCCUUUUUAUUAAGCUGGCAAAUAGGUUACAGCCCAUCUUAGGAGUGGCUACGGUUCAGAUUUAAAUCGAAAUCAGAUCAGAACUAAUGAGACGAUUUGUAGAACUGAAAUCGAAAUCAGAUUUUGGAAACCGAAAUUAGAACGAUAAUUGUGGCCAAAGGUUGAGAUUUAGAUUCAUCAAAAUUUUGAAUCAGAACCAAAAUCAAAAUCGGCAAUUUAUGGCCUGUUAAAUCAUCUACAAAAAUAUUUGCUACCUAAACAUAUUUGACCAGUUUAUAGUUCAAUAUCAAUAGCCAACAUCUAAUACUAACAAUUCUAAUUUUAAUCCAAGAACCCAUUAUCCUAUUCCAUUAAUAAGUCUAUACACGAUAACUAAUCUAAAUCUAAGAUGAAUCUAAUUUAAUCAACAAUGAGAUUUUUUUCAUAAAAUCUGCAUAAUUUUUUCUUUUUUCUUGCACGUGAUAAUAUAAUAAGGUUUUUUGGUUCUUACAUUCAUUAUUGUAUUUUCUUACAAUCACUUUAAACAUAACAAAAAGAACUAGAAUCGUAACUAAAAUCGUAGAUUCAAAAAACGUAAUUGUAACUUUCCCUAUAAGGAUCAAUUUGUUUCACCUUUAAGAAGAAUCAAAACCGUCAAUUUUUAAACAAAAACUGAUGAUUCUAAAAUGGUGGCCAUGUCUACGUACCCAUGCGUCUCUUAUUUUAAACCAGUGGCAUUACAUUCUUUUAGAAACUAAUUUGUGGACCCCGUCUCACGUUACCUUGUUACUCGGUUGUUUUCUGUAGGAAUAAUUUUAGAAACCUUCAUGAGAUUUUGAUCAUUUCAUUGGUCUCCCUUCAUAUUUUAAAAAUUACACUAAUCUCUCUUGAGGUUAAUUAUCUUGUAACACUUAGACCCAAUCAAUAAUAAAAAAGUAAUAUUAAGAGAGAAAAUAAUAUUGAUUUUAUCAUUGCCGCUCAUCUUUUAAAUUAUUUAAAUAAUUUAAUACCAACUCAUACAUUAAAGAAAAACACUAAAAAUUUACUGUUUAUUAUUAGGAAUCAAAUCAUAUAUAGCAUCAAAAAAUAGUAUACCAUUCUAUGUUUUUCACUUAAUAUAAAAUCAAUUACUCUUUUUAGUUAUAUGCAUGAUUAACAACAAAUAAUCAAAAAAUUUGUAAUCAAAAUAUUACAGAGAACAAACUUUAACAUCAUAAAUAUUUCGUCAGCAUAAGGUUAGUUGUUAAGACUUUAUGGUAUUAAAUAUCACUCUUUGUAAUACUUUGGCUACAUGUUCUCUUGAUUAUUUCUUAUUGAUUAUGUUUGACAAUGAAUUUGUAAUUGAAAAGAGUAAUUUGAAUUUUACAUUAAGUGGAUAGAGUAUUAUUUGAAAUAAUUAUUGUAAUACUUUUUAUGAUGAUGUGAUAUAUGUGAAAUAAAAAGAUGAGUUAAAAAAUAUAUUUACGUAAGUGAAAUAUUAUUGAAAAAAAUUGAUAUCCAAACAUUUGAUAUCAUAUGUGAUUUAAGCUCGCCAAAUUUUGUGUUGAUUUUACUGCAAACGGAUUUUAUGAGAUCUAGGCAUUGUGACCAGCGACGCUGCAUGCCACAAAUUUCGUCAAUAAUGUGGGGUAUUAAUGAGGUCAGUUUUGCACUUUGCUCCAAAAAGAAAAAGCAGAGGCAAAUGAUGGAAAAUUGACUUGUUGAGAAUGGGGUCUUGCACCAUAGUUCUUUUUCCGCCUAUAUACGUGUCUUGGUUUUGUUCCGUGGAAAAUUGAUUGUUUCCUGCCCACACCAAGAAAGAGACUAUACUAUUAGCAGUAUCAUCACCACCCGCCAAUAAAUUUCUGCCAACACACAAACGCAGCAAUCAAGGUGGUAAUUGAUAAGAAUGCAACUCAAAACUAGGGAUAUAAUCGAAUCGAGUCGAGCUAUACUCGAGCUCGACUCGAUAUGCAGGAAGAAUUCUCGAGUUCGAGCGAGUAAUAUUAUCGGAGCUCGAUGCUUGCUCACAGAACUUGAGUUUGAUUCGCAUGAACUCGAGUUAAUGCAAGCCUUAUCGAGUUCGAGUUAGAAAUUUUUAUUUUCUUGACAAUUUUUUAGUAAAAAGACAUUAUUGUCCUUUAAAAAUUUUAUAUGACUUGAAAUAUUUCGUAAAUUCAACAACUCUUUUAGGUAUAAGAGUAAUUUAUAAUACUCCCUUCGUCCCACUUUGAUAGUUUUCUUUUCCUUUUUCAUCUGUCUCAAAUUGUAGUCCACUUUCCAAUUGAAUAAUGUAGUUGUCUUUUAAUUUUCCUAAAAUACCCUUAUUCAAUGUAAGUUGUUGUUACUAGAAACCUACCCCAUUUAAUGAGAGUUGAUUCUUUUUUUACCAUCAAUUCAAGUUUCCAUAAAGUUGUACUCUAAUUAAUGUGAGGGUAUUUUAGGAAAAUAGCUACCUAAAUUGAUUGUUCCAACAAAAUUAACUAUUUUUUAUUAAACUGUGUGAAAAAAGAAUCAUAACUAUCAAAGUGGGACGAAGGGAGUAAUAAUAUAUUAAAGAAUUAAAAUUAAAAAACACGAUAAGGUUCGAUGAACCUUCGAGCAUUGCUUCUCGAUGCUUGACUAACAACUCCUCCAAUUAAAAAGAAAAAAGAACAAAAAAGAAAACCAUUAUUUUGAAACAACAGAGUUGUUAUAGAAGUAAACUAACCAACUUUCAAUUAAAUUUUGUCAAGCUGAUUUAUACACAUAGAAAUAGCAAAAUAGACCUAAUUGAUGUCCGUCGCCUGAGGUGUUAUGCUCAGACAUUCACCUCGGCACACUUUGAAUCCACCGGGAGUCCAUUGAAAAAUAUCUUCCAAAAAAAUUGUUUUUUUCAAAUUAUUGUAGCUUUAAUUUGAAAAAUACUUAUAACUGUGUUUUAUAAGCCUCUAAUAUCAAGCUUGAAUUCAACACAAUGAAUUAGUACAUGCAAAAUUUUAUUAUUAGACCCUACCUACUUCAUUUUCAUUCUUCAUAUACUUCGUUCUGACUUCCUUGGUGUAAUUCUUCGUAUUCAAUGCGUCUUCUCAUUUUUUGAUACGUUUACUCAAACAUAAUAUUAGUCCACUUUUAUGUGUGCUAAUCAUCAAAAUUAAAGAAUUAAAAAUCACAGAGUUUUCGAUAACUUAUUAGCCUACUACACAACCUUCCGUGGAUUGAAUGCAGAUUCCGCUAGGUUAUUUAGUGAUUUGAGAGAGAGUCAAUUCCAUAUAUACUCCCAAGUUAAAUAUAAAUUUCACUAUAUUAUUUGGUGAUCAAUAACUAAAUUAAUCCCUUACUCCCUUUUAUUCAAUCUGCCACUCAAAUUUGCUAUGUUAUCUAGCAGUGAAAGGAUAAUCCCCCUACUCCCUCUGAUUUCUUAAAUAUAAAAUUUGAAUAAUAUUUAAUGAUCGAUAACUAAUUAACCUCCUAUAACCUUCUAUAAUGUAGAUACUGACUACUAUUUAGUAAUAGAAUAAGAAUCUACUCUAUACUCUUUCUUAUUCAUUAAAUAUAGAUUUCACUACACGAGAUAAAAUCAAAUUCCUUUCAUUUGGGGAAGCCUCCUAUAACUAAUUAAUCCUUUACUCCCCUUUACGUAUUAAAAACAAUGUUCAACUCAUCCUUUACAUAUAAAAUUAGCCAUAAUUUUUAUUGAUUAAACAUACAAUGUUUUUACUCAUUUUGGUGAUACAAACAUAAUUAACUCUCUUUUUCUUGGUUACUUCCUUUUUUUUGGUUUCUUAUAGAAUUCAUGUGCCAUCUAGUGAUAAAAAACUAAGCAAUUAUCUAAGUCUUUAAUUGAUUACAAACUUAAUUCAUUGCACACCAUAGUGACCAAGUAUCAAUCAAUUUCACGAUACCUUUUAAUGAAUAAUGCAUACAAUCGGCUAGACUUUUAAUGCGCCUUAUAUUAAUCAAUACUUAUAUACUAUUAUUUUUGCUCACACGUAAAGAACACUUGCAUAUUAAGGAAGAAAAUUUAAUGUCUUUAGUCGUCGAGUAGUCUAAAAGAAGAAAAAUUUAAAAGUUAUAACAUCAAAAACAAUUCACUCAAAAAAGUUUAAACAAUUUUUGAAUUAUAAAAUUUUGUAACUUAGGGGGUUUUUUUUCAUUAUUAUUUUUAAUUUUUUUUCCUUUUUAUGUUGACCAAUGUCAUUGUCUCAAAAAAUUUUAACUUUUUCUUGGUAUUAUGUUAUAAUUUUUAAUUUUUUCCUUUUUACAGUGACUUAAUGUCUUUUUAUAGUGAUGUUCCAAUUUUAUAUCUAAAAUCUAUAUUAAAUUGUCAAUCUGGGAUUAAUUUGCUUCGUUUUUAAAAUGUGAGGAACUAGUUUGCAGCAUUUUAAAAGUGAGAGAUAAAAAGUAUUUUUUGCCAAAAGGUAAGGGAUUAAUUAUCAGUGCUAAUAUAUAGUUAAUUGUGUAUGUUAAGGUGUCGUGGUUGUGUGGCAUAUUUUAUGCCAAUGUACUGCAAAGGGCUUUUGUGAGAUCUAGGCAUUGUCACUACAGACCAUAGUUGUCAAAAUCGCGAUCCGGAUCGUACGAUCCGGAUAACCAAAAUCGAUCCGGAUCGUAUUCAGAGUCGCAAAUCAUAUUAAUCUCUGUAGGAUCGCAUAAAAUCGUAGCAGGAUCGUGUAGGAUCGUAGGAUCGUAGGAUCGGUAGGAUCGUACGAUCCUACAAUUUUUUUGUAAAUUUGUGAAAUACGAAGCUCCAUUUUGCAAGUAAAUGAAAAUAUUUGUGGUAUAUUUGUAAUUUAUUAAAGAAUUGCAACCUUUAAUUGCAAUUAGGAGCUUUUAGUAGGAUCUUACGAUUCUCCGAUCCGAUCCUGUGAAAUUAAAAUCGAUCCUACGUAGAAUCCCGAUUUUACAAACCUUGCUACAGACACUACAAGCCAUAUAUUUCGUCUGUUUUAUCCUCAAAGAUAAAAAGGCAUAUAUUUCGCCAAUAGUGUGGGGUAUUAAUGAGGUCAGUUUUCCACUCUGCUCCAAAAAGAGGAAGCAGAGGUAAAUGAUGGAAAAUUGACUUGAUAAGAGAGGAAUCUUGUAGUACUCCUACUAUUUUGUUCUUUUUCCACCUAUAAGAGUGCCGUGGUUAUGGCCGACCAAGACUUUACUGUAGUAUGCAAAACGGUGGACCUAUAAAAGUGUCAUGGUCAUGACUUGCGUAGUUAAUUUCUUAAGGAACACUUGCAUAUUAAGGAAGAGAAGUUAACGUAUUUAGUCGCAGAGUAGUCUAUAGUUACUUAAGCAAUUAUUACAUGUUACAUGCAUCUGAGCUACAGCAUUAGUCAACAGUUAAUUUUAGAUUUUUAAGGCAUGGACACAUUUAUCUUUAUUAAAGUGUAAGGCGUAUAAUGAAUAAUUUUUGCAAGGCAAUUCAUGCGUUGUGGUUUGGGUUAUUUAUCGUAAUUUCGUAUUGGUUGCUUUUUUUUUUUUUUAAACUCUUAAUUAACGAAUUCUGUUACCUUUUAGACUAAAAGUGAUUCUAUUUUCCUCCUACCUGGUUUUGGAAGCACGAAUUUGUCCGAAAGAUUCCUAGAAUUCAUAUGGUUUGGUUUUCACUGGAGACUUGUAAUGCCAAAGUGUAUAACCACAUUGGUGGUUGUAUCACCAUGUGAAUCGAACUGCUUUCUUUUUGACUGGAAUAAUUUUUCUUGUACAAGUCAAUGAAUUAAUGACAAAACUGGAAGAGAAAAUGAACCGCGAGAAUCCAACCACUCCUCUUCUGAGAUCAGUUAAAAAACAACAGAGAUUAGAGCUUUGCACUUUGCAGCUGCACCUAACAGGCAAGAGCUCCUCCUCCUUUACCGGUUGUUGAAAGCAAAGCUCACUUACCCAAGAUGGCUGACCCUGUUAUCUCUCUUGUUAUUGAGAGAAUUGGUGAUCUGCUGAUUAAAAAAUCUGUUUUCCUGAAAGAUGUUCGACGACAAGUUGAAAGACUCAAAAAUGAUCUGGUCCGGAUGCGGUGUUUCCUGAAAGAUGCAGAUCAAAGGCAAGAUGAAGAUGAGAGGAUUCGCAACUGGGUUUCUGAAAUUAGAGCUGUGGCUUACGAUGCGGAGGAUAUCAUUGAGAUCUUUGCCAGCAAAAUUGAAAGCAUAAAGGAUAAGGGAUUGGCAUAUUAUCCCCGGCGGAUUGUGAGCCUCAACAAGAUCGGUAAAGAGAUUGAGUCCUUACAGAUAGGGCUCAAUGACAUAGCUGAUAGCCGCGAAAAGUAUGCUAUCAAAAAUCUUGGAGAGGGAAUGAGUUCACCCGGAAAAGAAUUUCGAAGGCUUCGCCGAACCUCUCCUUUCAGCGAGGACAAGGAUAUAGUGGGCUUCGAAGAGAUUACAAAAUCGCUCGUGGCAGAACUUUUGAAAGAGGACGAAAACCGCCGUGUGGUUUCAAUCGUUGGCAUGGGAGGUGCUGGUAAGACAACUCUAGCCAAAAAAGUUUAUAACCAUGCUGAUGUCAAGAAAAGAUUCAACUGCCGUGCUUGGGUCUGCGUCUCUUCAAGCUACGAUCACAAAGAGAUGCUGAGAUCAAUCAUAAAGCAAUUGAAUGCAAUGGAUAACAAGCUACUUGAAAUGCUGGAAAGGAUGGAAGAGGAAGACUUGGAACGAAGGCUCUAUCAAGAUCUACAAGACAAAUGUUAUCUUGUGGUAAUUGAUGAUGUAUGGGAGGAAGAAGCGUGGGAUUGUCUUGCUAGGGCCUUUCCUGAUGUUAAUACAUCAAGUAGACAGCUACUUACAAGUCGCAAAAGGGAUGUUGCCCAACACGCAGAUGCACUUAGCAAACCACAUGAGCUGAAAACUUUGGGGCAGGAAGAUAGCUGGCAGUUGUUCCUCAGAAAGGCCUUAGGCCAUGGGGAUAACGCUGGAUGUCCUCCGGAUUUGGAAGAAGUAGGCAGAGAGAUUGAAAGGAGAUGUGCUGGUCUGCCACUAGCCAUCACGGUUAUAGGUGGUCUGCUUCUGACAAAGAGAAGGUUGAAGAGUGAGUGGGAGAAAGUUCUCAACAGCUUCAACACAAACCUCUCAAGGAGCCAGAGUGGAGUAUCAGCAAUUCUGGAAUUAAGUUAUGCAGAUCUUCCUGCCAAUCUGAAAUUUUGCUUUUUGUAUUUGGGUUUGUUUCCCGAAGACUCCGUGAUUUCUGUGCGCAAGUUGAUCCAUAUGUGGGUUGCAGAGGGAAUAAUGCAGAAAAGAAGCGCAAAAAAAUUGGAGGAAACUGCAGCAUAUGAUGAUGUGGAACAACUUUGUAGCAAAAAUAUGGUCCAGGUGGCAGAAAUGACUGUUGAUGAGAGGAUUAAAAGCUGUAGAGUCCAUGAUUUAUUGCGAGAGCUUGCAAUAAAAAAGGCAGAGGAUGAAAAUUUUUUUCAGAUCCACGACACCAGAGAUGAUAAAAUAUCAGCCAAAUCCAGGUAUCUUGCUGUUCAUAUUCUCCCAGGGGAUAAAAAUUUUUUGGGUCUUCAACCCCUCCUCUCCGGUCUCUACUUUUUUUCAAUGUCCACGAUUACAGGGAAAACAUUAGUUUUGGCUUCAAAAGUUUAAGAAAGCUUAGGACACUGGACCUUGAGAAUGUUAUGAUGGAUUAUAUGCCAAAAGAAAUUAGUAAAGUCAGGCUUCUGAGGUAUCUCAAUUUAAGAGAGACACGGAUUGGAAAGCUCCCUCAUUCCUUCGGUUGCUUGCGAUACCUACAAACUCUUGACAUACGGACCGUUAACUUAGUGAUAGUUUCAAAUUUCAUUUGGAAGCUUGAAAGUUUACGGCAUCUAUAUGCACGUGAUAUAAGGUGUAAUGUGCCUCUUAAGAUUGAAGGAUUGAGGAAUCUUCAGACUGUGUCAGGCAUACACUUUGAUCACAUUAUGCGCAAUAAUAUGAUGACUUUGACAAGUCUUCAGGAACUGGUGAUGAGAGUAGAUGAUAGGUCAGAGAUAGACAAACUCUGCUUGCACUUAUCUGAGGUUGGAAGCCUAAAGACAUUUCAUCUUUACCGUGCUUUAGGAAGCGAGUGGCCAUCUCUAGGUGGACUUUCUAAACUCCAUCAUGUAACAGAGCUUAAGCUAUCCGGGAUGCGUUUGAGAAUGCUGCCUCCUGAUUUCCCUCCUAAUCUCUCUCGCUUGUCUUUGGAAGAAACAUUCCUCAUGGUUGACCCAAUGCCAGUACUAGAGAAGUUGGGACAACUGUCGUUCCUCAAAAUGAAAGUUGCAUAUGGGGGACCACAGCUAGUCAUAUUUAGGCAUGGGUUUCACCUAUUGAAAUUCCUUGAGCUCAGCCGCCUAUAUGAUUUGGAUGAAAUAAAGGUGGAGAAAGGUGCAUUGCCACAGCUCCAGUGCCUGAGAAUCAGGAGCUGCAGCAGAUUACGGAAGUUGCCGGAAGAGCUGAAGCACAUAUCUACUCUUGAUAAGCAUGAGCUUGUGGACGUGCCAGAAGAUUUUAUCAGUAGGAUUGAUGCGGACACAGUAUCCAAUGUCCCUAACUUCAGAAUAUUUGACUUGCCGAAGGAAAGGUGGUGGUAUUCGUAAUCAUGCAUAGAAUGCAAGCUAUGUCGUAUAGUGAUUAAUAGAAUUAUUUCAAGUUUUUAUCAAAAUAUAUAAAUAAAAUGAAUGUUUCAGAUUCAACAUAACUUUUGUUUUCCCCAAUUCAGUAAACUUGCUUUGCCACAAUUUCACUCUUUGUUUUCGUCAUAUAAUUCAAACAAGCUUUUUAAGUCCAUUUUUUUUAUUUGAAAUCUCACACUUCAAUACUACCUUUUCUAAUUAUCCCACUUUUAAACAAAGAAUGACUCUCUGUUAUUAAUGAUUUUUUGGAUAACUAACAGUGCCUACAGCUGUACCUUAUAUGAUUUGUAUCUCUCUAUCAAUUUACAUUGCAUAUAGCAUAUUAAUACAAGUAAAUAAUUAAAUAAACAAAACAGUUUAUAUCUUAGGUGGGUCUCAGAAACCCUGAUAUUAAACUCUUGGGAUUUGGAAAUGUCUAAUUCAAUAAAAAUAUCUAGAGGUAUUUGGUUGAUUCUAAUUUUUCCCAUGCUGUCCAAACUGAAAAAGAGAAUAAGAAAAUAAAAACCUCUAUUUAUGUACGGGAAGAGAAGAAAAGAAUGGUUGUAACAAACAGAUCAAGGAAUUCAUCCCAUAUUAGCAGCCCACAUACAAGACAUAACGGAUCUUAGCUUAAUGUUUACGAUAUGCUCAUUUGAGUUUCAAUCCGCUAAUGAUAGCAUUAAUUGUCUCAGUCAUAAACUGAGUCAGCAGGCAAUGCAUUUACAUUUUGAUGAGGAAUUCUUCGAUCCUCAGUGUUUCAGUACACUUUUGUUCAGAAAAACUUGAGCCUUUGCUCGAAUAGUGCCUUUGCUCGAAUAGUGUAAUUUCUCUAUUAGUAGAAAUAAAAACUUUUACCGUUUCGGAAAAAAAAAGAAGGAAUUCAUCCCAUAUAAAGUGUUGGUCCGUCUGAAAGUGAGGAUUAAUUGCUUCCUAAAUACUACUCACCAUACAUAUAAGAUGUUAAAAAAUAAACUUAAGCAUGUGAAAAUCAAAUAAAAAGCUAUUCAUUUAAGUUGUUUGGGGUAAACAUUGAAGGGAAAAACAUUACUGAGGGGAAAAUUUCUGAAUACGGAAUAAUUGUAGGCUAUUUAUUAUGAAAGGUACAUGUGAUGUUAUUUUUUCGAAUGUGUUCGUAGUAAUUUCAUUUUUACAAAAAUCAGUGCAAAUCUCAUGUGUAAUGGAUAGUCCAAGAUUGUACGCAGUUUAAAAGUUUGACACUCCCUUUUAAUUCUUCGUGAUUACUAGUUAGUUGAUUCUAUAACAUGUAUCGCCUUGAAGGAAAUGUAUAUACGUCUCAAAAAAAAGCAAGCGUAAUUCUGCUUAUAAAGAAAACUUAUAUAGUUUUUUGUGAACUAUUGGAGAAUUAGAGUGAAAAGAACAGUUUUAAAAGAAGGGUUAAUUAUAGAAACUCCCUUUGGUUAAAGUUGCAGUUCACCGCCUAAUGUUUAUUUCUUCUCACUUUGCCUCCUAUUUCAGUCCAACUAGUCAAAUUAACCACUAAAAUAGUAGGGUUAACAAAAGUGCCCUGCUACAUAGUUAUAAGAAAAGACCCCAAGGUUCUUGAGAUGUUCAUAUUACAAGAUAUGAUUUUUACCAUAGAAUAAUUAUUUUUUUAAUCUCUUGCAUAAAAUAAAAUGGAACACUGAUAUUCUUUUUCUUUUCAAAAUCAUCAUUCAUGCAAUUAAUUUAAGUGGGAAGACCCUGAAUUUUGUGGAAAAAGAUGACAAAAUGUAUUGUGUGUUAUGUUCAUUGAAUUGCCUAAUUAAAUCUUCUUUCUACCUACAAUCACGUGACUCGAUAAAUUGUUGAGAAAAAUUGAUUAUAAGUAUGCAAAUAUUGUAGUUUUAAAAAAUUCUUUACACGAACAAGUCUAAAUUUAUACCUCAUUUUAUAAUUAGAAAAAAGCAAAAAAAUUCCAAACUAAAUAUGACAUUUUUAUCUCAUAUACAUCACAUCACAAAAAGUGCUACAAUAAUUAUUUCAAAUAAUUAUUUGGAAUAAUGCUCUACUCUAUCCAAACAGAUAUUUCAUAAAUCUAGACUCUCUCGUGUUAUACUAACAUUAUUUGAAUCAUUAAACCACAAAUGCUUUCCUUCUUUCUUUCUUUGGUUUGCUAGUUGUUCCUGGGAAAUGACUGAUAAUUUGCAACACACAAUCAAGUUGAAGAAAGAAAAAUUGUGCAAAAGUGGAGAAAAUGGUAUUCCUCGGCCCUUUGCUCCAUGAAUUUAUAGCAGUAAUUUUACCAUAGUCAAUUAAGGAAACAGGAACAUUAGCUGAAAUUGUACUAAACAUCAGUUAUAAAUAAUGUCUUUAAAUUCAAUUAAAUUGCGUGGGAAUUUUCUUAUGAGGCGUGGCUAAUUUUCUCAUCUAGUCAAGGAUCAACGCGAAGACGCAGUCCCAAAUAUCUGUGAGAUCUAAUUAAUUUUACGUGUUCCUUAAUUUGUUAAUAUUUGCAUGUUUUCUAUUUUAAUUUCCAUGGGAUUGUUUUGUUAAUUGGAUAUCAAGGGCCCGAUGUGCAAUUUGACUUAUUAAUCUCCUGUCAAAUUAAUCAAUUAAAUCCGUAAUUGUUUAGUUGGUUAAUAUUAGUGACAACUAGUAUUUUCACAUACUAGGAGAACAUGCAAUCUGAUUUAAAUAACCCUCGUAGCGUGUUAUUAAUUUGGGUUAGGCUUUUCUAGUUUUUAAUGCAAUUAGGAAAUUAAUUCCUACGGUCGUACCUAGGAGUAUUUCCUGGUUAGAAGUAAUCAACGGUAGUACCUUGGUUAUCAAUAAAUUAAGGAAAAGCUGGUCGUUAGAGUUUAUCGGCGACUAUAACUAGCCUAUUAAUAAAAUUAAGUGAACCUUCUUUGCAUCAAUGAUCGGAUGAAUGGACUGUGUCUGCGUAGUUGUAUCCUUGGCUAGAAUUUAUUUAUCAUUUAUCUAAUUGCAUUUAUCUAAUUGCUAUUUACAAUUGUAUUAAUUAAUUAUUUAUUUUUGGUUAAAUUAUUUAAUUAUUUUUAGUUAAAUUGUUUAAUUAUUUUUAGUUUAUUUCUGAUAAAAAAUCCCCCGUGUCCUGAACUUGAAAGGAAUCAAAUUUUUCCCACUCCCUGUGGAUUCGACCCUACUCACUACUAUACACAGAAAAUUCAUUUUUCUCGAGUAGGUAUUUAUUAUUGCACAGGCUCGACACCUGCCAAUUUUUGGCGCCGUUGCCGGGGACUGGCGUUAAUCAUUUGUUUCUUUUUAAGUUCAUUUUUUUUCUGGUAUUUUUCUAGUUUAUGCCUCGCUCUUCUCGUACAGGCGAAUUAAUUUUCGACCCUGAAGUAGAGAAGACCGCGCGUAGAACGAGGAAAGAAACCAGGCGGCUCAGGGAGGAGCAAUACGAUAUUGCACCUCAGGGACUUGAUCCAGAGGUUGAGCCGACAAAUUUGUCUGGUGACAAUUCAAGUGAUUCAGACCAAGAGGAAGUCACUAUGGCAAAUGCACGAACACUAAGGGAGUUGGCUGCUCCAGAUUUAAAUCAGCAGCCCUUGUGCAUUACUUUUCCGCAUUUAAAUGAUGACACUCCCUUUGAACUAAAAUCUGGUCUAAUUCAUCUCUUGCCAUCUUUUCAUGGUCUACCAGGUGAGGAGCCCUACAAGCACUUGCAAGAGUUUGACGUCGUUUGCAACAGUAUGAAGCCUCCGGGAAUUACUGAAGAGCAAAUAAAGAUGAGGGCCUUCCCCUUCUCUUUGAAGGAUUCCGCAAAAGACUGGCUCUACUACCUACCGCCUGGUAGUAUCACCACGUGGGACCAACUAAAGAAAAAAUUCUUGGACAAGUACUUUCCUGCGUCUCGAGCUGCGAGCCUAAGGAAGGAGAUAUGUGGCAUCAAACAACACCCAGGCGAGUCACUCUAUGAGUACUGGGAGAGGUUUAAGAAACUGUGCACCAAAUGCCCUCAGCAUCAGAUAAGUGAGCAACUGCUCAUUCAAUAUUUCUAUGAGGGGUUGCUUUUCAGGGACAGAAGCAUAAUCGAUGCUGCAAGUGGAGGGGCAUUGGUGAACAAGACUCCUCGAGGAGCCUGGGAGUUGAUUGAAGGGAUGGCUGAGAACUCACAGCAGUUUGGUUCAAGAGAGGACAUCCCGACGCGUAGGGUGAAUGAAGUAGAAACAUCCUCUAUUCAACAGCAACUCUCUGAAUUGACAUCUUUUGUGCGACAACUAGCUGUGGGGAAUACAUCGCAAGCCAAAGUGUGCGGGGUAUGCACUGCCGUGGGUCAUCCUACGGAAAUGUGUCCAUUGGUUCAAGAAGAAACUGCUGAACAGGUGAACAUGGCUGGCCACGCGCCCGCGCCAAGAAAGCCGUACGACCCAUACUCAAGUACCUACAAUCCUGGUUGGAGGGAUCACCCCAACCUUAGUUAUGGAGGAAAUAGGCAGUCUAACUUUGUGCCAAAUAGACAGCAAGGACACCAACAGCAGUACCAUCCUCGCCCACCACCACCACCACACCCUUCAAACUCAAGUCCGUCCAUGGAAGAAAUGAUGAAGCAAUUACUUGCUAACCAACAAAAGACGGAUUCAGACUUGCAAAGCAUGAGGAAUCAACUGGGACAGGUGCAAUCAUUGCAAAAUCAAAUGAAUCAAAUGGCUAUAACAAUCAACCGUUUGGAGUCCCAAGUUCAAGGGAAGUUGCCAUCUCAACCUGAGGCAAAUCCAAAGAAUGUAAGCGCAAUGACCUUAAGGAGUGGGAAGGAAGUUCAAGGACCCGAACCCGUGAUUUCUAAAGACAAGGACGAGGAACGGAUCGAGAAAGAAUUAGAAGAGGAGGGCAGAGGCAACAAAAAUGCAAAGGUACCCUCGAACCCAAUUCCUAUAGCUAAAACUAAUCCACCUCCCUUUCCUAGCAGGUUAGAGAAACCAAAGAAGCAAGACAAGGAAAAAGAGGUUCUAGAGAUCUUUCGCAAGGUGGAGAUCAACAUACCCCUACUGGAUGCGAUUAAACAAGUACCCAGGUACGCAAAAUUUUUGAGGGACCUGUGUGCCAAUCGCAAGCGGUUGAAGGGGGAUGAACGAGUUAUAGUUGGGGAGAAUGUUUCAGCAAUUCUACAAAGAAAGCUUCCACCGAAAUGCGGAGAUCCAGGUAUGUUUACUAUUCCUUGUAGGAUAGGUAAGACUUUGAUUGGGAAGGCCAUGUUAGACCUGGGAGCCUCAAUUAAUGUCAUGCCAAAGUCCAUUUAUGCCUCCUUAAACUUAGGCCCUUUGAAAGAGACUGGGAUAAUAAUUCAGUUAGCUGACAGGACCAAUGCAUACCCUGACGGGUUGAUUGAAGAUGUUUUGGUAAAAAUUAAUGAAUUGGUUUUUCCAGCUGAUUUUUAUGUGCUCGACAUGGAGGAUGAACACUCCCGUGAUCCGUCACCUGUGUUGUUAGGUAGACCCUUUUUGAGUACAGCCCGAACCAAAAUUGAUGUUAAUAAGGGUACUUUGUCUAUGGAAUUUGAUGGUGAGAUUGUUCACUUUAACAUCUUUGAGACCAUGAAAUAUCCAUCCGAUUCAAAUAUUGGCUCUGUUUUCUCGAUAAAUGUUAUUGACCCUGCUAUACAGGAGGUUUUUGAAAUUGAAGGCAGGGAUGAACUAGAGGUCGUCCUGACCAGGACUUUGAGUCCGAAACAACCUCUAGGGUAGAGUUGAGUGAAGAGCUUAAAUGCGUGAUUGGAUCGUUGCAAACGUUACCAACCACGAAGACAAGGUAUGAUCUUGCACCGAUUUUCAUACCCGAACCUCAUCAAAGGUUACUUCCAUCUGUGGUGCAGGCACCUGUCUUGGAACUAAAACCACUGCCGAAACACCUAAAGUAUGUAUACUUAGGUGAAGGGGAGACACUUCCAGUGAUCAUCUCCGCGGGUUUAUCAAAGGUUCAAGAAGAGAAACUACUUCGAGUUCUUAGGGAACACAAGCAGGCGAUAGGAUGGACCAUCGCCGACAUCAAGGGAAUUAGCCCUGCGGUGUGUAUGCACCGAAUUCGACUCGAGGAGAAUGCUAAACCCGUACGGCAAGCUCAACGGAGAUUAAAUCCUCUCAUGAUGGAGGUCGUAAAGAAAGAGAUUUUAAAACUGCUGGACGUUGGAAUUAUAUUUGCAAUAUCAGAUAGCCCGUGGGUAAGUCCAGUACAGGUGGUCCCGAAGAAGGCAGGGGUGACAGUGGAAUCAAACCAAGAGGGUGAGCUCGUACCAAUUCGAAAGCCCACCGGAUGGCGACAGUGUAUCGAUUACCGAAAGCUAAAUGCCGUCACGAAAAAGGACCAUUUUCCCCUCCCUUUCAUUGACCAGAUGGUGGAGCGAUUAGCAUGUCGAGCUUACUAUUGUUUCUUGGAUGGAUUUUCAGGUUAUUUUCAAAUUGCCAUCGCACCCGACGACCAAGAGAAGACUACUUUCACCUGCCCAUUUGGAACAUUUGCAUACCGAAGGAUGCCAUUUGGAUUGUGUAAUGCACCUGCUACCUUUCAAAGAUGCAUGAUAAGUAUCUUUUCAGAAUAUGUUGAGAAGAUUAUUGAGGUUUUCAUGGACGAUUUUAGUGUAUAUGGUGAAAGUUUUGAAAACUGUCUAGAUAACCUGAAAUUGAUCUUAGUAAGGUGUAUAGAAACUAAUCUCGUGCUUAAUUGGGAAAAAUGUCAUUUUAUGGUUGAACACGGGAUAGUUUUGGGUCAUGUUGUAUCAUCUACAGGUAUUGAGGUUGAUAAGGCAAAAAUAGAUGUUAUAUCUACUUUACCUUACCCCGCGAGUGUGCGGGAAGUUCGUUCCUUCUUGGGUCACGCAGGUUUCUAUAGAAGGUUCAUCAAGGACUUCUCGAAAAUUGGAGCACCCUUGUUCCAACUUUUGCAAAAAGAUGUAUCCUUCGAAUUUGAUGAAACAUGUAAGGGGGCAUUCAAUAAGUUAAAGGAGUUAUUGACCACCUCACCUAUUAUCCAACCCCCUGACUGGAACCUCCCAUUCGAGAUCAUGUGUGACGCCAGCGACUAUGCAGUGGGUGCGGUAUUGGGUCAAAGAGUAGGAAAGGCAGCUCAUGCUAUCUACUACGCAUCUCGAGCCUUGAACGGAGCUCAAUUGAACUAUUCAACCACCGAAAAAGAGCUUUUAGCAGUUGUUUUUGCCUUAGAAAAAUUUCGGUCUUAUUUACUUGGUGCUAAAGUUAUUAUUUUUUCUAAUCAUGCAGCUUUGCGGUAUUUGUUGACAAAAAAAGAGGCAAAACCGCGAUUGAUACGGUGGAUAUUAUUGCUACAGGAGUUCGACCUGGAGAUCCGAGAUAAGAAAGGGGCGGAGAAUCUGGUAGCAGAUCACUUGAGUCGAGUACAAGUCGUCGAAGAUGACAUCCCAUUGAGAGAAGCAUUCCCCGAGGAACAUUUAUUUUCUAUUAACUCAUCUUUACCUUGGUAUGCAGAUAUUGUUAAUUUUCUAGUCACUGACAAAUUUCCUACAGGAUGGCCUAAGACAAAGAGAGACAAGUUGAGGAGCGAUGCAAAGUUCUACAUUUGGGAUGAUCCUUACCUCUGGAAGCGGGGUGCCGAUCAAAUCAUCCGUAGAUGUGUAAGUGAAGUUGAAUUUCAAUCUAUUCUAGCCUAUUGUCACUCUUUUGCAUGUGGAGGUCACUUUGGACCAAAGAGAACGGCUCGUAAGGUGCUAGAGAGUGGAUUCUAUUGGCCAACUCUAUUCAAGGAUGUCUACUCAUUUUGUAAGUCAUGUGAUAAGUGUCAAAGAGUGGGUAAUAUCUCUCGUAGGGAUCAAAUGACUCAAACCCCAAUGAUUUUUGUUGAAAUUUUUGACGUUUGGGGCAUUGAUUUUAUGGGUCCUUUUCCUUCGUCCUUUGGUUUUUUGUAUAUAUUGCUUGCUGUAGAUUAUGUUUCGAAGUGGGUAGAAGCAAAGGCUACCCGCACUAAUGAUUCCAAAGUGGUUGCAGAAUUCGUUAAGUCUAAUAUUUUUGUUCGCUUUGGGAUGCCGCGAGCAAUUAUAAAUGAUCGGGGUACUCAUUUCUGCAACAAAACGAUCGCUGCAAUUUUUAGGAGAUAUGGUGUCUUGCACAAAGUCUCUACAUCCUACCAUCCUCAAACAAAUGGUCAACCGGAAGCAUCAAACCGAGAGAUCAAAUCAAUUCUAGAAAAGAUGGUCCGACCCGAUAGGAAGGAUUGGAGUGUGAGACUAGAUGAUGCACUAUGGGCAUAUAGGACGGCAUAUAAGACACCCAUUGGCAUGUCCCCUUACCGAUUGGUAUUUGGAAAGCCAUGUCAUCUCCCGGUCGAGUUUGAGCAUAGAGCAUUUUGGGCGGUCAAACAAUGCAACAUGGAUAUCGAGGAAGGCGGAAUUCAAAGAAAGUUACAAUUACUAGAGUUGGAAGAAAUUCGAAAUGAAGCAUACGAGAAUGCAGUGAUCUAUAAGGAGAAGAAUCGGAUCUUUCAUGACCAACAGAUCUCUAGGAAGACAUUCGUCUGCGGGCAAAAAGUUUUACUAUACCACUCCAAAUUGAAACUAUUUCCAGGUAAAUUACGUUCUCGUUGGAUUGGCCCUUUUGUUGUGACUAAUGUCUUUCAUUAUGGUGCAGUAGAGAUCCAAAGUUUGAAGACGGAGAAGAAAUUUGUGGUGAAUGGUCACCGUCUCAAGCCGUAUUAUGAAGGAUUUCCAAUUGAACGGGUGGAGAUGAUGCAACUGGAAAACCCGAUUUGCUUAGUUUAAGCAAAUUCUGGACUCCGUCUAGCCAAAGACGUUAAAGAGAGGCGCUUUUGGGAGGCAACCCAAUUUUUUUUUUAAGUUGCUGUUACUUUGGAGUGAUUUUAUGUUUAAAGUAUGAGUUUGAGUAAUUUUGUUAUUUUUUCAUUUGUAGGUUUUGGAAAAGUGACCAAAUGAGGCAAAAAAGACGAAAUUUGAUCAAAGAUCUCAAUACCUCAAAUUCAGUAAUUGUGGUUUUUGAUGCAUUAAAGAGGUUUAGAAUGCAUGUUUAGAUCUUUUUACAUGUGCGUGAAUGGUUUAUUUUGACAUAGAAAUGAUCUAUGAUGCAUUUUGGGAAAUUGGGGUAUCAUUUGUAAUUAUUCAAAAGUUGAAUUUCUGCUAAAUUUUGCAGCAGAAAAUGCGUUUUUCAAGAAAACGCGCCACUGAAUCGCGUUUUCAUAGAAUCGCGUUUUCAAAUCUGCGCCUAUAAUUAAGAAAACGCGCCUUCAAAACGCGACAGGAAGUCGCGUUUUCUACCCAGUCGCGUUUUCCAGCCUGUUCAGAAACCAAAAACGCGCCUUCAAAUACGCGACUUAAAGUCGCGUUUUCUCACGUAGUCGCGUUUUCAAUGCUGCAAAUUUGGUGAAGAAACGCGACUUCACAAAACGCACCUUGAGGCGCGUUUUCUUGAGCCGCGUUUUCUGAGCACAAUGAUACGACCUCGGAUCCUUUUAAAAACGAAGGCUUGGAUCACUUUUCAACUUUACUUUUCUUCAUGUUGGCUUGUUUUUAGUAAGUUUUAGUUUUUCGAUUAAUGUUUGUGUGUUUUGUAGGAGGCAAUGGCAAGAGUUCAUGCAAAUGAUCUCAAUUGCAAGGGUGUUUAUAUUAAGGCAAAAAGGGAGUUUUCAUGUUCAAUUGCUGCAUUUCAUGCAUUUAAAGUGUUUCAUGUUUAAGUUAUAUUCAUGCAUGAUCAUAUUAAAUUUGAAUUUUAUUCAAAGAACAUGAAGUAGGUUGAAUGUGGAAGGUUGGCCAAGCAAAUUUGGAGGAAAAACUGCAGAAAACAGCUUUUUCUGCAGCAAAUCCGGCCAUAAAUCCGGAUUCUGUCCAGAAUGCUCGAAAAAAAAAAAAAAAAAAUUUGUAUUCUUUCUUUCCUUCUUUUCUUCUUUCUUUCUUCUUUUCUUCCCCGCUGCUUGCCCUUUUUCCCCCUUUUCUUUUCUUCUUCAUUCGCCGCCGCUAGAAGCUCCGCUGACCCACGACAGUCGCGGCAACUGGCUCGCGCGCCGCUCCUCCCUGCCGCUCGUCGACGCUGCCCACGCCGGACGCUGCUGCCGCUACCGCCGCCCACCCCAGCUCUUCUCGCCAAGAGUGACCACCAGCUCAUCUCACCUCCUUCACCCUUGUCAUAGCCACCGCCUCCAAGAUCCGCCUGAAGCCCCGAAAGCCGCGCACCACCAGAUCCAGCUGCCGCAAACUCUUCUCUCUCACAGCCACCACCUUCAUCACACCACUGGCUUCGUAUGCACGCGCCUGUCUCAAUCUUUUUCUAUUAUUUUUUUUUAUUUUUUUAUUUAUUAUUGCAGUAUGUUUUUAUUAUUUUUAGUACAGUACGUUUUUGAAAAUUUUGCGUGUUUGGACUACCUGACAUUUCUAUUCCUCCUUAGUUGGGUACUUCUGUGUUACUUUGCUUGUUUCUUUUUACUUUGCUUGAUUUUUAUUUAUUUAGUAGAUUGACUUGUGGUUAGUCGUGUGAUUUACUUAUUGUGUUUAAACUGCUGUACUUUGUAUCUAACUGUGGGUAAUUUGUUACAGUUGUUUGUUCAAUUGGGAGGUGCCUUUAACACUUAAAUUUACUUAAACUGUUGUCUAUUGUGGUUUGGAGUGAUAUUUGGAGAAAAUGGUGAGACUCAGAUCAACCCCAGGGGCUAAUCCACCGAUGUCUUGACGAUUCAGGGGAGUUUCGUUGCCCAUCUUCUUAUUCACUAUAUAUUUGUUACAUUGAGGGCAAUGUAUACUUUAAGUGUGGGGGAGAUUUGGAUUUGAUUGGAGUUUCUUUAAAUUAUUGCUUUUCUUAUUGUUGUCUUGAUGAAUAAAUGUGGCAACUCACUCUUCUAUUGCUGGUUGUGAUUUAUCCUAUGAAUUUUGUUUAGAUGGCAAGUAAACGCAUGUUAUCUUGGUGAAUAUCAUGAAUUUAAUGACUUGGUGCAAAUUGUGGUUAAAUUGUUUAGGCAAUAUGAAUAUUUUACUAGCAAUUGUUGUGUGGAUUAGGCAAUUGUUGAUCUUAGUUCUCCAUAUUAGGAGAUGACGUGGGCCAUGAUCUUUAAUUAUCUGGUUUUCUGGUGCUUUAAUUAUGAUUAAUAAAUGACCCUACUCCGCUAGUGUCGUCACCUAGUAACCGGGAGUCUUCACCACAAGUGUCGACUUUCGCGUCAAAAAGUGACUAUAUAUAUGAGUAGUUAGUCCUGAAGCUGUGAAGAGUUGAGUAACUGGGCUCUUUCAUCUAAAAAUGUCAGAGUUCACGUCAAAAGACUUGAAUAGCUUGGGACUGAGCAUUUAUAAAAAUAAAAAAAAAAAAAGAAAAAAGAAAAUAAUAAGUAAGUUUAUGAUCAUGUUGGCCUGCCGAUCCUUGUUCUUCAAUGUUGAGAUUUUGAUUUUCAGUUGACCCAAUUGCUAACUUUUGCUAGUUUAAUAUUUUGAUUUCUUAGACGACUUAGCCAUGAAUUGGACGAGUCUAUGAUUUCAGGAGCUAACCGGGAGAAAUAUGUCUUGACACUUAGCCACUAAAACUUGAUUUUGGGAUAAGCGUAGCUUGGCAGUAAAUGAAAUGAGAGUUAGCCAUUGUUGAGUUUAGUGUUCCCAUGCUUGAGGACAAGCAUGAUUUAAGUGUGGGGGGAAUUGAUAGGGUGUUAAUUGUUAGUAAUUUUAUUGUUAAUUCUCCUCUUUAUCCUUGCCAAAUAUUGCUUUAAUUGUCAAUAUAUAUUUAUAUUUGGUAUUUGGAUAUAAUUUCAGAAAGUGGAGCAGAAAAGUGCUAAAAGGGGACCUUCUUGAGAAGAUUUCUCCACACGUGAGAAACUUUCCACAAUCAGCCCAAAUUGUGCAAACCAACGGAAUUGCUGAUGAAGAGUUGCCUUCCUAUUAUUAAGUCCUGGCAAGUCCACUAACAAUAAGAAAUCAAAAGGAGACAAUUCUGCGGGGACCACGUAACAUUGAUUUAGAAAAUGUGUUCUUCUUUUGGGAGAUGUACUCAUUAGCCAUAGGUGGACUUUGAUGAUGAAAGUAGCUUUUCUAUUUGCUUCCUACGUAACUAGUUCUCUUAUGAAAACUAGUGCAGAGGAGAAUUGCAGAAACAAGCUUCAAAAAGACAUUAGACUAGUUUUGGAGUUUGCUCUCAAUAUAAGCUCCGUAGGAGGAUAGAGGAGUUUUUAGUUUUUCUCUCCGAGGGAUGUUCCAGAGGAGAGAAUAGGGAGUUGUUUUGGUUUGUUGAAUUCUAUUGUGCAAUUUUCUUAUUUUCUUCCGAGAGCUUUGUUAUUCACUCUCUCAAUUAUCGAAGAAAGAUGAUGUCUUUAAAUUCAAUUAAAUUGCGUGGGAAUUUUCUUAUGAGGCGUGGCUAAUUUUCUCAUCUAGUCAAGGAUCAACGCGAAGACGCAGUCCCAAAUAUCUGUGAGAUCUAAUUAAUUUUACGUGUUCCUUAAUUUGUUAAUAUUUGCAUGUUUUCUAUUUUAAUUUCCAUGGGAUUGUUUUGUUAAUUGGAUAUCAAGGGCCCGAUGUGCAAUUUGACUUAUUAAUCUCCUGUCAAAUUAAUCAAUUAAAUCCGUAAUUGUUUAGUUGGUUAAUAUUAGUGACAACUAGUAUUUUCACAUACUAGGAGAACAUGCAAUCUGAUUUAAAUAACCCUCGUAGCGUGUUAUUAAUUUGGGUUAGGCUUUUCUAGUUUUUAAUGCAAUUAGGAAAUUAAUUCCUACGGUCGUACCUAGGAGUAUUUCCUGGUUAGAAGUAAUCAACGGUAGUACCUUGGUUAUCAAUAAAUUAAGGAAAAGCUGGUCGUUAGAGUUUAUCGGCGACUAUAACUAGCCUAUUAAUAAAAUUAAGUGAACCUUCUUUGCAUCAAUGAUCGGAUGAAUGGACUGUGUCUGCGUAGUUGUAUCCUUGGCUAGAAUUUAUUUAUCAUUUAUCUAAUUGCAUUUAUCUAAUUGCUAUUUACAAUUGUAUUAAUUAAUUAUUUAUUUUUGGUUAAAUUAUUUAAUUAUUUUUAGUUAAAUUGUUUAAUUAUUUUUAGUUUAUUUCUGAUAAAAAAUCUCCCGUGUCCUGAACUUGAAAGGAAUCAAAUUUUUCCCAGUCCCUGUGAAUUCGACCCUACUCACUACUAUACACAGAAAAUUCAUUUUUCUCGAGUAGGUAUUUAUUAUUGCACAGGCUCGACACCUGCCAAAUAAAGAGAUUUUUUAAAGCAUUCAUAUGAAAUUUUAUAGCUGUUCACUUAUCUGUAGAAAAAGAAACCACAAAUAUCUCGAAUUUAGGUCGACCUAAUACAAAACUAGAAUAAUGUGCAACUUAAAAAACUGCAUUGAUUCAGAACAUUUAACUCUCAGAAGAAAAAUAUGAGAUCCCAAGUUUAUAUGAACUUAAAUUUGCACGCUGAGAUUGGAAAGUUGGAGGAUAAUUUCUCCUAGUUAUUAUAAACAUCAAAAGCUCCACAGGCUUUGGAAGUAAAUUUAGCAGAAUUUAAUAAAAAGGUUGUUCAGUAACUACAAGAUAAUACAUUUAACGAUCAUUUGCAAAAUCUUCCAUAGGAAUUUAUAUAUCAUACCUGAAAGCACCCCCAGAUGCUGUUAAAAUGAUACGUCGAAGAGCACCCUCAGGCAGUACACUGAAGCACAUUUUAGGUCUUUUUGUUAGCAAGUAUUUUUCACGAUUACAAGGGAAAUAAGGGGAAAUGACAACUGAAUAAACAAGAUUUCGGACUUAACAAUUAUCAAUUCAAAGUAUGAUCUAAAAGCAACUGGACACAGCAAAAUACAUAGGUGCACACCUGGAAUAUGGCAGAAUGUUCUGAAUCCGCAGGAAGAAUCUUCACUUGGUGCUUGUGCGCAAGAAGAAGUACAAAAGGACCACCAGCAAUUAACGUCUCUUUGUUGGCCAAGCAAAUGUCUUUCGCUUCUAUGGCAGCCACAGUCGGCUGCAAUAAGGAAUAAAUCAUUCACACGUCAAAGAACUCGUUACUAAAUCAUGAGCUUCACAAAUAGAACAGGAAAUCCCCACGUGCAAAAGCAACUAGCAAAGAAAGCAAAAUAGAUGCUUACUCAAAGCGAUAGUAAAGCAUAAGCAAGCUGAACUCUAGUCGUGUCUCAAGCAGAUGAUCAUCCAUGAAAAUUAAGAUUCAUGUUCUAAUGCAAUGUUUCUUUCUUGUUUCUAGAGCCUGUCUUUUUUCAAUUGAGUAGUAUUAUUUUGAAAGAGAGAUUUCUGAGUGCUCCACUCUCUACCAAUCUUAAGUAUCACUGAUAAUCAGUAAUUUCUCAAACUCAUCAACUUGAAAAAAGAAGUUAUCGCACAUGAAAAUAUGUGUCUGAGUUAAAAUGCAUAAGUUUUGGCAUUUGUAUUGCAUGUGCAGCAUAAUCAUUUCAUCUAAGAUGCUCUGAGGUCUGUCUGGUUAAAUUCUCUACAGGCACUUCUGGAUAACCCGAGACUCUGACAUGACAACUGCAAAUUAUCCACAAUUAGGACAUGUAUAAACAGUAUCAUGUGUUUGUGCAGACACCAAUAGGAUGCUUCUUCUGCGUGAUUAAUAAUGCUUUAAAGUAUGCUUUUUACAAUUCAAUAGUAUCUUUAAUAGUAUAGAUGCAUGUGCAGCUCAGAUCUGGCUACCAUUGACUGGCUUUUCUUUUUCUUUUUCUUUGUUUUUACUUUGCUUGGUUAGUUGUUGAUGAUUGAAUGGUGGUUUAUUUCUCAUCUAUUAGAAAUAGGGAGAAUUGUAGUUUUAGUCCUCAAUGUAUUACCCAUGCAUGGAACUAGUCCUCAAUCUAUUUCAAAAAGUAAAUUUAGUCCCUAAUCUAUCCAAUUUUCCAUAAAGGUGGAUAAUUGACAGAUUCCUUCCAGUUGAGUAACGGAAUGUGGCGCGUGCACUCACUGUACUAGAACGUGCAAGUGGUUUCAAUUCUCCCUUCUAAUCUAACAUACAUGCUGGAACUAACAUGUUAUACCCUGAGUUACACUUCAAUACAAAGGUUUGGAAUCAGAUUUCUUGAAGAACCUGCAAUGGUUCCUAAUUCUUUCUCUCGGCUGCAACAUUAAUUUCCAGUAGCAGCAGCAGCCUUUCAUUUGAUAUUUUCUCAUUAGUUCUAUUUCUGUUUUAUGUCCUAGCUGAUCUUGCAAAGGAUACCUAUUCAACUACAGAUUAUCCUAAGCUAAACACGGAAGUUUUUGACCAGAUUCCAAGAGGAAACUUAAUCAAAUCCCAUGCCGGUGCAAGGCUGCAAAAUCUGACGCAAAGCAACCUGCCCCAGAUUUCUUUCAUGCGCACGUUCAGAUUCUUGCAAGUUACUACGGUAACCUACUUUUACUACUUAAAGUGAACAUAUUCAUACAUUCCUAGCUACCUGUUUCCAUCCUCCUUUGAUAGAACCUGCACAAUCCGUACCUGUUUCUUAGCUAAAGAGCAGAAUUUUCUUUUAGCAAGCUACCAGUUCUGAGCAGGAUUUCUCGCAACCAAACUUACUUUCCUUGACUAGAAUCUAGCAUACUAUAUACGUACUCAAGGGCUUCAGCUGAUAAAAAAAAAAAAAUUAUUGCGGUCAUUUUACCUCUUUCUUUCCUCUUAGAGUUUGGAAAAUUGCAGACUGCACUUUUAAUUUCCUGCUUCGGUUCCCAAAAUUGCACCAGCCUCUCCUUCGUACUCACUUUUGGCUCACGGUUUUGAGGUUACAAGCUGGAGCAAUGAAGCGAGCAAAUGUCUAUCUUUCUCUUCCUCACUUUCUCGGUUGCUGGCUGGAAGCAAGGAGUAACCAGAAUGUUCUCUUUUCCUCUCACUCGGUUGUGUUUUGAGAUGAAGGGGUGUGGCUGAGUUUCUCUCUCAGUUUUGCUCCUAGUGUUUAGUUGGUAAGAAAAGAGUUGAAGCGUGCUUCUUCACUCGGCCACCGCCCAAUUAAUAUAUCAGUUUCUAUUGCUCCAUUCACUCACCGCUUGCACUUAGCUAAUAAUUGGCAGCUACUUUCUCCUCCUAAAUUCAUUUAUCUCGCUGCUUAUAGGACUUAAGAAUCAAAAGGUAAACAAUCCACUCGGUGGUCUCUUUUUUUUUUUUCAAUCGGUGCUGCCAGCUAAGCUGCUCACUCGACCGGUUGGACCGCGAACCGGCCAUGUCACCGGUCCGGUCUAAUGCUAAAGCCGGAAGCUCAUGAAGAACCGUUGAAACUCGGACGAACCGUGUGAACCGUGAACCGGCGGUUUUUUAAAUUCUUCAACUAAAUAUUAAGAAUGGUGUAACUAUGAUUCGAACCUGGGCCUCCAAGUUUGGAUAUGACAAUCUUAUUGCUGGGCUGUAGUUAAGUUUGUUGAGAAUUCUACUUGACUAAAAAAUAUAUUAAAACAUCAAGUUCUUCUCUUUUUUUUUUUCAAUUUUUUCUUCUUAACCAUUUUUAACCCAAACAUCCACAACAAGAUUUUCUCAAGUCUUCACCAUUAUUAUCAGGUUAUUAUCUUUAGCAGAUUGUAAACAAGUUGAAAAUUUCAACUUUUGUUGUUUUCCAACAUCUUGGUAAGUUUAAUUUUUUUUCUUUUCAAGGUUUUUUUUCUAUAUUAUUAUCUUUAGUUGAUUUUUUUGCAUUUUCUUCUUUUUCCCCUCAAUUUUCAUAUGUUUCCCUCAUUUUUGUUUUAUUUUUAUUUGAUUAAUUAAGGAUGAAAUUUUUGCAAAAGUAGUGCACAUCCGUGUAGGAAUUGGGUAGGAAUUACAAAUAAUAACAUUGGACUGAUAAAAAAUAUGGUAGUUGGCACAUAAUCAAAGCUAUUGAUAAUUGAAUUUAAAAUAAUUAAUGGUAUAGGAUCAUUGAAUUUAAUAUAACAUGUUAAUUAGUAAUGUUUAGUAGCAAUUAAUUUUUUAUGUGUUUAACUGUAUAUUUUUUUUCAAAAAUUUUAGUUUUUUUGAGUUUGAGCAAUUAGAUUUAUAUUUUUAUAAUGAAAUUUUAACUUUUUCAGCUUAAGUUGAUGAAAUUGUGAAGGUGGUGUGGUUGUUUAUCAUGCCAUUGAUAAAAGUUUGCUAUUCAAAUGGUUUGUCUUAACUUGAACUGUUUCAUGGAUUUUUUUAAGGGUUGUAAAAGAAUUUCAAUAUUUAAUUUAUUUAUUUUUUGUGUUUUUAUUUGUGAUAAUUGGUAAACAUUUGGAUUGUAUCUAUUUAUGUUUAUAAUGAAUUUAUGAAAACUUGUGGUGAAUUAUGAUAUUUUAAUUAUAUUUAUCAAUCCAUGUUUUAUGUAUAACUUUUAGUAAAUUUAUUAUUAUCAUAAUUUAAAUUAAGUUAUGUUGGUAAAGUUCAAGUGUAGAAUGAAACCUGUUUAGUACUUUACCAAAAAAAAAAAAAAAAAACAGUGAACCUGUGAACCGGCCGGUUGGACUGGUCGGACCGCGAACCGGCCACCUCUCCGGUUCACUGACCGGUCCGAGUUUAAAAACAUUGGUUUCUACUAAAAAUUCUGAUGGUUUAUUCCAGUGGUGCUCACUUAGGCCACCGCUCAAAUUUCUUGUAAAUUAUUUUCUCAUCUUCCCCUCUGCCGCUGUCGCUCUUUUCACCCUUCUGCGACCCCCCUGAAAUGGGCUUCCGGGGUAGAACCCUCCAACUUGACAAUGCUCGAACUCACCAGUCGUGUUUGCCGCCUUUUAGUUCUCGAACGCCAUUCAGACCUCAAGAACCUUUCUUUCCAAUUCUCCCACAAACUCGUUGACACUGUCCUCCAAAAACUGAAGCUCAACCCCUCCGCCUAUCUUCAGUUCUUUGGAUUAGCUUCAAACCAGCCAAAUUACCGACCCCAUUUCAAGGCCUACUGGAAAAUUGUUCACAUUUUGUCCAAGGAUAGAAAAGAACAUAGAUGUGAAAAAAUGAAAAGGAGAGAAAAAGAGAGGAUAGAUUUUGACUUUUUAAAUAGUUUCUUGAUUUACAAACAUUGAAACCACUUGCACAUUCUAGUACAGUGAGUGCACGCGCCACAUUCCGUUACUCAACUGGAAGGAAUCUGUCAAUUGUCCACUUUUAUACAAAAUUAGAUAGAUUAGGGACCAAAUUUACUUUUUGAAAUAGAUUUAGAACCAGUUCCGUGCAUGGGUAAUACAUUGGGGACUAAAACUACAAUUCUCCCUUAGAAAUAUAACUAAAAGUUCAAAAAUACAACUAAUUCCAUAACCAGUAUCAAAACUAUAAAUGCAUCAUCCUUUGAUGGGCCACUGACUGUGCAUACUAGUUAUUUCAACAAAAAUCUAACGCUUAAAACCCGUCUUGACGAAUGCCACUAAUGCCUGUAGUUGCACUAGUUAAUCAAAUCCUUCAACUUCUUCAUGGAAUGCAAAACGGCAAUGACUUCCAAGGUCAUCUUUAUUUAUGAAAUUCCAUUAAAAACAUAUUUAUGUAAAGAAUUGGGUAGUGUAAAACCUUAAAUGAUAAAUAUAUUCAUUCAAACAAUAAUAUGUGCAUUUCAACUGGAGAUUAUUUUGGAAAAAUUUCUUUUGAUUUAUCUAGCACUUAUUUGUGAUAUUAUGUAGGGUUCAUAGAAUUGAACAGCCCUUAACAUUUGAGGCGAUUUGGAUUCUGCCCCUUAAUAUUUUUUCUAAGCACUUUGCCUCCUAGAUUAACAACCAAAGGUAAAGGUCUAGUAAAAACACAUAAUCGCCCUUAAGCUGGCGAUUGCAGUUUUUCCCUACAAACUACAACUCUAGUUGCACUCUGCCCCCAAAAGAACUUUAUACUCAAUUUACCUCCUAAUUUAUGUUGAAGGAUAAGAUUAUCUUUGAUAUUUUACCUAUUCACAGUGUUCUUUUUUCUCCCUUUAUUUCAUUUCCCUCUCUCUUUUAGUUUUUCCCUUAUUUUUAUCAUUAUUAGCAACUACUAAAAAAAACUGCUAUUUUAUUGUCAAUAAUUUUUUAAUCACAAGCUCCAAGUUUUAUACAUGUUUGAAUAAUUUAUUGCCCAAUUAAAUAUGCUUUCAAAUGCAGAAGACAAGAAUACAGUUAUGCUGUAACAUUUAGUUUUUUAGUUGUCUCCAACAUUCUUUCAAGUAUCAAAGGUUAUUUUGUUUUUCUUUUUUCACUAUCAAUAGUUAAUAAAAGUUUUGAUGUUAAGUUUGCUGUAUGUUGUAGUUAGUUUGUUACGUGGAUGACAAAGCAUAUAUAACUUAAAAAUGAAAAUACAUAAAUCUAAAAAUAUAAGUUAGAGGCUCUGUUUUUAAACUGGGAUUGGACCAGCCGGUCGAACUGGGAACCGGCCAAUGGUCCGGUCCGGGUUAACUUUAAAAACCGGAAAAUUCAAAAUUCGGUCAAACCAGGUCAAAACCCGGGUUUGACCGGAAAAAGACCCGAUUUUUUUACUUUUUUUUUAAAGGUCAAAAUAUUUUUAAUAUUAUGUUUUGACCCCUAGGUUGUUAAAAUUUAUUAAUAUAUCUCAAAUAUUUCAUACUUUAUAAAUGUUGUCUUAAAGUUUGGUGUUAUUUUUCAAUUAAUUCCAUAAUUUUAAUUCUAAACUUGUUAAUGCUCAUUAAAUAACAUAAAUUGCUAUUUGAUUGUUCUAAUUUCUUUGUAUUUUCUUGUUAAAUAUAUUUAAAACAUUAAAUACAUAUGAAUAUACCUUUAUUAAUAUUAACAUGUUAUUAGAUAUUUUACAUAAAAUAUUUUAAUUUUUAAAUAAUUUUUAUUUAUGACGUCAUCCGGUUCAACUCCGAUCGAAUUCGGUUGAAUCCAUUGACCCCUGACCCUUGACCUCGACCGAGUUGAUACCCGGUCCGGUUUUGAAAACAUAGGUUAGAGGCUCAAAGGCUCAAAUUAGGCAAUUAUCAAUACUUAUGUAAUAGUUUUGAAGUGAAUAGAGCGGAUGACAUAUAUAUAUAUAUAUGUAUGUAUGUAUAUAUAAAGAAAAAUAAGUGACAGAAAAAACAAAACGUAAUUGAAAUAACAGUAGUGUAAGCUGCCUUAAAAUUCUUUAGAAGGCAAACUGCAAAUAAGGGCAACAUUUGAAAUUAAGGCAUUAUAUAACGGUCAAACCUUAUUUUCACUGCCGAGGAGCUGUAAAGAAGUGCUUGGGAAAUAGUACUAGGUGGCAAACUGCAAAUCACCCCAUUAAAGAAGUCUAAUCAUCCUAUCAUAGAUGUUGAAUGCUAUUAAGCAUAUGAUGUAUGUGAAAUUAAAAAAUAGUAAGAAAAUAAGAAGUAAUGAGAAAACAUAUUUUAAGAAUGUCCAAAAAAAAUUUCCAAAUAAUUUCAUCCUUUUUUUCUGGUUCUUUAUACUUCAUCCAAAGUUACUUAUACAUUUCUUCAAAUUUCUGUGCGCAAUUUAAUCAUAACCAAUUGAAUCUCAAAAUGCCCCAUAUCACGCCAUCAAGUGCCUCUAAAUUCUAACUGCAGCAAUCACUUCUCAAUGGUGCAUGAGAACUCAAAUGGGUAAGAAAUUGGCCUCUGGACUUCACACAACAUGGGCCAAUUCUCCAAGCCAAGUUUUAUUAAGGGAAAAUCGCAUAAAUGGUCCAUCACAUAUUAUAAUUGUACUUUUUUUAUCUAUUACUUUCAAAAUGAAGUAAAUUCAUCCUUCACAUAUUCAAAAUGUACAUUUUGUUCCUUACACUCAUUCCAAGCGCUUUUUGGCUAGGAAAUGUCAUGUGCCACCACGUAAUGAUAAUUUCAAGGGCAAAACAAUAUUAUAUCCUAUUGUCAACUAAAAAUUAAAUUUCUGAAUUUUCCAUGUCAGAAUGACGGCAAAUCUGAAGUCCAAACACAUGUCCUGAGAUAUGUGCUCUUUUUUUGUUCUCUAUGUUCUUCUUUUACUUUUUUAUAUAUUUUGCAUUUAUUUUGAUAUUUCAUCAACUUUGUUUUCACUACAACUUUUAUCCUCACUUUUCCAUUUGUUAAAUAUUAUUUUGGGGUUAACUUUCUUCUUUGGAAUUUUUUAUUUUCCUAUUUUAAAAGUCCUCAAGAAUUUUCAAAAUAACAGUUAAACUUUUUCUUAAUUAUUAGUUUUACUAGAUGUGGUGUAUUUUGGUGAGAAUAGGGUGUGAUGUCUAUUUUACUUAUUUUACCCGUAAAAUCAUUAUCGAAUGGUAGCACAUGACCUUUUUCUAACUAAAAAGUCAUCAAAAUGGAUAUAGGAACUAAAAUGACAUAUUUUGUUUAUCUGAAGGAUGGAUUUUCAUCAUUUUAAAAGUGACGGGCUAAAAAGAUGUAAAUGCAAUAUGUGAGGGACUAUUUGCAUCAUAUUCCUUUUAUUAUGGUCAGCCAUUAAGGAUGGAUUUACAGAGGGUGGGCAGGGGCAACCAACGCCUCCCCUCCCUAUAAUUUUGUAAAAUCUAUAUAGGCCCUUUAAAGUUUUCUAAAACUUAUAAAUAAAGCCUUAAUUUUUAAAUCAAAAUUUGUCCCUUUGCCUCCCCCAAUGUGUUGUCAAUAUUUAAAUCAACUAAGUAAUCUUCUUUGAUUUUUCUUUGAAAAUGAUUUAUAUUUGAAAGAAAUAAAAUUAUAUCCUAUAUUUCUUAACAAAACUGAUCCAAACGAGUUUUCUUGACAACCAUGUUUGGGCCCCUAUUCCCAACCCAUAGACAAGGCACGGACUGCCUCUUAAUGCAUGGUAUGGAUUGCAACUUACAUGUACUAGUGCGUUCCACCUAUUGCUCUGUUCGUUCAAACAAUUCCACAUCGGCUUAUAAUUAAACAACUUGAUCAAUUUUUCAGAAAAUAUAUUGUAUGGUAGUAGUGAUACGAUAAUGCAGUAGGAGAGCUGGCAAUAUAUGAAGUGUGGGGGGAUUUUGGGGAAUGGGAGAAACUCUUGAAAAUUAAAUAUAAAUAUUUUGCAACUCUUCAAAAAAUAAAUAUUGAAUUUUUCUAUAAGAAAAAGUGAAGGAAAUUAACCAAUAUAUAGUAUUAGAUUAAGAUUUUAAUAGAACAAGAGAAGGCCUUCAUAUAACUAUUCUAAAAUUUUAUAGGGGUUAAAAGAAGUUUCCAAAAUUUAGAAGGGGCUCUUCCGGUAAAUGGUAAGAUUUGAAAACGUAAGUACGAAUGACAGAGGCGGAGGAAGUUAGCUAUGUUCCAAUCUAUCUACAAUGAAUACUAAAUUAGUUCUUUGUACAAAUGUAUUGAACAAAUAAUGUAAAGAAUAAUUAGUUGAAACUUGAAAGGUGAAUUUAGCCCCUUACUCUUCAACUCGCCAUUGAGAUAUUAUGAUGAGAGGCGCUUUGAAAUUGAGCAACAUUAGUAACGGGACAAAUUUCAUAUGUUCAUGUACGUGAGAAUAGUUGGUAAAUCUGGAAUGUGUCCAAGCAAUUAUAUUGUAACUAGCUAAGAAGCAAUGCCUAGGAACCUUACACAAACAUAUAUAUGUAUAGGGAAAAGACAGAGGAGGAUAUAAGACAAUUGCAGUAAAAGCCAAAAAGGAGAAUAUAAAAGAAUAGGAAAACGGCAAAAAAAAUAAGAUACACAAAUAAUAUACUAAAAUCUCUUGAACUGACAUAAAUAACCUUACAAUUAACAAAAUUUGUAAACCUAUUACAGACCAACGGAGUUGAACUAGUAUACCACUUUUGUGACUUAAGUACUUAUUUGAAUAAUAUAAUUGUUGAGUCGACAAAAGGUCAUAAUCAAAAGGGUUUAUCUGCACUUAUACUAACUAAUAAAAACUCCCCAAAAUAUCGUAUUUCUAACUUUUUAGUGGAAAGAUUACACAGUGUCUUUCUAUUUAACACAACUUCUUUAUUUAACCUUUGCUCUUACAAAUAAUUUCUUUUCACAAUGAAUAAAAAGAUUUAUGACUCAAAGAAAACAAAAAUUUGCAUUCCUACAGAACUUGUUGGUUAUAAUUAGAAUAUAAGUUGAAAAUGAAAUUUAGGGUGCAUCCAGUUUUAAGUUUCUAGUCCGAUAAUGGUUGGGAAGGACACUUAUGAUAAGGAAGAAAGGAGAAGAAAAGGCAAAAGUGUAAGACAAACAAAAAGUCAAGGAAAAAGAAAAAAGAAAUAUAUUGAUUAAUCUAAUUGGCUGUGCCUUUCAUAUUUUAUAAGUUUGAUACAUCUUGAUUUUUUGGUUUUCCCCAACAUGUCUUUCUUUUUAUUUUGACAGUGCAAUGCAUUUUUAAACGUUCAAAGGCAAAUGCCACAAAUCUAAUAUUUAGAAUUAAAAUUAAAGAUAUGGAUGGUGAGAACAUACUUAACCUUGAAGGGAAGUGGGCUGAGAGAGGUGGUGUUAUUACAUGACAUACAGUCAAUAAGCCAUACAGAUUAGGCUAGUAUCCCUCUCCUACGUAACGGGUAUUUUACCUAAAAAAGGGCAAAAUAUAUAUAUAUAAAAAAGACUCCAUAUAAUUAAGCUAACCUGUGAAAAGCAUUUUAUGGUUUCAAAUCAUACAUUCUGGUUUCUCAAGAUUUGAACUAAUUUGAAACAACAAUAAAAAUCAUCAAAACUAAUUGAGGCAGAUGAAAUGAUAGAAUUAUCUUAAUAUAGGGGGGGAGGCCCGCGCAAUGCGCGGGAGUGGGGUGCCUGUGGGUCGCGCAAUGCGCACUCCAUAAUGCGCGUGGUGAGAUCUAUCUAACCUUCGUAAAUAAUAGUGAAGAGAGAAAAGAUGGAAGUUGUAACUGAGAAGCCGUACGAAAAUAAUAGAGAACCACAUCAUAGUAUUAUAAAAAACCAUAGCUUAGAUCAGGAUGUUUGAGUUCAUGACCAUACGGACAGGGAUAUAGGCCCAAUGAUAGUUUCAGAUUUAGAUUAAAUGCUCAGUGGCUCCUUUUCUAAGAAGGUAUAAUAGACCACCUUGCACUUAACCUAAUUUGAAACAGUCUUAUUUUAGAUACUUCUAUUUACAUAGAACAGAUAAAGGAAAAGUUCAGCCAAGUUUGUCCGUUAAAGUAGUAGUACUUAGGAAUAAUGAAGAUCCAUUCGCAAAGGAUAUAACUUCAAGGAUGGGCUUUGGCAGUUUAGGUGCGGUGUUUCUUAGUGGGGUUGACUCUGAGUUUCAUUGGGGCUGCUGCAACUGCUGCCUUUUUCUUCUUAUCUUCUGUGUUAGAAGGACUGAGUUGAUCCACUCCUUUGCUUUGUGUUUCUCCUUCCAUUAUGCUAUCAACUUUUUCUAUUGCCAUAUUUUCAGCCAUGUCGGUAACAUUCUUUUUGGAAUGUUCUUCUUGUGCUGCUGCCCAAGUGGAUGCUGUAGCUUUGUAGUUGGUGAUAUAUUUGCUGAUGACAUAGUUUUCUUCUGCAGUAGCAUUGUUGAUAUGGGCAACUAUGGCAUUGUACUUUUCUGAGCUCCUGGAACUGUGGAUUGUAUUUGAUUUCUUGACCAAGCAAACUAAGUUUUUCUGCUUGAUGAAAUCUGCUAUAGUGGCGUACUGGACAUUUCCCUGUAGGAAGAAUAGAGACUUUAAGUAUUUAUUUGAAGUGAGCAGAAUGUUGCAAAGUAGUUUUGAGUUCGAAUGUACCUGCUGCUCUUGCUUUUGGAUGUCACUUAUGCAGAAUGGGAGGAGUUGUUCAGCAUCAUCACCACUCAGGUCAAGAGUUAUAGCACCACUCAUAUCACUAAUUUGCACUGUUAGUCUGCAGCUGUUUUUGGGUUCAUGUUAUUAGAAGCUUUUUUGGCAGCAGGGGUUGUUAAUAUUAGAUUAAGGUAUAUGUUUACCGUGGAGUGAGACGGAUGCGCUGGUAGCAUGAAGUGCAGGUGAUCUCGCAAUCUGGCCUUGCUCUGAUGUAUUUGUAGCAGUGGGGGCAUGAAUGGUACCAUAGCUUUUGACUUCUAUCUAGAAGUUUUGGUAUGCCUCUAAUCCAAUAGGGCCUUGCCUGCAAUGAAUGAGCAUUGUAUUAUUACAAAGGCUCGGACAAGUAUACCAAGUUUGCUAAUAGUAAUAGAAGUCAAAGUAGAUAAUCAAUUUUGUAGCACUGUUAACCUAUUGUGUUAAGCCAUUUGUUAACAUCUAGUACGCCAGGCAAGAAUUGUAUUAGGCCCAGAAGACCCUCUUAUAAAAGAUAAUGCAAAGCAUAUGAUUCUUGAAUUUCACAUGGGCGAGAGUUUCAUAAUAAAACUAUAGAAUCCAUCAAGCAAUUAAAAAGAAUUAAAAAGCUUUACGCUACAGUGAGGUUCACAAGAGAGAAAGUACAAUUUGACAAGUAAGAUAAUGAGUAGGGGAAAAAAUGGUAAUUACGCAGUAGCAUUAAAACACGAAAUUCCACCUACAAAGUCACAGAGAUGCAAAAAUACGAAGAAAUGGGACAAACAAGUAAAUAAAAAAUUACUGGGUAAAAUGGGAAAACAGGAGCUACUAAUUUCAUUAACGAGGACAAAAUUACUGGAUGAAAGCCCGUAUAUCCGGAAAAACCAAAUGAAAGGGAGCAUUAAUUAGUUCUACAAAAACGUACAGAUACAAUGAAAACUAAACUGAAGACAUUUUUGCCCAAAACAUUCAAAUCUCAUUACCAAUCAAUCAGGAGAGUAGGGAAUGGUAGUUCAAGCUUGUAGUCAGUAUAAUCCAAUUCGAUAACCCACAAGCCAAUUUUGUAAUGGAAGAGACUACAGACUUUUUGGCUGUUGGCAUGCAUGCAGAAAUAAAGGAUUGUGAGUGAGUUGUAUAUGUACCUCAACCACAGCUGUGAGAUCGCUGAUAGUUAUAACUCUGUCAUCAUCUGGUACAGGUAGGAGUUUGAGACGAUCACCAUAAGUCCGCUCAGCAAUGAAACGCGUGAUUUCCUCUUGAUUGUGACUGCACCUAAUAUUUUAUUUGUUGUAAUGUAAAGGAUAGUAAGCCUUUUUGGUAAUGAAUGUUGAAUAAUUUAUAAUGUAACUAUUUUAAAGUAAAGUUACCAGUUACGCAGGUCAUUGGCUUGCUGAAUUGGAGGAUUGAUUAGUAUGCUGCUGGAGAAUUUGGUGGAUAGAUGCAUGGCUACAAAGUUGACAAUAGCAACAUAAGUUUUUCCUUUUCUGGUUUCAGUCAACUUAGGAUUUUUGUAAAUGGUUUUUAAAAGAGUACGUACCAUGGUAAGAUGUCACUCGGACUCGAAGCGCUGCAACCACAGGUUGGGUGUGGAUCAUAUCAGCUAUGUCUUGUCCCUCUUCUGAUUCAUGCUCUCCCCAAAGGGUCAGUACCAUUGGGUGCGACAUAUGAUCUGUAAGAAUGAUAUCCCUAGUUGGUGUUCCACCUCUGAUUGCUUUCGGGUGCACGUGAAUUGCUAUUCCAAUAAGAUCUAAUAACCAGAGUUUGAUAUUAAAAAGUGUAACUAUGACUAUGUAAAUUAUAUGUUAAGGUAAAUCAGGAAUGGUACCUAUUUCAUCAGUUGUGUCAAUGUGCUGAUAAACUGAAUCGUAGUCAGCAAAGUUAAACACAUUAGGUAUCAGAGGGGGGUCCACUUCAUCGAUUUCUUGGACAAGCGUGGAGUUGUCAAUGGUCCAUGAGCACUCAUUUGGGUACGUACUGUACCUUGGCAACACAUUUUGAAUCCUAGCAUUCGAUACAUAAUAUCUUCGAUAUGGUUCAAAGUACUUCCUGAAGAACAUUAUAUCUCCAGCAUAAAUUAGAGCUUGAGCAGUUUGACCCUGUAAUUUUGAAUACAGUAAGUGCUAUGGUAAUUAAUUAGUUGUGUAUAGUGCCAAAGUAUGCAAUGAUAAGCUAUAUUACCUGACUAUCAACAAACACCAACUUUUGGUAGCGUUUUCCAUUUCUUGAAACCUGAACCUUUUGCUUUUCAAUCACUUGAACAAUGGCAGUCCAGUUGUCCAUGAGAGGUUGGAGUUCUGUGAAGUUUACCAGGUUGCUUUCCAUUUUUUGACGUUUGAAGAGUGCUGCAGACAACUACCACAAAAUCGAAGGAUUCCAAAGACAAGAGUUACACUCCGAAGUAGUAAGUUCAUAGAAUUUAAAUAUAAUGUAUUACUAAGACAUUUACUGGUACUUUAUUUGCUAUUUACAUAUAACAGAGUACUGGAAUUAUUGACAAGAUAGCUGCAAUACAUCCUUGUAAACUAUAUUAGGAGUCACAUAAUCUAAACUUGAAUCAUAUACAGGAGGUGUGAUCAAAAUUUUAACAGAUUUGCUAUUUUUAGCUCUAGAUAAUGCAACAUACAGCUGCCCAUGUGAAAAAACAGGUUCUCGCAAAUAAAUGCCAACAUAAUCUAAAGUUUGCCCUUGAGCUUUAUUAAUGGUCAUUGCAAAACAAAGUCUUAUAGGAAAUUGCAUUCGUUCAAAAGAUAUAGGAGAAUUAGGGUCAUUUUCAACACGAAAGCAAAUUCUAUGUAGAAAUACUUGCUUCCCAGCAAAUUCACCAGAACUUAUGACUGCAUCUAUAAUAUUGUGUUUAAGUGAUUUGCAUAGAAGUCUUGUUCCAUUACAUAGACCUUCUGGUGGGUCAAUGUUUCUCAACAACAUUAUUGGUGCAUUUUCUUUCAAUGUCAAUCGAUGUGGAGGAAAACCAUUUGGAGUGUGGCUAUUCAUGAAGUCCUCUAAAAUUGCUUGCUGCGAAUUAUCUAAACAUUUAUCUCUGCUUAAAUAGUCAAAUGGGGUUCCGGGAAAUUCCUGUAUCAAUUUUUCAUUGAUCUGAUCUACAAAAUCAUUUUUUGUAGUUAAAAUUGCUCUAUUAAUUAAUGAGUAUGUAUUUUCAGAAAAUAUGUUGAAGUUUGGAUAGACAGUUGUAAUCAAUUGAUUUAUGGAUUCUGCUUCAUUUGUAUAGCGAAGAAGCAAUGCUUGAGAGAUGUGAAUACUUUCAUUUUUAACUGUGUUUUCUGUUCCAUUACCUAUACGAAGAAGGUACUUGCUAAAAUCAGGAUCUAAUCUUGCUCUCAUGUUUUCCUUCAAUUUUAAUUUCUGCAGAUGAGGCCAAAUAUAAGAUUUUACAAGGCUAGCUUCGAUAAAGUCUGAUUUUGACCCUUUUACAACUACCGGCAGAACUUGCCUAAAAUCACCACCAAAUACCAUCACUUUUGACCCAAAUAAUUCAGAGUUAUCCAUUAGGUCUCUAAGUAAACGAUCUACUCCCUCAAUUCCUGCUCUAUGUGUCAUAGGCGCUUCAUCCCAAAUGAUCAAUUUGGCUUGCUGUAAUAACUUUGCCAAUGAGCUUUGUUUGCUUACUUUGCACAUGUUGUUAGGAUUCAUGUCUAAAGGAAUUUUAAAUCGUGAGUGGGCUGUUCUACCUCCAGGUAAGAUAGAAGCAGCUACUCCACAAGAGGCCGUUGCCAAAGCUAUACAUCCCUUUGAUCUAACUGCAGCUAGUAGUGCACGGUACAAGAAUGUUUUCCCUGUUCCCCCAGGCCCAUCAAUAAAGAAACUUCCUUUGCUGUGUAUAAAAACAGCAUCUAUGAUAGUAUCAAAUGCUACUUUUUGAUCCUCAUUUAAUUUAGAGAUAGCAGCAAUAUCUUCUUCAUUGACUUUAAAGUUUAGCUCAGAAUUUGUGUCUCUUGUACCUCUAUCCAUUUCAUCAAACUUUAAGAUUCGUGGUACUAAUCCAUACAUAUUAAUGUUUUUUCCCAUUGAUUCUAAGAACUUGCUAAUCUCAUAGAGAACUUUAUGUUGGACCUGAUCGUUUGACAAAUUCAAAGUUCUAUUGAAAUCUUCUGACAUAGAUUCUUUGAAUUUUAACCAUAAACUUCUUGGAUCAGCAGGAGUGAAGUAAACUAAUAGGGUAGCAAAUAGUCUUCUAAAGCUAUAUGGCAUGUGGUAUAAAGCUGCUUCUUCUAGGCACUGCUCUUGAGGGUUAUUGGAUUCAAAUAAUCCUCUCAUUAUUGCUGCUUCUCUAAAGGUAUUAACAUAAACACCAUCGACAGUUUUCAGGUCAUCAAAUGAUGUUGGCCCUUUUACAUUCAAUAACAAUAAUCUUAAGAAGUACCUCUCACCCUCACUUGGAUUUGCUGUAACAAUUCGGCCUAUUGAACCUCUUUGUUGCCUAAUAUCCCAUAUGCGUUUACCAGGUUUCCACACAAAAUGUUCAGGAAAUUCUUUGUAUGUGCAUUUCAAUGUUUUGGCUCUCUCAUCAGUAGCAUUCAUAUGGAAAAAUUCAGUUAGCAUACUUUUCUUAGCAAAUUUACUUUUCAAAAGAUCUCUAAGAUCAGCAUCAUCUUUGAAGGUCAGAGAUUGGUAAUUUUCAAGAUGUAGCUGAAGGUUAAUGACAGCAGGAUGUGUUUCAAAUAAGGGAAAUCUGUAAAUUCGCCAAAUGGCUUCAAUAGGAGAAACCCAUCUUGCUGAUUGGUACUCCUUAAUUUCAUCUAUCUCUUUAGAUCUGUCAUCUGAAUUCACAGCAAAGUGUAUUUUAUCAUGUCCCUUAUAUAUGUACUUAUAAGUAUACUUGACUACCUUUAUUGUUGAGCAAAUUUCAACAUUCAUAUGGCAAUUGAAUUUUGCUAACAAGUAAGGAUUAUAUGGAACUACCCAUCUAUUAUCCAAUUCAUGGCCUCGAACUUUUACCUUUUCUCUAUUGCUCCUCCGCCUAUAUGUUGGAUAAGAAUUUUCAGAUUGUGUAGUUUUUUCUGCCCACUGUUUAGGAUAAUGAUUUUUGCAUUUUUUAACUGUUGUACCUUGCAUACACACAUUAUCUGCAUUUUUUUCGCCACAAGGACCAUGCAUCAUGUGCUUGCGAACCAUUUUAAACAAGUGUGGAUGCUCUUUUUUGUCUGGAAUCUCAGCAGAAACUAUGUGAUCAUAGGAUUCCGUUGAAUAUAAUUUAGACGCUGGGUGUAAAAUUAUUAAGAAAUGUGCAUGCGGCAACCCACGUUUUUGGAAUUCAACAACAUAGGUGUAAGCAGCUACUUUACCCAAUACCUCUUUUUUAAACAACUCUUCUUUUAAAAUUUCUAAUUUGGCAUGAAAAACUCUAGCAGAAAGAUCAACACGGUUUUGAGACUCAUCAGUGGGCAGUAAGUUUUCUUUUAUUUCUGGCCAUGAUGGGUUACAAGUCAUUGUUAAAAAAAUGUCAGGUUUUCCGAAUUUUUGAACUAAGGCCAUAGCAUCAACAUACCUUCUUUUCAUAUCACGAGGACCUCCUAUAAAAGAUGCUGGCAAAAUUACUCGUUGCCCUACUUUUGAACCUCUACAUUGGCCCUCAACUACAGAAUCCAUGACACCCUGUAAUUGCUCAGUCCUAAUUUGUUGUUGCCUAUGCCGGAAAAAAUCAAGCCUUUGACUCUCAAUUUUUACGUACAUGUCCACUACAUACUGUUGAAAUGCACGGGCAGUAUUAAGAAUACUUGGUUUAUUUUUCUCCCUCAUCUGGAACCUAUAUGCAUAGUAUUCACGCAUGGACACAUUCUCCUUUGAAUUCUCAAAGUUUUUGAAAGCUGUUUCAAAAAAUUUUAAGCUUCAAUUUACAUUUGGUAAACUAAAAUUGUAUUCAUAAAAUUUGUAUUAUAUUUAAAAACAACUAACCUUUCUCUUCUGAUUCUAUUAUAUCUUCGGCAGAUCUGAAGCUUGUUAAAGUUGCAGUCUGUUGAUGAUUUCUAACUGACCUUUUCCUUUUUUUUGGAUUACCAGUGCCAGAUCUCUGAAUUCCAGGUUGCCACCCUGUUUCGCCAAAGGGAAAUAGAAGUGGAUACUGCAAUGGAUCAUAACAGCCAUAGUAAUAUUGAAUUCUACGGCUUUGACCCUCUUUUGUGUAUACUUGAAUGUGUCUAGCAUAGCUGUCCUGUGAGUUUUCACCUUCAACCCACAGUGCAGCUACUUGGGAUACUGUUGGCUUGUUAAAGACUCGCUGAUCAGUUUGACAGUAAGAUUUCAGGACUAUUUGAUAAUUGUUCAAGUCUGGAACAUGUCUCAGGCUUCGGAAAAAGCAGGCAUAAGGGUUACUUUUCAUGAGUUCCAUGAGUUUCACCACUAUGCUCUCAGUUAGUUUUGUUGAAAAAGCCAAUCGAUUUGCGAUUUCAUGUUCAGUAUCAUGAAAGUAUAACUGCAAAAACAUUCCCGAUCCUCCAUGGGGAAUCAAUUGAUUUAUAAAAUGAUACGUUUGGCCCUGAAUUUUGAAAGUAUAUAUUCCGUUUCUUCUUUGGCAAAGCGAUUUAUCAUAGUUAACUCCAAAAGAGGUGAAAGCGAACAUACUAUUGUAUGUUCUUACAUAGGUUCUGAAACAAAUUGCUUCUUCAGUUUCACCAGUAAAUAGCUCUAUUAAUAUGUCUGGCAUUUUAUUCUCUUCUAAGACUACUUCUCCAUCAGAGCAACAAAAGUUUGCAGACUCAGAAUAAAAUUUUUUGGCUCCGCAGUACUUGCAAUUCUGUUGCUCUGGUAAUCUAUCAGCUUCCAAGCUUAUCGAAGAUAAUGCCUCAAUUCCCGUCACCACCCUUUUAUGUUGUUUGCGUACAUUGUUUUGUUUCCUAAUCGAAGCAUUUUGGUCUUCCCCACAGCUUUUAACUACAUGAAUGGAUCAAAAAUGUCAUUAAUAUGAUUUUUAAUAUGUUGAAGUUUUACAACUUGUUUUAUUAUGUAGAAGGAAUAAACCUGAAUUCUGUUUACACCUUCGUCUUGACAUAUGUUUAGCUUCUCUUGAACGUUUAGGUUCAACUGAAUAUCCUAUUUAUGCAAUGGUGAUCAGUUUUUGUCAAUGGGAUCGCCACUGUUAUAUGAUCAACAAUGGUGAUCAGUUUGUUAGCUAACCUGUUAGAUCCUCCAUUGCUUCAGAAAGCAAGCUAUAGCAAGAGUUGCAGAUGGGUGGUUGGUCUACAAUAUUGGCAAAUAAGGUGAUCACUUUUAGCUAGUAGCUAGGGAGAAAUCUCGGUUGGUAAUGUUUGUUUCAAGAGGAAAGAAUAAUUAAACUUAGCAGUAGGAAACAAUAACUAAACCUGAAGAUUGGGUCGCUUUAGAAUGCUGACACUUUUUUAUCCGUCGAGCUGUAGAAGUAGAACCUAUACAUUUUCCACAGGAUGUUAACUAACAUAUUUUGUAGGUCUCUUUUAAUAUAUCUUUGGAUAUUUGUGAAUUAAAAAUGUUUUUAAUUCUAUGUGGUUCACCUUUGUGAUAUGUUGAAAAUUCUGAAACAUGCUCCUUCUGCCUUCGAUUACCUUCAACUUUGUCUCCAGGAACUAAAUAGAUUGUGAAAAUGUUAUGCCUAUAUGACAUCACAAUAGCCUAAAGGAAAAGGGAUUACAAAAAUAACCUGCCUCACUGUGGUGCUUAUGACCACAGUUAGGUUCCUGAAUGCGAAAAGCCUGCUGUAACAGUUGCUUAUUACUGGUGUGCUCAUCAUCUGAGCAUAGAGAUACAGGCAAAGGUAGUUUAGUUUACAGCCAUACUUGUUGGGAGUUAUUAUAGAGGUAGGUGGGCAUCUAAAUAUUCACUAUAAUGUAGUAUAUACAGCGCGAUACCUUUUCCUCUCAAUACUAACGAGGAGGUAAAAGUAGUCUUUGUCUUUUCUUUUUUACUUUUAUAGGUAUCACGGCGUUUUUUCCGUUGGAUUUCUUUCUGCUCCUCAGUUAAAGAGGCAUAUCUUUGUCUAGCCUUUUCGUUACGUCGAGCUUUUCGGUCGAACAUUUUAGAAGGAUCAAUGUUUCGAUUCAUAGUGGGUUGCUAUGGAAAUGUUGGGUCAACUAACAAAAGUGGUUGGAACUUGAGGUUUACACAAACUUGAACAAUUCGAAUGAAUCCUAAGACACAAGAAUGAAUCCUAAGACACAAGCUUAUUUGUAGUAUACUUCAGCACAGAUUCAGCCUACAAAUAUUAACCACUUUUUGCUACCGAAUGAACUGCAGCUCUUUUAAAAUAAGGAACAACUACAAUACUAAUUGCUUAUGCUUUCAUGUAUAUACACAUGUCAUGAAAUCUACGAGCGAUGAAAGAGCAAAAGAUUUUUUAACUGUACUACAUAAUACUCAAAUCCAAUGUAAACAAAAGAAGAUUGCCAAACAAGCAUAAAUUGUAAACUAACGGAGAUUUCCAAGCAGGCAUGAAUUCAAUGAUAAACACAGUCCACAAAAUCAUUUUUAAAAAAAACAAAACAGCUAUUCCAGCAAGUUUGGAGAAAGGUCGAAAAUGAACUAACCUUUUUUAAAAAGAAACCGAUAAAACUUGAUCUUGAUGAGAAGAGUUUGAGCCUGCAUGACAAAAAAAAUAAUUAACUUGGUAUGAAAGGCCGGAAUUAAUAAACGGACGAAGGAUGCAGAUGAGAACAAACACAUCAAGUCUAAGAAAGCAUGGUAAUUCUUUUUUUGAAAGCAAAAGCCAAAAUCAAAUGGGUAAAAUUACUUGUAUACGAAUCUCACCUCAAUUCCAAGGAAAUUCCAUAUCGGCGACCAAACAUAUCACAGAGAAACAGCUAUAUGUAGCAACAGAUUUAACACCAACCAAUCAUAGAAGGAAAGGAGAGAAACGGAAGAAGAUGGAAGGCUAUGCGUCUAGCAAAUGCGGAAGGAGGAGGAAAGCCAUAGGUGGAAAACGUGGGGGAGCUAAUACUUCAUCUGGUGGCUGUUUAAUAAUUAGAGCCAUUAAGAGGAAUAAAGUGGAAGAAGAAGCAAAUAAGCGGAAAUCAAACCUAAUCAGCCAAGGAAUUAAAGAAGCCCAACAUAAUAAGAGGAACAGAAACUGACAUGGGUGGCAAACAUGGAGAAAUUAAGAGACCGUUUAACAGAGGGAGGUGAAACUGGUGGAAGUUGAAUUAAAAACCUCUCAUAAUAGUCACCAAUAAUCAAAGGGGCUUCGGUGAAAUUUGCAAAGGGGCAAAUGAGAAAACGGUUUUGGGUGGCAGAGGAAGAGAAACAGGGGUCUGACCAUUUAAUGUUAGAUUUGAUUACUGAGGUCCCUUAUUCAGUGCCUAUUCAGUGCUGUGUAAUUAAGCUUAGCACCGGCCACUUCAGGAUUGGCAUACGAAGGAUUAUACUGGUGCAUUUUAUUUAGGAAUUAGUAUUCUACAUAUGGGCUCAUUUGGUAAUAUGAGCCCCUAAGCAAUUAAGAAAGGGACCCAUCAAAAUAAUAAGAGGAGAGCAGACUACAAUGGGUGAUAACGUUGCAAGCAUCAUGGAUAAAAUAGUCAUAUUAACACCAAUCAUUGCAUUAACAACUUGUACAAUAUCAGCUCAACAUCUCUACCUUGUCCAGUUGUCCACUCAAUUGACAACGAUAUCCAAAAAGGGCGGUUGAAACUUAAAGCUUUCUUGCACAACGAAGAUUUUCUUAUAUAUGUAUAGGAUAUUCAAGCAAAACAAACUUUCCAAAGAACCAUCCUAAUUAAUUAAAUUUAUGGAGAAACACUUUAUUGUUAAGCCAACCUAUGAAAGAACCCUCUAUGAUUACUGAUUGUUGUCAUUAGCAUUCUCCACCUUCGAUCGUCCCCUUCCCCUUCACCACAACCCCCUUUGUCCCCUUUUUCCUCCUCUCCCUUUCCCUCUCCUGCACCCCCUUCCCUUCCUAUGCAACCCCUUUCCUGCACCUCCUCACCUUCUUUCUAUGACUAAAUUUAUCAUAGGAGAGAGAGGAUAGGCUUUGAGGAAAGGGUGAUUUGGUCACAACCUCUUCUCUCUCUCUUUCACAACAAAUUAUGGUCAUUGGAAGGAGAAAGGAUGCGAAGAAAUGGCUGUGAAAGGAGAAAAGGGAGCGGGAUGCAAGAAAGGUGGUGAUGGAGAAGAGAAUGGUGGUGGCAAGAGGGGAGUGGUGGUGGAGGAAGAGAUGGGGGUAGUAUUUUAUUUUUAUUUAUUUAUUUAAUGUAUAGAAAUAAGGUGAGUUUAUUUAGGAGUUUUUAUUUAUUUAUUUUAUGUAUAGAAAUAAGAUGGGUUAUAUUUGAAAAUUUUUAUUUAUUUGUUUAUUGUACAGAAAUAAGGUGAGUUAUAUUUGAGAGUUUUUAUUUAUUUUAUGUAUAGAAAUAAGAUGAAUUGUAUUUAGGAGUUUUGGAUUGUUUUUGAGAAUAUUAUAAGUUCUAAGCGGUUUAAUAGGUAUAUCAGCUAAAAAUUUGAUUUAAAAAAUUAUUUUCCAGGUCAAGCACUUGCAAUAGAGGCACGUUUAUCUCAAACUCAUUAAUUUAAAUGAUUUUUUAUUGAUUUUUCACGUUAGUUCAAACCACGAAAUACUAAAUUGUAUGACUUGAAAUCAUAAGAGGCUUUUUCUAUAGGUUUGCUUAAUCAUAAGGGGCUUUCUGCAUUUUACCAUUUUAUUUAACUUUAUUUAACUUUAAGGAUAUGAUAGGUAUAUCAUCAGAAUUUUUAUUUGUUUCCAGUAAAUACUCACAAAAGAGGUGCGUGUAUCUCAAACGGAUUAAUUCAGAUGAUUUCUAUCAUUUUUUUAAAGUAGUUCAAACUACAAGGUAUUGGAAUGUAUGUUUUGAAAUUAUAGGGACUUUUUUGUAUUUUAUCCAAAAAAUUAAAAUGAUAUGUUUCAUCUCACAAAUUUUAGAAAAAAACUAUUUUUUUGUCCUUUACUUUUAAAAUGAAGCUAAUCAAUCCCUCACAGUUUUAAAACAAUGCAAAUCAAUGCCAAAAUGACAACCUGAUAUAGAUUUCAAGGGUAAAAUUGAAACAUCACUUUAGUGUUAACCAAAUCUAAGUAUAUCUGACAUAUACAUCAUAUUAAGUCAAUAGAAAAAGGAAAAAAAUUCAAAAUUACAGCAUAAGAAAAACCUUCUCUCUUAAAAAUUAAAAAUUUUGAGAAAGUGAUAUUAGGUUAACAUAAAAAAAAUUAAAAUUAUGACAUAAAAAACAAACCAUUCACUUUAAAAAGAAGAAAAUUUUAAAAAUUAUAACAUCAAAAACAAACCCUUCACUCUAAAAAGUUUUAAAAUUUUUGAAUUAUAAAAUUUUGAUUGUUUCUUUUUGUGUUGACUAAUGUCAUUGCCUCAAAAAAUUUUAACUUCUUUUAGGCAGAAAUGUUUGUUUUUUAUGUCAUAAUUUUUAUUUUUUCAUUUUAUAGUGACUUAAUGUCAUGUACGCAUUAUAUGUAGCUAGAUUUGGAAGAACUAAGAUGAUGUUCCAAUUUUAUAUCUAAAAUCUAUAUUAUAUUAUCAAUCUGGAACUAAUUUGUUUCAUUUUUAAAAUGUGAGGAACUAGCUUGUAGCAUUUUAAAAAUGAGAGAUAAAAAAUAUUUUUUGCCAAAAGUAAAAAAUGAAAUAGGUCAUUUUUUCAACAAAAAAUGCCAUACACAUUAAUUAUCUUUGCAUGUUAAUUAGUUCCAUCAUCAAUUAUGUGGCAAAUGUUAUGUCAAUAGGUGGGGUAUUAAUGAGGUCAGAUUCCCACUCUGCUCCAAAAAAGAGAAAGCAGAGGUAAAUGAUGGAAAAUUGACUUGAUAAGAGAGGAAUCUAGUACAUUUUUGUUCUUUUUCCACCUAUAAAGGUGCUUUUGUAAGUCUAGAUCCAGAAUUUCUUGAAAAGUUUUGUCUGAUCAGAUUAGUGGUAUUGGUGAUUUAGUUCCGCUCAGUUCCCCUCUUAACCCCUUUGAUCAUCCCCUAGGAGUAGGUCUAAAUUAUAAUAUAUCGUGUCUGAAAAAAAAAACCUAUAAAGGUGCCUUGGUUUCGGCUUGUGGAAAAUUGAUCGUUGCUUGUUCAUACCAGGACCAAGGCUUUACUGUAGCAUCCAAAACCGUGGACCUAUAAAAAUGUCUUGGUCAUGGCCUGCGAAAAUUGAUCAUUUUAUGUUCAUUCCAAGGGCCAAGACUUUGCUGUAGUAUCCAAAACCGUGGACCUGUAAAAGCGUCUUGGUUAUGGUUAUAAGUAGCAAAUAAAUUUAUUUAACUAAAUUUAUUCAUAUCUGUUCACGAAUAGACGAACUAAUAGUUUGAAAAAAAAAACGGAGUUAUUAUUGAACUAAACUAACCAAAUUUCAAUUAAAUUUUGUUAAAUGGAACCUACCAGGUUGCUAUACUACUUAUUGCAAUUUAAAAGUGCAAAUUCAAUAUAGAGAAAUCCCAAUUCAUCAACUAUAUAAUUAUUGCGCAUUCAUGAAUAUAGAUUUUGGGAAUGAAAAUUAAAAAAUUUUAAUAAUAUUAUAUAGGUAUAAAGCAAAACUUGUUUGUUAAUGAUCCACCCCAAAGCCAUCUUGAAUCUAUCAUGAUUCCACUUGAAUGUUUCUUAAAAAAAAAAAAAAAAAACUUGUUUUCAAAUCAUUGUAACUUAGUUUUGAAAAAAAAAAAAACUUGUAACUGUGAAUUAGUGCAUGAGAAAUUUAACUAUUAAACACUAGUUAUUUCAUUCUUCAUCCUUCGUAUACUUUGUUUGAUAUCCACCGUCCCAAUACUAGUAGCGGUAAUAUGUCACUACUACAAUCCUAAUAAUCAUUUCUUUCACGUCUCAGUCUCAGGGCGGGGUGCUUGCGCUAGCAUUCCUUGUCUCGUCUGCUUUACCUUUUUUAUCCCCCUUUUAUCUAAUGGGGAGAAGAAAAAUUAGAAAAGCUGAAAAGAAAUGUAAAAGAGAAGGCAUGUCUCCAGAAAACGUCAAACCUACAAUUGAAAGUGGACGAUAUUUGCGUCGCAUUCUUUCGGUAAUCUCAUCUCAGAUGCAAAAGUUUGCUGGGAUAGUUCUUGGAUUGUGCAGCAACUGGCUCUUUGUUUUUUUUGCUACUACAGGAUAUGAUACCAUGACAAUAAAGUAGACAAGUGGAUCUAGCUUCUUGAUCACUCCAAGCAUUUGAGAGGUUCUUGUUUUUUCUUUUUUUCUUUUUUUCAACAAAUGAUAACAGCUUUAUAGAUAUUAACACUUGAUAGUACAAGGAUUAAUUUGAGAGGUUCUUGUUGAAAGGAAAGAAAUUCAAAGGGCCCUGUUUGUUGUUCAGCUUCUAAUGUUCCUAAUUUUCACCAUGAAAAUUGUUAUUUGGUCUCUGCACAAAGUUGUUGGUAGAUGUCUGCGAUGUUACAAUGAGUACCAUUAAUUAGGUCUUAAAUAUCUUGAAAGAUUUUGCACUCCAAAAGGUAGUAUAAAUAAAGCUAAAGUACAAUGACAGGAUCGACGGGAUGAAAUAACCGAGGAGCAAAAUUCAAUAAUGUGUCCAGAUUAUGAAAUGGAAAAGAUGCGCUUGAUUACUGUAGCUUAUUUAGGUCAGUAGAAAAGGUGAACAUGAUGGAAAGAAAGGAUCUCAGGCAAAUAAUAAAAUGAAGGCAAGGAUAAAGAUGAAUUAUUCCACCGUCCCAAAACACGACAGCAGCAGCACCUUUAUCUUUUUUGGAGGGCUCCCAGACGUCCCUACCAUGUAAAUCGAACUGCUUUCUUAUUGACUGGAAGAGAAAAUGAACCACGUGAGAAUCGAGCCUCUCUUCUGAGAUCAGUUAAAAACAACAGAGAUUAGAAGUUUUGCAGCUGCACCUAACAGGCAAAAGCUUCUCCUCCUUUACUAGUUGUUCAAAGCAAAGCUCACUUUACCACGAUGGCUGACCCUGCUCUCUCUUUUGUUAUUGAGAGAACUGGCGAUCUGCUGAUUCAAAAAAUUGUUUUCCUGAAAGGCGUUCGACGACAAGUUGAGAGACUUCGAAAUGAUCUGGCCCGGAUGCGGUGUUUCCUGAAAGAUGCAGAUCAAAGGCAAGAUGAAGAGGAGAGGAUUCGCCACUGGGUUUCUGAAAUCCGAGAUGCUGCCUACGAUGCGGAGGAUAUCAUUGAGAUAUUUGCCAGCAAAGUUGAGCUCUUCACAAAGGACGAGGGAUUGGUCACCAAAUUGACAUAUUAUCCCUUGAAAAUUGUGAACUUCUACAAGAUAGGUAAAGAGAUUGAGUCCUUACAGAUGAGGAUCAAUGACAUAGCCGACAGCCGUGAAAAAUACGGUAUCAAAAAUCUUGGAGAGGGAACGAGUACACAUGGAGAAGAGCUUCAACGGCUCCGACGGUCCUCUCCAGUUACUGAGGACAAGGAUAUAGUGGGCUUCGUGGAGAUUACAAAAUCGCUGGUGGCAGAACUUUUGAAAGAGGACGAAAACCGCCGUGUGGUUUCAAUCGUUGGCAUGGGAGGUGCUGGUAAGACAACUCUAGCCAAAAAAGUUUAUAACCAUGCUGAUGUCAGGGCAAGAUUCAACUGCCGUGCUUGGGUAUGUGUCUCUUCAAGCUAUGAUCACAAAAAGAUACUAAGAUCAAUCAUAAAGCAAUUAAAUCCAAACGAUGACAAGCUAUCUGAAAUGUUGGAAAAGAUGGAAGUGGAAGAGGAAGUGUUGGAAGAAAGGCUCUAUAAAGAUCUCCAAGACAAAUGUUGUCUUGUAGUACUUGAUGAUGUAUGGAAGGAAGCAGCGUGGGAUUGUCUAUCCAGGAGGGCAUUUCCUGAUGUUGGCACAUCAAGUAGAUUGCUGCUUACAAGUCGCAAUCGGGAAGUUGCCGUACACGCAGAUGCUCUUAGCAACCCGUGUGAGUUGAAAACUUUGGGACAGGAAGACAGCUGGCAGUUGUUUCUCAAAAAGGCCUUAGGUCAUGGGGCUAAUGCUGGGUGUCCUCCGGAUUUGGAAGGAGUAGGCAGAGAGAUUGCAAGGAGAUGUGCCGGUCUGCCACUAGCCAUCACGGUUAUAGGUGGUCUGCUACUGGGCAAGAAAAAGUUGAAGAGUGAAUGGGAGAAAGUUCUCGACAACUUUAGAGCAUACCUAUCAAGCAGCCAGAGUGAAGCAGGGGCAAUUCUGGAAUUAAGUUAUGCAGACCUUCCUCCCAAUCUGAAACUUUGCUUUUUGUAUUUGGGUUUGUUUCCUGAGGACUCCUUCAUUUCUGUGCGCAAGUUGAUCCAUAUGUGGGUUGCAGAGGGAAUAAUGCAGAAAAGAGAAGCAAAAAUUUUGGAGGAAACUGCAGCAUAUGAUGAUGUGAAGCGACUUUGUAGCAGAAAUAUGGUCCAAGUGGCGGAAAUGACUGUUGAUGAGAGGAUUAAAAGCUGUAGAGUCCAUGAUGCACUGCGAGAGCUUGCAAUCAGAAAGGCAGAGGAUGAAAUUUUUUUUCAGAUCCAUGACACCAGAGAUGAUGAAAUAUCAGCCAAAUCCAGGUACCUUGCUGCUCAUAUUCUCCCUCUGGAUAAAAAUUAUUUUGGGUCUUCGGCCCCUCCUCUCCGGUCUCUGCUUUUUUUCAAUAUCCACGGUUACAGGGAAAACAUUAGUCUUAGCUUCAAAAGUUUCAAAAAGCUUAGGAUAUUAGACCUUGAGAAUGCUGAGAUGGGUUAUGAUUUGCCAAAAGAAAUUGGUAAAGUCAGGCUUCUAAGGUACCUCGGUUUAAGACGCACAUCUAUUGGAAGGCUCCCUCAUUCCUUCGAUUGCUUGCGAAACCUACAAACUCUUGACAUACGGAACAUUAACCGAGUGAUAGUUUCAAAUUUCAUUUGGAAGCUUGAAAGUUUACGGCAUUUAUAUGCGUAUAAAAUGGAAUGUGAUGUGCCUCUUAAAAUUGAAGGAUUGAGGAAUCUCCAGACUCUGUCACGCAUACACUUUGAUGACAUUAUGCACAAUAACAUGAUAACUUUGACAAGUCUUCAGAAACUGGGGAUUUGGGUGGAUGACAGAUCAGACAUAAACAAACUCUGCAUGCAUUUAUCUGAGGUUGGAAGCCUAAAGGCGCUACGUCUUUAUUUUGAUGGAGGAAGCGAGUGGCCAUCUCUAGGUGGACUUUCUAAGCUCCAGCAUGUAACAGCGCUUAAGCUGUUCGGGCUGGGUUUGAGAUCGCUACCUCCUGAUUUCCCUUCAAAUCUCUCUUGCUUGUCUUUGAGUUUCACACGUCUCCAGGAUGACCCAAUGCCAGCACUAGAGAAGUUGGGACAGCUGUCGUUCCUCAAAAUGGAAUUUUCAUAUUGGGGACCACAGCUAGUCAUUUCUACGCAUGGGUUUCACCAAUUGAAAUUCCUUGAGCUCAACUUCCAACAUGGUUUGAAGGAAAUAGAGGUGGAGAAAGGUGCACUGCCACAGCUCCAGUGCCUGAGAAUCAGGAAGUGCCUCUCAUUAGAGAAGUUGCCGGAAGGGCUGAAGUACAUGUCUACUCUUGAUAAGCUUGAGCUUGUAGACAUGCCAGAAGAUUUGAUCAGUAGGCUUGAUGUGAGAGAAGUUGCCGGAAGAGCUGAAGUACAUAUCUACUCUUGAUAAGCUUGGGCUUGUAGACAUGCCAGAAGAUUUGAUCAGUAGGCUUGAUGCGGACAUGAUAUCCAGUGUUCCUAACCUCAGAAUAUUUUGACUCUGGGAUUUCGCAGAAGGAAGGAGGUUCAUAUUUGUAAUUCUCGCGCAGAAUGGAAGUUAUGUAGUGUAUUUCAAGAUUUAUCAAAAUACUAGAGAAUUGUUUCCCACACAAUGCGUGGCAGUAUUAGACCUGUUGAAAAGGCCAUUGAUUGUGUAGAGAAUAUUUUCUCCUGAAUGAUAAUAUUUUCUACUGAAUUAUAAUUACAGUAGCGCGAUGCAAGGCACAUUAAAAGGCAUAAAUCAAUAUAUCAUGAUGCAUGCUCCACAGAGGGUCAUAGAAACCUAAACAACAAAGGAUAGCAAUAAAGAACAAUUACGCUCUGUCUUGUUUAAAAAUUGUAAAUCAACAUAACUAAGGCUUUUGCUAAUUUUUUACUACAUCUUGACAUCAUCUCUUUUCUAAGAUAUCACGGUGCAGAUUAUCCAAAUGUGAAUGUUGAAUAUCUUGCAAUUCUUCGAAACUGAUAUUAGUUGAACUUAGUGAAACGCUACCAAAAUCAGGCAACACAGCUCCGGGAGAAGGGAAGAGGAGAAACAAAGUACACCUGAUAUUUGAAGUUAACCAGAAGUUGUAGCGUCAAAGCCCAAAGUGCCCUCAGAGAUGUUCAUGCGAUACCCACUGAAGCAAACCAUUAUAGCAGCAGGGUAAUUAAAGCAAAGUUCAUGUCCAUGCGCAAAACCAGAGAAACAAAUAUAACAAAGAUAGCUGCAACAAAAUGAUUGAAGAGUGAGAUAUGUUAAAAGUCUCUAUCACUCCAGUUAGGAUCUGUCUAGUGAAUAAUCCCCUUUCAAAGAAUUAAGUUAUGGAACUUAGAAGUGCUUAUCUAUGACAGAAAUUAAUCAGUGCAUGACCAGCAUCAACUUCCUAAAACCAAAAUUGAAACAAAAACCAAAUUAUAUCAAACAAAUGAUGAUUGACUGCAGAUUCUACUUAUUGAUCCCCAAAACAUGUGAAAAAUUAAAACCAAGACGGUAGGAGCUGAGAAAGUAUUCUUUGACUGGUCUUUGGUCCUAACCACGACAGUCACUAACACGACAAUGCAGUUAACGGCAAAAUUAAUGUUUCAUAACAUAUAAUUGCUGCAUAAAAUUUCUGGGUUCCUCCUAGCUUAAUGAAAUUGAUGUUUCUAGGUCUAUCAAUGUAUUGUUUCCAAUGGAAUUCAUCCAACAAUAAAUCAACAUACCACAAGACUGGAACAAAAAAAAUUGAUUAAUUAAAAGAUAUAGAGAAGAUACACAAAAUGAUCAAUCAGGCUUAGAUCUGUAACAAGAGGAGGCAAAAUGGAGGGAGGCACCACCAUGGUUGCAAAUUCUCAGUUACAUAUGCGAAUGAGUUCCAUCUCAUCCCAGAAGCCAUCUGGGUUGCCAGCCAAGAUAUGGGUUUGAAUUUACCUCUAUGCAUUUCACCAUCAAUAACUCAAUAAAAGAUUUUCAUCGUUCCUGCCAGGAAAUAUACACAAACCUCAAUGCCUAAAAGCAAAAAUGCGAGAAUAAUUAUGAUUAUAGAGCAAAUACGAGAGUAAGAAAUUACAUGAAACAAUUUAAAAAGGCGAAAUUGAACUAAAUAUACCUCUCUUAGGUCUCUCUCUCUCUCUUAGUCAAAUGACACAAAUGUCCAGUUUACAUGCCAUGGCAGAUUGAGGUUUCUUAGCUGCUGAUAAGUAUGGCCACUAUAAAAACAAAUGCCAACCCAAAAGCUAAUUUACCAACAAAAUUCAAACUAAUAUAGAAAACAUUAGCAUCUAGAUGAAACGAGGUGAAUACGGCAAUCUUAGGGCAUGAGUUUCGGAGCUGACACAAUCUACAUACCAUAUUCAUGAAGAGGAGCAUCAUAAUCAUAGCUAGUGGCAAUAAAUUGUCCACCACCUAUCCUGCCCAAGUUUGUUCCUCCAUGAUAUUGCUAUAAAGACAAGAAACUAAGAAGACAAUCACAAUAGUAAUUUAGUAGGAAUUUGAGGAAAAAUAAUUUUUAAAGCACUAAACUUUACCAUGUAGUAAUAGUUAAUUAAAAAGCCCCAUUUUCAAUAAAUUCUGCAAGAGAAAAUGCCAAGUCUUUAGCCGGAUGGUAAGUUACUACACCUCUGAAUUCAAUAAACUUGGAAAAAAUGGAUAAAAAUAGAGUCACUUCCUGUCAUAAAACUCCAAGAACCACGUGUAACUCUCUAUAAAAAAAAAAAAAAAGAAGCAAUAACUGACCGUCUAGUUCAGGUUUCUAACCACAUCUUGGGUUUAUAAGCCUUAUUUGGGGAGAAAUAGUCACAGUAGAAGCCGUUGCAUGUAUUUGUCUGGGCAAAAGUAAAACAGACAUACUAUUAGGGUAUUUAUUAUCCUCUACUUCUUGAACAUACUAUAAGGACAUUUAUAAAAGUAUAAGCUACGUUGUACUGGUCUAAUACAACUUGAAAAAUCUUAUUUUAUGUAUAUUGUGCUAUUUAAAUAAAUGAUCCCCAUUAAUUCUGAAUUUCACAUUAUCUACACCUUAAAUGAAGCAUAAGCUCAACUCAAUGCUAAGCUUAUAGGAAAUGUCUACAAGGCAUAAGCUAUUCAACAAGAUGCUUUUCAAUGUACUAAUCCUAGUUCACCACCUUGUACAUCACAUAUUAAAUAAAAUACUAUGACUUACCAUCAUUUUGAUGAUAAACUAUUAAUAUUAGCCUAUUAUAAAACGUGACUUACUAUCAUUAUCUAGUGAUAAGUUACUAAUGCCAUUAAUACACCAGGUACCAAUGUUAAGUAAUACAUGUAAAGCAUCUAACGAUUUUCUUAUUAUUUCAAAAAGUUGUCCAUAGCCCACUAGUACGAUUGCUGGAAAAGUAGUAGUUCAGUCUUAAAAUCUUGCCUCUUGCACACUACUUUGUCCGUUAGGGAACAAUGAAUCAAAGAAAAGCUCUGGAGAUUCUUUUUUAUUUUUAGAAAAAAAUAUUUAUGCACUUUGUUCGCUCAUUUGAAAAUGGUUUGGCUUUAUUUUACUGAGUAUUCAUCAUGGUCCACUGAAUGAUUCAAUGGGAACUUAGAUCUACUUAAUCAUGCAUAGCUACACACAAAUUAACAGUGGCAUUUUGUGAAGGUUCCAACAACAUUCGCUAAAUAAUGGUAGUUCUUCACAGUAGUGUCAAAGAUUUAGGAAUCUUUCUUAUCUCAAGGAUGUAAGGAAGGAUGAUCAAGGUGUUUCGUUCUAUUGUUGGGAAUGUAUUGACUAAUUCUAAUGCUAUAUGUUAAACUAAUUAAUCCAUAGCUUGAAAAUCAGUUUGUUGUGUUUGACAAAUAUGUUGAAAUAAUUGUCUCAAAGGCUGAGAAAUAUGUGUAAUACAUUGAAGCAAAUAUGUUGAAUCGAUCUCAAUUUGCUUUUGACAAAAAUGUAAUUUUUGAGGACAAAAUAGAGCCAUGAAUAGAUGAACACCCCUGAGGUUGUGGUGAAAGUCUUUAAUGCUUAAAUUUCUAUGAAAAUUAGUCUAAAAUCCAAAAUGCAUUUCUAUUAGCCAUCAAUGGAGAGUUCGAAGACAGGCCCUUUGUUCCCCUCCAAAGAAAAACCAGCAUAAAAAUAGGAAGUUAGAUAUAAGGGACUCUUCCAGUUUAGCAUAAUUUAACGCAAAAUUAAUCAUAUGCAGUAUAGCCCUAUUAAAGUUUUUCUCUUCGUGGAUGUAGGCUUGGUGAUUAAGCCGAACCACGUUAAUUCUUGUGUGUUGUUCAUCGUCAUGCUAGAUAUUGUUUUCUAUUAAAUUGUUGGUCUUUUCCUUUUCAAAAUAAUUGGCCUGAUACCCUAACAAGUGGUAUCAGAGCUCCGUUGGGGUUUUGGUUAAUUAUUUGAAAUUGAGUGGGUGGUAGUAUACCAUGGGAUUUGGAACUAUACAGUUUCCAAUUCAACCGUUUAAUGGAACUACAAGUUUCACUCUUUGGCAAAGAAGAGUGAAGGAUAUUCUAGUUCAACAAGGUUUGGCAAAAGCGUUGAAUGGAAAGAACAAGAAACCAGAGAGCAUGAAUGAUGAUGAGUUUGAAGAGUUGGACGCAAGGUGUGCGAGCACGAUUCGGCUUUAUGUGGCGGACAACAUCAUAAAUAAUGUGAUAGAUGAGGAAGAUUCUGCAGCAGACCUCUGGAAAAAAUUGGAAAAGCUUUAUCUGGCUAAAAGCUUAUCCAAUAAGUUGCAUCUAAAGCGGCAACUUUAUGCACUAAAGAUGGAGGAGGGUGGCAGUCUCAUGGAUCACAUGAAUACGUUCAACGGAAUUUUGGAUCAACUCCAAAAGGUUGGCGUGGAUAUUGAGGAAGAAGAUAAGGCCCUUUUACUUCUUAUCUCAGUCUCUGAUUCUUACGAAAGUGUCGUGACAACUCUGUUGUAUGGAAAUGACACUUUAGAGUUCGAGAAUGUGCAGUCUUCUUUGUUGGAUCAUGAAAAACAAAGAAAGGCAAACCAAGAUGUGACACUAGAAGCUGCUUUAAUUGCUCGAGGUGAGAAUAAAAGAGGAAAAUAAUUUGGCGGUGAAUCUAAGGCAGGUGGUUCAAAGGCCAAGAGAAAGGGUGGAAUCUAGUGUUUUGGUUGUCAUGAGUUUGGCCAUAUCAAAAGAUAUUGCCCUCAUCGAAAGAAAAAUGAUGAAAAUGACUAUGAUAAUGUUGCUGGAUAUGCAUCAGGUGGAGAUAUUCUCACAAUCUCCAAAGGUAAUAAUACUUCUUCUCGUGAUGGUUGGAUUUUAGAUUCUGGAUAUGUUUCACAUAUUUGCUCCAGGUUAGAUUAUUUUGAUACUCUCUAAAGAAAGAAGGCAGGUUUUAUGUCCUUGGGUGAUGGAUCUACUUGUCAAGUCAAAGGUAUUGGAGUGGUGAAAAUCAAAAUGUUGAAUGGCGAGAUUCGUUCUUUGGGUGGUGUGGCUUAUAUUCCAAAGCUACGAAGGAAUCUAAUUUCUUUGAGCCAGUUAGACUCCGAGGGUUACCAUUUUUUCCGCGGCAGGUGGAGUCUUAAAAAUCACACAUGACGAGACGGUCUUGUUAAUGGGGAAGAAGUAUGGUAAUUUGUACCAUUUGAAUACCUCAAUGGAUUGGGAGCGGAAGGGGAUCCAAGAAUGCUCUCAAAUUACAAAUGGUGGUGAGAGGAAAAAACCUGCUAUAGGAGAGGGUGAAUUGAGGCCCCUCUCGCGAGUCAACUAGAUGUUGGACUCGGUUAGCUACACACGUUCAUUUGCCGAUUGAAUCAAUUGAAAACAAGACCGUAUUGAUUCAGGUGUGUAGCUAGGCACCAAGGGACUUGGUGGGAAAAAGCAAAUGGAGUUUUUUUUGGAUGGUUUGCUGUGUUUGCUAAAAGAAAUUUUCGCCAAGGUGGAGAUUUGUUAGGAAAUUGGCUUAAUUUCUUUUGGGUAGAAUUCUUAUUUGGUGUGGAAAGUAACUAGUUUCCUACUUAGAUUUUAGUUACUUGAAGUAGUAGUCAAGUAAAGUCCUAUUUGGUUUAGAAUUAGAUGUUGUUUCCUACUCUAUAUGAGUUUAAGAAUUAGUAUUGGUUUCUAAUUGUUAUUUGGUUUUUUGGUCAAGUAAUGUUCUCUAUAAAUAGGUAGAUUGGCAUACUACAAAAAUACAAGAAAGGAGUGAGAGAGUUCUUAGUGGGUGAGAGGGUUAUACAAGAGUUGGGGCUUGGGAAUCAAGUUGUAAUCUUGUGGUGUUUUUCUCAUAGUAAGAAUAAGUUUUUCUCUCCGUGGAUGUAGGCUUGGUGAUUAAGCCGAACCACGUUAAUUCUUGUGUGUUAUUCAUCGUUCAUGGUAGAUAUUGUUUUCUAUUAAAUUGUUGGUCUUUUCCUUUUCAAAUAAUUGGCCUGAUACUCUAACAGAAGUCCCAUCCAUUCAUUUCAUUUCUCUUCCUUCCUUAUUAAAACUCCCAAAGGAAUCAAAUGGUAAGACUUUCUCUCGGGAUACUUUCUUUCCUGUCCUUUUCUCUCAAUCCAAAUGAAGCCCAACUCUGCAUGCGUUUAUCUGAGGUUGGAGCCUAACGACGUUACAUCUUCAUUUUGAUGGAGCCAGAGGAAUACCAGGGCAGUUGCCAUCUCUAGCUGGACUUUCUAAGCUCCAUCAUGUAACAGAGCUUAAGCCAUCUAGGUUGUUGAGAAUGCAGCCUCCUGAUUUCCCUUCAAAUAUCUGUUGCUUGUCUUUGAAAUGGACAUUCCUCAGGGAUGACCCAAUGCCAAUACUAUAGAAGUUGGGACAGCUGUCGUACCUCAAAAUGAAAGAUGCCUACCGAGGACAAUAACUAACCAUUUCUAGGAUAUGGCUUUCACCACUUGAAAUUCCUUGACCUCAGAGACCUAGAUUAUUUGGAUAAAAUAAAUGUGGAAAAAGCUGCAUUGCCACAACUCCAGUACCUGCGAAUCAGGGAAUGCAGCUCAUUAAGCAAGUCGCCGGAGGAGCUGAAGCACAUGUCCACUCUUGAUAAGAUUGAGCUUGUGAACAUGCAUGCCUGAAAGUUUUGUUAGUAGGCUUGAUGCAUGUGCGAGACCAGCACAAGGGCUCCGCUGCCCCUUACCUCAGAAUAUUUAGGGGUCGAAGAGCGUGGCAUAGAUCGAGCAGAAAAAAUUUGCCGGAACGAAUUGAAACUCACGCACGAGUCAUAAGGGCAGCUGUUCUUUUCCAAGCGGCUGGUUAACCAUCAUGAUGGUAACAUUAGAAAGCAAGGUGAAGUUUGCCAUCUUCAUUGCUUGUACCGAUUUCUCUCUAUUUAUUCCUUCUGGUUGCCAUCUUGAGGUCGCCGGUCCCGUGGACUAUAAUAACUUCAUUGUGUAUUUCUGGUUUUAUAUUUCUUGCUUUUUCAUCUUCAUUGUGUAUUUCUGGUUUUAUAUUUCUUGCUUUUUCAUCUCCGGUGAGGAGGCUCCUUAUGGUGUAUGUGCUGCAGGCUGAUUUUCAAUGCAAUAAAUCAAUGAAAUCAUUUCCCUCUUUUAUCAAAAUAAAUAUAUAACUAAAAUAUUCUCCAUUCAAUGUACUUACUUUGCCACUAUUUUACUCUUUAUUUUGUCCAUUUUAUAUAAUUCGGACCCUACUUAAGUCCUCUUUUUGGGUGAAAUGUCACACUUCAAGACCUGCUUUUUCAAUCUUCCUCCUAUUAAACAAAGAAUGGCAGUUGUAUGGCUAAUUUUUUUUUUUUUUUGGGAAAAUUAACGGUGUCUAUACCUAUAUCAAUUUACAUUCAAUAUAUCAUGGUGAUACGCUGAUACUAGUCUUAAUAAUCCAUGAACACUUGUGUCUUCAAGGCCUAUAAGUCCUGACACUAAAUUGUCAGCAUAUGGAAAUGUUUAAUUUAACAAAAAAAUAGAACGAAACAAAGGCCACCAUCCAUCCUGUCUAAAAACUGAAAAAAGAAGAAAAGGAAUCCAUGUAGAAGAGAAUAAAGGAUUAACCGUAGCAAACAAAUCAAGGAAUUCAUCCCUUCUAAACUGUUGGAUUAUCUGGAACUGAGGGUUCAUUAUUUCCUAUACACUACUGAAAACAUAAAGAUGUAAAACAAAAGACAACAAACUCAAAUGUGCGAAAAGGAAAUGACAAACUGUCCAUCUACAUUGCUUGGAAAUAAAGAUUGAAGAGGAAAAAUUUUGUGUUUUUUAAAGAUGGUACUUUACUUUCUAGCUACUAACACAGCACUCACAGUUGACAGAUUUGUCUGUCUAAAAUUACAUCAUACCUUCUCCGUUCAAGGAAGAUUAACCCACAGCUAAAGUUUAGGGAUACAUCCAAUAAGAAAUCUUUUCCUCUUAGUUUUACUCCAAAAAGAAAAACUAGUGAUAGCAUCUUUGUGUAAAUCACUGUCAUAAUAUUUGUGUAAAAGUGAUUGAGCAUUUUAUGCAGUGGCCAUAACAUACAAAAUUAAUUGCUCAUACAGAAUUAUAUAAAAGAAAUAAAUCUCAAAUGGAGCCUCCCUAUUUUUGAGCUGCGUUUCUUCUACAAAACUUUUAAAUUAAGAAGCAGUUUUAAUACCUGUUUUUAAACCCGUGAAAAUGGAACUUUUAAAGUAAGUUGUGUACUUCAAACUUACCAUCUUGAAUUAUUGAUAUUUUAUUGGAUACUUAAAUCUUUCCUUUUUCUUGACAAGUUUUUGAAUUUUCUAAAAACUAGUUCAAGUAAAGCUAAAACUUCUUUCAGAAAAAUCGAAAAAAAAAAAAGAAGCUAAAACUUUUAAUUUAGACAGAUAAAUAAAGGUAAAGAGUUAACUAGGAAAGGGCAAAAAAAGGAGUGAGUUCAAUUUUCUGAAAAUGAAGGCAUGUUAUUAUUUAAAAGAGUUAAGGGGGCAAAACAAAAAGAAAUUUGUUACAAUAAGGCAAUAUAAAAGUAAGUUUUUUUUUUAUCAGAAACGAUAUAUUUGUAUAACUUACUCUAUACUAAUCUAGGGAGGAAGGGGAGCCUAAGGAGGCUGUAGUAGGAGCUAGUAGAUAUACAGAUCCAACUAGAUCAAGAAAAUGUUAUGACACAACCUUAAAUUUUUUUCGUUGCAAAUGAGAUUUGAACCCUCACCUACAGCGUGAGGAGGGACUUAAUGGUGACCACUGAGCCAUUGGCCUGGUUAAGUCAAAUCGUCAAAAGACGCAAAACCGCCCAGGUACAAUGGUUCUCCAAUGAAAACAAAACAAAGCAAAACAAGAACUCUGUCACUCAACUGGACCCCAUUCGAGCCAAAUUGAACAUCUUUGACUAAGCACGAGUAUUAAGAAGAAACAAAAUUGAAAGUGAUAAUUUUAGUAUUUAUUUAAAAAAAUAAAAGGUUUAUCAGCAAAAUUUCUGAAGUGACAUAGUAGUAAUUGCGGUUCGAAGUUUAGGUAUAAAAACUCUACAUUUGAAAUUCGUUUAUCGCAAAUCAUUUAUUGGACAUAUCCUUCAAAGAUGGAGCGCCCAUAUGCAGUCAGAUUUCUGCAUUCGUUGUAAAAAUUAAAAGUUUAGUGUUUUUGGGUUAUGUUAGCAUCUACAUUGGAUAUUCUCAUUUUGUCUUCAAUAUUACAUUCUAGAUUUGUAUGUCUACGUCAUAGUUAUAAAAUCGGCUCCAUUCAAUCAUUCAACCGGUUAAUUUGAUGAAUUGGUCACUUAAUCAAGUUGGGUUAACAGUUAGAUUGAAUAGAGAAUAUAUUCAUUAACCUGUCAAUGACUCGAUGAAUCAAUCAAUAAAAUUAAAAAUCAUUGGUUGAACCACUAAUUUAAAAAAUCAAAAUAAUAUAAUAUAGUUACUAGUCGGGCUAAUCAAUCCAGAAUUGGACGAACAACCUGUUGAAAUGAUCACCUCUUUGAGUUGAGGUUCGAGUUAAAUGUUACAACUAUGGUCUACAUUAUCUCAAAUGUUAUUCUCCCAAUUAUUGUGGCCAAUUAUUGUGGAUUAAAUUCUUGUAUACAUUUAUGAAGACUACCUAGGUUGACUAGAACUGUAGAUGAAUAUUCUUUAAACGUUUGUUCCUUCCUAAAAUAUAUCCCUCGUAGAUCCGCAUUCUUUUUUACAACCUUCCUCAACCGUGCCAAAAUUUUAAAUAUUAAUGUUCGAAAUUGGCUCAAUUUUUUAAAAUUUAAAGAAAGUACAUCACCAUAAUAAGUUAAUAACAAGAUGUGAAAUGUUUUAUUGUCGAGUGAGAUCUACAAAACAGUGUUCUAAAAUUUUCUUAUUUUACAAAAUCAUUUAGGAUUGAAACAAAUCCAGACUCAUCUUUCUAAAUACAGAUAUUUGAUUCAUAAGUACUAAAAUUUGUAUAAAGUAUGAAUUUAAGAUACUGCCUCUUCCAAAAAUUUAAGACACGGGAACACUACUGUUUCCAAUACCUAACGUACGUUCCACAACGCCAAACCAGGGCUCCCACCGUUAUCGCAGCAAUUGCACCUUGCAAUUGUUGAUCGAUAUGAAUUUAACUUUCGAUUGGAUAAAUAAGAUCAAUACUAGAACACAACUUUAAAUAAGUAACACAAUUUGCUUUGAUUUUACAUAUUAUUAUCUUAUUAUGGAUAUAAUCAAAAUAAGUUAUUUGACUCGAACUCACGAGUAGUUUGAUCAAAAAUAAAUUUUGAUUAACUAUAAAGCUAAGCUUGAGAACAUGAACACAAGCUCUCAAGUUCGCUUGCCAUGGCCGUCAGUUGAUCUCAAAAUUCAUGUUUCUUGCUCACUCGAAUUCAAGUUUGAGCUUAAUUAGCAAAGAAAAAUGUUUUUCAAACUUGAGUAUAUAUGCUCACGUUUACGAUCAGAGUCUCUACAUCUAUACGAUACUUAAAGAGAGAGUAACAUUUGUAUGAUGUAAAGUGUAAACCCACACCUUUUUGAAAUUCUUAAUCAAUCCUCAAUUAUAAGAACAAAUUGGUUUCAAUCCAUUCAUAUGAACACAACUUCUCACAAUCAACAUAUAGUUAUCUCGUUGAGAUCUAAUUACAACUUCCGCACACUAAUCCUUUCACGGCUCUACUUUUUUUUCUAUCAUGUUUUUAAAUACAAUAACUUUCCCUAAAGUAGUGACUAUAGAAAUUUUAUAUACAAACAGACAUGUCUAAAUCUAAUAUGGCAUGUAACUUGAUAUGACAAAAAUAAUAAUAAUAUAUUUUCUUGCAAUAAGAACACACCUUAGUGUGUGUUGUGCGCCAAAAGCACUGGUUAUAUCAAUUUGCAAUUGGCUCGAGUAUUCUGGCACGAGAAGCCGAUCCUGGCUUUUAUAGCGUUUCAGUAUAUACUCCUUUCUUUCAGGCAGUCCAACUCCCACCCAUUCCACUUAGUCCCCACUCACCAAACUGCCACCAACAACAAAGCCGCCUCCUCUCCCCUCCUUCCUCGGCGGAUACCCAACGUUCACCUCAUUUCCCCCACCAACCCAUAUCUGCCUGCCUAUUUUCCUCCUUCACUUCUUCUACUUCGAUUCCAUCCAAGAAACCUCCAAAAAUGCAGGGCACAGCGAUUUCAUUCUCCCCUUCAAUUUCCCUCCCAAUAAACCGAAUUCAAUUUCCACACACCACCACAGAUUCCUUCUAUCUCCUCGCACUGAACUUCCUCUCCAUUUCAACCCUCUGCUGAAAACGCCGGCGGUUUCGUCCCGCAAGCUAAUUACGCCGAUUAAAUGCUCUUCCUCGGUGAAUCCGAUAAGUUCCGGAUGGAUUUCUGGCCCGCCUCCGGAGCCCGAAUCUGAUGACAAUGUUAAGGUUCGGGCCACUUCUGUGCCGAGAGCGCCCCCGGAAAGCCCGAAGGAAAAGCUUUGGUUGAUACUUUAGUGCUGGGACUUCUUUUUGGACUUUGGUAUCUGUUUAAUAUCUACUUCAAUAUCUAUAAUAAACAGGUGGGUUUGUUUAUUUUUUCGUUUAUGACAUUUUAAUUUUUUUUUGAAGCAAAUUUACGUUUAUGGAAAAUGAUUCCAUUUUUGUUAGUUUACUUUGAUCUAUACUUUUGGAAUGCAUUGAAGUUACUUUGAAAUGCAUAGUUGCACAAGAUUUUAUUUUCUGGGCAGUUCUGUAUGAGGGUCUGAUUUAUUGAAGUUAAUUUGGGAAAACACUUAUCUUUUAAAUUCUUAAAUUUAGAAUCUGUAGCUGAAAUCAAAUACUGAUUCUAAGACUACUAACAAUGACUUUUAAACUACGGGGCUACAUCUGAUUUGAUUCUUGAAGGAAAGAUAAUGUAUGUUGUUUUUUUUAAUGAAAUUGGGCAAUGAUACUGGAAUAUAAUUUAAUUUUGAAUGAUCUACCAUCUGACAAUAAGAAUAUGUUAAUCCCGAUGUGAAAUUAAGUUUGUAGUUCUCAUAUUAAAUGAAUUUAUUAGGAUUUUUACUUCAGUUAGUAGCAUUUAUAUUACCUUUUUCGUUUAUACUAGUUGAUAAUUUUUCCCCCUAGCAGGGAUGGAUGGGAUUUAAGAAGCGGGGAUUUCUAAUUUUUGGGGCCUCAACCUCAAAGAGUGUAUGAUAAGUUAUAAGUAGCUUGUACGAAUGAUUGUUUUGUAGCGAGUGUACGAUGGCAUUGUGUUCUAUAUACGUGAUGAUUGCGCUCUCUCUCUUGUUAUUAAAUUGCUGGAAAAGAGAAUAUAUAGAUUGCAGAUUCUGAGGUUGCUGUUGUUUUUGUAGGUCCUGAAAGUUUAUCCGUACCCAGUAACUGUUACUGUGGUUCAAUUUGCAGUUGGGACGGUCUUUGUUAUUUUUAUGUGGCUGUUCAAUCUAUACAAGCGGCCCAAGAUCACUGCUGGACAGGUAGUAUGAUACUGGUGUGGGAUUUGAUUCCUUUUACUAUUCUAUGUUGUCAAUAUGUUGAUGUGGGUUCUGAUUUUGAUGUUGGCAGCUUGCUGCUAUCCUACCAUUGGCAGUGGUUCAUGUGUUGGGCAACCUUUUCACGAACAUGAGCCUUGGAAAAGUCGCGGUUUCUUUCACUCACACUAUCAAAGCUAUGGAACCGUUCUUCUCAGUUGCCCUCUCUGCCAUGUUCUUAGGAGAGGUUUGCUUUUUCUUACGGCCUUUUGUCAAUUUCCCAGUUUCUUCUGUGGUAUUGAUUUGGUUGAUUUCUGAAAUUGUUUUAGGAUGACUCUUUAACGAAAUUUCUUUUGGCCAGCCUUAGAAUGAUAAAUUCUUUGAACACCUCAUUCCGGUGGUCUUUAUGUUUUAAAUACUGUUGGAGACUUUCAAUCAAUCUUUUCUGGAGUUUGAAUAGAUGUUUUCUGAACUACGGAAUAACUGUUCUAUUGAACCAUGAAUUUGGGACUCGUUCCACUUUAGUUACUUUUGCUAACUUACUUUUCCUGUUCAUGCAGAUGCCUACCAUAUGGGUAGUCUCAUCUCUUCUGCCAAUUAUGGGUGGAGUAGCACUGGCAUCUAUGACUGAGGCAUCCUUCAAUUGGUAAGAACUGUUGGUGCAUAUGCUCUAUUUAUGUCAUUUUGUUCUACAUCCUUCUUGUAUAAGUGCUGCUCUUUUAAGUUAUCUAAUCCAUAAUUCUUGUUUCACUUGCUAAAAGGGCUGGUUUUUGGAGUGCAAUGGCGUCAAAUUUGACUAAUCAAUCUCGAAAUGUCCUUAGCAAGAAAUUUAUGCUUAAGAAGGAGGUAUGAUUUUACUCUAGGUCCUUUAUGUUCAUAACUGGACGUAUUGUCAAGUCUGUAUUAAUUGGAAAAUCUGGUGCUUUCUCUUUGUUUCCCUGCAUUCUUUUAGUGUUUAUUACAGAAUUUCCUUUGUACUACUACUUAUAUCAUGAUGUGGUGACUUGUGCUUUCAUUUUCUUUUCCUGCCUUAAGUUUCCUAACAAAAGGUGGUUAACAGAGCUUGAAUUUCCUGUUGUUUGUGUGCAAAUUUUUGUUAAAUUAGAGAAUAACCAACAGCAUCUUCUUGUGCAGGAAUCAUUGGAUAAUAUCACCCUCUUUUCUAUAAUUACUAUCAUGUCUUUUUUCUUGUUGGCUCCGUUUGCUAUUUUCGCGGAAGGAAUCAAAUUCACUCCUGCUUUCCUGCAAUCUGCGGUGAGUAAUCCCCCCCCCCCUUCCUGGAAAUGCUUGGUGAUUGCUUUUUCUUCACCUUACAGAUAUUUUCCUCUGUUACAAUCAAUUGCAUUUCCUCCAUGCUGACAAGAAGAUUUGUUUGCUUGGCAGGAAUUGAAUGUCAGGCAGGUUUACACUAGGUCUCUCAUAGCUGCUCUGUGCUUCCAUGCAUAUCAACAGGUAUAAAUUGUCUUCUAUGUACAUUUUAAACCAGUAGGUCUCAUGUUAAUAAGCUUUCUGCACAUGAAUUGCAAUGAUACUACUGUUUUAGUCUAUUGGACCUAAAGAACCAAAUGCAGAAUUUUUAUAUACAUUGAAGGGAGUAAUGAGUUCAAAAAUGGCUAAUCUUAUGUCUCGCUGCUUGGUCCAUCUCCCCGCUUUUUAUUUAUUUUAUUAUUUUUUUGGGGGAAUCUUUAGCAGCACUCAAUUUGCUUUCCCCAAGUGAUUUUGCAUCUGCGCUGAUUGGUAUGUAUUGUUCAUCAUUCAUGAGAAAGAUAAAUAUUCUUUGGAUUGACUCUGGGAUCAAGAUCAAUCUGUUUAUUCUCAUUUAUUCUGUUUGCGGGUGCCAUUGAUUUAUUGAACUGGCAGAUUAACUUCAAAGAAAAUUAAUUGAACUGCAAACUAGACGUCUCUUAUUGUUCCCAUACCCAAGCGAAGACAAGAUCGUAAUAGACAUACUAGGAGAAUCCUUUGUGUCCAAGGCAUCAUUUCAUCAUUUCUUAGUUUUGGUUGUACUUCCUAAUUUUGGGUCAAAUAGCAGUCUUGGAACAUUUAUAAUUUGUUUUAGUCAUGAGUGAUCUGGAUGAUGUUCUAUAAGUCAGUUAAUAAUGUUAUCUCUGGGUACCGAGCAAAAGCAGAAAUUGGUGUUUACCUGCCCCUUGUUUUCCUACAUGUGGUCAGAUGUGCCAUAUUUCAUGUGUAACAUAAGCUUCUGUCUUUUCCUGGACUGUAAGUCCACUGAAACAUGGGAGAAGGCUUUUGACCAGAAAGGCCUUUAUUGAAACAGAAGCAUUUAUUUCUAAUACUGUGUAGGAUUUCUAGCCACAAUAUUUGGAAAUGUUGAACCAUGAUUGAACAUUUUCGCUAGUAGUGGAGUUGGGGAACCUUGGUUACUCUGAUGUUGAUCUUUUUACCUUGAGAUUUUGAGAUUCACUUUAUGUACUGCAGAUGUUUCUAAUUAGUGUGUUUUGGAAUCAUACUCUACUGGUGUUAACUUUGCCUCAUGCUAACACUUGUGAAGAAAAUAUUGCAAAAUCUCCAUAAUUGCUUGAAACUUUUCAUAGUAUCAUACAAUAACAAUAACAAUAACCUUCUCCAUUUGUAUUUUAUUUGUUGAAUUGCAUUUGUUUUAGAUGGACAAACAGUUAAAAAGGUUACACUAAAGAUAAAUACUUGAUUGAAAAGCAUGUCUAGAGAAUUUUAUAAAGUUCUUCAAAAUUUUGUCUGCCAUGCAACCACAAGAGAGUGUAGGAAUGAAGUUUGUCAAUCCACCCUUCACACUUUGCUUGGUUUACCUGUGUCUAAGUUUGUAGUGUUCCUAUGAUGUUUGAUGUAGUUUUGUAAGAAUAUAUCGCAACACUAACCAGUGAAAUAGUUAAAUUGUGAGAUGAAGUGACUAUCAGGAAUGGUAUAUGACAAAAUGGUUAACUUCUGCUGGUCCCUUGUUUCUUACCUGGCCUUUUGGAUUGACUAAAUUAUAUUUGUUUUUUGUAGAAUGCACCGAUGUGCUGCCAAUGUUCAUGCUUGUGAAAUUGAAUGGACUUUUUUGCAAAGUUUGUAUUGCUAGUGCCUUCUGAUUAGUGACCGAAAUACUCAAGCUCCUGGACUAACAUGCUUUUCUGUGGCUAUAAGUGGUAAGCUGAACUAGACAAAAGCUGUUGCUGGGAAGCAUGAAUGUGUAUUAAAAUCCUGUGACUGCAUAUUAGUUAUUCUGUAUCAUUUAUGAACUCUAAUUAAGCAUUGGGACUAUGCUGCAAUUAAAGAAACAUAGCAAAGAGGGAACCAAAUAGCAAGGGAAGAGACAUCCAGAAGCAAUUUGAGAGGAAUUGAAAUCUAAUCCAAGUUUCACUGGGCCUAGACAUGUACAUGCUGAGAGAGGGGAAGAAAGAGCAUGUGCAGCCUGAGUGUUGCCAGGUGUAGAAUAAGAUGCUCAUCAUUUAUCUGAAAAAGCUGUGGUAUAUAUAGCUCAGACUGAAAUCUUAAAAAAACUUAAAAGUUGGACAUCUGAGAUUUCUGGUGAUAUUCUUUUUCUGAGGACAUGAAAUAUUUUCUCCAUUCGUAUUAUGGUUACAUUGAUUUUAUCAACUGGCGAAAAAGUUCAUUUUAUUGAUGCUUAGAAGAGUUUAUUCUGCAGGUUUCUUACAUGAUAUUGCAGCGCGUAUCUCCUGUAACUCAUUCUGUGGGCAACUGUGUGAAGCGGGUUGUGGUGAUUGUCUCAUCUGUUCUAUUCUUUAGAACACCUGUUUCACCUAUUAAUUCUUUGGGUAUGGUUACCUACUCUUUUAAGUCCAGUAGCAGUGAACAUCUUUCACUUCUCUGAGUAUCUCCUUGCACAGAAACAGUCACACACACACACACACAAUAUCUCUCUCUCUCUCUCUCUGUGACGUCCCUUUGUGUGCUAGCGCGUAGUCAAAACAGAUAAUAAUUUCAAUCUUUGGUUUGACUGGCCAUUAUUUUAUUUUACCAAGUCUUUCAUCUUGAUUUUGCAGGCACUGGGAUUGCUCUUGCUGGAGUAUUCCUGUAUUCAAGAGCGAAGCGCAUUAAGCCCAAGCCAAAAACAGCUUAAGCUGUGCACUUUAAAGAGUUUUGUCGGUAAACGUUAUCUUUAGAUGAGAAAGCAAUAGCACAAAUUGGUCAGAUGUCUAGGCAGGAACUUUAUCCGAUUUUGCAGCUUUUUCAUUACGUUAAUUUUCUUCCUGGUACUCGUGUAUUCUUUUGCUGGAAAACUAAAUACAUCCCGGCUGCAAAUGCACUAUUCUGAUUUCACCAUAGUUUGUUGUGUUUUGCGCUAAAUGUAGUUGGUAAUAUUAUAAAUGUAGGAAGUGUUCUUCUCAACAUUCUGGUGAAUAUGACUCCGAAACCAUUUUGGGCUUUUCCUCAUGAAUGAGAAAAUAUGGCUGCUAUGAUUCCAUUUACUUUUUGAGUUAAAAGAAGAGAAAAGAAGAGGGAAACUGAGGUUAAAGAACAAAAGAAGAUUCCAUUCACUCUUUGAGUUAAUCUUAUUUAUAUUGAUCAUGUAUGCACUAUUAGAAUUAGAUGCAUGAUAUAUAUAUAAAUUUUUUAUUUCAAAUUCAGAUUAGUUGUUAUGCAUGGGUAUAUAUUGUCAGUUUGGGUGAAAGAUGAAAACUUAAAAAAAAAAGAGAAAAAAAAGUAGAGAGUCAAGAAUGCAGGCCAAAAAAAAAAAAGAUAUUGUUGGAUUGUCAUUUUUAAUACACUAAAUAAGAAAAGUAUAGACAGCUAAGACCAAAACUGUUUUUCAUUUUAUCAUAGACUCUUAGAUGCUUCGAAUAAUUUUGAAUUAAAGUAUGAACGUCUCUUAAAUUCCAAUUAGUUAAUAUCCUCACUAUUGUACUUUUUUAUCUUCGUCAACGAAAAAAUAAGAUAAAAGUUUAAGACCCAUCAAUUGUUGAAUAUAAUGGCAUCACAUUUAUUGAAUUUAUAUUGAUGUCGCAAGGUUUUAAAAAAGUAGUCAUGGCAAAUGGGUGGGAUGGUUGGACUAGAGUUGUCAAACGGGCAUUGUGGGCUAGAAUUUCAAGUUUGGCAACCUCAAGUUUCAUAAGAGGUUUUGGGUCAAGAGCUCUCACUUACCAAAAAAAAAAAAAAUUUGGAUUUGAUAGGAGGGAUGAGUUGAGUGGCUCAGGAAAGGAAGUAUAAGUGAAAAGUUUCGAUUUCAAAAUCUCUCAUUUAUGCUUGGUCAGAAAAAAAAAAGAAAAAAAAAUGGGGGGGGGGGGGGGGGGGAGGGAGCUUCAAGCUCAUAAUGUGUGGCCCACAUUUGUCUAAUAAAGAUACUUGCCCAUGAAUAGAUAGAUAUGGAUAUUUUAAGUUUUUGUAUACGAGUAUAAAUGGGUUACACAAUAAUACCCAUUUAAUAAAUAGCUAUUAUUGAUUAAUCUAUUAAAUCCAAUUAACUCAUUUAGAAUUGUCUUCCCCCAAACAUCCUCUCUUUGCCCCACCCAUUUUUUUUAAAAUUUUUCAUUUUGUCAUGAUGUUAACUACUUUUGUUUCAUUAUUAUUAUUAUUAUUUGUUGGUUUUAUCUUAUCAUUUUAAUUUUUCUUAGUUUGUUAACUUGCUCACUUUUAGCUUUACCAAUUUAUAACAAGUUUUAGCCUCUUUUCCUACCUUUUCUAAAUGAAAUUUUAAAUUUACACACUAAAAAAAUGCUAGAGGUUCAAAAUUUUUGAAUUAAGUUUUUAUGUUAACUUUUAUAGUACUUAGUUCAAAUUUUUAUAUUCUUAUUGUUUAAUUAUUAAAUAGUAUGUAAUUUUGCGACAUAGAGUACGAAUGGCAAAAAAAUUGAUAAUUAGGCUUAUUGAACAUUAUAAGUAAAUAUUUAAAACUAACAAUGUGUGCAAAGGGUGGUAUAAAUUCAUAACUUAGUUUGCAAAAAUGAAUUUAAAUGAGUUUACAAAAAAUUAAAAUAAAUGGGUUAUAAAUGGGUAAUUGGAUUACUCAAUUCAUUUUUUGAUUUAUCCAUUUAUUCCCAUUUAGUUAAAUGGGUAUAAAUAAGUUGACUUACUUAUACUCAUUACCUAUUUUAAUCAAUCCAAACCCGUCCAAAUCACCCAUUUUGGCACCUCUACUUAUAAGUUAUAUAUGAUGCUUAUAUAUAAAUUAUAAAUUAUAUACAUUAUAAUACAUAUAAUAUUUAAUGCAUAUAAAACUGUUUGGUCCGAGAUUUAAUCAGGUCAAACCUAAUAAAACACAACUCACUUCAAAAUUUAGUUAGGCCUAAAUAGAUGCCGACUCACUAAUAUAAAAGGUUUGGACCUAAACUUCUCAGGGUGAUCGGGCCAACCUCGGCUCCAUUGAUAGUCCUGGGUGGGACUCGAAUGAUAUUAGAAGAUAUGAGCUUAUGCACAAGCAAAUUAUGGCAUGAAAAGGUUACAAGAAAUUUCGAGUCCCAUGUUGAUCAUUCUGGAUUUGCCUUUGCAAAGAAUUUAAGGCUUUAUUUGGAUUGAGAAAUUUGGCGAAAGAUUUGAUUUUGAAAUUCAAUCAAAUCGCUUUAGGAAUUUGAUUUGCUUAAAAGUUAUUUGAAUUUAUAAUUUACUAAUUAUCUAAAUACAAUUUAAAUACUAGAAUAAUUGAUGAUUCACAAAUCUAAAUGCCUCCUAAAUAAUCUAAACAACUAAAGGAGUUUCAAAGAAUUUCAAAUCUUUCAUCAAAUCUCUCGAUCCAAACGUAACCUUAAAGUAAUUGAAACUUUUAUAGUUUAAACCAAGUAUCAUUGAUCUAAGCAAUAUAUUACCAAUAGCUUUUUUUUUUUUUCAUGUAACCAGUCAUAUGACCAAAUAAUCCUUUUAAAAACUUAAAAUACCUAAAAAAUUUAAAUUUCAUGUAAGUGGAAUGAAAAUAUGAAAUACAUAAACUACAAGUCUACAAGUGUAAUAGUUUUGAAGUGGUUAUUUCUGAGAUCUUAAACGUAUAAUGUAUUACAUGAAAUUAUUCUCCUUUGCAGCUUGAUUUUAAGUGUAAUUUUUUCCUCGUUUUCUAGUUGAUACCAAACAAAUAUAGGUUAAAAAGAGAAACUCAUUUCAAAGUCUAGAUAAAUUUAUGAGGGUGGAAAUCUAGUAACAAGAGAACAUAUACAUCUUUCAAUUCUAAUUCAUCAAAAUUAAGGAAGAAAGACAGAUUGCAUAUGUUUACAUAUUUUUAGUGGAGAUUAAUUAACUAAGAAAUAAAUUAAGCAACACACCUUGACAUCUGGCUCAAAUGAUCGUUGCAUCUUUCACUACACUGCUCUUAAACUCUCCUUUCAGCAUCUUAAUUAGCAAUCUGAAACAAUUUUUCCACCCCAAAUUUCUCUACAAAAAUAGAAUAGUCUCCUGCUUAUGCAUAUAUAGAAUGACUUUAAAAUUAAGCAUAUAUAUUUCAGAAGUCAAGAGAAACAUUUUUAGCAAACCUAAUUGAUAAUAUAAUAACUAUCAAAAUCUCAUCAAAUUUUUGGAUGUUUACCUAUCUCCUCAAGCGUCACUGCUCCUUCGCUGAUUUAGAUACGUUUUGACCUCCCCGUUUUUCCAUCAAAGAAGAGAGGUAUUAUUGGAAAUUACGAAAAGUUGUCAUUUUGGACAAGAAAUUUAGGAGAUUCAAGGGGAUAAGGUUACAGUCAGAUGAAUUUGCAACCACUACUGGAGUUUCAUUACUAGUAUAGCUCAACAAGCUGCCUGUUAUCAUUUUCUUCGAAUGGCUUGAACUCUAAAAAAUCCAUAAUCGAUCAUGGAAGAUCCAUUAAAGAAGGAAUCAAGAGGCAUAUUUAGUAGAUUGGAUUCAUACAUUAGGGUUGAAAGAUGAUCCGGUAAUAGUAAGUCAUCAAGGUGCUCAAAAUCUCGGAGAUUCAAAAUCCUUUUUCAAUUUGAGGUUCCAAGGAAUUGGUUGGCAAGGUAACUUGUUGAUUGCUAGCUGGUUGAUUGCUACAUUUUCUGUUCAACUCCACGACAAAGAAAAGAAGAUAACCAAAGAUAACCAAAUUCUGUAGUGUUUACUUCAUUCCCAACCGCCUUGCCUAAAUAGGUAAAAACCAGGUGGUACAUAUGUUAUUUAUUGCAUUUUGAGUCUAUUUGAGCUGUGCCUAACAGAAACACCUCUUCCUUGCAUUUAUUACGAUACCUUUUCCAGGAAUAUUGGAAUUGGAAUACUCUUAUUGAUAGAAAGAAACCCAGCUUUGAUUUUCACCAAAAAGAAAUAAAAAACUAUUCUUCUUGUUAUAUAAUUCUCAUGUAUGUGAAUAUGAAUCCAUUUUCUUCAAGAUUUUGAGAAAAUCUUGAAUACAAGGUUUUGUUUAAUUGUAGUUAAAGGCUUAUUUCAAGUGUCUUGACUGACUAAUUAAACUUAUCUAUGUUUCAACAUAAUUAUGCACAAAACCUGCACAAUCAAAGCACCAAGAAACAAAAAGUGAAAGCAACUAAAAUUUUUGGUACUAGCAAGUGUCAUUUUCUCAACAUUUCAAUGUUUUUGCAAUUUAUGCUAAUGUUUUUCCCUGUAGCAUGGGCCUUGAUUAAGAUCAUGCCUUCCUCCUCAGUGUGUGCAUCCUUCCAUACAGGACAAUGAAUAAGUAAAGGAAUUAGCAAGUGUAUUAAAUAACCUAAUUAUCAAAGUUGUUUCAUCUUUUGGCCUUUGAUUUCUACUAUAGGAAAUGAUAGAGCAAAAAGGGAAAAAUUUGUAGACUGGAGUAUUAAAAGUAUUAUUAGCAUAUUCUUAAUUUUAUAUGAAUUUCAAGAAAAAAAUCAUAUAAAAGAAUUUGAAAUUUCAGCAUCUUAACAAUUUGAGACAAUUUUCCCACCCCAAACUUCUUUACCAGAUGGAUUAGUAGCCUACUUAUGCAUAACCAUGAGGAUGAAAUCAAAAGUAAUGCAUAAAUAAUUGCAUAAAGAAAUAGAAACUUGUUUUACCAAACCUAGAUAAUAAAAUAAAAACUAUCAAAUAUUUUGGAAUAUCCAUCUUUUUUAAUGGUCAAUUGCUCCUUUAUUGAUUUAGAUAUUUUUUGAUCCCACUAGGCUUUUUUUUUUUUUUUUUAACAAUAAGACGAGAUGUUUGAUAGGGUGUUAAUUGUUAAUAAUUUUAUUGUUAAUUUCCCCCUUUGUCUUUGCCAAAUAUAGUUUUAAUUAUUAAUAUCUACUUAUAUUUGGUAUUUGAAUCAAUUUCAGGGAAUGGAACAAAAAAACACAAAAUAGAGGGACUUUCUGGAGAAAAUGAGACUUCUAAGGGCUUCACAAACCGGGCCCACAUGUGCUGAGAAGGAGACGGAUUUUUUUUUGCUUCUGGCUGAUUAAUACUUAAUAGCGGCUGACUAGGAGUCCUACUAGUGAUAGGAAACAAAAUAAGACGGAAGGCCUGGGUUGGUGCAGGAAAUUUUCUUUUUUUUUUCUUUUGGUUAUGCUUGUUCCUAAUUCAUGGGGACCACUGGAGAUAGCAUUAGUCAUCUUUCUUUUGGCCUUGAAAAGGUAUAAUCGCACAGAAGGCUAGGACGGCUCUUGAGCUUAGUCUUUAGCAUAGUUUUUAGUUUUCUUUCUUUUUCUUUGUCAGGCACGCUUACUGUUCGACAAUAUUUCCCAACAGGAAGAAUAUCUUUUACUUCUAGCUUUCUAAUGAAAAACGUGAUGUCUUUGCAAUCAAUUAAUUUGUGUGAAGAUUUAUUUAUACGGCGUGGCUAAGCCUGCUAUCUAGUCAAGGACAACUCGACGGCGCAGUCCGAAAAUUUGUGAGAUCUAAUUAGUUUUCAUGCGUUUCUCAAUUUGUUAAUAUUUGCACAUUGUCUACUUGAAUUUUCAUGGAUUAUUUUAUUAAUUGGAUGUCAAGGGCCCAAUGUUCAAUGUGAUUUAUUAAUCUCUUGCCAAAUUAGUCAAUUAAAUCCGUAAUUGUUUGAUUGAUUAGUAUUAGUGGCAACUGCGUGUUUACACACUAGGGAACGUGCAAUCUAAUUUAAAUAACCCUCGUAGCGUGUUAUUGAUUGGGGUUAGUUUUUUUAAUUAUUAAUGCAAUUGAAAAAUUAAUUCCUACGGUCGUACCUAGGAAUAUUUUCUGGUUAGGGGUAAUCAAUGGUCGUACUUUGGUUAUUAAUAAAUUAAGAAAAAUUGGUCGUUAGAGUUCGUCGGCUACUAUAACUAGUCUAUUAAUAAAUUAAGUGAACUUUCUUGUAUCAAUGAUCGGAUAAAUGGACUGUGUCUGAGUAGUUGUAUCCUUGGUUAGAAUUUAUCUAUUUUUGAUUUAAUUCUGCUAUAUUCGUGCUAGUUAAUUACUUAUUUUUAGUUGAAUUGCUUAAUUGUUUUUAGUUUCAGUCCGAUAAAAUCCCCUUUUACCAAUUGAAAUUUCAAAGACAAAUAUUUUCAGUCCCUGGGGAGACAAUCCUGCUUGUCACUGUCUAAUUUUUAGUAAUUUUGUCAAUUAAUUAAUUCUGGUAUAUCGGAUUAAGCAAACUCUUCGGGAACAAAGUGAAUCAAGUAACCCAUUGUACACCUAGAGUCCCUGUUCCAGUACCUAGGGUUAAUUAUUGACUGCUUUUAGUGGUAGUUAGGUUCUAUUUUUAUUAUUAUACAGGCUCGACACUGUCAAUUUUUGGCGCUGUUGCCGGGGGCUGGCGUUAAUUAUUUGCUUCUUUUUAAGUUCAUUUGUGUUCUAAUUUUUUGGUACUUUUCUAGUGCAUGCCUUGUUCUUCUCGUACAGGCGAAUUAAUUUUCGACCCUGAAGUAGAGAAGAUUGCCGCGUAGAACAAGAAAAGAGACCAGACAGCUCAGAAGGAGCACUCCAGUGCUGCAUCUCAGAGACCUGAGCCAGAAGUUGAACCAGCAGAUUCGUUUGGUGACACUUCGAGUGACUCGGAUCAAGAGGAAGUCACCAUGGCAAAUGCACAAAUACACUAAGGGAGUGGCUGCGCCUAAUUUAAAUCAGUAACCUUUGCAUUACUUUUCCAAGUUUAAAUGAUAACAUCUUUUGAGUUAAAAUUGACCUAAUUCAUCUCUUACCAUCUUUCUAUGGUUUACCAGGUGAGGAGCCGUAUAAACACUUGUAAGAGUUUGAUAUAGUUUGCAAUAGCAUGAAACCCCCGGAAUCACAGAAGAGCAGAUAAAAAUGAGGUCUUCCUCUCUUUGAAGGACUCUACGAAAGACUAGCUGUACUACCUAUCACCAGGUAGUAUUGUUACGUGGGACCAAUUGAAAAGAAAUUUUAGACAAAUAUUUUCCUGCGUCUCGAGCUGCAAGUCUAAGGAAGGAGAUCUGCGGUAUCAAACAACACCCAGGCGAGUUCUCUCUGAGUACUGGGAGAGGUUUAAGAAGUUGUGCAUCAAAUGCCCUCAACAUCAGAUAAGUGAGUAACUGCUCAUCCAAUAUUUCUAUGAGGGGCUACUCUUAGGGACAAGAGUAUAAUCGAUACUGCAAGUGGAGGGGCGUUAGUGAACAAAACUCCUCGGGCAGCAUGGGAGUUGAUUGAGGCGAUGGCUGAAAAUUUACAGCAGUUUGGUUCAAGAAGGAUGUCCCGACCUGUAGGGUGAAUGAGAUAGAAACAUCCUCCAUCCAACAAUUAGUUGUGGGAAGUGCUUCACAAGCCAAUGUGUGUGGGGUAUGUGCUGCCUUGGGUCAUUCUACAGAGAUGUGUCCACUAGUUCAAGAAGAAAAUGCAGAAUAAGUGAAUGUGCCAGUCACGCGCCCGCGCCAAGAAAGCAGUACGACCCUUACUCAAGUACCUCUAAUUCUGGUUGGAGAGAUCAUCCCAAACUCAGCUAUGGAGGGAACAGACAGUCCAAUUUCGUACCAAAUAGGCAACAAGGGUACCGACAGCAGUACCAACCUCACCCACCACCACCCCCUUCGAACUCAAGUCCGUCUAUGGAAGAGAUGAUAAAGCAACUACUCACAAAUCAAAAAAGACGGAUUCAGACUUGCAAAGCAUAAGGAAUUAAUUGGGACAAGUGCAAUCAUUGCAAACUCAAGUAAAUCAAAUGGUCAUCACGAUCAACGUUUGGAGUCCCAAAUUCAAGGGAAGUUGCCAUCUCAGCCUGAGUUGAAUCCAAAAAAUGUGAGUGCAAUGACCUUGAGAAGUGGCAAGGAAGUCAAAUGACUCGAACCGGUGAUUCCUAAGGACAAGGACAAGAAACGAAUCGAGAAAAAAUUGGAAGAGGAGGGCCGAGACAACGAGGAUUAAAAAGUACUCCCGGAUCUGAUUACUAGAGUUAAGACUAAUCCACCUCCCUUUCCUAGCAGGUUAGAGAAAUCAAAGAAGCAGAACAAGGAGAAAGAGUCCUGGAGAUCUUUCGUAAGGUGAAAAUCAACAUUCCCCUAUGGAUGCGAUCAAGCAAGUACCCAAUAUGCAAGGUUUUUGAGGAACUUGUGUGUCAACCGAAGGCGGUUGAAAGGAGAUGAGCGAGUGGUAGUGGGGAGAACGUGUCAGCAAUCUUAUAAAGGAAGUUUUUACCGAAAUGCGGGACCCAGGUAUAUUCACUAUUCCCUGUAGGAUAGUAAUACCUUGAUUGGUAAGCCCAUGUUAGACUUGGGAGCGUCGAUAAAUGUCAUACCAAAGUCCAUAUAUGCUUUUUUGCAUUUAGGUCUUGAAAAGAGACUGGAAUAAUAAUCCAACUGGCUGACCGAACCAAUGCAUACCCUGACGGGUUGAUUGAAGAUAUUUUAGUAAAAAUUAAUGAAUUGGUUUUUCCAACUGAUUUUUAUGUGCUUGAUAUGGAUGAUGAACACUCCCACGACCUCUCACUUUUAUUGUUGGGUAGACCUUUUUAGCACAACCCGAACCAAAUUUGAUGUAAACAAGGGUACUUUGUCUAUGAAAUUUGAUGGCAAGAUUGUUCAUUUUUAACAUUUUUGAAAUCAUGAAAUAUCCGUUAGAUUCAAAUGUUAUCUCCGUUUUCUCUGUAAAUGUUGUUGAGCCUGCGGUACAGGAGGUUUUUUAAAUUGAAAGCAGGGAUGAGUUGGAAGUUGUCUUGACCAGGCACUUCGAGUCAGAAUGACCUCUCAAUGGGAUGUCGUCUUCUACGACUUGCACUCGACUCAAGUGAUAUGCUACCAAAUUUUUCGCCCUUUUUUGUCUGUGAUCUCCAGGUCAAAAUCUUGUAGCAAUAGUAUCCACUUAUAAGUCGCGAUUUUGCCUCUUUCUUGGUCAACAGAUACCGCAUUGCUGCAAUUAGAAAAAAUAAUAACUUUAGCACCUAGUAAAUAAGACCUGAAUUUCUCUAAAGCAAAAACUACUGCCAAAAUCUCCUUUUUAGUGGUAGAAUAGUUUAAUUGAGCUCCGUUCAAGGCUUGAGAUGCGUAGUAUAUAACAUGGGCUGCCUUUCCUACUCUUUGACCCAGCACCGCACCCACGGCAUGAUUGCUGGCAUCGCACAUGAUCUCGAAUGGUAAGUUCCAGUCCGGAGGUUGGAUAAUAGGUGCACAUUAAGUUCGAUGAAGCAUGUAAGGGGGCGUUUGAUAGGUUGAAAGAUCAAUUAAACGGAGCUCAAUUAAACUAUUCUACCACUGAAAAGGAGAUUUUGGCAGUAGUUUUUGCUUUAAAGAAAUUCAGGUCUUAUUUACUAGGUGCUAAAGUUAUUAUUUUUUCUAAUCAUGCAGCAAUGCGGUAUCUGUUGACCAAGAAAGAGGCAAAACCGCGACUUAUAAGGUGGAUACUAUUGCUACAAGAUUUUGACCUGGAGAUCGAGACAAGAAAGGGCGAAAAAUCUGGUAGUAGAUCACUUGAGUCGAGUACAAGUCGUAAAAGACGACAUCUCAUUGAGAGAAACCUUUCCCGAUGAGCAUUUAUUUUUUGUUAAUUUAUCUUUGCCUUGGUAUGCGGAUAUUUAAAUUUUCUAGUCACUGACAAGUUCCCUGCAGGAUGGUCUAAGGCAAAGAGGUACAAGUUAAGGAGUGAUGCAAAGUCUUAUAUUUAGGAUGAUUCUUACUUCUGGAAGCGUGGUGCUGACCAAAUCAUCUGAAGAUGUGUAAGUGAACUUGAAUUCCAAUCUAUUUUAACUUAUUGUCACUCUUUUGCGUGUGGAGAUUACUUUGACCAAAGAGAAUGGCUUGUAAGGUGCUAGAAAGCGGGUUUUAUUGGCCGACCCUCUCCAAGGAUGCAUACUCAUAUUUGUAAGUUAUUGAUAAGUGUCAACGAGUAGGUAAUAUUCUCGUAUCGAUCAAAUGACCAAACCCAAUGAUUUUUGUUGAAAUCUUUUACGUUUGGGGUAUUGACUUUAUGAGUCAUUUUCUUCGUCUUAUGGUUUCUAUAUAUAUUGCUUGCCGUAGACUAUGUUUCGAAAUGGGUGGAAGCAAAAGUCACCCGUACUAAUGAUUCAAAGUGAUUGCAGAAUUCGUAAGAUCUAAUAUUUUUGUCCGCUUUGGGAUGCCGCGAGCUAUUAUAAGUGAUCGGAGUACCCAUUUCUGCAACAAGACGGCUGCACUUUUUAGGAGGUAUGACGUUUUACAUAAGGUAUCUACAUCCUACCAUCCUCAAACAAAUGGUCAGGCGGAAGCAUCAAACCGAGAGAUCAAGUCGAUUUUGGAGAAAAUGGUUCGACUUGAUAGGAAGGAUUGGAGUAUGAGGCUUGAAGAUGCCUUAUGGGCAUAUAGAACGGCGUACAAGAUGCCCAUUGGCAUGUCCUCUUAUCGUUUGGUAUUUGGGAAGCCAUGUCACCUCCCCGUCGAGUUCGAGCAUAGAGUAUUUUGGGCUGUAAAACAGUGCAAUGUGGACAUCGAGGAAGGCGAAAUUCAAAAAAGUUGCAAUUACAAGAAUUGGAGGAGAUUCGAAAUGAAGCACAUGAGAAUGCGGUGAUUUAUAAGGAGAAAAAUAAGAUUUUUCAUGACCAGCAAAGCUCUAGGAAGACGUUCGAAUGUGAGCAAAAAGUUCUACUGUACCAUUCCAAAUUGAAGUUAUUUCCAGAUAAAUUACGUUCUCGUUGGAUUGGUCCUUUUGUUGUGACUAAUAUCUUUCAUUAUAGUGCAGUGGAGAUCCAAAGUUUGAAAACGGAGAAGAAAUUUAUAUUGAAUGGUCACCGUUUUAAACCGUAUUAUGAAGGGUUUCCGGUUGAACGGGUGGAGAUGAUGCAAUUGGAAGACCCGACUUGCUUAGUUUAAGCAAAUUUUAGGUUAUGUCUAGCCAAAGACAUUAUAAAAAGGUGCUCUUUAGGAGGCAAGCCAAAUAUUAAUUUUCUCAUUUUAAUUGUUCAAUUCUUUAAUCAUGUCGUUUCCCAUUUGGGUAGUAAUCGGUUUUAAUGUUUUCCUCUACUUUGACCAAGACAGGAAUCUUGGCGUGCCAACGCGGUGAGGGCACGCGAAAGUGAUCCAGGUCAGUGGACGUUUGCCAAUUUUGGCGUGCCGCGCCAUGUUGAUCAAACCUAAACACCUCGCGACGAUUGGCAGGAAAUGAAAUCUUAACGUGCCGCGCGUGAGAAGGGCACGCAAAAGUGACUCAAGGUCAGUGGACGUUUUAUAAUCUUGGCGUGUCCACGCGGUGUUUGACGACCCUAAAAUGAAUUAAAAAAAAAUAAUAAAAAAAUAUAAAAAAUAUAAAAAAUUUUUGUUAUUACUGUUGCAAGAAAAAGGAAGGAUUAUUUUCUUUUUAAACCCUAAAAAAUUUAAUUAAUUAAAAUUUAAAAAUUUUUUAAAAAUUAAGAAAAUCUAUAAAAAAAAGGAGAAAAUAAAAAAAAGAAAAAUUUUGGUCGAUUAAUAUUUGAAUAAUUUUGAAAAAAAUAGAAAUAAAAUAAAAACCCAAAAGAAAAAAAUAAAAUAAUUUUUUCCCUUUUCUCUUUUCUCUUUUCUUUUUUUUUCUUUCUUUUCUUCUUUUUUCUUUCUUUUUUUCUUCUUUUUUCUUUUCUUUCCUUUCUUUCUUUCUUUCUUUCUUCUUUUUCUUUCUUCUCCCUUCUUCCCCGCUGCUUUCCCUUUUCCCUUCUUUUCUUCUUCGAUCUCACUCCCAAGCCGCCGCUGCUGCCAUCGACGCCGCCUCGCGCACCACCAAGCGCGACAGCCGCGCGCCGCCCCUUUCUCCCUGCUGCUCUCCACGCGCGCCUCCAUCCAGCAGCUGCCACCGCCAGCUCUGCGCGAGCUCCACUCCAGAGCACGCCAGUCCCUGCCACCAGCUCUCCAGCCGCCGCCAAGCUCCGAGCUCCACCUCGCGGUCCAUCACUCACCUCGCACCCCAGCUCUCCCUCCGCCUCGCUCUCACUCACCUCUCGCCACCUGAGGCCCACCAAGCAGCCGCGCGCCACCAACUUCACAUCGCUCGCCGCCGCUCGCCGUGGCCUCCUUCUUCACCCCAGCCCAAGCUCGCUCCUCCCUCUCUCUCCCCCACCUCAGCUCAACCUCCAACCAGCCGCCGCCACCUGCUACACCGCUCCUCCAACCUCGCGCGCCCCCACUGACCUCCUCCUCCACCAGCUCCACGACGACGCCGCCUCUCCUUCGCUCCACCCUCGGUCUCGCUCCUCCCCACCUAGCUUGCCGUCCCAACUGCCGGGCGGCGCUGCUCACGCCACCCACAGCCACGCCAUUCCAC
RNAcentral lists this long non-coding RNA (202865 nucleotides) under Coffea arabica (coffee). RNAcentral's name for it is "long non-coding RNA (CARA_LNC003169)". The stretch from base 47075 to 47181 matches the Rfam family "Plant small nucleolar RNA R71". Lineage: Eukaryota; Viridiplantae; Streptophyta; Magnoliopsida; Gentianales; Rubiaceae. The record is from RNAcentral.